CUGUUGUAGAUGAAUAGCCCGCCAGAUUGCAGAAACGGUGAACAUGGGAUGAUUGAGUUGACGAGGUACCCAAAUAAAAUCAGGUAGGUUUAAAAAGACAGGUAUCAACAACGGUGAUAACCGAACAAAGCUAACGGGUCUAGGUGGACGGUGAAUGUCUGAUUUCACUGGUCUGCCGACGUUAAUCAGAAAUCAUCCACAAAACAGGCAGGCAUCAUGAUGUAGGAACAACCGAACAUCAGCAAAGGCUUAAGGUCCAUAACUCCAUAGACAAAUUAAAGUAUUCAAAUGUUUUAAAGCAUCAUCCAUGAUAUGAUAACAUACGGUGGUAGCCGGUAUGUGGACAUAUGCCUUCACAGCAUCGGGAUGCAAGAGCAUGCACUUUGUUGACAUUCCACCUAGUCGCGAUGUGCAGGAGAUGCAACUGGCUUCAUGUGCUGAUGUUGGCCAUGGUUGAGCCAAGGGAGUCUGCACUGGCAUUAGAGGCAUCAAAGGAGCGACGCCGUCGUCGGCUUACACAUUUCACUUGAUGGCACUGAGGAAAACAUAAGCAGCAUGCGUAAGUCAUAUUAAUAUAAAAUAAAUAAAACUAAAAUCAUGUUAUUUAUUUAAUGCACGGAGUGGUUUCAUCAAGAGAAGAUAGUGGAACAGAUGGAAAUGAUUCCACACGCUAGAAAAAUGUUGGAAACAUUUUUACUUUAAUCUUUUUGUUCUGAUCCAAUCAUCCAACAGCAAAUCUAACGCAAUACUGCAUAUGAAUUCUGAAACUCAAGCACCCAACAACUUAGUGUCACAUCAACUAGUUAAAGUAAACAAGCCCGGCUCGGAAAAAUCAAAAGUUCAAUGUAUCACACAAAGAUCGAGCCACUCACCCAAAGAAACCAAGAUUCCCAUCAUCAGCCCCCAUAUAAUAUUUUCACAAAUGGAAUUUUAGAAUCAUCAACUAGUAUCAUGACCACAGCUAGGCUUGCACUCGACUUUACUGCACUGGCUAAUUUGCAAUUGCUAUGUUGUAUUCUCCAAAUUCAAGAAGCCUAUCACAACCCUCCUCCUUUACCCGGGCUUGAGACCGGCUAUGCCUAGAAGACAUAUGCCUAGAAGACAUUCAUUACUAUAGGCAGAUCUCCACAUUAAUUGUUAUAAAUCAUCUUUAUGCUCACAUGGCGGCUGAAUACAAUUGUUAGAUACGUGGUGAGAUGGGGCCAUUAUUAAAUGUUAGUUGUACUUUUAGUACAGUCUAAGACAGGGACAUUUAUUUCGCGUAGCUCGAUUUCAGUUGAGACCACCCCUCGUAUCACUUUAUGUCCGCAUAGAGAUUCUCUUCUUCCCCCAAAUAUCCUGUUCAUCUUCUCCUUCGAAGCACAACCGGACGGAUCCAAGAAAGAAAUCUAGAAAUAAGUGAAGUUGCUGUGGAGUCGGGCUAAUGAGAGACACUGCUGCGUAUCAGAAUAGGUAUUUGUUUUCGAACUAAUCUCUACUGGUAUCCUUAUUUCUAAGAUCUCGAAUUUGUCAGUUUAGAUUUGUACAGACUUGAUAAUAAUCUCUCCAUGAUUUGAACGAAGCAGUAAUCUUCAAGACUGCGAUUUGUUCAGAUAAAUUGGUCCUUUGGACAGAUCUAUUGUUGUUGGGUCUUUGGAGAGGACUCCUCUGCGUACUGUGCAUGAGGAAGAAGAUGUGCUGCAUGAAGAUGGUGAUACGAUAUCGUCUAACAACAGCACCAGAUUAGAUUUAGAAAACCAUGAUAUCAAUUCGGACGCUCAUGGCACUAGGAGGCCAAUCUCAUGGAUGUAGAAAGAGAGAAAAAUAGUUGGGCGCGAAGGUAAUAUUACUUGUUCCAAUUAUUAAUAAAUCAUUUGUCGUUGCUGUAUUUCUACUGGCAUAUUAACAAGAUUGUUGUAACUAGUAAAAGCUAGGAAUUACAUAAAGCUAUCAUGUUGUUUAAUGUGUAAGACUGAACUUUAACAGGCAAAGGCAUGGAGCAAAGCCGGAUGAAAGGCCAGCCAGUGCCGAACGGAUCACUGCCUUAGAGAGUACUUUUCGUGGAUUUGCUGAAAGGAAAACUGAAGCUGUUGUUGCUCCUGCAACUGGACUUACAUUUCAUUCAAUUUUGGAGGCUUAUAAUUUCUACAAUCUGUACUCCUGGAUGUGUGGUUUUGGUAUCAGGUAUGGUAAGAGCAGGAACAAUGUUAAGGGUGCAAAAUCAAUGCAAGAAUUCCUAUGCAACUGCGCUGUGAGUACAUUUUGUUUCACAUUUCUCCUCGUUUCAAUAUAAUUUUUUUCUAAUGACGGAGUUGUAUAUAUUGUUUCAAUAUUUUGAGACAGUUUCCUUUUUCGUUUUAUCAGGGUAAGCCAAUUAAACAAAACACAUCAACUAUUCGUACAGAGUGCCCUUCAAUGUUUUAGACUACUAAGGCUUGCAGGUGGCAGAUGGUGCAGAGAGUGGUGUCUCUGGAAUUCGGGCACGUUGUGCUCAACAUUCAUUUAUGGGAGUGGACUGGAAAAGAAAACAACAUAACUCAUUUUUAGAGAGCAGUUAUGAUUUGAGACAAGAAUGUUAAGAAUGUUAUUUCAUAGAAAACUUGGGAGCAUAAUUCAGUGGGAAAAGCAAGUUGGAGUUGGUUGCGAGACUGCAGAGAACAAAAUAUAAUGGAGAAAAAGAAAUGUAGGUAAGAUGUGAAAUAAGCUGAAGAUUACCAGGUGGCGAUGAUAACAUUUAGCAGGAUUAAUGUAUGUCCAAAUCCCAGGCACUUGACAGUUAGCAGACAGGAUGACAGGAGUAUUAAUUUGCAGCUUACAUGGGAGCAUGGAUAACUGUUCAGAGAAGUUGGGCACACAAAUUUGAAUGAAAUUUCACUUUUUCUAACAAGAACAUAACAUGUGAGCGGGCAGAUAAGAUAACAAUCCAGUGAAAAAACAUAGGAAAAUCAAAUAUCACAAUCAACAAGCACAUAUAUNNNNNNNNNNNNNNNNNNNNNNNNNNNNNNNNNNNNNNNNNNNNNNNNNNNNNNNNNNNNNNNNNNNNNNNNNNNNNNNNNNNNNNNNNNNNNNNNNNNNNNNNNNNNNNNNNNNNNNNNNNNNNNNNNNNNNNNNNNNNNNNNNNNNNNNNNNNNNNNNNNNNNNNNNNNNNNNNNNNNNNNNNNNNNNNNNNNNCCUGGAACGGUAGCCUCACAUCAGAUUAACAGUUAACUAUGUAUUAAGCCGAGAAGAUCUGGGUGGGAGCUCAAGAGGGGAACGGAAGAAGAGAAGAGUGAACAUGAAAGAGAAGUGCAGGGUGGGCUCACCAGAGCUAGGUGAGUUAAUCGCGAACAGAAGCUUCUCUGCACAGAACAGCUUCUAUCCCAGUGGUGGGACCGACACUGCAAAAAGGACAUGCAUAUACGCGGUGAUAUAUUUGCUACAAUUAAGUGAUACGAAGAACUAUACACAGCACAUCGUACUAUACAUUUCGAAUCUAAAUGCAGGUGCAUGGUGAAGAUGUAGGGGGGUGCAGCACCUAGGAUCCCCUAUGCAAUUCCCGACCCCUCACAAGCUUAUUUUAUAAGCCGCCCCCAAUACUCACUGAAGCUGCUGAACUAAUUAAUCCUUAACUCGCAACAAAUAUGGGGAACGGUUUCUAAAUAAUCUAGGAAGGGGGCGGCUUAUGCCAUAAGUCGCCAAAAGAACUAAGCCUCGGUACAGGAUGUAGUGUGCAAAUGAUAUCCCUGUUGAUAAUGUUGCAAGUUGUUAACAGGGGAGAAACUUGAAUAUGGUCUCUGAAGUACAAAUGAUGAUUAAUUAAUUAUCCAAUUCAGUUCCAAUAAAUAUAAAACCUCACAAACAGAUGCAAGAACAUAAAGUUCAACCGACAUUUUCUUCCUAACGUCAGCUGUAAUAAACAGCAAGAAAGGCAAUACGGUGACCCAAAUCUAUCAUACGUUAUUUUGGAAUCAUGAUAUCAAAUGUUAAUGUUCAAUAAUUUCUAACAUUUUAGAGUUAAAUAUUGUGAGUCAAGAAGAACUAGGAUACAAGAACGGCACCAUAUUACCUAAUCGAGUUGAAGACAACAUUGGCUGCCCAGAUUGUGUCAAACUGGAUGGCUGCUGCACGCUAUAACCAUAUUCACUCCAACCCCCAUUGCAGCCACCCUCAUUCCACAUGUUUUGCUGGGGUUGCUGUAGAAGGGUUAACAUAGAUCUUAUUGAGGAGAUGGCAAAAUGGACACAUCUAUAAUAGUAGCAAGAUGAUUACAGGAUGCCUACCACACUGUUCGGAACAGUAUCCCUCGAUGAAAGAUGAUCAUUCAGCACACCAUUCUGAGCAGACUCUGCUGCAGCUUCCCAUUACACGGCCUAAAGCAAAUUAAGAGGCAAAAUGUCAAGUGCCAUGUGAUAAAAUAAGUUAAGAACUGGUUUAACAAAUCUUUUUACUUGAGUGUAUGAAGGUCAACAGAAGCAGAGCAAAAGAAAACCAUGCCUUGGACUUGGAGCGGUAUUUAGAUAUUUUGAGAAUGCACAUGAAAUGGCAUCAAAAGAAGCGGAUCUCCCGCCACAAGAUGGUUCGAUGACUUCCUGCUUCCUUCCAAUUUUAAAACGAACAACCGGAAUGGGACCAAAAGAAAUGGAUCUCCCGCAGCCAUAUGCUUUGAUGGAUUCCAGCUUCAUUUUUCGAAUAUCAACACCAACAAGCAAUGCAUCAUUAUCCUGAGACUCCGCCUUAGACACGAGAUAGACAACAUCACCGCCGUAAAAACCAAAGGUCGGGAAGCUUGUACACUUCAGUUUUCCCAAUGUCCAUUUCUUGUCUGUAUCAUUCCAUAGAUGAGAUUGCAGCACAGAGGGUUCAGGUGGGGAGGCUGAUAUUUCGUCAACAUGAAGAAUGUGACUACUUUCCCAAUAGUUCCAAUCAAUGCUCCUAAACAUUGUCCGGAUCUUCCAGCCAGCAGGUACAUGCUGCACAGGUUUGUCAUCUCUAACGCCGUCCAUAUCAUCAAGACUGAGGAGCUCUGCAUCAUCGAUGGUAUCUGCAACAUCAAAAAUCAUGGCUGUCUUCAAAUUGCUCUUUCUGACAACGGGGAACCACCUGAGACAGUGUUCGAUCUCGAUGAAGUUGAUGUAACCAUCGGUGAAGCCAAUGACGUCCCGCACUUGCCGUGCUUUGCUUUUCCGGUGCAGGUCGAAUUCGGCCUUGGGCAGCGGGAUGAAAUGGGGAACAGGCUCCUUUUCAAGCAAAUUGCAGACGACAAUGCCACGCCAGAGGUCGACCCAUCCUACUGUGCUUCUUCCGAGCAAGAUCACCUUGUCAGUUAGGAUUGGCAGCUCCAGUGGCAGGACAUUCGGGUCGGUCUGCAGCUGCACAUGUUUGGUGCUCCACUCGUUUGUCUCCGACAAGAAGAUGUGCAGGUUGUAGUGCCCAGGGUCCCCAUUCAGGGAAAGAUCAGCGACCAAGAAAUUGUCGCCCUUGCCGGGCACGAUGGCGGCGUGCCAUGAGUGCACGUAGGCUCGAGGGGAACACGGAACAGAUCUGAUGGUGGGCUUGCCGUCGGAGGCAGCCUUGUAGACGAAGUACUCGAGAUGGGAGUCUUUUUCUGUGCUCCGUGGGCCGGAGCUGAAGGCGAAGCAGAGGAGCACGAGGUCACUGGCGGAGGAGACGACGCGGGGCUCCGUGGUGUAACAACCUUCGGGGCAGUGGACGCAGAAGUAGGAGACGGCGGGCGGGUCGGCGAGACAAAAGGUGACCUUGAAUUCGUGGCCCGUGCUCGCCGUGGCCUUCACGGUGGUGGCGUUGACGCGGUCGGCGAAGUAGGCUCUGCUGUCGAGGAGGACCCAGGAGGGGUANNNNNNNNNNNNNNNNNNNNNNNNNNNNNNNNNNNNNNNNNNNNNNNNNNNNNNNNNNNNNNNNNNNNNNNNNNNNNNNNNNNNNNNNNNNNNNNNNNNNNNNNNNNNNNNNNNNNNNNNNNNNNNNNNNNNNNNNNNNNNNNNNNNNNNNNNNNNNNNNNNNNNNNNNNNNNNNNNNNNNNNNNNNNNNNNNNNNNNNNNNNNNNNNNNNNNNNNNNNNNNNNNNNNNNNNNNNNNNNNNNNNNNNNNNNNNNNNNNNNNNNNNNNNNNNNNNNNNNNNNNNNNNNNNNNNNNNNNNNNNNNNNNNNNNNNNNNNNNNNNNNNNNNNNNNNNNNNNNNNNNNNNNNNNNNNNNNNNNNNNNNNNNNNNNNNNNNNNNNNNNNNNNNNNNNNNNNNNNNNNNNNNNNNNNNNNNNNNNNNNNNNNNNNNNNNNNNNNNNNNNNNNNNNNNNNNNNNNNNNNNNNNNNNNNNNNNNNNNNNNNNNNNNNNNNNNNNNNNNNNNNNNNNNNNNNNNNNNNNNNNNNNNNNNNNNNNNNNNNNNNNNNNNNNNNNNNNNNNNNNNNNNNNNNNNNNNNNNNNNNNNNNNUGUCUCAAAAAAAAAAACGAAAAUAGACGCCCCUCAAAAAAAAAAUGCUACGAAAAUAGACAAAACUGCCGCAAACUGGAGCUGCCGCAAAACUGAAGAAAAAAGCUGCUGCAAAACUGAAGAAUCACACUUAUCUGAAUUGAACCUGCUACGGAACUGAAGAAUUACACAACAAUAGACAAACUGAAAUUUAAACAAGCAACCUGUGCAGGUUACAACCAAGUGAAUUCCACUUAAUAGUCUUAAUCAACCGCUGGUCUCGCAUUGACAAAUUCAAGAGCAGUACAAAAGUUAAAAUACUAGAAUUUCCACAUGUUUUUCCCUGGGGCAGAUUUUACUAAUUAGUACAUGACCAACACUAUAAGAAAAAAUGAAUGCAUGACCAGCAGCAUCCACCCAAUCUUUAGCAUUCACCACUCUUCAAGUCCUCCGGUGAUAAAAUAGAUCUUCAAGUCUACUGAUAACAAAAGGGAUCUGAAAGAAACAUAUCAUUUAGAGCACUGCUAUACAACCGAUAUUUUUAGACGACAUGCAGACGACGUUUCCCAUCCAGCCAUCGGUACUUUUGUCCCUGAAGUAUCUGACGGUGUAGAUUAUUUAUCGGCUGCACGUCGGGCACAUAGUGUUGUGUGCACAUCCAUUCCGUAUCAUUUACGUAUAGUUGUUCGACACUAGAACCCUGCAUCAUUAAAGGAUUGCUCAUAUUAGAAAAAACAUCAAAUUUGCUGGAACCGUUAGUCAAGCACAAUGGUAAAUGGGAUGAAGCAUACCAUCAGUAAUUCAGUGUAACUCUUAAUACAUCCAUAACCAUGAAAAUCAUUCUCAACCGGCUUGAAGAUCCUCAACCGGCUUUCCGACGACACCGGGGCGGUCGGAGGUCCUCAACCGGCUUUUCGACAGCACCAUACGUCUUCAUGGCGAGGUUCCGCUCGGUUCUAGCCAGCCGCGAGAUUGGGACGACGUGGCUUCCGGUGAAAAUCGUGCCUGACUGCGAUCUUGGCGGACGAUGGCGGCAUCUCAGACGUCGUUCCCUUCUUAAGGCAUCGUCGUUGCAGGUCACGUCAACCUGAUCGAGAAGUUCCGGGGGAAACCCUAGAUCUGGGUCUACCGGAUCGAACGAUGACGGCGCCUUCGGUGUCGUUCUCCCUCCUGGGGGCAUCGUGUUGGAGCAAGUGCUGGUUGGAGGGGACAAGAGGAGGAGCGGUGAUUUAUCUUGCCCAUUGAGGACGGUGGAUCUCGGCGGCGUGGCGCAGUGAAGACUCGGCGCCCGAUGCGCGGAGAUGGACUCGCGCAGGAGGGUGACGCUGUCUAGCGUUGUGGUAGCGUCGGCGGCAGCUAGACCGGGCAAGGUAGAUGCAGCAGUACAGCUCCGAAGAUGGAUUGGUGGCAGGUGGCUGCGGCGGCCUCAUACCCGGCAGGCGUCCUGGUUGAGGAGCACGUCGGACUGGUGGGUGCCCAUACCCGGCAGGCGUCCUAGUUGGGACCUCAGGUCUUAGAUGUUAGGUUUGGCUGAGAGGUCUGUUUGGUAUUAGGCUCAGACUAUCAGCGCCCCUUCAUCAACUGGAUAGGAGUAGCGACAGAUGUUGCUUGGACGGUGGCUUUAGUCUUACUGUUGUAUGACUUUAUAAGGUCUUGUGUUAAUAAAAUUCAUAAAAUGGUUGUAUGCAUCAUCCAGAUGCAGAGGCCGGGGUAUUCCUCCUUUUCUAAAAAAAAUGAAAAUCAUUCUCAAUGCUCCUAGUAUAUUUCUUUGUCAAUGAAUGAGUCUCAUUUUUGUGUUGCUGGGAACCCAUAGGCAAGUCAUGUGCACUGGUGGUUUUGGUAGACUUUUUCCUUCUUUUGUUGGUUUUCUUGAUUCCAUUCUCUUGCUGCAACAUGUAAAAAGAGAACAAAGUAAAACACUAUACUUGAAUGGACAAGAAAGUAAAUAUCUUUUAGCAUAGAAAAGACAUAUUGUAGGAAAUACUUGUGUCUUUUUAGCUUUGGUUGGUCUUUUCCGCCCUUUCAUUUGUUGUUGGAUCUCAUUCUCUUGUUGCUGAAAACAAAAUGAACAUAGAGAUUCAAUCAUACAAACAUACUAUAUUUGAAAGGUCAACAAAGUAAUUAUUUUUCAGGAUAUAAAUAACAUGUCGUAGGUAAUUCUUGUGUCUCUUUAACUUCUUGGUCUUGUCUUCCAUUUCUUGUGUUGCCUAUCGAUCCAAGUUGACUUUCGCUUCGAACCUUUUUUCUGUGGAGAUUUUUCUUUAGGCGUGCAACACUUAAAUCUUGAUUUGAUUCUUGAGGUACCACUUGGGUAUCACAUUCCUCGACAAGGUGACCUUCGCGUUCCUUUUUCAGUUACUUUUCAACUUCCUUAGUGAGGAUAUCAAGUGCAUUGUCAAGUAAAAUACGACACGGCUGAGAGCUUAGUGCUUGAGUGGCUAUGCUGACAAAUUUGUGUGUGAGAAAUUUGCAGCUAAGAAUGGCAUCCAGAAUUGGAUUCUCAACAACAUUCCUUCCACUUCUAUCUUGGAUAGUUCCACACCGUGCACCUAGAGUCCAACACUUUAAAAUAUAAUGUGGUGGCAGUAAUUUAAUGUUCAUCAAAUCGAGAACUCUAGAGCAUGGGCGCAUAGUAGUCCAAUUCUCUCAAAUUGCCCACAACUACAUGUGGCUAUUUGUUCCAACGGAUUACCAACAACCGUGCGCUCAUCUUCAAAUACUGGAUCUCCGCAAAGGCUACCAACUGUCGUUGCAAAUACAUAAUCCCCAUCCAGUACUUUAUUGCAGGUUGCUAUAGAUCUCACAUACUCUAUUUGAAAACUUUCAAAUAUGCUAGGAGUGUAUACCUCACUUGCUUGGACUAACAUUGGUGUAGUUAUUUUGUUUCUAGGUAGUUUCUCUCUGGACUCAUAAUCCGAAUUCAACUCGUUGUCUUGUUUCCUUUUCACAACCCUUUUUCAAAAUGCUUGAAAAAAUGAACAAGCUAGGUCUAGGUCUGAUUUCAGGUGGAGUUUCAAGUCAUUGUUCAGGCUCUCGCUUAGUUGUGUGCUUCGCAUCCCUAAGGUGAGAGCAUCCCUCAUAUAACAUUCAACCCACUUUUCUCUUACUUUAUAGAUGCUAUCAAACCAAGUUUGCUUCUCUACCUUAGUUCUCAGUGUGUAGAAAGCCUCCAUAAAUGUUUCCUUGUCCUCAUACCCGAACACACAAUCACUAAAAUCCUUAAUAAGAUUUGAUUCUUUAGUGCAAUGAGCACACAAAUGUUUGAUGGCAUUUUGCAUUAUGUGAAAAGUGCACAGCCCAUGCCUUGCUUCUGUAAAUACACAUCCUCAAUUGCAUUUCCCAUUGCAGUGUCUUGAUCUGUGAAUAUUGUUCUAGGUUGCUUCUUAUUGUGUGUUGACAAAAAAGUAUCAAACAACCACCGGAAAGAUGGCAAAAGUAUAGUGUUCACAACCAAUUUCUGAAUGGAAAGAUGGCAAAAGCCAGUUCUAAAACAGAGGAGACUAAAUAUAAUACUUGUCAGAUUUGACUUACUCAUUUGCUCCUUCAUUCUCCUCUUCACCAAUUUUGUUCAAGUUUGUACUGGUCUGGUUUUCCAUUGGAUGAGCAAUGAAGAAUGGCAGAGGCCAACAAAUAUUGCAGCCUACAAAAAGAAAGACAUGUAACACUGAGAAUCAAUGAGAAGUGGAUCUAGUUACUAAUAAUAUGAUCUAUGCAUGUGGUCAACCUGACUUUUGGAUUACCUUUUCACACUGUAUGGAGGGUUUGGCUGGUAUGAACGAUGAAGUAGGAGCGCAGCCUGGUCCGACGGAGGGCUCAGAGAAGAGGUUGAUCAACUAGACCGGAUCAACUAGAGCCCAAGGUGGUUUUGGACAGAAUUUUAGGCGGUUUUUCAUCGGGCAGUGAUGACUAGACAUGAUUAAGCAGUGUUGCCUAGCUGACUGGACGCCCCCUAGAGAAAUAUCUCCAUUCUUCUUUUCCUCCUCCUACGACGACGAACCCUAGGCCCCGCGGCGCACACCUAGUCCAAAAGUUCCCGCGACGACGAACCUAGCUCCCGCUGCGCACACCUAUGGCGUCUGGUAGCUUGUGUAGAAGUUACCGUUCGUCGUCCAUGGUGUCGUCGGGGCAAUCGCUAGUGGCUUGUCGGGAGGGGCCGAUGUAGUACUCGCCGGACGUGCUUUGCCACUGUGGAUUGAAGGCGCCUACAUGGAUUUCGUGGAGCCUCGCCAAUCCCGGCCGUAGAUACUACAACUGCAGCAAAUCGUAGGUAAAUUGUGUUGGCUUAGCCUAGGUGGAUUUAGUCUGAUAGUUCGAGUUCUUCACUGAAAUCCGUUCUUUGAAAUUUGGGUAGGGCGUGGACUGUCGGUACUUCAAAUCGCAUGAAGAUCCCCAUAACGAGUUUGUCAGCCGACUGCUAGGUGACCUACGAGAUGUUGUUUUCCAUCUGAGGACCGAUGUUAGGAAUUUGAAGACUGCGAAUCAUUAGUUGGACCAAUCUUUGAUGGAGGCCAAAUGUACCAUUGUUGAUGCUGAUGUUCAUCUCAUUGACUUGCAAGCAAAGGUACCGUGAAGAAGUUUCUACUCUUCUGAAGGAAUUGGAGAGAUGCAAAAUGAAGUUCAAAUGUGUUAUCUGGUUUUGCAUUAUGUAUGUGAUGUACAUGGCCUACAAGUUGUGACUGGUCGGUGAAGAAGUUGGUUGAAUUAUGUGAUGAAGUGUCUGCACUAUGCAACUUGGUUAAUGUAUCGUGUACCAGAAGUUUUUUGAACUGUUAAUUCAUGUCUGUGCAACUUGGUUAAUGUAUCUUCUUUUGUCUGUGAUGAAACUUGGUUAAUGUAGCUUCUUUUGUCUGUGAUGAAACUUGGUUAAUGUAGCUUCUUUUGUUUGUGAUGAAACUUGGUUAAUGUAGCUUCUUUUGUCUGUGAUGAAACUUGGUUAUGUAUGUACUUUGUGAUGGAAAUAUGCCCUAGAGGCAAUAAUAAAGUUGUUAUUAUUAUAUUCCUUAUUCAUGAUAAAGGUUUAUUAUUCAUGCUAGAAUUGUAUUGACCAGAAACUUAAAUACAUGUGUGAAUACAUAAACAAAUACCAUGUCCCUAGUGAGCCUCUACUAGACUAGCUCGUUGAUCAAAGAUGGUUAAGGUUUCCUAACCAUAGACAUGAGUUGUCAUUUGAUAACGCAGUCACAUCAUUAGGAGAAUGAUGUGAUGGACAAGACCCAUCUGUCAGCAUAGCAUAUGAUCGUUCAGUUUAUUGCUACUGCUUUCUUAAUAUCAAAUACAUGUUUCUUCGACCAUGAGAUCAUGCAACUCCUGGAUACCGGAGGAAUACCUUGUGUGCUAUCAAACGUCACGACGUAACUAGGUGAUCAUAAAGAUGCUCUACAUGUAUCUCCGAAGGUAUCUGUUGGGUUGGCAUGGAUCGAGACUAUUUGUAGACACCUUCGGAGAUACCUGUAGAGCAUCUUUCUGAUCACCCAUUUACGUUGUGACAUUUGAUAUCACACAAGGUAUUCCUCCGGUAUCCGGGAGUUGCAUGAUCUUAUGGUCGAAGAAACAUGUAUUUAACAUUAAGAAAUCAGUAGCAAUAAACUGAACGAUCAUAUGCUAUGCUAAUGGAUGGGUCUUGUCCAUCACAUCAUUCUCCUAAUGAUGUGAUCCUGUUAUCAAAUGACAACUCAUGUCUAUGGUUAGGAAACCUUAACCAUCUAUUGAUCAAUGAGCUAGUCUAGUAGAGGCUCACUAGGGACACGGUAUUUGUUUAUGUAUCCACACAUGUAUUUAAGUUUCCGGUCAAUACAAUCUAGCAUGAAUAAUAAACCUUUAUCAUGAUUAAGGAAAUAUAAUAAUAACCAUUUUAUAAUUGCCUCUAGGGCAUAUUUCCAUCAGUCUCCCACUUGCACUAGAGUCAAUAAUCUAGUUCACAUCGCCAUGUGAUUAACACCCAUAGUUCACAUCGCCAUGUGAUUAACACCUAAAGAGUUUACUAGAGUCAACAAUCUAGUUCACAUCGCCAUGUGAUUAACACCCAAAGAGUUCUAAGGUGUGAUCAUGUUUUUCUUGUGGGAGAGGUUUUUAGUCAACGGGUCUGCCACAUUUAGAUUUGUGUGUACUUUACAAAUAUCUAUGUCUACAAUGCUCUGCCUAGAGCUACUCUAGCUAAUUGAUCCCACGUUUAAUACGUAUCCAUAUUGAGACUUAGAGUCAUCUUAAUCAGCGUCAAAGCUUGCAUCGAAGUAACCCUUUACGACGAAUUCUUUAUCACCUCCAUAACCGAGAAAAUUUUCCUUACCCCUCUAAGCAUAAUUUUGACCGCUGUCCAGUGAUCCACUCCUGGAUCACUCUUGUACCCCCUUGCCAGACAUGUGGCAAGGCACACAUCAGGUCUGAUAAACAUCAUGAAAUGAUUUAUAAAACCUAUGGCUGAGGCAUAGGGCAUGACUUUCAUUCUCUCUCUAUCUUCUGUCGUGGUCGGGCUUUGAGUCUUACUCAACUUCACACCUUACAAUACAGGCAAGAACUCAUUUGACUGAUCCACUUGAACUCCUUAAAAAUCUUGUCAAGGUAUGUACUCAUCGAAAGUCUUAUCAAGCGUCUUAAUCUAUCUCUAUAGAUCUUGAUGCCCAAUAUGUAAGCAGCUUCACCGAGGUAUUCCUUUGAAAAACUCCUUUCAAACAACCCUUUAUGCUUGCCAGAAAUUCUACAUCAUUUCCGAUCAACAAUAUGUUAUCCACAUAUACUUAUCAGAAAUGUUGUAGUGCUCCCACUCACUUUCUUGUAAAUACAGGCUUCACCGUAAGUCUGUAUAAAACCAUAUGCUUUGAUCACCUCAUCAAAGCGCAUAUUCCAACUCCGAGAUGCUUGCACCAGUCCUUUGAUGGAUCGCUGGAGCUUGCACACUUUGUUAGCUCCUUUAGGAUUGACAAAACCUUCUGGUUGCAUCAUAUACAACUCUUCUUUUAAGAAACCCGUUAAGGAAUGCAGUUUUGACGUCCAUUUGCCAGAUUUCAUAAUCAUAAAAUGCGGCAAUUGCUAACAUGAUUCAGACAGACUUAGGCAUCCCUACGGGUGAGAAAGUCUCAUUGUAGUCAACCCCUUCAACUUGUCGAAACCCUUCCGCCACAAGUCGAGCUUUUGUAGACAGUGAUAUUACCAUCAGCGUCCAUCUUCCUCUUGAAGAUCAAUUUAUUCUCAAUGGCUUGCCGAUCAUCGGGCAAGUCCAACAAAGUCCACACUUUGUUCUCAUACAUGGAUCCUAUCUCAGAUUUCAUGGCCUCAAGCCAUUUGUCGGAAUCUGGGCUCAUCAUAGCUUCUUCAUAGUUUGAAGGUUCGCCAUUGUCUAACAACAUGACUUCCAGGACAGGAUUACCGUACCAUUCUGGUGCAGUACGUGUUCUGUUCGACCUUCGAGGUUCAGUAGUAACUUGAUCCGAAGUUUCAUGAUCAUCAUCAUUAGCUUCCUCUCUAGUUGGCGUAGGCAUCACGGGAACAGUUUCUCUGAUGUGCUAUUUUCCAACUCGAGAGAAGGUACAGCUACCUCAUCAAGUUCUACUUUCCUCCCACUCACUUCUUUCAAGAGAAACUCCUUCUCUAGAAAGGACCCAUUCUUAGCAAUAAAGAUUUUGCCUUCAGUUUUGUGGUAGAAGGUAUACAUAAUAGUUUCUUUUGGGUAUCCUAUGAAGACGCACUUCUCCGCUUUGGGUUCGAGCUUAUUAGGCUGAAGCCUUUUAACAUAAGCGUCGCAUCCCCAAACUUUAAGAAACAACAGCUUUUCCAAACCAUAGUUCAUACGGUGUCGUCUCAACGGAUUUAGAUGGUGCCCUAUUUAACGUGAAUGCAACUGUCUCUAAUGCAUAACCCCAAAAUGAUAGUGGUAAAUCAGCAAGAGACAUCGUAGAUUGCACCAUAUCUAAUAAAGUACGGUUAUGACAUUCGGACACACCAUUACUAAAGGAAAUAUGCCCUAGAGGCAAUAAUAAAGUUAUUAUUUAUUUCCUUAUUUCAUGAUAAAUGUUUAUUAUUCAUGCUAUAAUUGUAUUAACCGGAAACUUGAUACAUGUGUGAAUACAUAGACAAAACAAAGUGUCCCUAGUAUGCCUCUACUUGACUAGCUUGUUUAUGAAAGAUGGUUAUGUUUCCUGACCAUAGACAUGUGUUGUCAUUUGAUGAACGGGAUCACAUCAUUAGGAGAAUGAUGUGAUGGACAAGACCCAUUCGUUAGCUUAGCACUAUGAUCGUUUAGUUUAUUGCUAUUGCUUUCUUCAUGUCUUAUACAUGUUCCUAUGACUAUGAGAUUAUGCAACUCCCGAAUACCGGAGGAACACUUUGUGUGCUACCAAAUGUCACAACAUAACUGGGUGAUUAUAAAGGUGCUCUACAGGUGUCUCCAAUGGUGUUUGUUGAGUUGGCAUAGAUCGAGAUUAGGAUUUGUCACUCCGAUUGUCGGAGAGGUAUCUCUGGGCCCUCUCGGUAAUGCACAUCACUAAAAAACUUGCAAGCAAUGUGAAUAAUGCGUUAGUUGCGGGAUGAUGCAUUAUGGAACGAGUAAAGAGACUUGCCGCUAACGAGAUUGAACUAGGUAUUGAGAUACCGACGAUCGAAUCUCGGGCAAGUAACAUACCGAUGACAAAGGGAACAACAUAUGUUGUUAUGCGGUUUGACCGAUAAAGAUCUUCGUAGAAUAUGUGGGAGCCAAUAUGAGCAUCCAGGUUUCGCUAUUGGUUAUUGACCGGAGAUGAGUCUCGGUCAUGUCUACAUAGUUCUCGAACCCGUAGGGUCCGCACGCUUAACGUUCGGUGACGAUCGGUAUUAUGAGUUUAUGUGUUUUGAUGUACCGAAGGUAGUUCGGAGUCCCGGAUGAGAUCGGGGACAUGACGAGGAGUCUCGAAAUGGUCGAGACGUAAAGAUCGAUAUAUUGGACAACUAUAUUCGGACAUCGGAAAGGUUCCGAGUGAUUCGGGUAUUUAUCGGAGUACCAGAGAGUUACGGGAAUUCGUCGGGGAGAAGUUAUGGGCCUUAUGGGCCAUAAGAAGGAAGCACACCAGCCCACAAGGGGCUGGUGCGCCCCCCUUUGGGCAGGAGGCCGAAUUGGAAUAGGUUUGGGGGGGCGGCCCCCCUUUCCUUCUCUCCUAUUCCUCCUUCCCUUCCUCUCCUACUCCAACUAGGGAAAGGGGGAAUCCUACUCCCGGUGGGAGUAGGACUCCCCUAGGGCGCGCCAUAGAGAGGGCCGGCCCCUCCCCUCCUCCACUCCUUUAUAUGCGUGGCCAAGGGGCACCCAUAGACACAACAAUUGAUCUGUUGAUCUCUUAGUCGUGUGCGGUGCCCCCCUCCACCAUAAUCCACCUCGAUAAUAUCAUAGCGGUGCUUAGGUGAAGCCCUGCGUCCGUAGCAUCAUCAUCACCGUCAUCAUGCCGUUGUGCUGACGAAACUCUCCGGCGAAGCUCUACUGGAUCGUGAGCUCGCGGGACAUUAUCGAGUUGAACGUGUGCUGAACUCGGAGGUGUCGUACGUUCGGUACUUGGAUCGGUCGGAUCGUGAAUACGUUCGACUACAUCAACCGCGUUGUUCUAACGCUUCCGCUUUCGGUCUACGAGGGUACGUGGACACACUCUCCCCUCUCGUUGCUAUGCAUCACCAUGAUCUUGCGUGUGCGUAGGAAAUUUUUGAAAUUACUAUGUUCCCCAACAGUGGCAUCCGAGCCAGGUUUAUGCGUAGAUGUUAUAUGCAUGAGUAGAACACAAGUGAGUUGUGGGCGAUACAAGUCAUACUGCUUACCAGCAUGUCAUACUUUGGUUUGGCGGUAUUGUUGGAUGAAGCGGCCCGGACCGGCAUUACGCGUACGCUUAUGCGAGACUGGUUCUACCGACGUGCUUUGCACACAGGUGGCUGGCGGGUGUCAGUUUCUCCAACUUUAGUUGAACUGAGUGUGACUAUGCCCGGUCCUUGUUGAAGGUUAAAGCAACACUAACUUGACGAAAUAUCGUUGUGGUUUUGAUGCGUAGGUAAGAAUGGUUCUUGCUCAACCCGUAGCAGCCACAUAAAACUUGCAACAACAAAGUAGAGGACGUCUAACUUGUUUUUGCAGGGCAUGUUGUGAUGUGAUAUGGUCAAGACGUCAUGAGAUAUAAGUUGUUGUAUAAGAUGAUCAUGUUUUGUUGAAGUUAUCAGCAACUGGCAGAAGCCUUAUGGUUGUCUAUUUAUUGCAUAAGAUGCAAGUGCCAAAUAAUUGCUUUACUUUAUCGCUAUGCGAUAGCAAUAGUUGCAAAAGCAAUAGUUGGUGCAACAACCAUGUGACGACACAUUGAUAGAGAUCAUGGUGUCAUGCCGGUGACGAUGAAGAUCAUGACGGUACUUUGGAGAUGGAGAUCAAAGGCACAAGAUGAUGAUGGCCAUAUCAUGUCACAUACUUUGAUUGCAUGUGAUGUUUAUCUUUUAUACAUCUUAUUCUGCUUUGAUUGACGGUAGCAUUAUAAGAUGAUCUCUCACUAAAUUUUAAGGUACAAGUGUUCUCCCUGAGUAUGCACCGUUGCCAAAGUUCGUCGUGCCGAGAUACCAUGUGAUGAUCGGGUGUGAUAAGCUCUACAUUCACAUACAACGGGUGCAAGCCAGUUUUGCACACGCAGAAAUACUCAGGUUAAACUUGACGAGCCUAGCAUAUGCAGAUAUGGCCUCGAAACACUGGAUACCGAAAGGUCGAACGUGAAUCAUAUAGUAGAUAUGAUCAACAUAGUGAUGUUCACCAUUCAAAACUACUCCAUCUCACGUGAUGAUCGGACAUGGUUUAGUUGAUUUGGAUCAUGUGGUCAUUUAGAUGACUCGAGGGAUGUCUAUCUAAGUGGGAGUUCUUAAGUAAUAUGAUUAAUUGAACUUUAAUUUAUCAUGAACUUAGUCCUGAUAGUAUUAGCAUCUCUAUGUUGUAGAUCAAUAGCUCGCAUUGUUGCUCGCCAUUUAUGUUUUGAUAUGUUCCUAGAGAAAACUAAGUUGAAAAAUAGUAGCAAUAAUGCGGACUUGGUCCGUGAUAUGAGGAUUAACCUCAUUGCUGCACAGAAGUAUUAUGUUCUUGAUGCACCGCUAGGUGACAGAACUAUUGCAGGAGCAGAUGCAGACGUUAUGAACGUUUGGCAAGCUCGAUAUGAUGACUACUUGACAGUUUAAGUGCACCAUGCUUUACGGCUUAGAACCGGGACUUCAAAUUUUUUUUUGAAUGCCACAGAGCAUAUAAGAUGUUCCAAGAGUUGAAAUUGAUAUUUCAUACUCAUGCCCAUGUCGAGAGGUAUGAGACCUCUGACAGUACUUUGCCUAUAAGAUGGAGGAGAAUAGCUCAACCAGUGAGCAUGUGCUCAGAUUGUCUGAGUACUACAAUUACUUGAAUCAAGUGGGAGUUAAUCUUCCAGAUAAGAUAGUAUUGACAAAGUUCUCUAGUCACUAUCACCAAGUUAAUACAACUUCGUGAUGAACUAUAAUAUGCAAGGGAUGACGAAAGUAAUUCCCGAGCUCUUCGCGAUGCUGAAAUCGGCGAAGGUAGAAAUCAAGAAAGAGCAUCAAGUGUUGAUGAUUAACAAGACACUAGUUUCAAGGAAAAGGGCAAAGGAAAGAAGGGGAACUUCAAGAAGAACGGCAAGCAAGUUGCUGCUCAAGUGAAGAAGCCCAAGUCUGGACCUAAGCCUGAGUCUGAGUGCUUAUACUGCAAAAGGACUGGUCACUAGAAGCGGAACUACCCUAGAUACUUGACGGAUAAGAAGGAUGGCAAAGUGAACAAAGGUAUAUUGGAUAUACAUGUUAUUGAUGUGUACUUUACUAGUGUUUAUAGCAACCCCUCGGUAUUUGAUACUAGUUCAGUUGCUAAGAUUAGUAACUCGAAACGGGAGUUGCAGAAUGAACAGAGACUAGUUAAGGGUGAAGUGAUGAUGUGAGUUGGAAGUGGUUCCAAGAUUGAUGUGAUCAUCAUCGCACACUCCCUAUACUUUCGGGAUUAGUGUUGAACCUAAAUAAGUGUUAUUUAGUGUUUGCGUUGAGUAUGAAUAUGAUUUGAUCAUGUUUAUUGCAAUACGGUUAUUCAUUUAAGUUAGAGAAUAAUUGUUGUUCUGUUUACACGAAUAAAACCUUCUAUGGUUAUACACCCAAUGAAAAUGUUUCGUUGGAUCUCGAUCGUAGUGAUACACAUAUUCAUAAUAUUGAAGCCAAAAGAUGCAAAGUUAAUAAUGAUAGUGCAACUUAUUUGUGGCACUGCCGUUUAGGUCAUAUUGGUGUAAAGCGCAUGAAGAAACUCCAUGCUGAUGGGCUUUUGGAAUCACUUGAUUAUGGAUCACUUGAUGCUUGCGAACCAUGCCUCUUGGGCAAGAUGACUAAAACGCCAUUCUCCGGAGCAAUGGAGCGAGCAACAGAUUUGUUGGAAAUCAUACAUACUAAUGUAUGUGGUCCGAUGAAUAUUGAGGCUCGCGGCGAGUAUCGUUAUUUUCUGACCUUCACAGAUGAUUUGAGCAGAUAUGGGUAUAUCUACUUGAUGAAACAUAAGUCUGAAACAUUUAAAAAGUUAAUAUAAUUUCAGAGUGAAGUGGAAAAUCAUCAUAACAAGAAAAUAAAGUUUCUACGAUCUGAUCGUGGAGGAGAAUAUUUGAAUUACGAGUUUGGUCUUCAUUUGAAACAAUGCGGAAUAGUUUCGCAACUCACGCCACCUGGAACACCACAGCGUAAUGGUGUGCCUGAACAUCGUAACCGUACUUUAUUAGAUAUGGUGCAAUCUAUGAUGUCUCUUACCGAUUUACCACUAUCGUUUUGGGGUUAUGCAUUAGAGACAGCUGCAUUCACGUUAAAUAGGGCACCAUCUAAAUCUGUUGAGACGACACCAUAUGAACUGUGGUUUGGCAAGAAACCAAAGUUGUCGUUUCUUAAAGUUUGGGGUUGUGAUGCUUAUAUGAAAAAGUUUCAUCCUGAUAAGCUCAAACCCAAAUCAGAGAAUUGUGUCUUCAUAGGAUACCCAAAGGAGACUGUUGGGUACACCUUCUAUCACAGAUCCGAAGGCAAGAUCUUUGUUGCUAAGAAUGGAUCCUUUCUGGAGAAGGAGUUUCUCUCGAAAGAAGUGAGUGGGAGGAAAGUAGAACUUGAUGAGGUAACUGUACCUGCUCCCUUAUUGGAAAGUAGUUCAUCACAGAAAUCUGUUCCUGUGACUCCUACACCAAUUAGUGAGGAAGCUAAUGAUGAUGAUCAUGUAACUCCAGAUCUAGUUACUACCGAACCUCGUAGGUCAACCAGAGUAAGGUCUGCACCAGUGGUACAGAAUCCUGUUCUGGAGGUCAUGUUACUUGACCAUGACGAACCUACGAACUACGAGGAAGCGAUGAUGAGCCUAGAUUCCGCGAAAUGGCUUGAGGCCAUGAAAUCUGAGAUGAGAUCCAUGUAUGAGAACAAAGUAUGGACUUUGGUUGACUUGCCCGAUUAUCGGCAAGCCAUAGAGAAUAAAAUGGAUCUUCAAGAGGAAGACGGACACUGAUAGUAGUGUUACUGUCUACAAAGCUCGAAUUGUCGCAAAAGGUUUUCGACAAGUUCAAGGUGUUGACUACGAUGAGUUUUUCUCACUCGUAGCGAUGCUUAAGUCUGUCCAAAUCAUGUUAGCAAUUGCUGCAUUUUAUGAAAUCUGGCAAAUGGAUAAACAAAACUGCAUUCCUUAAUGGAUUUCUUAAUGAAGAGUUGUAUAUGAUGCAACUAGAAGGUUUUGUCGAUCCUAAAGAUGCUAACAAAGUGUGCAAAGCUCCAGCAAUCCAUCUUUGGACUGGUGCAAGCAUCUCGGUGUUGGAAUAUACGCUUUGAUGAGUUGAUCAAAGCAUAUAGUUUUAUAUGGACUUGUGGUGAAGCCUGUAUUUACAAGAAAGUGAGUGGGAGCACUACAUCCUUUCUGAUAAGUAUAUGUGAAUGAUAUAUCGACGAUCGGAAAUGAUGUAGAAUUUUCUGGAAAGCAUAAAGGAGUGUUUGAAAGGAGGUUUUCAAAGAAAGACCUUGGUGAAGCUGCUUACAUAUUGAGCAUCAAGAUCUAUAGAGAUAGAUCAAGACGCUUGAUAAGUUUUUUCAAUGAGUACAUACCUUGACAAGUUUUUGAAGUAGUUCAAAAUGGAACAGUUAAAGAAAGAGUUCUUGCCUGUGUUGCAAGGUGUGAAGUUGAGUAAGACUCAAAGCCCGAUCACGGCAGAAGAUAGAUAGAGAAUGAAAGUCAUUCCCUAUGCCUCAGGCAUAGGUUCUAUAAAGUAUGCCAUGCUGUGUACCAGACCUAUUGUAUACCCUGCCGUGAGUUUGGCAAGGGAGUACAAUUUUGAUCUAGGAGUAGAUCACCGGACAACGGUCAAAAUUAUCCUUAGAAGACUAAGGAAAUAUUUCUCGGUUAUGGAGGUGAUAAAGAGUUCAUCGUAAAGAGUUACGUCGAUGCAAGCUUUGACACCGAUCUGGAUGACUCUAAGUCACAAUCCGGACACAUAUUGAAAGUGGGAGCAAUUAGCUAGAGUAGCUCCGUGCAGAGUAUUGUAGACAUAGAAAUUUGCAAAAUACAUACAGAUCUGAAUGUGGCAGCCCCGUUGACUAAAUUUCUCUCACAAGCAAAACAUGAUCACACCUUAGUACUCUUUCGGUUUUAAUCACAUAGCGAUGUGAACUAGAUUAUUGACUUUGGGUGUUGGUUACAUGACGAUGUGAACUAUGGGUGUUAAUCACAUGGUGAUGUGAACUAUUAAUGUUAAAUCACAUGGUGAUGUGAUCUAGAUUAUUGACUCUAGUGCAAGUGGGAGACUGAAGGAAAUAUGCCCUAGAGGCAAUAAUAAAGUUAUUAUUUAUUUCCUUAUUUCAUGCUAAAUGUUUAUUAUUCAUGCUAGAAUUGUAUUAACCGGAAACUUGAUACUAAAGGAAAUAUGCCCUAGAGGCAAUAAUAAAGUUAUUAUUUAUUUCCUUAUAUCAUGAUAAAUGUUUAUUAUUCAUGCUAGAAUUGUAUUAACUGGAAACAUAAUACUUGUGUGAAUACAUAGACAAACAGAGUGUCACUAGUAUGCCUCUACUUGACUAGCUCGUUGAUCAAAGAUGGUUAUGUUUCCUAGCCAUAGACAUGAGUUGUCAUUUGAUUAACGGGAUCAUAUCAUUAGGAGAAUGAUGUGAUUGACUUGACCCAUUCCGUUAGCUUAGCACACGAUCGUAUAGUAUUCUGCUAUUGCUUUCUUCAUGACUUAUACAUGUUCCUAUGACUAUGAGAUUAUUCAACUCCCGUUUACCGGAGGAACACUUUGUGUGCUACCAAACGUCACAACGUAAAUGGGUGAUUAUAAAGGUGCUCUACAAGUGUCUCCAAAGGUACUUGUUGGGUUGGCGUAUUUCGAGUUUAGGAUUUGUCACUCCGAUUGUCGGAGAGGUAUCUCUGGGCCCUCUCAGUAAUGCACAUCACUAUAAGCCUUGCAAGCAUUGCAACUAAUGAGUUAGUUGCGGGAUGAUGUAUUACAGAACGAGUAAAGAGACUUGCCGGUAACGAGAUUGAACUAGGUAUUGAGAUACCGACGAUCGAAUCUCGGGCAAGUAGCAUACCGAUGACAAAGGGAACAACGUAUGUUGUUAUGCGGUUUGACCGAUAAAGAUUAUCGUAGAAUAUGUGGGAGCCAAUAUGAGCAUCCAGGUUCCGCUAUUGGUUAUCGACCGGAGAGGUGUCUCGGUCAUGUCUACAUAGUUCUCGAACCCGUAGGGUCCGCACGCUUAACGUUUCAAUGACGGUUAUAUUAUGAGUUUAUGAGUUUGAUGUACCGAAGGUUGUUCGGAGUCCCGGAUGUGAUCACGGACAUGACGAGGAGUCUCGAAAUGGUCGAGACAUGAAGAUUGAUAUAUUGGAAGCCUCUGUUUGGAUAUCGGAAGUGUUCCGGGUGAAAUCGGGAUUUUACCGGAGUACCGGGAGGUUACCGGAACCCCCCGGGAGGCUAUUGGGCCAUAGUGGGCCUUAGUGGGAAAAGAGGGCAGCAAAGGGGAAGUGGGGUGCGCCCCCCCAUGGCCCAAACUGAAUUGGUUUGGGGCAAGGGGGCCGGCCCCCUCUCCUCCACUCUCCCCCCCUCCGGAAUCCUAUUCCAACUAGGAAAGGGGGGGAGUCCUACUCCCGGUGGGAGUAGGACUCCUCCUGGCGCCUCCUCCUCCUGGCCGGCCACCCCCUCCCCUGGCUCCUUUUUAUACGGGGCAGGGGGGCACCUCUUGGCACACAAUUGAUUUGAUCUUUUAGCCGUGUGCGGUGCCCCCCCUCCACCAUAAUCCACCUCGAUAAUACUGUAGCGGUGCUUAGGCGAAGCCCUGCGUCGGUAGAACGUCAACAUCGUCACCACGCCGUUGUGCUGACGAAACUCUCCCUCAACACUCGGCUGGAUUGGAGUUCGAGGGACGUCAUCGAGCUGAACGUGUGCAGGACUCGGAGGUGCCGUACGUUCGGUACUUGAUCGGUCGGAUCGUGAAGACGUACGACUACAUCAACUGCGUUGUGCUAACGCUUCCGCUUACGGUCUACGAGGGUACGUGGACACACUCUCCCCUCUCGUUGCUAUGCAUCACCAUGAUCUUGCGUGUGCGUAGGAUUUUUUUUGAAAUUACUACGUUCCCCAACAGUGGCAUCCGAGCCUGGUUUUAUGCGUUGAUGUUAUGCACGAGUAGAACACAAGUGAGUUGUGGGCGAUAUAAGUCAUACUGCUUACCAGCAUGUCAUACUUUGGAUCAGCGGUAUUGUGAGAUGAAGCAGCCUGGACCAACAUUACGCGUACGCUUACGCGAGACCGGUUUCACCGCUGCGAGCACUCGUUGCUUAAAGGUGACUGGCGGGUGUCUGUCUCUCUCACUUUAGUUGAAUCGAGUGUGGCUACGCCCGGUCCUUGCGAAGGUUAAAACAGCACCAACUUGACAAACUAUCGUUAUGGUUUUGAUGCAUAGGUAAGAACGGUUCUUGCUAAGCCCGUAGCAGCCACGUAAAACUUGCAACAACAAAGUAGAGGACGUCUAACUUGUUUUUGCAGGGCAUGUUGUGAUGUGAUAUGGUCAAGACAUGAUGCUAUAUUUAUUGUAUGAGAUGAUCAUGUUUUGUAACCGAGUUAUCGGCAACUGGUAGGAGCCAUAUGGUUGUCGCUUUAUUGUAUGCAAUGAAAUCGCGAUGUAAUGCUUUACUUUAUCUCUAAGCGGUAGCGAUAGUCGUGAAAGCAUAAGAUUGGCGAGACGACAACGAUGCUACGAUGGAGAUCAAGGUGUCGCGCCGGUGACGAUGGUGAUCAUGACGGUGCAACGAUGCUACGAUGGAGAUCAAGGUGUUGCGCCGAUGAUGAUGGUGAUCAUGACGGUGGUUCGGAGAUGGAGAUCACAAGCACAAGAUGAUGAUGGCCAUAUCAUAUCACUUAUAUUGAUUGCAUGUGAUGUUUAUCUUUUAUGCAUCUUAUUCUGCUUAGAACGACGGUAGCAUUAUAAGAUGAUCUCUCACUAAAUUAUCAAGUAAAAAGUGUUCUCCCUGAGUAUGCACCGUUGCGAAAGUUCUUCGUGCUGAGACACCACGUGAUGAUCGGGUGUGAUAGGCUCUAUGUUCAAAUACAACGGGUGCAAAACAGUUGCGCACGCGGAGUACUCAGGUUAAACUUGACGAGCCAAUAUAUAACAGAUAUGGCCUCGGAACACUGAGACCGAGAGGUCGAGCGUGAAUCAUAUAGUAGAUAUGAUCAACAUAGUGAUGUUCACGAUUGAAACUACUCCGUCUCACGUGAUGAUCGGACACGGUUUAGUUGAUUUGGAUCACGUGAUCACUUAGAGGACUAGAGGGAUGUCUGUCUAAGUGGGAGUUCUUAAGUAAUAUGAUUAAAUUGAACUUAAAUUUAUCAUGAAGUUAGUACCUGAUAGUAUCUUGCUUAUCUAUGUUGUUGUAGAUAGAUGGCCCGUGCUGUUGUUCCGUUAAAUUUUAGUGCGUUCCUUGAGAAAGCAAAGUUGAAAGAUGAUGGUAGCAAUUACACGGACUGGGUUCGUAACUUGAGGAUUAUCCUCAUUGCUGCACAGAAGAAUUACGUCCUGGAAGCACCGCUGGGUUCCAGGCCUGCUGCAGGAGCAACACCAGAUGUUAUGAACGUCUGGCAGAGCAAAACUGAUGACUACUCGAUAGUUCAGUGUGCCAUGCUUUACGGCUGAGAACCGGGUCUUUAACGACGUUUUGAACGUCAUGGAGCAUAUGAGAUGUUCCAGGAGUUGAAGUUAAUAUUUCAAGCAAAUGCCUGGAUUGAGAGAUAUGAAGUCUCCAAUAAGUUCUAUAGCUGCAAGAUGGAGGAGAAUAGUUCUGUCAGUGAGCAUAUACUCAAAAUGUCUGGGUAUAACAAUCACUUGAUUUAGCUGGGAGUUAAUCUUCCGAAUGAUAGCGUCAUUGACAGAAUUCUCCAAUCAUUGCCACCAAGCUACAAGAGCUUCGUGAUGAACUAUAAUAUGCAAGGGAUGGAAAAGACUAUUCCCAAGCUCUUCGCGAUGCUAAAGGCUGCGGAGGUAGAAAUCAAAAAGGAGAAUCAAGUGUUGAUGGUUAACAAAACCACCAGUUUCAAGAAAAAGGGCAAAGGGAAGAAGAAGGGGAACUUCAAGAAGAACAGCAAACAAGUUGCUGCUCAGGAGAAGAAACCCAAGUCUGGACCUAAGCCUGAGACUGAGUGCUUCUACUGCAAGCAAACUGGUCACUGGAAGCGGAACUGCCCCAAGUAUUUGGCAGAUAAGAAGGAUGGCAAGGUGAACAAAGGUAUAUAUGAUAUACAUGUUAUUGAUGUGUACCUUACUAAUGCUCGCAGUAGCACCUGGGUAUUUGAUACUGGUUCUGUUGCUAAUAUUUGCAACUCGAAACAGGGGCUACAGAUUAACGAAGAUUGGCUAAGGACGAGGUGACGAUGCGCGUGGGAAAUGGUUCCAAAGUCGAUGUGAUCGUGGUCGGCACGCUACCUCUACAUCUACCUUCGGGAUUAGUUUUAGACCUAAAUAAUUGUUAUUUGGUGCCAGCGUUGAGCAUGAACAUUAUAUCUGGAUCUUGUUUAAUGCAAGACGGUUAUUCAUUUAAAUUAGAGAAUAAUGGUUGUUCUAUUUAUAUGAGUAAUAUCUUUUAUGGUCAUGCACCCUUGAAGAACGGUCUAUUUUUGUUGAAUCUCGAUAGUAGUGAUACACAUAUUCAUAAUAUUGAAACCAAAAGAUGCAGAGUUGAUAGUGAUAUUGCGACUUAUUUGUGGCACUGCCGUUUAGGUCAUAUCGGUGUAAAGCGCAUGAAGAAACUCCAUACUGAUGGACUUUUGGAACCUCUUGAUUAUGAAUCACUUGGUACUUGCGAACCGUGCCUCAUGGGCAAGAUGACUAAAACGCCGUUCUCCGGAACUAUGGAGCGAGCAACUGAUUUGUUGGAAAUCAUACAUACUCAUGUAUGUGGUCCAAUGAAUGUUGAGGCUCACGGCAGGUAUCGUUAUUUUCUCACCUUCACAGAUGAUUUGAGCAGAUAUGGGUAUACCUACUUGAUGAAGCAUAAGUCUGAAACAUUUGAAAAGUUCAAAGAAUUUCAGAGUGAAGUGGAAAAUCAUCGUAACAAGAAAAUAAAGUUUCUAUGAUCUGAUCGUGGAGGAGAAUAUUUGAGUUACGAGUUUGGUCUUCAUUUGAAACAAUGCGGAAUAGUUUCGCAACUCACGCCACCCGGAACACCACAACGUAAUGGUGUGUCCGAACGUCAUAAUCGUACUUUACUAGAUAUGGUGCAAUCUAUGAUGUCUCUGACUGAUUUACCGCUAUCGUUUUAGGGUUAUGCUCUAGAGACUGCUGCAUUCACGUUAAAUAGGGCACCAUCUAAAUCCGUUGAGACGACGCCUUAUGAACUGUGGUUUGGCAAGAAACCAAAGUUGUCGUUUCUUAAAGUUUGGGGCUGCGAUGCUUAUGUGAAAAAGCUUCAACCUGAUAAGCUCGAACCCAAAUCGGAGAAAUGUGUCUUCAUAGGAUACCCAAAAGAGACUGUUGGGUACACCUUCUAUCACAGAUCCGAAGGCAAGACUUUUGUUGCUAAGUUUGGAUCCUUUCUAGAGAAGGAGUUUCUCUCGAAAGAAGUGAGUGGGAGGGAAGUAGAACUUGAUGAGAUAACUGUAUCUACUCCCUUAUUGGAAAGUAGUUCAUCACAGAAAUCUGUUCCUAUGACUCCUAAACCAAUUAGUGCGGAAGUUAAUGAUGAUGAUCAUGAAACUUCAAAUCAAGUUGCUACUGAACCUCGUAGAUCAACCAGAGCAAGAUACGCACCAGAGUGGUAUGGUAAUCCUGUUCUGGAAGUUAUGUUACUGGACCAUGACAAACCUACAAACUAUGAAGAAGCAAUGGUGAGCCUAGAUUCCGCCAAAUGGCUUGAGGCCAUGAAAUCUGAGAUGGGAUCCAUGUAUGAGAACAAAGUGUGGACUUUGGUUGACUUGCCUGAUGAUCGGCAAGCAAUUGAGAAUAAAUGGAUCUUCAAGAAGAAGACUGACGCUGACGGUAAUGUUACUGACUACAAAGCUCGACUUGUUGCGAAAGGGUUUCGACAAGUUCAAGGGAUUGACUACGAUGAGAAUUUCUCACCCGUAGCGAUGCUUAAGUCUGUCCGAAUCAUGUUAGCAAUUGCCGCAUUUUAUGAUUAUGAAAUUUGGCAAAUGGAUGUAAAAACUACAUUCCUGAAUGGAUUUCUGGAAGAAGAGUUGUAUAUGAUGCAACCAGAAGGUUUUAUCAAUCCAAAGGGAGCUAACAAAGUGUGCAAGCUCCAGCGAUCCAUUUAUGGACUGGUGCAAGCCUCUCGGAGUUGGAAUAAACGUUUUGAUAGUGUGAUCAAAGCAUAUGGGUUUAUACAGACUUUUGGAGAAGCCCGUAUUUACAAGAAAGUGAGUUGGAGCUCGGUAGCAUUUUUGAUAUUAUAUGUGGAUGACAUAUUGUUGAUAGGAAAUGAUAUAGAAUUUCUGGAUAGCAUAAAGGGAUAUUUGAACAAGAGUUUUUCAAUGAAAGACCUCGGUGAAGCUGCUUAUAUAUUGGGCAUCAAGAUCUAUAGAGAUAGAUCAAGACGCUUAAUUGGACUUUCACAAAGCACAUACCUUGACAAAGUUUUGAAGAAGUUCAAAAUGGAUCAGGCGAAGAAAGGGUUCUUGCCUGUGUUGCAGGGUGUAAAGUUGAGUAAGACUCAAUGCCCGACCAAUGCAGAAGAUAGAGAGAAGAUGAAAGAUGUUCCCUAUGCUUCAGCCAUAGGCUCUAUCAUGUAUGCAAUGCUGUGUACCAGACCUGAUGUGUGCCUUGCUAUUAGUUUAGCAGGGAGGUACCAAAGUAAUCCAGGAGUGGAUCACUGGACAACGGUCAAGAACAUCCUAAAAUACCUGAAAAGGACUAAGGAUAUGUUUCUCGUUUAUGGAGGUGACAAAGAGCUCGUCGUAAAUGGUUACGUCGAUGCAAGCUUUGACACUGAUCCGGACGAUUCUAAAUCGCAAACCGGAUACGUGUUUAUAUUGAACGGUGGAGCUGUCAGUUGGACAAGUUCUAAACAAAGCGUCGUGGCGGGAUCUACGUGUGAAGCAGAGUACAUAGCUGCUUCGGAAGCAGCAAAUGAAGGAGUCUGGAUGAAGGAGUUCAUAUCCGAUCUAGGUGUCAUACCUAGUGCAUCGGGUCCAAUGAAAAUCUUUUGUGACAAUACUGGUGCAAUUGCCUUGGCAAAGGAAUCCAGAUUUCACAAGAGAACCAAACACACCAAGAGACGCUUCAACUCCAUCAGGGAUCAAGUCCAGGUGGGAGACAUAGAGAUUUGCAAGAUACAUACGGACCUGAAUAUUGCAGACCCGUUGACUAAGCCUCUUCCACGAGCAAAACAUGAUCAGCACCAAGGCUCCAUGGGUGUUAGAAUCAUUACUAUGUAAUCUAGAUUAUUGACUCUAGUGCAAGUGGGAGACUGAAGGAAAUAUGCCCUAGAGGCAAUAAUAAAGUUAUUAUUUAUUUCCUUAUAUCAUGAUAAAUGUUUAUUAUUCAUGCUAGAAUUGUAUUAACCGGAAACAUAAUACUUGUGUGAAUACAUAGACAAACAGAGUGUCACUAGUAUACCUCUACUUGACUAGCUCGUUGAUCAAAGAUGGUUAUGUUUUCUAGCCAUAGACAUGAGUUGUCAUUUGAUUAACGGGAUCAUAUCAUUAGGAGAAUGAUGUGAUUGAAUUGACCCAUUCCGUUAGCUUAGCAGACGAUCGUAUAUUAUUCUGCUAUUGCUUUCUUCAUGACUUAUACAUGUUCCUAUGACUAAGAGAUUAUGCAACUCCCAUUUACCGGAGGAACACUUUGUGUGCUACCAAACGUCACAACGUAAAUGGGUGAUUAUAAAGGUGCUCUACAGGUGUCUCCAAAGGUACUUGUUGGGUUGGCGUAUUUCGAGAUUAGGAUUUGUCACUCCGAUUGUCGGAGAGGUAUCUCUGGGCCCUCUCGGUAAUGCACAUCACUAUAAGCCUUGCAAGCAUUGCAAGUAAUGAGUUAGUUGUGGGAUGAUGUAUUACAGAACGAGUAAAGAGACUUGCCGGUAACGAGAUUGAACUAGGUAUUGAGAUACCGACGAUCGAAUCUCGGGCAAGUAACAUACCGAUGACAAAGGGAACAACGUAUGUUGUUAUGCGGUUUGACCGAUAAAGAUCUUCGUAGAAUAUGUGGGAGCCAAUAUGAGCAUCCAGGUUCCGCUAUUGGUUAUUGACCGGAGAGGUGUCUCGGUCAUGUCUACAUAGUUCUCGAACCCGUAGGGUCCGCACGCUUAACGUUUCGAUGACGGUUAUAUUAUGAGUUUAUGAGUUUGAUGUACCGAAGGUUGUUCGGAGUCCCGGAUGUGAUCACGGACAUGACGAGGAGUCUCGAAAUGGUCGAGACAUGAAGAUUGAUAUAUUGGAAGCCUAUGUUUGGAUAUCGGAAGUGUUCCGGGUGAAAUCGGGAUUUUACCGGAGUACCAGGAGGUUACCGGAACCCCGCGGGAGGCUAUUGGGCCAUAGUGGGCCUUAGUGGGAAAAGAGGGCAGCAAAGGGAAAGUGGGGCGCGCCCCCCCAUGGCCCAAACCGAAUUGGUUUGGGGCAAGGGGGCCGGCCCCCUCUCCUCCACUCUUCCCCCCCUCCCGAAUCCUAUUCCAACUAGGAAAGGGGGGGAGUCCUACUCCCGGUGGGAGUUGGACUCCUCCUGGCGCCUCCUCCUGGCCGGCCGCCCCCUCCCCUGGCUCCUUUAUAUACGGGGCAGGGGGGCACCUCUUGGCACACAAUUGAUUUGAUGUUUUAGCCGUGUGCGGUGCCCCCCUCCACCAUAAUCCACCUCGAUAAUACUGUAGCGGUGCUUAGGCGAAGCCCUGCGUCGGUAGAACGUCAACAUCAUCACCACGCCGUUGUGCUGACGAAACUCUCCCUCAACACUCGGCUGGAUCGGAGUUCGAGGGACGUCAUCGAGCUGAACGUAUGCAGAACUCGGAGGUGCCGUACGUUCGGUACUUGAUCGGUCGGAUCGUGAAGACGUACGACUACAUCAACCGCGUUGUGCUAACGCUUCCGCUUACGGUCUACGAGGGUACGUGGACACACUCUCCCCUCUCAUUGCUAUGCAUCACCAUGAUCUUGCGUGUGCGUAGGAAUUUUUUUGAAAUUACUACGUUCCCCAACAGAUACAUGUGUGAAUACAUAGACAAAACAGAGUGUCCCUAGUAUGCCUCUACUUGACUAGCUUGUUUAUCAAAGAUGGUUGCUACCUCUUGAGCACAGCGUUGGAUUUCCCCGAAUAGGAAAGGAUGAUGCAGCAGAGUAGCGUAAGUAUUUCCCUUAGUUUUUGAGAACCAAGGUAUCAAUCCAGUAGGAGGCUACGCGCGAGUCCCUCGUACCUACACAAAGCAAAUAGCUCCUCGCAACCAACGCGAAUAGGGGUUGUCAAUCCCUUCACGGUCACUUACGAGAGUGAGAUCUGAUAGAUAUGAUUGAUAAUAUUUUUGGUAUAAAGAUGCAAAGUAAAAAGCAAAGCAAUAAUAAAGUGAUGGAAGAUUGAUAUGAUGGAGAAUAGACCCGGGGGCCAUAGAUUUCACUAGUGGCUUCUCUCAAAAGCAUAAGUAUUUUACGGUGGGUGAACAAAUUACUGUUGAGCAAUUGACAGAAUUGAGCAUAGUUAUGAGAAUAUCUAGGUAUGAUCAUGUAUAUAGGCAUCUCGUCCGAGACAAGUAGACCGACUCCUGCCUGCAUCUACUACUAUUACUCCACUCAUCGACCGCUAUCCAGCAUGCAUCUAGAGUAUUAAGUUCAAGAAAACAGAGUAACGCCUUAAGCAAGAUGACAUGACGUAGAGGGAAAAAUUCAUGCAAUAUGAUAAAAAACCAUCUUGUUAUCCUCGAUGGCAACAAUAUAAUACGUGCCUUGCUGCCCCUUCUGUCACUGGGAAAGGACACACCGCAAGAUUGAACCCAAAGCUAAGCACUUCUCCCAUUGCAAGAAAAACCAAUCUAGUAGGCCAAACCAAACUGAUAAUUCGAAGAGACUUGCAAAGAUAACCAAUCAUACAUAAAAGAAUUCAGAGAAGAUUCAAAUAUUGUUCAUAGAUAAUCUUGAUCAUAAACCCACAAUUCAUCGGUCUCAACAAACACACCGCAAAAAGCAGAUUACAUCGAAUAGAGCUCCACGAGAGAGGGGGAGAACAUUGUAUUGAGAUCCAAAAAGAGAGAAGAAGCCAUCUAGAUACUAACUAUGGACCCGAAGGUCUGAGGUAAACUACUCACACUUCAUCGGAGAGGCUAUGGUGAUGAUGUAGAAGCCCUCCAUGGUGGAUUCCCCUUCCGGCGGAGCUCCGAAACAGGCCCCAAGAUGGGAUCUCGUGGAUACAGAAGGUUGCGGCGGUGGAAUUAGGUUUUUGGCUCCGUAUCUGAUCGUUUGGGGGUACGUAGGUAUAUAUAGGAGGAAGGAGUACGUCGGUGGAGCAACAUGGGGCCCACGAGGCAGGGGGGCGCGCCCUAGGGGGGGCGCCCUCCACCCUCGUGGCCGCCUCCCUUCUUUCUUGACAUGGGGUCCAAGUCUCCUGGAUCAUUUCUUCCUACAAAUCACGUUCCCGAAUGUUUCAUUCCGUUUGGACUCCGUUUGAUAUUCCGUUUCUUCGAAACACUGAAAUAGGCAAAAAACAGCAAUUCUGGGCUGGGCCUUCGGUUAAUAGGUUAGUCCCAAUAGUAAUAUAAAUGUGGAAAAUAAAGCCCAAUAUAGUCCAAAACAGUAGAUAAUAUAGCAUGGAGCAAUCAAAAAUUAUAGAUACGUUGGAGACGUAUCAGGCAUCCCCAAGCUUAAUUUCUGCUCGUCCUCGAGUAGGUAAAUGAUAAAAAAGAAUUUUUGAUGCGGAGUGCUACUUGGCAUAAUUUCAAUGUAAUUCUUCUUAAUUGUGGUAUGAAUAUUCAGAUCCGAAAGAUUUAAUAAUACUUCAAGCAUACUAACAAAGCAAUUAUGUCUUCUCAAAAUAACAUGGCCAAAGAAAGUUAUCCCUACAAGAUCAUAUAGUCUGGCUAUGCUCUAUCUUCAUCACACAAAGUAUUUAAAUCAUGCACAACCCCGAUGACAAGCCAAGCAAUUGUUUCAUACUUUUGACAUUUUCAAAACUUUUUUCAAUCUUCACGCAAUACAUGAGCGUGAGCCAUGGGUAUAGCACUAUAUGUGGAAUAGAAUGGUGGUUGUGGAGAAGACAAAAAGGGAGAAGAUAGUCUCACAUCAACUAGGCGUAUCAACGGGCUAUGGAGAUGCCCAUUAAUAGAUAUCAAUGUGAGUGAGUAGGGAUUGCCAUGCAACGGAUGCACUAGAGCUAUAAGUAUAUGAAAGCUCAACAAAAGAAACUAAGUGGGUGUGCAUCCAACUCGCUUGCUCACGAAGACCUAGGGCAUUUUGAGGAAGCCCAUCAUUGGAAUAUACAAGCCAAGUUCUAUAAUGAAAAAUUCCAACUAGUAUAUGAAAGUGACACAAUGAGAGACUCUCUAUCAUGAAGAUAAUGGUGCUACUUUGAAGCACAAGUGUGGUAAAAGGAUAGUAACAUUGUCCCUUCUCUCUUUUACUCUCAUUUUUUUAUAUUUUUUUUAUUUGGGCCUUUUCUCCUUUUUUUAUGGCCUCUUUUUUUUUCGUCCGGAGUCUCAUCCCGACUUAUGGGGGAAUCAUAGUCUCCAUCAUCCUUUUCCUCACUUGGGACAAUGCUCUAAAAAUGAUGAUCAUCACACUUUUAUUUUUCUUACAACUCAACAAUUACAACUCGAUACUUAGAACAAAAUAUGACUCUAUAUGAAUGCCUCCGGCGGUAUACCGGGAUAUGCAAUGAAUCAAGAGUGACAUGUAUGAAAGAAUUAUGAACGGUGGCCUUGCCACAAAUACAAUGUCAACUACAUGAUUAUGCAAAGCAAUAUGACAAUGAUGGAGCAUGUCAUAAUAAACGGAAUGGUGGAAAGUUGCAUGGCAAUAUAUCUCGGAAUGGCUAUGGAAAUGCCAUGAUAGGUAGAUAUGGUGGCUGUUUUGAGGAAGGUAUAUGGUGGGUGUAUGAUACCGGUGAAAAGUGCGCGACAUUAGAGAGGCUAGCAAUGGUGGAAAGAAGGAAAAGUGCGUAUAAUCCAUGGACUCAACAUUAGUCAUAAAGAACUCAUAUACUUUUUGCAAAAAUCUACAAAUUAUCAAAGCAAAGUAUUACGCGCAUGCUCCUAGGGGGAUAGAUUGGUAGGAAAAGACCAUCGCUCGUCCCCGACCGCCACUCAUAAGGAAGACAAUCAAUAAAUAAAUCAUGCUCCAACUUCAUCACAUAACGGUUCACCAUACGUGCAUGCUACGGGAAUCACAAACUUUAACACAAGUAUUUCUUAAAUUCACAACUACUCAACUAGCAUGACUCUAAUAUCACCAUCUUCAUAUCUCAAAACAAUUAUCAAGCAUCAAAUUUUUCUUAGUAUUCAACGCACUCAAAAGAAAGUUUUACAAAUCUUGAAUACCAAGCAUAUUAAAUUUUCUAAGCAAAUUACCAUGCUAUUUAAGGCUCUCAAAAUAAUCUAAGUGAAGCAUGAGAGAUCAAUAGUUUCUAUAAAACAAAUCCACCACCGUGCUCUAAAAGAUAUAAGUGAAGCACUAGAGCAAUACUAUAUAGCUCAAAAGAUAUAAGUGAAGCACAUAGAGUAUUCUAACAAAUUUCAAAUCAUGUAUGGCUCUCUCAAAAGGUGUGUACAGCAAGGAUGAUUGUGGUAAACUAAAAAUAAAAGACUGAAAUCAUACAAGACGCUCCAAGCAAAACACAUAUCAUGUGGUUAAUAAAAAUAUAGCUCCAAGUAAAGUUAACGAUGGAAGUAGACGAAAGAGGGGAUGCCUUCCGGGGCAUCCCCAAGCUUUGACUUUUUGGUGUCCUUAGAUUAUCUUGGGGGUGACAUGGGAAUCCCCAAGUUUAGACUCUUUCCACUCCUUGUUCCAUAAUCCAUCAAAAUAUUUCACCCAAAACUUGAAAACUUCACAACACAAAACUCAAGAGAAAUCUCGUGAGCUCCGUUAGCGAAAGAAAACAAAAGACCACUUCAAGGUACUGUAAUGAACUCAUUCUUUAUUUAUAUUGGUGUUAAACCUACUGUAUUCCAACUUAUCUAUGGUUUCUAAACUAUUUUACUAGCCAUAGAUUCAUCAAAAUAAGCAAACAAUACACGAAAAACAGAAUCUGUCAAAAACAGAACAGUCUGUAGUAAUCUGUAACAAACGCAAAUUUCUGGAACUCCAAAAAAUCAGACAAAAUAGGAAGACCUAGGCAAUUUUUUUUAUUGAUCAGCAACAAUUGGAAUCACUAUUUUAUCACGUUCUGGUGAUUUUUAACAAUUGUUUUCGUGAACAGAAAGUUUCUGAAAAUUACAGCAAGAUCAAAUAACUAUCAUCCAAGAAGAUCCUAUAGGUUUAACUUGGCACAAACACUAAUUAAAACAUAAAAACACAUCUAACCAGAGGCUAGAACAAAUAUUUAUUCCUAAACAUAAGAAAAAGCAAAAAAACUAAAAAUAAAAUUGGGUUGCCUCCCAACAAGCGCUAUCGUUUAACGCCCCUAGCUAGGCAUAAAAGCAAGGAUAGAUCUAGGUAUUGCCAUCUUUGGUAGGCAAUCCAUAAGUGGCUCUCAUGAUAGAUUCAUAUGGUAAUUUUAUUUUCUUCCUAGGGAAGUGUUCCAUGCCCUUCUUUAAUGGAAAUUGGAUUCUAAUAUUCCCUUCCUUCAUAUCAAUAAUUGCACCAACCGUUCUAAGGAAAGGUCUACCAAGAAUAAUAGGGCAAGAAAGAUUGCAAUCUAUAUCAAGAACGAUAAAAUCUACGGGCACAUAAUUCCUAUUUGCAACAAUAAGAACAUCAUUAAUUCUUCCGAUAGGUUUUUUAAUAGUGGAAUCCGCAAGAUGCAAAUUUAGAGAGCAAUCAUCAAAAUCGCGGAAAUCUAGAAAAUCACACAAGGUUUUGGGAAUAGUGGAAACACUAGCACCCAAAUCACAUAAAGCAUAAAAUUCAUGAUCCUUAAUCUUAAUUUUAAUAGUUGGUUCCCACUCAUCAUAAAGUUUUCUAGGGAUAGAAACUUCCAACUCAAGUUUUUCUUCAUAAGAUUGCAUCAAGGCAUCAACGAUAUGUUUAGUCAACGCUUUAUUUUGACUAUAAGCAUGAGGAGAAUUUAGCACAGAUUGCAACAAGGAAAUACCAUCAAUUAAAGAGCAACUUUCAUAAUUAAAUUCCUUGAAAUGCAAAAUAGUGGGUUUAGCAACAUCUAGGGUUUUGAUUUCUUCAAUCCUACUUUUAUCAAUUUUAUCAUCAAGAUCUAAAAACUCCGAAUUUUUGGAACGCCUUCUAGGUAGAGGUGGAUCAUAUUCAGUCUCAUCAAAAUUCAUAUUGCAAAACAAAGAUUUAAUAGGGGACACAUCAAUAACUUUUAGAUCUUCAUCUUGAUUUUCAUAGGAAUUGAAAGAACACGCUUUAAUAAAGGCAUCUUUCAUAGCACGCGUCCUAGCGGUUCUUUCCUUGCACUCAUCAAUGGAAAUUCUCAUGGCCUUGAGAGACUCAUUGAUAUCAUGCUUAGGAGGAAUAGAUCUAAGUUUUAAAGAAUCAACAUCAAGAGAAAUUCUAUCAAUGUUCCUAGCCAAUUCAUCAACUUUAAGUAAUUUCUCUUCAAGCAAGGCAUUGAAUUUUUUUUGUGAAUUCAUAAACUUUUUAACACUCAUUUCAAAUUCAGAGGGCAUCUUAUUAAAAUUUCCAUAAGAAUUGUUGUAGGAAUUUCCAUAAUUAUUAGAAGGAUUACUAGGAUAUGGCCUAGGAUUAAAGUUCCCUCUAUACGCGUUGUUACCAAAAUUAUUCCUACCAACAAAAUUCACAUCCAUAGAUUCAUUAUUAUUCUCAAUCAAAGUAGACAAAGGCAUAUCAUUAGGAUCAGAAGAAACACUCUUAGUAGCAAAUAAUUUCAUAAGUUCAUCCAUCUUUCCACUCAAAACAUUAAUUUCUUCUAUCGCAUGCACUUUUUUAUUAGUAGAUCUUUCAGUGUGCCAUUGAGAAUAAUUAACCAUAAUAUUAUCUAGGAGUUUAGUAGCAUCUCCUAACGUGAUUUCCAUAAAAGUGCCUCCCGCGGCCGAAUCUAAAAGAUUUCUAGAAGCAAAAUUCAAUCCGGCAUAAAUUUUUUGUAUAAUCAUCCACAAGUUCAAACCAUGAGUAGGGCAAUUAUGUAUCAUUAAUUUCAUUCUCUCCCAAGCUUGUGCAACAUGUUCAUGGUCAAGUUGCUUAAAAUUCAUAAUAUCGUUUCUAAGAGAGAUGAUCUUAGCGGGAGGAAAAUACUUAGAGAUAAAAGCAUCUUUGCACUUGUUCCAAGAAUCAAUACUAUUUUUAGGCAAAGACGAAAACCAAGCUUUAGCACGAUCUCUAAGCGAAAAAGGAAAUAGCUUCAAUUUAACAAUAUCAUUAUCAACAUCUUUCUUCUUUUGCAUAUCAGACAAAUCAACGAAGCUAUUUAAAUGAGUAGCGGCACCUUCACUAGGAAGGCCGGCGAAUUGAUCUUUCAUAACAAGAUUCAGCAAAGCAGUAUUUAUUUCACAAGAUUCAGUAUUGGUAAGAGGAGCUAUCGGAGUGCUAAGGAAAUCAUUAUUGUUGGUAUUGGUAAAGUCACAUAAUUUGGUAUUAUCUUGAGCCAUCGUGACAAGCAAUCCAACACACGAGCAAACGAAAAGCAAGCGAGAAAAAGGCAAACAAAAAAGAGAGGGCGAAUAAAAACGGCAAGGGUAAAGUGGGGGAGAGGAAAGCGAGAGGCAAAUGGCAAAUAAUGUAAUGCGAGAGAUAAGGGAUUGUGAUGGGUACUUGGUGUGUUGACUUUUGCGUAGACCGACAACGGCGCCAGAAAUUGCUCGUUGUCGGGAGUCCAAAUCUUGACUUGACCUUGCGUAAGCCUCCCCGGCAACGGCGCCAGAAAUUUUUCUUGCUACCUCUUGAGCACAGCGUUGGAUUUCCCCGAAGAGGAAAGGAUGAUGCAGCAGAGUAGCGUAAGUAUUUCCCUCAGUUUUUGAGAACCAAGGUAUCAAUCCAGUAGGAGGCUACGCGCGAGUCCCUCGUACCUACACAAAGCAAAUAGCUCCUCGCAACCAACGCGAAUAGGGGUUGUCAAUCCCUUCACGGUCACUUAGUAGAGUGAGAUCUGAUAGAUAUGAUAGAUAAUAUUUUUGGUAUAAAGAUGCAAAGUAAAAUAAAAAGCAAAGUAAAAAUCAAGGCAAUAAUAAAGUGAUGGAAGAUUGAUCUGAUGGAGAAUAGACCCGGGGGUCAUAGAUUUCACUAGUGGCUUCUCUCAAAAGCAUAAGUAUUUUACGGUGGGUGAACGAAUUACUGUUGAGCAAUUGACAUAAUUGAGCAUAGUUAUGAGAAUAUCUAGGUAUGAUCAUGUAUAUAGGCAUCACGUCCGAGACAAGUAGACCGACUCCUGCCUGCAUCUACUACUAUUACUCCACUCAUCGACCGCUAUCCAGCAUGCAUCUAGAGUAUUAAGUUCAAGAAAACAGAGUAACGCCUUAAGCAAGAUGACAUGACGUAGAGGGAUAAAUUCAUGCAAUAUGAUAAAAAAACCCAUCUUGUUAUCCUCGAUGGCAACAAUACAAUACAUGCCUUGCUGCCCCUUCUGUCACUGGGAAAGGACACCGCAAGAUUGAACCCAAAGCUAAGCACUUCUCCCAUUGCAAGAAAAACCAAUCUAGUAGGCCAAACCAAACUGAUAGUUCCAAGAGACUUGCAAAGAUAAACAAUCAUACAUAAAAGAAUUCAGAGAAGAUUCAAAUAUUGUUCAUAGAUAAUCUUGAUCAUAAACCCACAAUUCAUCGGUCUCAACAAACACACCGCAAAAAGAAGAUUACAUCGAAUAGAUCUCCACGAGAAAGGGGGAGAACAUUGUAUUGAGAUCCAAAAAGAGAGAAGAAGCCAUCUAGCUACUAACUAUGGACCCGAAGGUCUGAGGUAAACUACUCACACUUCAUCGGAGAGGCUAUGGUGAUGAUGUAGAAGCCCUCCGUGGUGGAUUCCCCUUCCGGCGGAGCUCCGAAACAGGCCCCAAGAUGGGAUCUCGUGGAUACAGAAGGUUGCGGCGGUGGAAUUAGGUUUUUGGCUCCGUAUCUGAUCGUUUGGUGGUACGUAGGUAUAUAUAGGAGGAAGGAGUACGUCUGUGGAGCAACAGGGGGCCCACGAGGCAGGGGGGCGCGCCCUGGGGGGGGGGGCGCCCUCCACCCUCGUGGCCGCCUCCCUUCUUUCUUGACGUGGGGUCCAAGUCUCCUGGAUCAUGUUCUUCCUAAAAAUCACGUUCCCGAAGGUUUCAUUCCGUUUGGACUCCGUUUGAUAUUCCGUUUCUUCGAAACACUGAAAUAGGCAAAAAACAGCAAUUCUGGGCUGGGCCUCCGGUUAAUAGGUUAGUCCCAAAAGUAAUAUAAAAGUGGAAAAUAAAGCCCAAUAUAGUCCAAAACAGUAGAUAAUAUAGCAUGGAGCAAUCAAAAAUUAUAGAUACGUUGGAGACGUAUCAAUGGUUAUGUUUCUUGACCAUAGACAUGUGUUGUCAUUUGAUGAAUGGGAUCACAUCAUUAGGAGAAUGAUGUGAUGGACAAGACCCAUUUGUUAGCUUAACACUAUGAUCGUUUAGUUUAUUGCUAUUGCUUUCUUCAUGACUUAUACAUGUUCCUAUGACUAUGAGAUUAUGCAACUUCCGAAUACCAGAGGAACACUUUGUGUGCUACCAAAGGUCAAAACGUAACUGGGUGAUUAUAAAAGGUGCUCUACAGGUGUCUCCAAUGGUGUUUGUUGAGUUGGCAUAGAUCGAGAUUAUGAUUUGUCACUCCGAUUGUCGGAGAGGUAUCUCUCGGCCCUCUCGGUAAUGCACAUCACUAUAAGCCUUGCAAGCAAUGUGACUAAUGAGUUAGUUGCUGGAUGAUGCAUUACGGAACGAGUAAAGAGACUUGCCGAUAACGAGAUUGAACUAGGUAUUGAGAUACCGACGAUUGAAUCUCGGGCAAGUAACAUACCGAUGACAAAGGGAACAACGUAUGUUGUUAUGCGGUUUGACCGAUAAAGAUCUUCGUAGAAUAUGUGGGAGCCAAUAUGAGCAUCCAGGUUCUGCUAUUGGUUAUUGACCUGAGAUGAGCCUCGGUCAUGUCUACAUAGUUCUCGAACCCGUAGGGUCCGCGCGCUUAACGUGCGAUGACAAUCGGUAUUAUGAGUUUAUGUGUUUUGAUGUACCGAAGGUAUUUCGGAGUCCCGGAUGAGAUCGGGGACAUGACGAGGAGUCUCGAAAUGGUCGAGAUGUAAAGAUCGAUAUAUUGGACGACUAUAUUCGGACAUCGGAAAGGUUCCGAGUGAUUCGGGUAUUUAUCGGAGUACCGGAGAGUUACGGGAAUUCGCCGGGAAGAAGUUAUGGGCCUUAUGGGCCAUAAGAAGGAAGCACACCAGCCCACAAGGGGCUGGUGCGCCCCCCUUUGGGUAGGAGGCCGAAUUGGAAUAGGUUUGGGGGGGGGCAGUCCCCCUUUCCUUCUCUCCUAUUCCUCCUUCCCUUCCUCUCCUACUCCAACUAGGGAAAGGGGGAAUCCUACUCCCGGUGGGAGUAGGACUCCCCUAGGGCGCGCCAUAGAGAGGGCCGGCCCCUCCCCUCCUGCACUCCUUUAUAUACGUGGCCAAGGGGCACCCCAUAGACACAACAAUUGAUCUGUUGAUCUCUUAGCCGUGUGCGGUGCCCCCCUCCACCAUAAUCCACCUCGAUAAUACCAUAGCGGUGCUUAGGCGAAGCCCUGCAUCGGUAGCAUCAUCAUCACCGUCAUCAUGACGUCGUGCUGACGAAACUCUCCAGCGAAGCUCUACUAGAUCGUGAGCUCGCGGGACGUCAUCGAGUUGAACGUGUGCUGAACUCGGAGGUGCCGUACGUUCGGUACUUGGAUCGGUCGGAUCGUGAAGACGUUCGACUACAUCAACCGCGUUGUUCUAGUGCUUCCGCUUUUGGUCUACGAGGGUACAUGGACACACUCUCCCCUCUCGUUGCUAUGCAUCACCAUGAUCUUGCGUGUGCGUAGGAUUUUUUUGAAAUUACUACGUUCCCCAAAAAUUACACUGUGGUGUUCCAGGUGGCGUGAGUUGUGAAACAAUUCCGCAUUGUUUUAAAUGAAGGCCCAACCCGUAACUCAACUAUUUGCCUCCGCGAUCAGAUUGUAGAAACUUUAUUUUCUUGUUACGAUGAUUCUCCACUUCAGUCUGAAAUUCUUUGAACUUUUCAAAUGUCUCAGACUUGUCUUUCAUCAAGUAGAUAUAUCCAUACCUACUUAAAUCAUCUGUGAAGGUUAAAAAAUAACGAUACCCGCUGUGUGCUUCAACAAUCAUCGGACCACAUACAUCAGUAUGUGAUAACCCACAAGUAUAAGGGAUCGCAACAGUUUUCGAGGGUAGAGUAUUCAACCCAAAUUUAUUCAUUCGACACAAGGGGAGCCAAAGAAUAUUUGCAAGUAUUAGUUGCUAAGUUGUCAAUUCAACCACACCCGAAGAUUAAUUAUCUGUAGCAAAGUGAUCAGUAGCGUAAUAUGAUAAUUUUGAUAGUAGUAGCAAUAGCAAUAGUAACAGUAACAGUGAUAGCAAUGAUUUUGUAGCAAGUGUAACGGUAACAGCAGCAGUAGCAACUUUGCAAGAACAAUAUAUGUAACACCCACGAUGCGGCUAUAUCUCCCAGGUGUCGAGGCACGACUUAGAGGCAUAACCGCAUUGUAGGUUUUGUCGCAAGAAGGGUCAUCUUCACACAAUCCCAUGUAAUGAACAAGAAUGGGAUAAAGAAUUGGCUUACAAUCGCCACUUCACACAAUACAUAAAUUAAACAUACAUCAACCAAAGUACAUACAUAGUCCGACUACGGACAAAUUCAAAUGAAAAAGAAGACAACCCCAAAUGCUAGAUCCCCGAUCGUCCCAACUGGGCACCACUACUGAUCAUCAGGAAACGAUACAUAGUAACGACCAAGUUCCUCAUCGAACUCCCACUUGAGCUCGGUUGCGUCACCUGCAAUGGCAUCGUCGACACCUGCAACUGUUUUGGCAGAAUCUGUGAGUCACGGAGACUCAGCAAUCUCACACCCGCGAGAUCAAGACUAUUUAAGCUUAUGGGUAGGAUAGGGUAAUGAGGUGGAGCUGCAGCAAGCACUAAGCAUUUAUGGUGGCUAACAUACGCAAAUGAGAGCGAGAAGAGAAGCAGCGCACGGUCGCGAAGCUAGAAGUGACCAACAAGUGAUCCUGAAGCUACUUACGUUCAAGCAUAACACAAGACCAUGUUCUCUUCCCGGACUCCGCCGAAAAGAGACCAUCACGGCUACACACUCGGUUGGUGCAUUUUAAUUAAGUCAUGUGUCAAGUUCUCUACAACCGGACAUUAACAAAUUCUCAUCUGCCACAUAACCGCGGGCACGGCUUUCGAAAGUUUAUACCCUGCAGGGGUGUCCCAACUUAGCCCAUCAUAAGCUCUCACGGUCAACGAAGGAUAUUCCUUCUCCCGUGAAGACCCGAUCAGUCUCGGAAUCUCGGUUACAAGACAUUUCGUCAAGUUAAAACAAGACCAGGAAAGCUGCCCGAACGUGCCGACAAAUCCCGAUAGGAGCUGCACAUAUCUCGUUCCCAGGGCACAUCCGGAUGAGACAUCCUACGAGUAAAACCAAUCCUCAAGUUUCCCCGAGGUGGCCCCGCAGUCUACUCGGUUCGGACCAGCACUCAGAGGAACACUGGCCCGGGGGGGGGGGGGUUAAAUAAAGAUGACCCCCGGGCUCGCGAAAACCCAAGGGAAAGGUAUAGGUGGUAGGCAAAUGUAAAACCAAGGUUGGGCCUUGCUGGAGGAGUUUUAUUCAAGACGAACUGUCGAGGGGGUCCCAUAAAUCACCCAACCGUGUAAGGGACGCAAUAUCAAGGAACAUAACACCGGUAUGACGGAAACUAGGGCGGCAAGAGUGGAACAAAACACCAGGCAUAAGGCCGAGCCUUCCACCCUUUACCAAGUAUAUAGAUGCAUUAAUUAAAUAAGAGGUAAUUGUGAUAUCCCAAAAUAAUAUCUAUGUUCCAACAUGGAACCAACUUCAACUUCACCUGCAACUAGCAACGCUAUAAGAGGGGCUGAGCAAAAGCGGUAACAUAGCCAAACAACGGUUUGCUAGGAAGGGUGACAAAGGUUAGAGGUUCAUGGCAAUUUGGGAGGCAUGAUAAGGCAAGUGGUAGGUAGCGCGGCAUAGCAAUAGAGCGAACAACUAGCAAGCAAAGAUAGAAGUGAUUUCGAGGGUAUGGUCAUCUUGCCUGCAAAGUUCUCAGCGUUGUCGAAAGCUUGAUCCUCGACAGCGUUCUCAACAGGUUCCUCAUUCACGAACUCGCCUCCCGGCUCUACCUAAAGCAAGAACACAAGCAAUGGAACAACAAUCAAAACGGUGCAAUGCUCAAGCAACAUGAUGCAAAACAUGGCAUGAUAUGCGAGAUGUGAUAUGCAAUGCAUAUGCGUGUCCCGGAAGGAAAAAUGAUGAACAAGGCAUCAACUUGGCAAACCAAGUAUGCCGCUGGAAAGAUGAGAUGAUUUCGGUUGAAAUCGAUAUAAAGAUCACCGAAUUCGGAUGCACGGUUUGCAAAUGACAAGCAAAACAAGAAUUGACACAAAUCUGCGAUUAACAGCAUGAUGCCAUCUAGAAUGCAACAUGAAACUAAGCUACUGCACUCCAACAUAACAACAAAGCAUAUGGUAGUGAUGUACGGAAGAUGCUUGACAAAACAUGAACAAUGAGCUACGGCUAAAUCACACCAGAACAUGUUCAAACAAGCAUGGCAAAAGUGCAAAAGAUAUCAGCUUCACAGAUUUAUUGAAAAUACUCACAUCAGGAAUUAACAUCAGGAAGCCAUAUUUAGAGCACGAAAACAACAUGCUACAGGAACAUAUAAUAGCAAAAAAAGGCAUGAAAUGAAUCUACUAAAUUCAUAGAACAAAAGUCCUUUAGGGAUCAUGAGCCAAAAAGGAAAAGAAGAUAUAAUGGCACCCAUGUAAACAUAGCAAGUUUCGUUACAGAUUCAGAAUUAGAGAGCAUGGCAUAAACAGCAUCAUGAAGGUAACUUUGUGAGCUCAAAACACUCAUCACAAAGCCUUGCAUGACAAUACAAGUAUACUACCAGCAAUAUGACAUGUUUAUGUAGAUAAUCAUAGCAAGAGAAAAUUCAUAACAUGCAUGUAUCACUAGCAACAACCAUGGCAAAAUUGAAUAACAUGUAAACAAUCUGCCAGGAACAUUUUAUAGCAAAAGUAGAGCAAGAUUAAGACAUGAUAGAGCACUCUAUAAUUGCAACCAGACGCAUAACUCGAUAGAGCAUAACCAUAUCUACAAAACACUCUUACUGAACUACCUCUAAAUAUGCAUGGAUCUCACUGUAGCAACAAGUUUACAUGGCAUAAAAAUAACAACAGAACAGUCCCUGAAAUCAGCAACAUCAUGUAGCCCACUUUGCAAGCUUGAUGCACUCACUACAGAGCAUAUAAAAAUAAAAGGCUUGCACCACUGUAGAGAUGACAUGGAGAUGAACAAAACACAUGUAGACAUCAUGCUCAUUGGAUGCACACACAAAAUGCAACAAAAAUGACAAAUCACCAAGUUAUGUAAACAGACAGCAGUUAACAUCAUAUAGCACUCUUGCAACGAUGAUUUGGGCAUCAAGAUAUACUCAAACGAGCAUCGCACAAUGGAACAAGAUAAAGAGCAUCUCAUGAUGAACAUUUUGAGAUAUCAUACGCACGAAACAGAGCUACGGAUGCAGAGUUAUGAUGCAAUGAACAGGGGCACAUAAUGCAAAAUUUUCAGGACUUGGGAAAAAAAUCGGGGAAGGGAGAAGUCAACCGCGGGAUCCGAUCGGAUCUGGAUCGGGGCCGGGCUGGUCGGGCUCGGGCUCGCCGGCGCUCAGGACGGCGGGGGCGCGGGAGGUGCGGCCAGCGGCGGGGCGCGGCNNNNNNNNNNNNNNNNNNNNNNNNNNNNNNNNNNNNNNNNNNNNNNNNNNNNNNNNNNNNNNNNNNNNNNNNNNNNNNNNNNNNNNNNNNNNNNNNNNNNNNNNNNNNNNNNNNNNNNNNNNNNNNNNNNNNNNNNNNNNNNNNNNNNNNNNNNNNNNNNNNNNNNNNNNNNNNNNNNNNNNNNNNNNNNNNNNNNNNNNNNNNNNNNNNNNNNNNNNNNNNNNNNNNNNNNNNNNNNNNNNNNNNNNNNNNNNNNNNNNNNNNNNNNNNNNNNNNNNNNNNNNNNNNNNNNNNNNNNNNNNNNNNNNNNNNNNNNNNNNNNNNNNNNNNNNNCCGCCUCGGGCUCUCCGGGCCGGCGACGGUGGGAGGCGGCGGCGGACGCGUCCGUCGCCGGGCGGACGUGUCCGGCGCGCGGAGAGGAACGGGGCUAGGGUUUGAUCUGCGCGAGAAAUUCGGAGGGUGUUGAGGAUAUAGACCUUAGAGUCACCCGCCAGGAGGGGCCGGGUUACUCGUAUGGUCGUUGCCAGAAGCCCGGAGCCAAGCUUGAAGACGAUGGGCCAGAGAUGGGCUAAGACCCGGAUACGGCUUAAGGCCCAUAGUUACAAUCAUUAUUAUGGUAGAACUUGUAGUGUAAGGCAAGUAUAGUUGAGAGUCCGAGCCGGACACUCUUAUGAGCUGGCCGGGACUCUGAGGGCUGCUGGGCGUCAGCCUCCCUAUAUAAAGGGACGACCCGGCAGCGGUUUGAGGGCGACAACAAUCUCAUCGAGAGCCGGGCAUAGCUGUUUAGCUCCCUGGUGAUCGUAACCCUAAUCAAUAUCACCUCAAACUGGACGUAGGCUUUUACCUUCAUCGUAAGGGGCCGAACCAGUACAAAUCCCCGUGUUCCUUGUCCCGCAUAACCCCUUCAAGCUUCCUAGCUGCGAUGGCUCCACGACUAAGUCCUAGCUCGAGGACAUCUGCCGUGACAAUUCCACGACAGUUGGCGCCCACCGUGGGGCCAGCGCACGGUGGAUUUGAGUUCUUGAAGGGCAGCUUCGAAGGGCUCAAGGGAUACGCUGUGGGCCGGAUGACCAAGAGUCGUCGCGGCAAGCUCUACAUCGAAGAUGCAAACUGGGGCCCCGACGCCGGCUCAAUUGAGUACGGGUACCGGGUCCCCUUCGGUGGAAUUCACGUUUUCAUCGGCAAGAUUGGUGAGCCGAGCCCUGAGCUGGGUCUCUGCGCUGAUCUCAUCGAGACGGCUCAGCUUGCGCGACCCGCCCGGGCCCGGCCUGCCUUAAGGCAUGCUUUUGUGGGGUGUAUCCAUGGAGGACUCUCCGAUCGAUCUAGAUCUGGUGAUGAGACGGCCGCCGGCUCUGACGGCGAGUCGGCCACCGAUGAGUCAAACUCGUUGUACCAACUUCAAGAUGGCAGGCUCAUGGGUUGUUCCGAUGGUGACAGUAUUCCGGACCUAUUUGAGCCGCCAAGUCAGGUUGGAGUUUUUAUGGCUGGUGCGCAGCCUGUUCAGAACCCCGCUGCUGGAGCGGGAAACCCGGUGCCUUCUCCGGCUCAGGUGCUAAUGGAUCUCAUGGACAAGAUGACGGCCCUGUUAACCACCAUGAUUGACCCGGCGGAUCAAGCUCGGCACGAUGCGGAGGUGGCACAGUUAAAAUUGGAUCUAGUGAAGGCUAAAGAGGAUCUUGCAGCGGAAGGGAUCAGGCUGGCUGCGGAGAGGGCGGCUCUCGAUGCCCAAACUCAGCUGAUCCAGGCACAAUCCUUCCAACUCAUGAUGGAUCAAAACGCGGCCAAUGAGGUCCUGAGAAGGAGGCAUCAAAAGGCCCAAUCUCGACUCCCUCCGGUUUACGAUCCACACAACCUCUUCAACACGCCAGGUGCAGGGUCUAGUAACCCGCCGGGGGUCAUAGCGCCCGGGUCUGGACCCCUUAUUCAGCCACGAGUGAUGGGGCCUCCCCAGGUGCCCCCUGCCCCGCCUCAGUAUGUGCCAAUACCCCCGGGUCAUUAUAAUAACCCGCUGGAGAACAUGGUCGCUGCGGCAGCACGGCUGGCGGCUCUACCAGUUGACGGCGACUCUCCGACGGCUAUUGAGACCCGCCGGGUCAGGGAACUCCUUCAGACAGCACUGGCGCAGCAAGAGGCAUACUCCUACAGCCGGGACAGGAUCCACUCGACCCCUCGUCCAGGCCAGAGCCCGAGUUACAGCCGGCACAUGGUCUCAGCAACCGGCUCAAGUAACGUCCGACGCCAUGACCCACCCCCUGGCCAUGGCCCGGCUCAUAAUGGAGCCUUUUACGCAGCAGACCAAGCGCGGCAAGAGGCGGAGCAAGUACCUCAGUUGACGGCUUACCAGACCCCCCCGGCUUAUCCGACGACUUCCGUUGAUGUGGGUAUCCCUACCAGGACCGGGGGUGUCCCUUGUUUGGUGCCAGCUAUCCGUAAUGAACGUCUGCCUAAGGACUUCAAGGGCCCUAGGAAGGUGCCUAACUACACAGCUGACUUACAACCCGCAGCCUGGAUCGAGAGUUAUGAGAUGGCUAUGGAACUGCUGGAGGUCAGUGAGGCGGCCAUGGCCAAGUAUUUCACCAUGAUGUUAGAUGGGACUGCCCGCACUUGGUUGAAAGGGCUACCACCGAAUUCCAUUAGGUCUUGGGCUGAGCUGAAAGCCCGGUUCAUCCAAAACUUCAAAGAUACCUGUAGGCAGUCUAUGUCAAUUGUGGAUUUGACUAACUGCAAGCAGCAGGAGGGUGAGUCCACGACACAUUGGGUUCGCCGGGUUAAGGAGAUCAUACACUCGUCAGACAAGAUGGAUGCCGGCUCAGCGGUUUUAAUGCUGGAGCAAAAUUGUCGUUUUGUGCCCCUGAAGAUGAAACUCGGGCGGCUUAAGCGCGACUGCAGUGAUAUGGGUACACUAAUGGCAGCUCUUGUCAAGUACGCCGAUUCUGAUGGUACCAAGGAUCCCCCUUCAGAUGAUGAAAGGACAGGGAAGGGAAAGAAGAACGGCAAUGGCAAGGGUCCUCAGUUUAACCCGGGGAGCCAAGGAGGAGGCAAGCGCAAGGCAGAUGGCAGCCUAGAAUUUGUGGCCAACACCAGCGCACAAGGCAACAACCAGCGACGCAAGGGGAGGCCCCCUCCCCGAGGCAGCGGGUCAGGACCUUCACUGGAGCAGCUGUUGAAUGAGCCUUGUCCGAGGCACGGCUCUAGAGAGAAGCCAGCGACUCAUCUGUGGAAGGAUUGUGCAAUCAUGAAGGCCUUUAAAAACUACAAUGGCCCGGGCGGCGGCUCAGGUGCCGGCGGCUCAGGCGCCGGCGGUUUUCAUGGCCCGGGGGGCGGCUCAAAUUCUGGUCCUCAGAACGGUCAAGGGGGCUUUAAUCAACAGUCUGGCCAGGGUUAUCAACAGCACCAGGGGGGUUAUCAGACCAAUCCAAAGCAGCUCAGCGGUGGACAGUAUCAUGUGUUUACCACUAGUUUGUGCAAGCGGGAUCAGAAGCUUCACAAGAGGGCUGUGAAUGCUGUUGAGCCGGCAGUCCCACGCUACUUACGGUGGUCUGAGCAGCCUAUAGUGUGGAGUAGGGAGGAUCACCCUCCCCGGGUGGAUAACCCAGGCCACUUGGCCUUAGUGGUGGCUCCUCAAGUGGGAGGAUAUAAGUUCACAAAGGUGCUCAUGGAUGGAGGCAGCAGCAUCAACAUCCUCUAUUAUGAGACUUUUCGCCGUAUGGGGUUGGUGGAUAAGAACCUCAGCCAGUCAAACACUAUCUUCCAUGGUGUGGUACCUGGUAAGUCGGCUUAUCCAGUCGGCAAGAUCGAAUUGGAAGUGGCUUUUGGUGAUGAGAACAACUACAGGAUGGAGAAAUUGACCUUUGAGGUGGUCAAGAUAAGAAGUCCAUACCAUGCUAUAUUUGGACGGCCGGCUUACGCCAAGUUCAUGGCACGGCCAUGUUAUGUGUACUUACAGCUCAAGAUGCCGGGUCACAAUGGGACCAUUACGGUUCACGGCAGCCGGAAGGUGGCUCUGGAGUUUGAGGAAGGCGAUGCGGCUUAUGCAGAGUCUGUUUGUGCUACAGAAGAGUUGAAGUUUUAUAAGGACAAUGUUGACCCAACAGAUAUGAACUCUCUGAAAAAGCCGACCACGGAGAAUGAGCCGGCGAUGAAAUUUAAGUCGGCUGAUGAAACUAAGCUUGUUGAUUUUGUUCCAGGAGAUUCAUCUCAGCAGUUUAGCAUCAGUGCCAAUCUGGAUCCAAAAUAGGAAAGCACGCUCAUCGAGUUCAUCCGUGAGAAUAGGGACAUCUUCGCAUGGAAACCUUCUGACAUGCCAGGUGUACCUAGAGAACUCGCUGAGCAUACUCUCAAUGUUGAUCCGAAAUUUAAGCCGGUCAGACAGUUCCUUCGGCGGUUUAAUGAAGAGAGGCGGAAAGCUAUUGGUGAAGAGGUGGCCCGGCUCUUGGCGGCCGGGUUUAUUGUUGAAGUCUUUCACCCAGAGUGGUUGGCUAACCCGGUGCUCGUACUCAAGAAGAACGGCACCUGGCGGAUGUGUGUGGACUACACGGACUUGAACAAGGCGUGUCCGGCUGAUCCUUUUGCCCUCCCCCGUAUUGAUCAAAUUAUUGAUGCUACGGCAGGUUGUGCACGUUUAAGUUUCUUGGAUGCUUAUUCCGGUUAUCAUCAGAUUAAGAUGGCAGUUAAGGACCAGGAGAAGACGGCGUUCAUCACUCCCUUUGGAGCCUUCUGCUAUGUGUCUAUGCCCUUCGGACUCAAGUGUGCACAGGCGACUUACCAGCAUUGUGUACAGAACUGUCUUCAUAAACAGAUUGGGCGUAAUGUUCACGCUUACGUGGACGAUAUUGUGGUUAAAUCCAUAAAAGAGGAGACCCUGAUAGAUGAUUUAAGAGAAACCUUUGAUAAUCUCCGGGUCUAUAAGAUGAUGCUUAACCCGACCAAGUGUGUUUUUGGUGUUCCUGCAGGCAAACUCUUGGGCUUCUUGGUUUCUGACAGAGGCAUUGAGGCUAACCCGGAGAAGAUCAAGGCCAUCACCUCCCUGGCUAAGCCGGCAUGUAUAAAUGACGUUCAGCGCCUGGCGGGUCGCAUCGCUGCUUUAAGCCGGUUUAUAAGCCGUUUGGGUGAGAAGGCCAUGCCCCUAUAUCAGUUGAUGAAGAAAACUGAUAACUUCGUCUGGAAUGAUGCAGCUAAUACUGCUUUUUAGGAUUUGAAGAAGCAGCUGGCAGAGCCCCCAGUCCUCGCUGCUCCGGUUGACAAGGAGCCCUUACUACUGUACGUGGCGGCAAACGCACGAGCCGUCAGUGUGGCUAUUGUGGUGGAGCGCAAGGAGGAGGGUAAGGAGCAUCCGGUUGAGCGGCCGGUUUAUUAUGUCAGCGAAGUACUCAUUGAGUCCAAGCAGCGGUACCCGCAUUGGCAGAAGCUGGUGUAUGGUGUGUUCAUGGCGAGCCGGAAACUUAAGCAUUAUUUCCAGGGUCAUCCCAUCACUGUGGUCAGUUCUGCCCCUCUUGGUGAUAUCAUUCAAAACAGAGAGGCCACAGGGAGAAUUGCUAAGUGGGCUAUAGAACUUGGACCUCAUGGUCUCAAAUAUGUGCCACGCACUACUGUUAAGUCUCAGACCUUGGUGGAUUUCAUCAAUGAUUGGACAGAGUCACAAGUGCCCGAGCAAAAGCCGGAUAACACAUAUUGGACUAUUCACUUCGAUGGGUCCAGGCAGUUGGAGGGCUCGGGGGCUGGCAUUGUAUUCGCUUCCCCUAAGGGUGACAAGUUCCAUUAUGUGCUACAGUUGAUGUUUCCUUGCACUAACAAUGCGGCUGAGUACGAGGCCUUGCUCCACGGUCUUCGGAUGGCUAAGGAUAUGAGCUUAAGCCGGGUAAGGUGCUUUGGUGACUCAGACUUGGUGGCUCAACAAGUAUCAGGCAAGUGGGAUUCUAAGGAUCCUCUCAUGGCGGCUUAUCGCCGCGAGGUUGAUGCCAUUGCUGGGCACUUUCAGGGCUACCAAGUGGAGCACAUUGAUCGCAGGAAGAACGAAGCGGCUGAUGCCCUAAGCCGGCUAGGCUCUCAGCGAAAGCCGGUGCCGCCUAACACUUUCCUGGACGUCCUGUAUAACCCUUCGGUUCAGUUGCCUACAGAGGAAGACUUGGCUGUCCCUGACCCGGAGGCACGAUUGGUAGCGGCUCUUCAUGUCAUACCAGACUGGACAAUGCCAUAUCUGGCUUAUAUAACCCGGGGAGAAUUGCCUGAGGAUGAAACUCUGGCCAGGCAAAUAACCCGGCGGGCUAAGUCAAUGAUCGUUAUCGAUGGCAAGUUGCAUCAUCGCAGUGUUACAGGAGCAUUUCAGCGUUGUGUCUCCCCUGAGGAGGUCAAGAGAUCUUGCGUGAGAUCCAUGAAGGGGAUUGUGGCCAUCAUGCCGGCUCAAAGUCCCUUGUGGCCAAGGCUUUCCGUCAUGGUUUUUAUUGGCUGACGGCUCAUGCUGAUGCAGAGGACUUGGUCAGCAAAUGUGAUGGUUGCCAGAGGUUUUCACGACGGGCUCAUGUGCCGGCUCAGGAGCUGAGGAUGAUCCCAAUCACUUGGCCCUUUGCGGUCUGGGGGCUUGAUAUGGUGGGGCCUUUUAAACGGUCCAAGGAUAAGAAGACCCACCUCUUGGUGGCAGUUGACAAAUUCACAAAGUGGGUAGAAGCUGAGCCAGUUAGCAAGUGCGAUGCAGCCACAGCGGUUCAAUUUAUGAAAAAGGUGAUUUUCCGCUUUGGUUUUCCGCACAACAUUAUAACUGACAAUGGCACCAAUCUUUCCAAGGGCGCCAUGGAAGAGUUUUGUCAACGAGAGCAUAUCCGACUUGAUGUUUCUUCAGUGGCUCAUCCUCAAUCCAAUGGUCAAGCUGAGAGAGCUAAUCAGGAGAUUCUGAAGGGCAUCAAGCCCCGGCUUUUGGUCCCUUUGCAACGGACGCCGGGUUGUUGGGUGGAGGAAUUGCCCUCCGUCUUAUGGAGUAUCAACACUACUCCUAACAGGUCUACAGGCUUCACGCCUUUCUUCAUGGUUUAUGGAGCAGAAGCAGUCCUCCCCAGCGACAUCCGUCACGACUCACCUCGCGUGGCGGCUUAUGUUGAGACGGAUAAUGAACAGGCGCGCCAAGAUGCUCUUGACUUGUUGGAUGAGCAGCGUGAUGUGGCAGCAACCCGGUCAGCGAUUUACCAACAAGACCUGCGCCGUUAUCAUAGCCGCCGGGUCAAAUCCCGGGUCUUCCAGGAAGGCGACCUUGUGCUCCGGCUCAUCCAGGAUCAAACAGAUGCACACAAGUUAUCCCCACCUUGGGAAGGGCCCUUUGUGGUCAGCAAGAACUUGCACACCGGGUCAUAUUACCUCAUUGACAUUCGGGAGCACAAAGAUUCACGCAAGUCUGAGGAAGAGACCCGUCGGCCGUGGAACAUAGCUCAGCUUCGGCCUUACUACACUUGAGCCACCGGCUCUCGUGGUGUACAUAUUUCUCUCAGCCAUGUAUAUAUUAUGAUAAGCAAUAAAGCAGGACCUCUGUCCUUUUUUCUCCUCCAAAUAUGCAUGUGUUGUUUACAUAAUGACUUAAAGGAGGAUCCGGCUUAUGAUCGUAUUCGAAUCUAGCCGUAAGCGGUAAAGUCACUUGGGGGCUUCCUGUUCAAACAUGGGUCGUAUUCGAACCAAAGAGAACAUAGCUGUCGAUACCCAUUUGAUUGGCAAAGUGCCGAGCUCAUUGGAAGGUUACCUUUGGUCAUAUUUGAAUCAUAGUUUAACCCCUCUGAGAACCGACGUGGAUCGUAUUCGAAUCAGCGUCGUUAAACAAUUUUGAAAAUCACUUGGGGGCUUCCUGUUCAAACAUGGGUCGUAUUCGAACCAAAGAGAACAUAGCUGUCGGUACCCUCUUGAUUGGCAUCGCCACACCCACUGGGGGCUAUAUGAUCGUGUCUGAAUCUUGGCUUAACCCCUUUGGGCCGGGUCUCUGGUCGUAUUCGAACCGGAAGCCCCUAAGUUCUUCUGCUUUAUCACAAGUUUACUCUGAUUAUGACAAGGUGUGCAUGGCCGGGUCUCACUUUGCCGGCUUAAUUUUGGUUUACAGUGUUAGUUGAACAUCAUGGGUGUCAUCAAGGCAGGUAAAUCGGAGUUAAGGUACCAACCGUGCUACCCGAGUUAUUUAAACCGGAAGUAUGCUUACAGGCCGUUAAGUGUGUUAUUACGGCUAUGUUAAGGGUAUAAUUAAGGACCAGUCUUUUUUGAUUCAUAUUCCGGGUUAUCUAUCUCAAACACCUGAUUCUCAGGGCGGUAAGCCGCCUCGAGACUUGUGAUUUGCCUUUCUAUGCAGGAUACUUAAAGGUACCUCUUUGAGGUUGAGAAAAACGAAGGGAUGAUUAUGACCCGGAGAAACAUCAAAGAGACAAUUUCAAAGGACUUUCGCAUUCAAUACGUGCACGAUGGCACGGCAGAGAUGAACUGUUGCACCUACUCUAUUACAAAAACUCUUCAAGUCUAAAAGGUGGAACAUUGUUUGAUAAACCGCCAGCCAAAUUAUGAUGCCCGCUGGGUUGAAGUCCCCGGCUCAUUCCUAUCUUCUCCUCCGGCUGAUCCCAAGACCUCGAAGGUUGAUGACUUCCAGUCAAUGCCGCUGAGAGCUUCGAAUUGGGCUUCUUCGUCAAUUAACCCGGCCGGGUCAAUCUCCGGGGCGAAGGUGUGCUGACGAGCCGGCGGGAUCAGGUUGAGGGCUUCAUAGCGAGGGGUUGGAAUCCUCUGAUUCUCCGCGUCAUAACCCGGCUGGUACUUGGUCAGGUCUGUGUCGUUCCCGAUGAGGGUGGCCACCGGGCGUACAGCCUUCACACACGCCGCGAAGUCCUUCUGAUCGAAAGCUGAGCCGUCUUCCUUCAGGCUUGGAUAGCCAAGGGCGAUGUCCGUCGGGUCUAACUCCGGCAGGAAUGCCUUGGCCCGGCUCAGCGCGGCGAUCGCUCCGGCUCUCGCGGAGGCCCGUCGCAGCUCUUGGAUCCGCUGAGGCAGAACGGCGAGCCGGCGCAGGACUUCGGCCAGAUGAGUUGGCACCUCGUUGGAUAGGGCCACCACAGCUAAGGCACGCUGUGACCCGGUGUAGAGCUGCUCCACCAGGGUAUACACGGCCUUUAGCUUGGUGACCACGCUCUGGUUAAGGUUGGUACUUCUGGGGCCUGUUUAACAGAAUCAGGUAAAUCGGCGGUAAGGAUGAGUCACGACAUUUAAACAUUCUAAACAUUGGUGAAAGCCGGUGAGGCGACUUACCGAAGAUGGCAGCCACCAUUUGGGAAACCUGGCGCUUUAGGCCGGAGAGCUCGGCGGUCUUCUCAGAGAGAGCCUUCUCCGCCUGUUCCGCCCGGGUCACCAGGGCGGCCUUUUCUUCGACCCAGGCUUUUCUCUCAGCAUCAAACUCGGUCUUCAAUUUUUCUUGAGUGGCGAUGCUGGAUACAAACUUGGCGUUUGCCUUCCGGGUCUCCAUCUCCUGCAUCUUCAGCCGGCUCUUGAGAUCCGCAAGGUCCGCCUCUAGCUUCUUGCCCACAGCCUGUAUAAAUUUCCGGGUUAUGACAUGAGCAGUUACUAUAUAAGUCCCAAGCGCUUUCCAAGCAAAGACACUUGGCACUUGGGGGCUAAUGCAUAUUGAACGUAUCUAUCUACAUACUGCCGGCUCAAUUGAGUAAGCCGGAACCUAAGUCUACAACAUAUUCAAUCAUAAGUCGUCGACUUGGGGGCUAGCAUGGCAAAGGUAACUAUGCAGUAAGUAAGAAGACAGCAGAAGGAUACCUCAGAUUUUUGUUGGAUCUGGUUUACCAUGGCGACCUCCGCGUCCCGGCUCUUGUGCACCUGGCUGAUGUAGCCAGAGACGAGCUCCCCAAUGCUCAAGUUGGUGUAGUCGGAGAGGUCCAGGUUCACCCGGUGGGGCUGCAGCAGCUCCCCCUUCGCGGAGCAUUUGGCCAGCACGGUCGGUCUCCCCGGCUCAACGAACUCCGUCCAGGUGAUUACCACGUCCGGGUCGUCUGCUGGUGGAGCUGAGCCGGAGGCCUCCGGGUUAACCGAAGUUUCGGUCGUUGCCUUGGUAGUUGGGGCAGUGGCUUCAGGUGCCGUGUCCAUCGGAGUGGUGGCUUCAGGGGCGGAGGCAGCUGGCGGCUCUUGAGCCGUCACCUCCGGUUCAGGUACGUCCGGCACUCCGGCUGACCUGGUCUUCUUCGCUCUUUUGGUGAGCUUUGCCUGGGCGCUGGAAGGACAGAAACAUUCAGCACAAAGAGGGUAAGUAUAGACAAGUAUAAUGUGAGAUGGUUGUCAUUACCCGGGCGCGGUCUUGAAAGUCGGAAGACUCGACUGCAUAGAGUCGCCCGAAGAAGGGGAGGUCUCCUGAUAAUUGGAGUCAGAAGAAUUGAGUGGCUGACGGAUAACACCCGCCAACGGAUGAAAAGGGUACAGGUGAGAAAAAACCUCAGUUCGACGCUUCCUUGUUGCGUCGGGUAACCCGACGGAAAGAUCGGUGUCCUUGUUGGUCCGGGUGUGACGCCGGCUUUCAUGAACCUGUCGCUUCAAAAUAAAUUGAGGGUCUUGGUGAGCUAAAGGAUGUGAAAAGCUUACUUUCCGGGUUACCCUUCGGACUUUCAGCUGUGGCAAGGGCUCCGAGUCGGAGGAAAGUGACAUUACCUCUUCAACCACCGGGUAACUGGCGCCGGUGUCAUCCUGUCAAUAAGCAAGUGGUGAUAAGGAAAACAGCAACAAAUAACAAGUACAACAAGAAUUUAAAGGCUUGGGGGUUACCUCUGACUCGGAGCUGUCGCUUAAUUGCAUCAGCUCCGAAGUAGUAGGCCUGCUUCCCUUUUUGCGAGGGGCGGCUUUCUUGGCGGCUUUCUUUGCCUUCCUGGCUUUCUUGGCCGCCUCAUGGUCAUAUUUGACCCGCCAGAACUUAUCAUCAGCCUGAAAAAAUACAAUGAGGCAAUCUCAAAAUGGUUCAGAUGCAGGUUAUAUGCAGAAGGAGAUAAAACAUUAAAGUCAGCGGCUUACCGCUGGGGCUGGAUUGGUCUUGCAGAAGGGGGCUAACCCGGUCCUUCCGCAGUCUGCCAGGCUCUCGUUUAAAAGAGCCUUGGUCUCCUCCUCUGCAACGUCUUCUGGAAGAUCAUUGCGACUGUGCCUCUGAGGGUCAUCCUUUCGCCCGGUGUACUCACACAUUAAGCCGGGGCGGCGGCUCAAUGGGAUCACAUGCCAUGAGAUCCAGACCCGGACCAGGUCGAUUCCGUUCAGACCGUUGCCCAGGAGGGCCUUGAUUUUAUUGAUAGUAGGCAGAAGAGGCUGGCGCUCCGCUGGAGUCAGCUUGUCCGACAGUGGGUGAGUCGGCUCUAGACGUGUUGGGCGAAAGCCGGGCAGUGGGUUUUCGUCAGCCGGGGACGUAUCUUGGCAGUAGAACCAAGUCAUGUUCCAGUCCUUGGGGUGGCUCGGCGGCUCUGCAUAAGGGAGCAGACAGUCCCUACGCCGCUGGAUGGAAAUGCCACCUAACUCCAGACUUGGCCCGUUGGCACACUCGUUCUGGCGGUUUAAGUAAAACAGCUCUCUGAAGAGCAGCAGACUAGGCUCUUCUCCAAGGUACACUUCGCAAAAGACUUGGAAAUUGCAGAUGUUGGAUACAGAGUUGGGUCCUAUAUCUUGAGGCCGCAAGUCGAAGAAGUUGAGCACGUCCCUAAAAAACUUUGAGCCGGGCGGUGCGAAGCCCCGGCUCAUAUGAUCUGCGAAGAUCACUACCUCCCCGUCCCUUGGCUGUGGUCUUUCUUCUGACGGGUCAGGGGCACGGUAGGACAUGACUUCUUUCUUAGGGAGAUAUCCGGACUUAACAAAAUUGGCUAGGGUCUCGUUGGUGAUGUUGGACCUCAUCCAGUUGCAAGUGAUGGGAGCCUUGGGAGGCAUGGUGAAAGUUGGCAGUCUAUGACAAAAAGGAAAAUGUCCGGGUUAAUUAUAAGCCGGAGAUCUACAGUUCAAACUAAGAUGGCGGCUUAUGAAGGGGACUAAUGAUAUAUACUCAGGUACAGUGGGUUAUUUAAGCCGCAGGGGCAUUUAGAAUAAGUUGGUUAUCUACGGCUUUACCACAGUUAAGCCGGAGGAUUCUACAAAGCAUGGUUCUCUUUAAACCGGAAAGUUUUACGGCGCGUGUUUUCUUUAAACCGGAAUUGUAAGCCGCCAAGACUCAAUGGUUGCAGUUUUUACUAAGUGUGGUAAAACAGGUUUCACAUAUGGCAGUAACUUUUUUGGAUCAAAAUGGUCGGGUGAAAUGAAAAUUUUCUAGACCUAGAAACAGCCGAGCGGAUGUUCUUGAGCUCGAAUGAAGUUUUUAUGCAGUAGAAAGAGAUCUACAGGCAUUUGAAAUGAGUCCUAAACAACUACCGCACUAGUUCUAUACAAGGCUAAAGAUCAAACAAGGGCAGCAACUACGAGAACUACUGAAGUUUGCGGACAAUGGCGAAGAACACGGACGAACUAUUUGAACCCUACCGCAGAUCUGUUCUAGCAGGGCAGAAGAGACUUACCGGAGCUGAAGAAGUGCGGGAGUCGCCGCCGUUUAUCUGGUCCGAGUCAGGGUGAUGCAGCGGCCAAGUUGACGAAGACCAGGGGCGCGACGGCGGCGGCAGUAGUAGAGCUCGGGCAGAGGAGCGAUGGCACGAGGAAGAAGAAGAGAGCGUGAGAAGAGCCCGUCGGGCCGGCCUAUUUAUAAGGCAAGGUCAUAAGUGGGCGCGAGAUUCAAGGAGACCACGGCGUGGUUAUCUCCCUCCCACGACGCCUCGAUUUUCGGAAUGACAGUAAAAGCAAAGAUCCGUUGCGGAUCUGGCGGAGUAAAAAACAGACUUAAUGGAGGAUGACGUCAUGGCGGAUUAUCCGGAGUCCGGAGGGUGACGUCACUCCGGGUUAUGGCCUUCACAUGAAUUGUAAGCCGGAGAUUUUUUCUGUCAGAAGAGUUGAAGAUUGACAUGAGCCGGCUCAAAUCAAUCUGGGGCCUAAUGUUGAGGAUAUAGACCUUAGAGUCACCCGCCAGGAGGGGCCGGGUUACUCGUAUGGUCAUUGCCAGAAGCCCGGAGCCAAGCUUGAAGACGAUGGGCCAGAGAUGGGCUAAGACCCGGAUACGGCUUAAGGCCCAUAGUUACAAUCAUUAUUAUGGUAGAACUUGUAGUGUAAGGAAAGUAUAGUUGAGAGUCCGAGCCGGACACUCUUAUGAGCCGGCCGGGACUCUGAGGGCUGCUGGGCGUCAGCCUCCCUAUAUAAAGGGACGACCCGGCAGCGGUUUGAGGGCGACAACAAUCUCAUCGAGAGCCGGGCAUAGCUGUUUAGCUCCCUGGUGAUCGUAACCCUAAUCAAUAUCACCUCAAACUGGACGUAGGCUUUUACCUUCACCGUAAGGGGCCGAACCAGUAUAAACCCCUGUGUUCCUUGUCCCGCAUAACCCCUUCAAGCUUCCUAGCUGCGAUGGCUCCACGACUAAGUCCUAGCUCGAGGACAUCUGCCGUGGCAAUUCCACGACAGAGGGAGACACAUAUUUAUAGCUAGGAGGAGCUAGGAGACUCCAAAUGAGGUGCGGUUUUCACCCACACGAUCGUGAUCGAACGAACAAGAGCAUGGAGCUGGUUUGGAUGGGUUAUUGGGCUGUUUUGGAGGGGGUUUGGGCUGCACACAAAAAAGGCCUUUGCGGUUACACGGUUAACCGUUGGAGUAUCAAACGACCUCCAAAUGGGACGAAACUUGACAGGCGGUCUACCGGUGCUGUACCAAGGCCGCAUGGCAAAUCUCGGUCCAUUCCGAGAACGUUUAACACACGCACAUGGAAAAGAGACAAAAGAGGACGCCGGAGGACAUGGGAGUGCCGGAUUGCAAUACGGACAAUGGGAAAAAUGCUCGGAUGCAUGAGACGAACACGUAUGCAAAUGCGAUGCACAUGAUGACAUGAUAUGAUAUGCAUGACAAGAACAAAAUGCAAAAAGAAGACAAAAACCCAACCACAAAGGGAAUAUCAUAACACAUAGCCGAAAAUGGCAAGAGUUGGAGUUACAAAUAGGGGAAGUUACAUCCGGGGUGUUACAAUAUAAGAGAAGUUCAUAGGCAUUGGAUCGGUGAAUUCGUUGGAUGAUACUCAUCAUAUAACAGUUAUAACCUAUGGCGAUGCGGCACUAGCUCCAGUUCAUAAAUAUAAUGUAGGCAUGUAUUCCGUCGAUUGUCAUACUAGAAAGAACUUGCAUGUCAUCUUUUGUCCUACCCUCCCAUGGCAGCGGGGUCCAGAUGGAAAGCAUUAGCACAUAGUGAAUACAUGAACUCCUCAAACUACGGUCAUCACCGGAAAGUAUGCCGACUACUGUCACUUUGGGGUUUACGGAUCAUAACAUGUAAUAGCUAACUAUAACUUGCAAGAUCGGAUUUAGAACAUAGAUAUAAUGAUGAUAACAUAACCGGUUCAAAUCUGCAAUCAUGGAACCCGGGCCCAAAGUGACAAGCAUUAAGCAUGGCAAAUUCAUAGCAACAUCAAAUUCAGAACAUAAUGGAUACUAGGGAUCAAGCCCUAACAAAACUAAAUCGGUUACAUGAUGAAUCUCAUCCAAAUCCUCACCGGCCAGCGAGCCUACGAAGGAAUUACUCACUCCCGGUGGGGAGCAUCAUGGAAUUGGCUAUGGAGAAGGGUUGGUGAUGACAAAGAUCGAAGAUCCCCCUCUCCGGAGCCCCAAACGGACUCUAGAUCUGGCCUCCCGAUGAAGAACAGGAGGUGGCGGCGGCACCGUCUCAUGAAACGCGAUAAUUCUUUCUUCCUAAUUUUUUCUCCGAAAAUAGGAUUUUAUAGAGUUGGAAUCAGGGUCUGCGGGGCCACCAAGUGAGCGCAACCCAUCUGGGCACGCCAGGAGGGGGGCGCCCUGGUGGGUUGUGCUCACCCAGGGCCCUCCCCCCUCCGGUGGUUCUUGGCUCCAAUAUUUUUCUUUUAUUCCAUAAAAAAUCUCCAAAAUUUUUUGUGCCAUUCCGAGAACUUUUAUUUCAGUGCAAAAACAACACCAUAUGGUAGUUCUGCUGAAAACAAUGUCAGUCCGGGCCAGUUUCAUUCAAAUCAUGCAAAUUAGAGUCCAAAACAAGGUGUUAGGAAAAGUAGAUACGACGGAGACGUAUCAACUCCCCCAAGCUUAAACCUUUGCUUGUCCUCAAGCAAUUCAGUUGAUAAACUGAAAGUGAAAAAGAAAAACUUUUACGAACUCUUUUGCUCUUGUUUACAUAAAUAAGCUUAAGUAGCACCCAGGUUUUCAGCAAAGAUCAUGACUAACCAUGUCAACAAUAACUCUUAAAAAUCAUAUUAACUCAUAUCAAUGACAUAAUCAACUAGCGAGCAAUAAUAAGAUACCUCAAAUGACAACACUUUGUCAAAACAACCAUGAUAUAAUAUGACAAUAGUGGUAUCUCGCUAGCCCUUUCUGAGACCACAAAACAUAAAUGGAGAGCACCUCCAAAGUUCAAGCAACGACUAAACAUUGUAAGUCAUGGUAGAAAAGAUCCAGUCAUGAUGCACCCAACAUUAUCUAUACACGAUGCAUGAGGAUGAAAAUAGUGCUCUCAGGUCUGGCGCUUAUUUGAGAAGGUGAUGACACAACAUAAAAGUAAAUAGAUAGUCCCUUCACAGAGGAAGUAGUGAUUUGCAGCGGUGCUAGAGCUCAAAAUUUUAAAACAGAGAUAAAUGAAAUUUUGAGAAAUGCACCCUUCUUGUUUACUUUGCGACCAUUAGUUAUCAGUAUCUUCCAUGCUAAACACAUUAGUGGCAGUUCCCAAGCGAUAAAAAGUAAAGGUUUACUCCCCCUCCACCAACAAGCACACUCCACGGCUGAUCUGAAUCCACUGGUACCUUCCAUACCAACAUCAGUCCUAGGGGAGUUUUGUUUAAUUAUUUGCAAUUUGAUUUCAGGACUGGGAAUCCCUAUUACCGCCCCUCUUAUGGAAGGACGAGUGAAUAAACACUCAUCAUGAGAAUAACCCGCUUAGCAUGGAAGAUAUUGACUACCUACUGUCACUCUAUGAACAAUCCAGGCAGACAAAAAGGAUGUUUAUUUGAAGUUUUUAGAGGUGGCACAUGCAAAUUUACUUGGAAUGAAAGGGUAAUACCGCAUAUAGGUAGAUAUAUGGUGGACUCGUCUGGAAUAAUUUGGGUUUCAGGAUUUUGAUGCACAAGCAGUAUUCCCGCUUAAUACAGGUGAAGGCUAGCAAAUAGAUUGAUAAGUGGCCAGCUAGAGAGCGAAAACGGUCAUGAACAUGCAUUAUGCAUAAGUAGCAUUGGAUACUAGCAUGAGUAGGAUAUGAACACCAUGAACAUAAAUAUCAUAGAGGCUAUGUUGGUUUUGAUUCAACUACAUGCAUAAACAUGUGCCAAGUCAAGCCACUCGAACAUUCGGAGGAGGAUACCGUAUCAUCAUACUACAUCAAAAUCAUUUUAAUGCAAUGUUGACAUCCAAGAUAAAUCAUUAUCCACUCCUAGCUACUUAAGCAUGGCAUGAGAAACUAUAAUAUCUAAUUGUCAUUGCAAACAUGUUUGAUCAUAAUUGGCUGAAUCAUGUAUGCUAGGUUAAACAUAUUUACAAAAAUAGAGCAAGUUGAGUUCAUACCCGUUUCUCUCUGCCACCGCCAGUUCAUCAAAUAUCGUCAUUAUUGCCUUUCACUUGCAUGACCGAAUGAUAUGAAAAUAAUAAUAGUGCAAGAAUGCCGUGGACUAAGUUGGAAUCUGCAAACAAUUUUAUUCAAAAGGAGAAAACAAGGUAAUAUGGGCUCUUCGUUAGAUCAACAAUAAUGUGUAUGAGAGCCACUCAACAUUUUCAUCGUGGUCUUCUCCUCGGUAUGACUCAAUAAAAAGAAAAAGAAAUUCAGAGAAACACACCGAAAUAUUUAUGGAGUUUCUUUAGUUUUCUUGAAGGAAGCAAAUUAACGAAAGAAAAACAAAAAAAUGAGAAAAACUAUUUGCACGGGGGAGCUCCCAACAAGCAAAAGAAGAAUCAAGAAAUCUUUUUGGGUUUUCUUUUACGACAAAGGUAAAAUCCCGCCGAUUGGCAGUUUGCAACAGAUCCGCACGAUCGCGUUGCCGUCCGAUUUGAAUCCAACGUCACAAGUUGACUGUUCUGCACGAAGCGCACGUGGCGAUAGCCGUUACAGUGUUUGGCUGUCGAUGACAAGCGGGCCCUGCCGAAACCGCCCCUCUGGCCCAAUGCCCAUGAUCUCCACUCCCCCCACUUCCCCUUCAUCCACAUUACUUCUUCCCCCCUCUCGCGCUAUGGUGUGCAUUCGAAUCUCCUCUCGCUCCUCUCUCCCUCGUCUGUGACGGUUGCUGGUGGUGGCGCGGUCCGGUUCGCGGCGGACGAUGUCUGAAUUUGCAGUGAGGGACGCAUUCCUGUUUUGCUCCUGUUUUGCUCCACCGGUAUGUUUCUGCCAUUCCGCCGUUGACUUUUGGUGCUCGGAGCCUUCGAAUCAGGCCGGUUGUUGUUCCCAUUAGGUUGGAUUAGGUUAGUUUAGGCCGGCUUCUAGUUUCUGAAUCGGUGGUGAGAAACGCAUUCCCCACCCCCUCUGUCUUCCUGUUGCUCCACCGGCAUGUUCCGACGUUGAUUUUUGGUGCUCGGACCCUUCGAAUCCGGCCGGUUGUUAUUCCCAUUAGGUUAGAUUAGGUCGCUUCUAGUUUCAGUUGAAGAUGGCUAGGAAAUUUGGUUCAAUUUGUGCGAAAUUGGUCGGCUGGUGGGUGUGGAUAGGUUUUAGUGGUGGAUAAGCAUGGUCGGUUCUGUUGGGGAACGCAGUAAUUUCAAAAAAUUACCUACGCACACGCAAGAUCCAUCUAGGUGAUGCAUGAUACGUCUCCAACGUAUCUAUAAUUUUUGAUUGCUCCAUGCUAUAUUAUGUACUGUUUUGGACUAUAUUGGGCUUUAUUUUCCACUUUUAUAUUACUUUUGGGACUAACCUAUUAACCGGAGGCCCAGCCCAGAAUUGCUGUUUUUUGCCUAUUUCAGUGUUUCGAAGAAACAAAAUAUCAAACGGAGUCCAAAUGGAAUGAAACCUUCGGGAACGCGAUUUUCUCACCGAAUAUGAUCCAGGAGACUUGGACCCCACGUCAAGAAACAAGGGAGGCGGCCACGAGGGUGGAGGGCGCCCCACCUAGGGCGCGCCCCCUGCCUCAUGGGCCCCCUGUUGCUCCACCGACAUACUCCUUCCUCCUAUAUAUAUCUACGUACCCCCAAACGAUCAGGGACGGAGCCAAAAACCUAAUUCCACCGCCGCAACCUUCUGUACCCACGAGAUCCCAUCUUGGGGCCUGUUCCGGAGCUCCGCCGGAAGGGGAAUCCACCAUGGAGGGCUUCUACAUCAUCACCAUAGCCUCUCCGAUGAAGUGUGAGUAGUUUACUUCAGACCUUCGGGUCCAUAGUUAGUAGCUAGAUGGCUUCUUCUCUCUUUUUGGAUCUCAAUACAAUGUUCUCCCCCUCUCUCGUGGAGAUCUAUUCGAUGUAAUCUUCUUUUUGCGGUGUGUUUGUUGAGACCGAUGAAUUGUGGGUUUAUGAUCAAGAUUAUCUAUGAACAAUAUUUGAAUCUUCUCUGAAUUCUUUUAUGUAUGAUUGGUUAUCUUUGCAAGUCUCUUGGAAUUAUCAGUUUGGUUUGGCCUACUAGAUUGGUUUUUCUUGCAAUGGGAGAAGUGCUUAGCUUUGGGUUCAAUCUUGCGGUGUCCUUUCCCAAUGACAGAAGGGGCAGCAAGGCACGUAUUGUAUUGUUGCCAUCGAGGAUAACAAGAUGUUUUUUUAUCAUAUUGCAUGAAUUUAUCCCUCUACAUCAUGUCAUCUUGCUUAAGGCGUUACUCUGUUUUCUUGAACUUAAUACUCUAGAUGCAUGCUGGAUAGCGGUCGAUGAGUGGAGUAAUAGUAGUAGAUGCAGGCAGGAGUCGGUCUACUUGUCUCGGACGUGAUGCCUAUAUACAUGAUCAUACCAAGAUAUUCUCAUAACUAUGCUCAGUUCUGUCAAUUGCUCAACAGUAAUUCGUUCACCCACCGUAAAAUACUUAUGCUUUUGAGAGAAGCCACUAGUGAAAUCUAUGGCCCCCGGGUCUAUUCUCCAUCAUAAUAAUCUUCCAUCACUUUAUUAUUGCUUUGCUUUUUUACUUUGCUUUUCAUUUUACUUUGCAUCUUUAUACCAAAAAUACCAAAAAUAUUAUCUAUCAUAUCUAUCAGAUCUCACUCUCGUAAGUGACCGUGAAGGGAUUGACAACCCCUAUUCGCGUUGGUUGCGAGGAGCUAUUUGUUUUGUGUAGGUACAAGGGACUCGCGCGUAGCCUCCUACUGGAUUGAUACCUUGGUUCUCAAAAACUGAGGGAAAUACUUACUCUACUCUGCUGCAUCAUCCUUUCCUCUUCGGGGAAAUCCAACACUGUGCUCAAGAGGUAGCAAGAAGAAUUUCUGGCACCGUUGCCGGGGAGUCUACGCAAAAGUCAACACACCAAGUACCCAUCACAAUCCCUUUUCUCUCGCAUUACAUUAUUUGCCAUUUGCCUCUCGUUUUCCUCUCCCCCACUUCACCCAUGCCGUUUUAUUCACCCCCUCUUUUCUAUUUGCCUUUUUCUCGCUUGCCUUUCUUUUGCUCGUGUGUUGGAUUGCUUGUUUGUCGCAAUGGCUCUACCGAGAUUUGGUGAUCUUCACCUUAAAAGGUUAGAAGAGAUAGAAAUCAACGUCAGGAGUUUUAUGGUUUUACAAUUUGAGCACAAUAAUUUCUUCAGAAACGAGCUUAAAGAACAAAAAGGUUUUAUGAGUUAUAUGAAUAAAGAGCUCGAUGAUAUGUUUAAAGAAUUUGAUGGUAUAAGAUCCCAAAUUGCUCGUCUUGAGAAGUUGCUGCUGAAAUUUCGGAUAAGCAGGCUACCUUAGUCAAUAAGAUGGCCGCUAAACCGAAUUCCUAUGAAAAUCAAGAUGAAGAUCUAAAAGUUAUUGAUGUGUCCCCUAUUAAAUCUUUGUUUUGCAAUAUGAAUUUUGAUGAGACUUAAUAUGAUCCACCUUUACCAAGAAGGCAUUCCAAAAAUUCGGAGUUUUCAGAUCUUGAUGAUGAAAUUGAUAAAAGUGGGAUUGAAGAAAUCAAAACCCUAGAUGUUGCUAAACCCACUAUUUUGGAUUUCAAGGAAUUUAAUUAUGAAAGUUGCUCUUUAAUUGAUUGUAUUUCCUUGUUGCAAUCCGUGCUAAAUUCUCCUCAUGCUUAUAGUCAAAAUAAAGCGUUUACUAAACACAUCGUUGAUGCAUUGAUGCAAUCUUAUGAAGAAAAACUUGAGUUGGAAGUUUCUAUCCCUAGAAAACUUUAUGAUGAGUGGGAACCAACUAUUAAAAUUAAGAUUAAGGAUCAUGAAUUUUAUGCUUUAUGUGAUUUGGCUGCUAGUGUCUCCACUAUUCCCAAAACCUUGUGUGAUUUGCUAGAUUUCCGCGAUUUUGAUGAUUGCUCUCUAAAUUUGCAUCUUGCGGAUUCCACUAUUAAGAAACCUAUGGGAAGAAUUAAUGAUGUUCUUAUUGUUGCAAAUAGGAAUUAUGUGCCCGUAGAUUUUAUCGUUCUUGAUAUAGAUUGCAAUCUUUCAUGUCCUAUUAUUCUUGGUAGACCUUUCCUUAGAACGGUUGGUGCAAUUAUUGAUAUGAAGGAAGGGAAUAUUAGAUUCCAAUUUCCAUUAAAGAAGGGCAUGGAACACUUCCCUAGGAAGAAAAUAAAAUUACCAUAUGAAUCUAUCAUGAGAGCCACUUAUGGAUUGCCUACCAAAGAUGGCAAUACCUACAUCUAUCCUUGCUUUUAUUCCUAGCUAGGGGCGUUAAACGAUAGCGCUUGUUGGGAGGCAACCCAAUUUUAUUUUUAGUUUUUUUGCUUUUGCUUAUGUUUAGGAAUAAAUAUUUGUUCUAGCCUCUGGAUAGAUGUGUUUUUAUGUUUUAAUUAGUGUUUGUGCCAAGUUAAACCUAUAGGAUCUUCUUGGAUGAUAGUUAUUUGAUCUCGCUGUAAUUUUCAGAAACUUUUUGUUCACGAAAACAAUUUUUAAAAAUCACCAGAACGUGAUAAAAUAGUGAUUCAUAUUUCUUCUGAUCAAUAAACAAAUUUCCUAGGUCGUCCUAUUUUGGCUGAUUUUUUGGAGUUCCAUAAAAUUGCGUUAGUUACAGAUUACUACAGACUGUUCUGUUUUUGACAGAUUAUGUUUUUCGUGUGUUGUUUGCUUAUUUUGAUGAAUCUAUGGCUAGUAAAAUAGUUUAUAAACCAUAGAGAAGUUGAAAUACAGUAGUUUUAACACCAAUAUAAAUAAAGAAUGAGUUCAUUACAGUACCUUGAAGUGGUCUUUUGUUUUCUUUCGCUAACGGAGCUCACGAGAUUUUUGUUGAGUUUUGUGUUGUGAAGUUUUCAAGUUUUGGGUGAAAUAUUUUGAUGGAUUAUGGAACAAGGAGUGGCAAGAGCCUAAGCUUGGGGAUGCCCAUGGCACUCCCAAGAUAAUCUAAGGACACCAAAAAGUCAAAGCUUGGGGAUGCCCCGGAAGGAUCCCCUCUUUCGUCUACUUCCAUCGGUAACUUUACUUGGAGCUAUAUUUUUAUUCACCACAUGAUAUGUGUUUUGCUUGGAGCGUCUUGUAUUAUUUAAGUCUUUUAUUUUUAGUUUACCACAAUCAUCAUUGCUGUACACACCUUUUGAGAGAGCCAUACAUGAUUUGAAAUUUGAUAGAAUACUCUAUGUGCUUUACAUAUAUCUUUUGAGCUAUAUAGUUUUUGCUCUAGUGCUUCAGGGUGGUGGAUUUGUUUUAUAGAAACUAUUGAUCUCUCAUGCUUCACUUAGAUUAUUUUGAGAGUCUUAAAUAGCAUGGUAAUUUGCUUAAUUUUUUUAAUAUGCUUGGUAUUCAAGAUUUGUAAAACUUUCUUUUGAGUGCGUUGAAUACUAAGAAACGUUUGAUGCUUGAUAAUUGUUUUGAGAUAUAAAGAUGGUGAUAUUAGAGUCAUGCUAGUUGAGUAGCUGUGAAUUUAAGAAAUACUUGUGUUAAAGUUUGUGAUUCCCGUAGCAUGCACGUAUGGUGAACCGUUAUGUGAUGAAGUCGGAGCAUGAUUUAUUUAUUGAUUGUCUUCCUUAUGAGUGGAGGUCGGGGACGAGCGAUGGUCUUUUCCUACCAAUCUAUCCCCCUAGGAGCAUGCGCGUAAUACUUCGCUUUGAUAACUUGUAGAUUUUUGCAAUAAGUAUAUGAGUUCUUUAUGACUAAUGUUGAGUCCAUGGAUUAUACACACUUUCUUCUUUCCACCAUUGCUAGCCUCUCUAAUACCGCGCACUUUUCGCCUGUAUCAUACACCCACCAUAUACCUUCCUCAAAACAGCCACCAUACCUACGUAUCAUGGCAUUUCCAUAGCCAUUCCGAGAUAUAUUGCCAUGCAACUUUCCACCGUUCCGAUUAUUAUGACACGCUCCAUCAUUGUCAUAUUGCUUUGCAUGAUCAUGUAGUUGACAUCGUAUUUGUGGCAAAGCCACCGUUCAUAAUUCUUUCAUACAUGUCACUAUUGAUUCAUUGCAUAUCCCGGUACACCGCCGGAGGCGUUCAUAUAGAGUCAUAUUUUGUUCUAAGUAUCGAGUUGUAAUUGUUGAGUUGUAAGAAAAUAAAGGUGUGAUGAUCAUUUUUUAGAGCAUUGUCCCAAGUGAGGAAAAGGAUGAUGGAGACUAUGAUUCCCCCAUAAGUCGGGAUGAGACUCCGGACGAAAUAUAUAUAUAUAAAAAAGAGGCCAAAAAAAAGAGAAAAGGCCCAAAUAAAAAAAAUAUUAAAAAAGAGAGAAAAGAGAGAAGGGACAACAUUACUAUCCUUUUACCACACUUGUGCUUCAAAGUAGCACCAUGAUCUUCAUGAUAGAGAGCCUCUCAUUGCGUCACUUUCAUAUACUAGUGGGAAUUUUCAUUGUAGAACUUGGCUUGUAUAUUCCAAUGAUGGGCUUCCUCAAAAUGCCCUAGGUCUUCGUGAGCAAGCGAGUUGGAUGCACACCCACUUAGUUUCUUUUGUUGAGCUUUCAUAUACUUAUAGCUCUAGUGCAUCCGUUGCAUGGCAAUCCCUACUCACUCGCAUUGAUAUCUAUUAAUGGGCAUCUCCAUAGCCCGUUGAUACGCCUAGUUGAUGUGAGACUAUCUUCCCCUCUUUUUGUCUUCUUCACAACCACCAUUCUAUUCCACAUAUAGUGUUAUAUCCAUGGCUCACGCUCAUGUAUUGCGUGAAGAUUGAAGAAGUUUUGAAAAUGUCAGAAGUAUGAAACAAUUGCUUGGCUUGUCAUCGGGGUUGUGCAUGAUUUAAAUACUUUGUGUGGUGAAGAUAGAGCAUAGCCAGAUUAUAUGAUUUUGUAGGGAUAACUUUCUUUGGCUAUGUUAUUUUGAGAAGACAUAAUUGCUUUGUUAGUAUGCUUGAAGUAUUAUUUUUUAUGUCAAUAUUAAACUUUUGUCUUAAAUCUUUCGGAUUUGAAUAUUCAUACCACGAUUAAGAAGAAUUACAUUGAAAUUAUGCCAAGUAGCACUCCGCAUCAAAAAUUCUUUUUUAUCAUUUACCUACUCGAGGACGAGCAGGAAUUAAGCUUGGGGAUGCCUGAUACGUCUCCAACGUAUCUAUAAUUUUUGAUGGCCAUGCUAUAUUAUCUACUGUUUUGGACUAUAUUGGGCUUUAUUUUUCACUUUUAUAUUACUUUUGGGACUAACCUAUUAACCGGAGGCCCAGCCCAGAAUUGCUGUUUUUUGCCUAUUUCAGUGUUUCGAAGAAACGGAAUAUCAAACGGAGUCCAAACGGAAUGAAACCUUCGGGAACGCGAUUUUCUCACCGAAUAUGAUCUAGGAGACUUGGACCCCACGUCAAGAAACAAGGGAGGCGGCCACGAGGGUGGAGGGGGCGCCCCCCUGCCUCGUGGGCCCCCUGUUGCUCCACCGACAUACUCCUUCCUCCUAUAUAUACCUACGUACCCCCAAACGAUCAGGGACGGAGCCAAAAACCUAAUUCCACCGCCGCAACCUUCUGUACCCACGAGAUCCCAUCUUGGGGCCUGUUCCGGAGCUCCGCCGGAAGGGGAAUCCACCAUGGAGGGCUUCUACAUCAUCACCAUAGCCUCUCCGAUGAAGUGUGAGUAGUUUACUUCAGACCUUCGGGUCCAUAGUUAGUAGCUAGAUGGCUUCUUCUCUCUUUUUGGAUCUCAAUACAAUGUUCUCCCCCUCUCUCGUGGAGAUCUAUUCGAUGUAAUCUUCUUUUUGUGGUGUGUUUGUUUAGACCGAUGAAUUGUGGGUUUAUGAUCAAGAUUAUCUAUGAACAAUACUUGAAUCUUCUCUGAAUUCUUUUAUGUAUGAUUGGUUAUCUUUGCAAGUCUCCUCGAAUUAUCAGUUUGGUUUGGCCUACUAGAUUGUUUUUUCUUGCAAUGUGAGAAGUGCUUAGCUUUGGGUUCAAUCUUGCGGUGUCCUUUCCCAUUGACAGAAGGGGCAACAAGGCACAUAUUGUACUGUUGCCAUCGAGGAUAACAAGAUGUUUUUUUAUCAUAUUGCAUGAAUUUAUCCCUCUACAUCAUGUCAUCUUGCUUAAGGCGUUACUCUGUUUUCUUGAACUUAAUACUCUAGAUGCAUGCUGGAUAGCGGUCGAUGCGUGGAGUAAUAGUAGUAGAUGCAGGCAGGAGUCGGUCUACUUGUCUCGGACAUGAUUCCUAUAUACAUGAUCAUACCUAGAUAUUCUCAUAACUAUGCUCAAUUCUGUCAAUUGCUCAACAGUAAUUUGUUCACCCACCGUAAAAUACUUAUGCUUUUGAGAGAAGCCACUAGUGAAAUCUAUGGCCCCCAGGUCUAUUCUCCAUCAUAAUAAUCUUCCAUCACUUUAUUAUUGCUUUGCUUUUUUUACUUUUCUUUUCAUUUUACUUUGCAUCUUUAUACCAAAAAUACCAAAAAUAUUAUCUAUCAUAUCUAUCAGAUCUCACUCUCGUAAGUGACCGUGAAGGGAUUUACAACCCCUAUUCGCGUUGGUUGCGAGGAGCUAUUUGUUUUGUGUAAGUACAAGGGACUCGCGCGUAGCCUCCUAUUGGAUUGAUACCCUUGUUCUCAAAAACUGAGGGAAAUACUUACGCUACUCUGCUGCAUCAUCCUUUCCUCUUCGGGGAAAUCCAACGCUGUGCUCAAGAGGUAGCAAUGCAUAGCAACGAGAGGGGAGUGUUGUCUACAUACCCUCCUAGACCGAAAGCAGAAGCGUUAUGACAACGCGGUUGACGUAGUCGUACGUCUUCAUGAUUCGACCGAUCCUAGUACCGAAAGUACGGCACCUCCACGAUUUGCACACGUUCAGCUCGGUGACGUCCCACGAACUCUCGAUCCAGUUGAGUGUCGAGGGAGAGCUUCGUCAGCACGAUGGUGUGAUGAUGGUGAAGAUGAAGUUAUCAGUGCAGGGCUUCACCUAAGCACUGCAACGAUUUGACCGAGAUGGAUUAUGGCCCAAUAAGGCCCAUAUACUUCUCGGGGGGUUCCGGUAACCUCCCGGUACUCCGGUAAAUGCCCGAACUCACCCGGAACCAUUCCGAUGUCCAAACAUAGUCAUCCAAUAUAUUGAUCUUUAUGUAUCGACUAUUUCGAGACUCCUCGUCAUGUCCGUGAUCAUAUCCGGGACUCUGAACUACCUUCGGUACAUCAAAACACAUAAACUCAUAAUACCGAUCGUCACCAAACGUUAAGCGUGCGGACCCUACGGGUUUGAGAACUAUGUAGACAUGACCGAGACACGUCUCCGGUCAAUAACCAAUAGCGGAACCUGGAUGUUCAUAUUGGCUCCCACAUAUUCUACGAAGAUCUUUAUUGGUCAAACCGCAUAACAACAUACGUUGUUCCCUUUGUCAUCGGUAUGUUACUUGCCCGAGAUUCGAUCGUCGGUAUCUCAAUACCUAGUUUAAUCUUGUUACUGGCAAGUCUCUUUACUCGUUCCGUAAUGCAUCAUCCCGCAACUAACUCAUUAGUCACAUUGCUUGCAAGGCUUAUAGUGAUGUGUAUUGCCGAGAGGGCCCAGAGAUACCUCUCCAACAACCGGAGUGACAAAUCCUAAUCUCGAUCUAUGCCAACUCAACAAACACCAUCAGAGACACCUGUAGAGCACCUUUAUAAUCACCUAGUUACGUUGUGACGUUUGAUAGCACACUAAGUGUUCCUCCGGUAUUCGGGAGUUGCAUAAUCUCAUAGUCAUAGGAACAUGUAUAAGUCAUGAAGAAAGCAAUAGCAACAUACUAAACGAUCAAGUGCUAAGCUAACGGAAUGGGUCAAGUCAAUCACAUCAUUCUCUAAUGAUGUGAUCCCGUUAAUCAAAUGACAACUCAUGUCUAUGGCUAGGAAACUUAACCAUCUUUGAUUCAACCAGCUAGUCAAGUAGAGGCAUACUAGUGACACUCUGUUUGUCUAUGUAUUCACACAGGUACUAAGUUUCCGGUUAAUACAAUUCUAGCAUGAAUAAUAAACAUUUAUCAUGAUAUAAGGAAAUACAAAGAACAACUUUAUUAUUGCCUCUAGGGCAUAUUUCCUUCAGUCUCCCACUUGCACUAGAGUCAGUAAUUUAGAUUACACAGUAAUGAUUUUAACACCCAUGGAGUCUUGGUGCUGAUCAUGUUUUUCUCGUGAGAGAGGCUUAGUCAACGGGUCUGCAACAUUCAGGUCCGUAUGUAUCUCGCAAAUCUCUAUGUCUCCCUCCUUGACUUGAUCGCGGAUGGAAUUGAAGCGUCUCUUGAUGUGCUUGGUUCUCUUGUGAAAUCUGGAUUCCUUUGCCAAGGCAAUUGCACCAGUAUUGUCACAACAGAUUUACAUUGGACCCUAUGCACUAGGUAUGACACCUAGAUCGGAUAUGAACUCCUUCAUUUGCUGCUUCUGAAGCAGCUAUGUACUCCGCUUCACGUGUAGAUCCCGCCACGACGCUUUUGUUAGAACUGCACCAACUAACAGCUCCACCGUUCAAUAUAAAUACGUAUCCGGUUUGUGACUUAGAGUCAUCCGAAUCAGUGUCAAAGCUUGCAUCGACGUAACCAUUUAGGACGAGCUCUUUGUCACCUCCAUAAAUGAGAAACAUAUCCUUAGUCCUUUUCAGUUAUUUCAGGAUGUUCUUGACCACUGUCCUGUGAUCCACUCCUGGAUUACUUUGGCACCUCCCUGCUAAACUAAAAGCAAGGCACACAUCAGGUCUGGUACACAACAUUGCAUACAUUAUAGAACCUUUGGAUGAAGCAUAGGGAAUGGCCUUCAUUUUCUCUCUAUCUUCUGCAGUGGUCGGGCAUUGAGUCUGACUCAACUUCAGACCUUGUAAUACAAGCAAGAACCCUUUCUUUGCUUGAUCCAUUUUGAACUUCUUCAAAACUUUAUCAAGGUAUGUGCUUUGGAAAGUCCAAUUAAGCGUCUUGAUCUAUCUCUAUAGAUCUUGAUGCCAAAUAUAUAAGCAACUUCACCGAGGUCUUUCAUUGAAAAACUCUUGUUCAAGUAUCCUUUUAUGCUAUCCAGAAAUUCUAUAUCAUUUCCAAUCAACAAUAUGUCAUCCACAUAUAAUAUUAGUAAUGCUACAAAGCUCCCACUCACUUUCUUGUAAAUACAGGCUUCUACAAAAGUCUGUAUAAAACCAUAUGCUUUGAUCACACUAUCAAAACGUUUAUUCCAACUCCGAGAUGCUUGCACCAGUCCAUAAAUGGAUCGCUGGAGCUUGCACACUUUUUUAGCAUCCUUUGGAUUGAUAAAACCUUCAGGUUGCAUCAUAUACAACUCUUCUUCCAGAAAUCCAUUCAGGAAUGUAGUUUUUACAUCCAUUUGCCAAAUUUCAUAAUCAUAAAAUGCGGCAAUUGCUAACAUGAUUCGGACAGACUUAAGCAUCGCUACGGGUGAGAAAGUCUCAUCGUAGUCAAUCCCUUGAACUUGUCGAAAACCUUUUGCAACAAGUCGAGCUUUGAAGACAGUAACAUUACCGUCAGCGUCAGUCUUCUUCUUGAAGAUCCAUUUAUUCUCAAUGCCUUGCCAAUCAUCGGGAAAGUCAAUGAAAGUCCACACAUUGUUCUCAUACAUGGAUCCCAUCUCAGAUUUCAUGGCCUCAAGCCAUUUCGCGGAAUCUGGGCUCAUCAUCGCUUCCUCAUAGUUGGUAGGUUCGUCAUGGUCAAGUAACAUGACCUGCAGAACCGGUUUACCAUACCACUCUGGUGCGGAUCUUACUCUGGUUGACCUGCGAGGUUCAGUAGUAACUUGAUCUGAAGUUAUAUGAUCAUCAUCAUUAGCUUCCUCACUAAUUGGUGUAGGAGUCACAGGAACUGAUUUCUAUGAUGAACUACUUUCCAAUAAGGGAGCAGGUACAGUUACCUCAUCAAGUUCUACUUUCCUCCCACUCACUUCUUUCGAGAAAAACUCCUCUAUAAAGGAUCCAUUCUUAGCAACGAAUGUCUUGCCUUCAGAUCUGUGAUAGAAGGUGUACCCAACAGUCUCCUUUGGGUAUCCUAUGAAGACACAUUUUUCCGAUUUGGGUUCGAGCUUAUCAGGUUGAAGCUUUUUCACAUAAGCAUCGCAACCCCAAACUUUAAGAAACGACAACUUGGGUUUCUUGCCAAACCAUAGUUCAAAAGGUGUCGUCUCAACGGAUUUAGAUGGUGCCCUAUUUAACGUGAAUGCAGCCGUCUCUAAAGCAUAAUCCCAAAACGAUAGCGGUAAAGUAGUAAGAGACAUCAUAGAUCGCACCAUAUCUAAUAAAGUGCGGCUACGACGUUCGGACACACCAUUACGUUGUGGUGUUCCGGGUGGCGUGAGUUGCGAAACUAUUCCGCAUUGUUUAAAAUGAAGACCAUUCUCGUAACUCAAAUAUUCUCCUCCACGAUCAUAUCAUAGAAACUUUAUUUUCUUGUUAUGAUGAUUUUCCACUUCACUCUGAAAUUCUUUGAACUUUUCAAAUGUUUCAGACUUAUGUUUCAUUAAGUAGAUAUACCCAUAUCUGCUCAAAUCAUCUGUGAAGGUGAGAAAAUAACGAUACCCGCCGCGAGCCUCAAUAUUCAUCGGACCACAUACAUCAGUAUGUAUGAUUUCCAACAAAUCUGUUGCUCGCUCCAUUGUUCCGGAGAAUGGCAUUUUAGUCAUCUUGCCCAUGAGGCAUGGUUCGCAAGUACCAAGUGAUUCAUAAUCAAGUGAUUCCAAAAGUCCAUCAGAAUGGAGUUUCUUCAUGCACUUUACACCAAUAUGAGCCAAACGUCAGUGCCACAAAUAAGUUGCACUAUCAUUAUCAACUUUGCAUCUUUUGGUUUCAAUAUUAUGAAUAUGUGUGUCACUACUAUCGAGAUUCAACAAAAAUAGACCACUCUUCAAGGGUGCAUGACCAUAAAAGAUAUUACUCAUAUAAAUAGAACAACCAUUAUUCUCAGAUUUAAAUGAAUAACCAUCUCGCAUCAAACAAGAUCCAAAUAUAAUGUUCAUGCUCAACGCUGGCACCAAAUAACAAUUAUUCAGGUCUAAAACUAACCCCGAAGUUAGAUGUAGAGGUAGCGUGCCGACGGCGAUCACAUCGACUUUGGAAGCAUUUCCCACGCGCAUCGUCACCUCGUCCUUAGCCAAUCUUCACUUAAUCCGUAGUCCCUGUUUCGAGUUGCAAAUAUUAGCAACAGAACCAAUAUCAAAUACCCAGGCACUACUGCAAGCAUUAGUAAGGUACACAUUAAUAACAUGUAUAUCACAUAUACAUUUGUUCACCUUGCCAUCCUUCUUAUCCGCCAAAUACUUGGGGCAGUUUUGCUUCCAGUGACCAGUCCCUUUGCAAUAGAAGCACUCAGUCUCAGGCUUAGGUACAGACUUGGGCCUCUUCACUUGAGCAGCAACUUGCUUGCCGUUCUUCUUGAAGUUCCCCUUCUUCCCUUAACCCUUUUUCUUCAAACUGGUGGUCUUGUUGACCAUCAACACUUGAUGCUCUUUCUUGAUUUCUACCUCCACAGCCUUUAGCAUUGCGAAGAGCUCGGGAAUUGUCUUAUCCAUCCCUUGCAUAUUAUAGUUCAUCAGGAAGCUCUUGUAGCUUGGUGGCAGUGAUUGAAGAAUUCUGUCAAUGACACUAUCAUCAGGAAGAUUAACUCCCAGUUGAACCAAGUGAUUGUUAUACCCAAACAUUUUGAGUAUAUGCUCACUGACAGAACUAUUCUCCUCCAUUUUGCAGCUGUAGAACUUAUUGGAGACUUCAUAUCUCUCAAUCCUGGCAUUUGCUUGAAAUAUUAACUUCAACUCCUAGAACAUCUCAUAUGCUCCAUGACGUUCAAAACGUCAUUGAAGUCCCGGUUCUAAGUCGUAAAGCAUGGCACACUGAACUAUCGAGUAGUCAUCAGCUUUGCUCUGCCAGACGUUCAUAACAUCUGGCGUUGCUCCUUUUGCGGGUUUGGCACCUAGCGGUGCUUCCAGGACGUAAUUCUUCUGUGCAGCAAUGAGGAUAAUCCUCAAGUUACGGACCUAGUCCGUGUAGUUGCUACCAUCAUCUUUCAACUUAGCUUUCUCUAGGAAUGCAUUAAAAUUCAACGGAACAACAGCACGAGCCAUCUAUCUACAAUAACAUAGACAUGCAAAAUACUAUCAGGUACUAAGUUCAUGAUAAAUUAAAGUUCAAUUAAUCAUAUUACUAAAGAACUCCCACUUAGAUAGACAUCCCUCUAAUCAUCUAAGUGAUCACGGGAUCCAUAUCAACUAAACCAUGUCCAAUCAUCACGUGAGAUGGAGUAGUUUUCAAUGGUGAACAUCACUAUGUUGAUCAUAUCUACUAUAUGAUUCACGCUCGACCUUUUGGUCUCAGUGUUCCGAUGCCAUAUCUGCAUAUGCUAGGCUCGUCAAGUUUAAUCCGACUAUUCUGCGUGUGCAAAACUGGCUUGCACCUGUUGUAUGUGAACGUAGAGCGUAUCACACCCGAUCAUCACGUGGUGUCUCGGCACGACGAACUUUCGCAACGGUGCAUACUCAGGGAGAACACUUGUACCUUGAAAUUUAGUGAGAGAUCAUCUUAUAAUGCUACCGCCGAACUAAGCAAAAUAAGAUGCAUAAAGGAUAAACACCACAUGCAAUCAAUAUAAGUGAUAUGAUAUGGCCAUCAUCAUCUUGUGCCUUUGAUCUCCGUCUCCAAAGCACCAUCAUGAUCACCAUCAUCACCAGCUUGACACCUUGAUCUCCAUCUGUGACGCCCCCGAUUCAAUCGUACACUAAUCAUACACGCAAACGUGUACCAUCAAGAUCAGGGACUCACGGGAAGAUAUCACAACACAACUCUAAAAAUAAAAUAAGUCAUACAAGCAUCAUAAUACAAGCCAGGGGCCUCGAGGGCUCGAAUACAAGUGCUCAAUCAUAGACGAGUCAGCGGAAGCAACAAUAUCUGAGUACAGACAUAAGUUAAACAAGUUGCCAUAAGAUGGCUAGCACAAACUGGGAUACAGAUCGAAAGAGGCGCAGGACUCCUGCCUGGGAUCCUCCUAAACUACUCCUGGUCAUCGUCAAUAGCCUGCACGUAGUAGUAGGCACCUCCAAAGCAGUAGGAGUCGUCGUCGACGGUGGCGUCUGGCUCCUGGACUCCAGCAUCUGGUUGCGACAACCAGAAAGAAAGGAAAGGGGGAAAAGAGGGAGAAAGCAACCGUGAGUACUCAUCCAAAGUACUCGCAAGCAAGGAUCUACACUACAUAUGCAUGGGAAUAAGUGUAAAGGGCCAUAUCAGUGGACUGAACUGCAGAAAGCCAGAAUAAGAGGGGGAUAGCUAAUCCUGUCGAAGACUACGCUUCUGGCCACCUCCAUCUUGCAGCAUGUAGAAGAGAGUAGAUGGUAAGUUCAUCAAGUAGCAUCGUAUAGCAUAAUCCUACCCCGUGAUCCCCUCCUCGUCGCCCUAUUAGAGAGCGAUCACCGGGUUGUAUCUGGCACUUGGAAGGGUGUGUUUUAUUAAGUAUCCGGUUCUAGUUGUCAUAAGGUCAAGGUACAACUCCAAGUCGUCCUGUUACCGAAGAUCACGGCUAUUCGAAUAGAUUAACUUCCCUGCAGGGGUGCACCACAUAACCCAACACGCUUGAUCCCAUUUGGCCGGACACACUUUCCUGGGUCAUGCCCGGCCUCGGAAGAUCAACACGUCGCAACCCCACCUAGGCAGAACAGAGAGGUCAGCACGCCGAUCUAAUCCUAAGCGCACAGGGGUCUGGGCCCAUCGCCCAUAGCACACCUGCACGUUGCGUACGCGGCCGGAAGCAGACCUAGCCCCCUUAAUACAAGCGCAGGCUUACGGUCCAAUCUGGAGCGCACCGCUCAGUCGCUGACGUCACGAAGGCUUCGCCUCAUACCACGACGUCGAGUGCCCAUAACUGUUCCCGCGUAGCUGGUUAGUGCGUAUAGACCAAAUGGCCAGACUCAGAUCAAAUACCCAGAACUCGUUAAGCGUGUUAUUUAGUAACCGCGGACGCCGACCAGGGCCAGGCCCACCUCUCUCCUAGGUGGUCUCAACCUGCCCUGUCGCUCCGCCACAAAGUAACAGUCGUGGGCCGUCGGGAACCCAGGCCCACCUCUACCGGGAUGGAGCCACCUGCCCCUUUAGCUCACUUAUCAGAAUCACUUGUAGGUACUCAACGAGCUGACCCGACUUUAGUCACCACAUGUGUCAUGUAUAUAAAGUAUAUAGUAUAUACCCGUGAUCACCUCCCGAAGUGAUCACGGCCUAGUAGUAUAGCAUGGUAGACGGACAAGAAUGUAGGGCCACUGAUGGAAUACUAGCAUCCUAUACUAAGCAUUUAGGAUUGCAGGUAAGGGUAACAACUGUAGCAACAAUGACAGGCUAUGCAGCAGAAUAGGAUUAACGAAAGCAGUAACAUGCUACACUACUCUAAUGCAAGCAGUAUAGAGAAGAAUAGGCGAUAUCUGGUGAUCAAGGGGGGGGGGCUUGCCUGGUUGCUCUGGCAAGAAGGACAAGUCGUCAACACCGUAGUCGAACUGGGGGUCGCCGGCAGCCUCGGGGUCUACCGGAAAGAAGUAACCGAGGGGGAGCACAAUAAAUAACAGAGCAAUCAAAGCAUCACAAAGCGUAACAUGGCAAUAUGCGGUGCUAGAGGUGACCUAACGCAGUAGGAGGUGAUACCGGUGAAGGGGGGAAACAUCCGGGAAAGUAUCCCCGGUGUUUCGCGUUUUUGGACAGAUGACCCGGAGGGGGAAAGUUGCGUGUUUGCUAUGCUAGGGAUGUGUGGCGGAUGAAUGGGCUGCGUAACCGGAUUUGUCUCGUCGUUCUGAGCAACUUUCAUGUACAAAGUUUUUCCAUCCGAGUUACGGUUUAUUUUAUAUUAAUUUUCAAACUUUUAGUUGAUUUACUAAUUUCUGGAUUUAAUUUAAUUCGAAAAUAAAUUAAUAUCUAAUUACUAUGGGUACACAGAAGUGUACCCAGCAAAUGCGACUGAGAGGCUGACUGGUGGGUCCAGUCAGCUGAGUCAGCCGCUGACAAGUCAGCCUUAUCCACUAGAACAGUGGAGUGGUCCCACCUGUCAUUGUCUCAACCAUUUAAUGAGUGGUUAAAUUUAACCCAGGGCUAAUUAGAGGGGAGGCCACACAUGUCAGGGAGUAUUUAGGUUAGUUAAUUAGCCAGUUUACUUAAGUUGUGAUUAAUUAGAAGGCGGGUCCCAGCAGUCAGUGGCACUGGCGUCAUAAGCGGCUGGGUUAAGCGGACACGUCAGCGGCGCCGACGUUUAGUCGCCGGCGACCAAAACACGGCGAUGACGCAUGGGAUGUCGCAGGAAAUCGGCUACAGGCCACCAAAACGGGCGUCGCUUGUCACAUUCGAACGUGCGUGAAGUCCCGCGUCCAAUGGUGCUAGGGGUGGGAGUGAGGGAGGUCCCAAGCGACGUCGACGACGGGCAAUGGCGAUGGCCGGAUCUCGGCGAGUUCGGUUUCAAGGUUGCAGCAUAUGGCGAGGCGACCAAAGGGCAUCAGAUGGUUCCUGGGGAGUCCACGAACACGAGGCAAAGCUCGGCCGCGAGUCCUGCGGGCUGUGGCCACGAUGGAGAGUCAAACGGCGGCGACGAGUUCUCGGACGCGGUAGCGGGGCUAGCUAGUGGGGGAGCCAGAGCUCAAGGGGAGAGGGGAGGAUGUGUGGGGGGGGGCUCAUAGAGGGCCGGUAGGGGGCUCAGGGGAGCCAGGGGUGCCGGAGUUGAGAGGAUCGACGGCGAGGUAGCGGCGGCGUCCGACGAAGGGGAUCGAGGCAGACGGCGUCGAGGCGGCUCCAGGGACAGCGAGCGGCGGCGGAGUUGGUGGAGAUCCGACGAAGGUGCGAUGGUGGCCGCAGGGGAGGGGGUCGACGCGGGCGUCGCGGCGGUGGGUCGCGGGGAGGACGGGCGGCGUGGUCGGCGCGUCGAGGUCCUUGGGCGGCGGCUCCAGAUCGAAGGAGAGGGAGCCCGGGGAAGGAGUGGGGAUCGGGGGAAGUGGGUGACUGGGGUGGUUAGGGUUACAGGGUGUGCGGGGUUAAGUGGUGGGGGCGGGCCGGCCUGGGGUUGGCUUGGUGGGCCAAGGCCCAGUGGCGCAGGGGGGAUUUCCUUUUCUUUAUUUUUCUUUUACUUUUCUUUUUUCUUUUUAUUUAUUUUGUUUCUUCACUUUUCAUUUAUCUUUCUUUUACUGUUUUAUAUUUUAUUUUAGUUUUGUAAAAUACAAAAAUGAUCCCUAAAUUUGUAUUACCACUAAACGCACUGCCACAAAAAGUUUAACCCCUAAUAAAAUAGUUUAAAAUUUUAUAAAUUAUAAAACACAUUUAUUUAAUUGUUUAUGCUGCUGUUUAAAUUAUUUUAGUGCAUUUAAAUACUUCAUAAAAGUGUGGUUUCUCCAUCAUUAUUACUUAUGCACUAUCUGGCACAACCCGAACAUUUUAGUUUUAAUAUUUGAAAACUUUUUCUAGUUUUGACUAUUUUAAGUUUGAGUUUGAAUCGGUUUCGAAUCAUGUGAGUUUAUCAACGGUAACCAAGGUGACUUGGCAUUAUUAGCAGAGGUUCACUGUAGCUUAAUUAUCCGGGCGUCACAAUUCUCCUCCACUACAAGAAAUGUCAUCCCGAGAUUUAAGAGGGGAGCAAGGGGGAAGGGAUUUGGUUACGAAGUUCUAACGGGUCUUCUCGAUGUUGGUUGUUCUUCUCGAAGAGGUCAAUCGAAUACGUUGAUGCAUUCAUUUCUCUGCUUCAGGUCAUCAUGGUGAAGUUGUCCUUUUCUUCGGGAACUCCAACGUACUUACAAAUAGGUAAGGGGCAGCUCGGCUACGACAGACUGCUUAUGAGGGAAACAAUUUGGGGUUAACCCAUGAAUGAGCAUAAGAUUAUCUCUCGAGUUGAACAUAUAAAAUACCUCGAGAGUAAGGUACGAAGGUACAAUAAGAGGUUCAAAGCGGAUAGAUAGUUGCUCGAAGUCUGAAUCAGAGUGAGAAAUGGGUUCAGAGCAGCGAGAGUAAAUAUUGCGUCUAACACCAGAAUAGAGCACUAGGAAGGUGGCUCGUGAAUUACCUACGAAACCAAGAGCAAGGGAUAACUUUGUCAACAAGGUGUACAGGAGAGUCAGGUUUCGAUCCUGUGUAACUUUGGGUUAUGGGCCCACUAUGUGGGUUAAAAGUAGGAAGGGCGGUGACGAUUUGCACGAUCAGGUAAGCAAGGCAUAACAGAGGAUAGCUUGUCAGUUACGUCGGCAACAACAUCGGUACCAAGGGCGAGGGACGAAGAGAACCAUUUUCCUGCUCGUUGAACGAGGCGGACCAUUAGGCAAAGUUCUCGUCCAUUGAUGGAUACCCGAAUGUCAUCAACAAUAGUAACAGGUUCUUACUGACAGAGUUGUACACCAAGGUGCUUACAAAAGCAGUGGCUUAUUACUGCUUAGAUCAUAUAAACCUCAAGAAGGUUAAACAAAACAAUGGAAAGGAAAAUGUGAUUAUCAGAUUAAACAGAACAAUGGAAAGGAAAAUGUGUUUAAACACAUAUUCGAGGGUAUAUCCUUUCCAAGGACAAGCAGAGCAUGAUAUCCAUGACAGGAUAGAAAGUAGAAAACCAUUAAGGUAAGGGGAGAGAAAUUUCAUGACAUUACCCAUACAGCGGUGUUUGGAUAAUUGAGCAGGAAACAUUUAGCAUUGGGCUUCAAAUGUUCUUGUUGAAAAUCGGAGUACCAUAUACAUGCUUCGAGAUAGCAUUGACAAGGUCAUCAGGUGAAGAUCAAACUUUGGAAACACAAAGGAUCCAUCACGAAUAACUUGUAGAAUAAGUCUUACAAUUUCCUCAUGGAAGGAUGGAUAACCUUGCUGAAAAGGAAUCUAUAACAAUAGGGCCUCUGGCAGGUGUGCUAGGCACGACAACAACUUACUGGGUCACAUAAAGACCAACGUUAUAACUCAUUGGAAAUAUGUUCCAACCAUCAUGUCUGACCGAGAUUCAGAUCUGAUUGGUGUCAGGAUAACUCAGACUCAGGAUGCCUAAGAAGAAAGGUGCAACACAAAUUGUCGAGAUGACAUUGUAAGAUUCUCGGGAAUUGAACUAUGGAAGCAAGUUUCGAAUCAUGAGUUCAUCAUUAAACGAAGGAGAGGAUGAGGAGGUGGUUGAUGAACUAAACGAUAAUUCAUUGAGAUUUCCAACAAGUUGGAUUUCCACAAUUAUGUGAACUAGGAGAUAACAUUGUCAGAUCAAAUGGUAUAAUGAUGUAUGCUCGAGGAAAACAUACACCAUUAACCAUUAGUUGAAAGGUGCACCCAUAAUAUGGGCUUAGGUAGCAUGAUCAAAGUUUAGAAUGGUGAUUCAAUAACUCAUAGUCUAAGAAUGAACGGCCGACCAUUAACUUCAAAACAAUAGGGUUGCUAGAAGUUUUGAAGUCGCACAUCAUAGUUCGAUUGUCGGUUUUCCGGUUAGAAAUAACACGGGGACCAAGGAAUAAAUGGAUAUGGCAGAAGGUAUCACCUGCAUGAAGAAUUCUUAAGAGGUGGUGAAAUCCUCAUGACAUUCUUGACAUAAAAGAUGGUAAUACUCCAAGGUAAAGAAGAACAAAUGCUGGAUAGCAAGGAUCCCAAGGUAUAACACAAAACACGAACAAGUUUGUGUUGAGCGGAAGGCAAUCGAGUGGUCGAUGAUAAUACAAAUCAUUGAGGGCAAGGAUGGUAUUUCUCAUCAUGAAUUCAAUUUAUAUCCUCGAGGAGCUCGGAAUGUGGAUGAUGAUCAUGACACAUUUGUCGAGAGGUUUCAUGAAGAUAUAAUCGCUCAUCGACGACAUCAAGCAAAAGGAAGGAUGGAGCGAAAAGUUAUUGAAACCACGAAUAUGACACAAACUUGGAAUCAAGCUUGUUGUUCAAGGCGAAAUGAUAUGACGAGGAAAGUCGACGUAAGCUUAGCUCAUCGUCAAAAAUUGUGCUUCGGAAAGAAGGACCAAAUAGCACAGUUAAAAAGUUGCAUGAUAAUGAUAUAGCCGAUAAGGCUAGGAAUGACUUGAAGGAUUAAACUCAUAAGCAACGAAAAUUACUUAAGAUUUAUCGUACCGGAAUGCGGAAUUGGUUCACAUAUCGGUGUUCUUGAGCGACUAACAACUCAGAACCCAUGAAAAAUUGGAAUCGGUGAGAAAUAAUAGCUGAUGAAGAACUCAUAAGAUGCAACACAAUUCUUAGAUAUUCUCGAGAUACCAGAGGGUAAUACUCGACAGUAGAUCAAAAUAGAGGUUGGACUAGGGUAUUGCUCUGUAGAAGACAAGUGCUCAAACUUGCACGAGAAAUGGAAUCAAGGAGAAACAUGGUCGGAACCACGUCCACAGAUACAAGAUGAACUUAUAACAAGGGGAUAAUUAUUUUAAGAGAAGCUUCCAUGAUAAGAUAUACGUCGUGUCCAUGGGCAUGAACACAGGGUUCAAGGUCGACUCCCACUUGUUCAACGCAUAACCUUUCAUUCACCUCUCGUAUUUCAAAAAUGACAUUAGUUGUUAAAAGUUUGUACCUGGUGCAAUACCAGAUAAGUAUGACCCGUGAAAUCUUCCGGGUUCACACGGAUUAGGGAAGGCAUAGGUUCAACCCAUCAGGGCAUCUUAGGAACAUAUACCACAAAUUUCGGAGUAAAUAAUACAAGCUCGAAAGUAGAGCAUGGUUGAGAAAGUAGAGGAUACAAUUUACCAAAGGCAUUAUGUAUCCGAGGGAAGGCUCAUAAGGUUAUUGAAUAUGAAGGACGUUGUCAGAUAAAAUCCAUUAAAGGAUCUGCCAGUCCAUAACGGAGCUGAUGUGAGCAUCGGCACACAACUAGUGGAAGUAACAAUGCAAAGGCAUUGGAUUAUAGAAACAACUGACUAAUCCAGAGCUCAAAUGCAAAAGAAUUAUGAUUUCCAAAUUAAGGGAUCAGAAGCAACGCUCUGAUCAAGGAUGGAUAAGUUGAGUAGGCUUAGGGGUACAAUCGAUGGCAAUUUGAUUGGUCGAUAACCAGCUCAUGUUCAAAAUGACAUCUGAGCCGGAAGGAUGAAUUCUAGGAUCUGACUGAGGGUGGCGAGCAUUCGCAACAUUUUGAAUCAAUGGAAUCAAAAUGAUAAUGACAAGGGAUGCCAAUAAAAUUAUAGACUUAUGGGAUUAACCAUAAUGCAAGCAAGUAAGAAUUUCAAGAGCAAUAGGCUACUCAGGUUUUUCGGAGGUUCAAAUAGUAUUUUGAAGACUUUUUUGAAAUACAUGAAUCAACUGGGGAUGAGUGGAUACUCGAUAAGUGCGAGAAAUUAUCCGUAGGGAAAUUCAUGUGGCAAGAACUGCAAGGCAGUAGGCACAAAGUAUUCUCGGAACAUUAGAGAGAAUUUUGGGGUAUCUUAUAAUAACAAGAUCAACGGGGAAUAAUUGUAUGAAUGGCAAGUGUACUUGGUUAUCCAUUGGGGUUUAUCGAUGGAAUGGAAUUGCAAGAGGGAUGGCACAAAGUAUAGAAGGAACAUCGGAGAGUAACUUCGGAAUCUUCUAGUGUAUCAAGCGAUCAUCUGCAUCGAGUGGCCCUCCGGGAGGAAGUAGUUACGAGAACCUAGAGUUAGAGUUAGUAAAACCAUUUAACCCGAGUAGAAGAGAGAUAAGAGUCCCAGAGUAUAGACGAGAAAUAAAAGAUCCUAAUACCACCCAAUGGCGACGUGGGCCCGUAAGCCACACAGCCAUGUUAGUAAAAAGUUUUGCAAUGACUAGACUCAACUUCGGCCAGGGAGUUGGAAAGGGGGAUUCCUACAGGCAGUCGGCUCUGAUACCAGCUUGUGACGCCCCCGAUUCAAUCGUACACUAAUCAUACACGCAAACGUGUACGAUCAAGAUCAGGGACUCACGGGAAGAUAUCACAACACAACUCUAAAAAUAAAAUAAGUCAUACAAGCAUCAUAAUACAAGCCAGGGGCCUCGAGGGCUCGAAUACAAGUGCUCAAUCAUAGACGAGUCAGCGGAAGCAACAAUAUCUGAGUACAGACAUAAGUUAAACAAGCUGCCAUAAGAUGGCUAACACAAACUGGGAUACAGAUCGAAAGAGGGGCAGGCCUCCUGCCUGUGAUCCUCCUAAACUACUCCUGGUCGUCGUCAACAGCCUGCACGUAGUAGUAGGCACCUCCAAAGCAGUAGGAGUCGUCGUCGACGGUGGCGUCUGGCUCCUGGACUCCAGCAUCCGGUUGCGACAACCAGAAAGAAAGGAAAGGGGAAAAGAGGGAGAAAGCAACCGUGAGUACUCAUCCAAAGUACUCGCAAGCAAGGAUCUACACUACAUAUGCAUGGGAAUAAGUGUAAAGGGCCAUAUUAGUGGACUGAACUGCAGAAAGCCAGAAUAAGAGGGGGAUAGCUAAUACUGUCGAAGACUACGCUUCUGGCCACCUCCAUCUUGCAGCAUGUAGAAGAGAGUAGAUGGUAAGUUCAUCAAGUAGCAUCGUAUAGCAUAAUCCUACCCGGCGAUCCCCUCCUCGUCGCCCUGUUAGAGAGCGAUCACCGGGUUGUAAUUGGCACUUGGAAGGGUGUGUUUUAUUAAGUAUCCGGUUCUAGUUGUCAUAAGGUCAAGGUACAACUCCAAGUCGUCCUGUUACCGAAGAUCACGGCUAUUCGAAUAGAUUAACUUCCCUGUAGGGGUGCACCACAUAACCCAACACGCUUGAUCCCAUUUGGCCGGACACACUUUCCUGGGUCAUGCCCGGCCUCGGAAGAUCAACACGUCGCAGCCCCACCUAGGCACAACAGAGAGGUCAGCACGCCGGUCUAAUCCUAAGCGCACAGGGGUCUGGGCCCAUCGCCCAUAGCACACCUGCACGUUGCGUACGCGGCCGGAAGCAGACCUAGCCCCCUUAAUACAAGCGCAGGCUUAUGGUCCAAUCUAGUGCGCGCCGCUCAGUCGCUGACGUCACGAAGGCUUCGGCUGAUACCACGACGUUGAGUGCCCAUAAUUGUUCCCGCAUAGCUGGUUAGUGCGUAUAGACCAAAUGGCCAGACUCAGAUCAAAUACCCAGAACUCGUUAAGCGUGUUAUUUAGUAACCGCGGACGCUGACCAGGGCUAGGCCCACCUCUCUCCUAGGUGGUCUCAACCUGCCCUGUCGCUCCGCCACAAAGUAACAGUCGGGGGCCGUUGGGAACCCAGGCCCACCUCUACCGGGAUGGAGUCACCUGCCCCUUCAACCCCCUUAUCAGAAUCACUUGCGGGUACUCAAUGAGCUGACCCGACUUUAGUCACCACAUGUGUCAUGUAUAUAAAGUAUAUAGUAUAUACCCGUGAUCACCUCCCGAAGUGAUCACCGCCCAGUAGUAUAGCAUGGCAGACGGACAAGAAUGUAGGGCCACUGAUGGAAUACUAGGAUCCUAUACUAAGCAUUUAGGAUUGGAGGUAAGGGUAACAACUGUAGCAACAAUGACAGGCUAUGCAGCAGAAUAGGAUUAACGAAAGCAGUAACAUGAUACACUACUCUAAUGCAAGCAGUAUAGAGAAGAAUAGGCGAUAUCUGGUGAUCAAGGGAGGGGGCUUGCCUGGUUGCUCUGGCAAGAAGGACAGGUCGUCAACAGCGUAGUCGAACUGGGGGUCGCCGGCAGCCUCGGGGUCUACCGGAAAGAUGUAACCUAGGGGGAACACAAUAAAUAACAGAGCAAUCAAAGCAUCACAAAGCGUAACAUGGCAAUACGCGGUGCUAGAGGUGACCUAACGCAGUAGGAGGUGAUACCGACGAAGGGGGGAAACAUCCGGGAAAGUAUCCCCGGUGUUUCGCGUUUUCGGACAGAUGAACCGGAGGGGGAAAGUUGCGUGUUUGCUAUGCUAGGGAUGUGUGGCGGACAAACAGGCUGCGUAACCGGAUUCGUCUCGUCGUUCUAAGCAACUUUCAUGUACAAAGUUUUUCCAUCCGAGUUACGGUUUAUUUUAUAUUAAUUUUCAAACUUUUAACUGAUUUACUAAUUUCUGGAUUUAAUUUAAUUCGAAAAUAAAUUAAUAUUUAAUUACUGUGGGUACACAGAAGUGUACCCAGCAAAUGCGACUGAGAGGCUGACUGGUGGGUCCAGUCAGCUGAGUCAGCCGCUGACAAGUCAGCCUUAUCCACUAGAACAUUGGAGUGGUCCCACCUGUCAUUGUCUCAACCAUUUAAUCAGUGGUUAAAUUUAACCCAGGGCUAAUUAGAGGGGAGGCCCCACAUGUAAGGGAGUAUUUAGGUUAGUUAAUUAGCCAGUUUACUUAAGUUGUGAUUAAUUAGAAGGCGGGUCCCAGCAGUCAGUGGCACUGGCGUCAUAAGCGGCUGGGUUAAGCGGACACGUCAGCGGCGUCGACGUUUAGUCGCCGGCGACCAAAACACGGCGACGACGCAUGGGAUGUCGCCGGAAAUCAGUUAUAAACGGGCGUCACUGGUCGCGUUCGAACGCGCGUGAAGUCCCGCGUCCAACGAUGCUAGGGGUGGGAGUGAGGGAGGUCCCAAGCGACGCCGACGACGGGCAAUGGCGAUGGCCGGAUCUCGGCGAGCUCGGUUUCAAGGUUGCAGCAUAUGGCGAGGCAACCAAAGGGCAUCAGAUGGUUCCUGGGGAGUCCAGGACCACGAGGCAAAGCUCGGUCGCGAGUCCUGCGGGCUGUGGCCACGGUGGAGAGUCAAACGGCGGCGACGAGUUCUCGGAUGCGGUAGCGGGGCUAGCUAGUGGGGGAGCCAGAGCUCAAGGGGAGAGGGGAGGAUGUGGAAGGGCUCACAGAGGGCCGGUAGGGGGCUCAGGGGAGCCAGGGGAUGCCAGAGUCGAGAGGAUCGACGGCGAGGUAGCGGCGACGUCCGACGAAGGGGAUCAAGGCAGAAUGCGUCGAGGCGGCUCCAGGGACGGCAAGCGGCGGCGGGGUUGGUGGAGAUCCGACGAAGGUGCGAUGGUGGCCGCAGGGGAGGGGGUCGACGCGGGCGUCGCGGCGGUGGGUCGCGGGGAGGACGGACGGCGUGGUCGGCGCGUCGAGGUCCUUGGGCGGCGGCUCCAGAUCGAAGGAGAGGGAGCCCGGGGAAGGAGUGGGGAUCGGGGGAAGUGGGUGACUGGGGUGGUUAGGGUUACGGGGUGUGGGGGGUUAAGUGGUGGGGGCGGGCCGACCUGGGGUUGGCUUGGUGGGCCCAGGCCCAGUGGCGCAGGUGGGAUUUCCUUUUCUUUAAUUUUGUUUUACUUUUCUUUUCUCUUUUUAUUUAUUUUGUUUCUUCACUUUUCAUUUAUCUUUCUUUUACUGCUUUAUAUUUUAUUUUAGUUUUGUAAAAUACAAAAAUGAUCCCUAAAUUUGUAUUACCACUAAACGCACUGCCACAAAAAGUUUAACCCCUAAUAAAAUAGUUUAACAUUUUAUAAAUUAUAAAAGACAUUUAUUUAAUUGUUUAUGCUGGUGUUUAAAUUAUUUUAGUGCAUUUAAAUACUUCAUAAAAGUGUGGUUUCUCCAUCAUUAUUACCUAUGCACUAUCUGGCACAACUCGAACAUUUUAGUUUUAAUAUUUGAAAAGUUUUUCUAGUUUUGACUAUUUUAAUUUGAGUUUGAAUCGGUUUCGAAUCAUGUGAGUUUAUUAACGGUAACCAAGGUGACUUGGCAUUAUUAGGAGAGGUUCACUGUAGCUUAAUUAUCCGGGCGUCACACCAUCGAAGCAUCGCUGUCGUCUCGCCAACUAUUGCCUCUACGACUAUCGCUACCGCUUAGUGAUAAAGUAAAGCAAUUACAUGGCGAUUGCAUUUCAUACAAUAAAGCGACAACCAUAUGGCUCCUGCCAGUUGCCGAUAACUUUGUUACAAAAAAACAUUAUCUCAUACAAUAAAAUUUAGCAUCAUGUCUUGGCCAUAUCACAUCACAACAUGCCCUGCAAAAACAAGUUAGACACCCUCUACUUUGUUGUUGCAAGUUUUUACGUGGCUGCUACGGGCUGAGCAAGAACCGUUCUUACGUACGCAUCAAAAACCACAACAAUUUUUCGUCAAGUGUGCUAUUUUAACAUUCAACAAGGACCGGGCGUAGGCACACUCGAUUCAACUAAAGUUGGAGAAACUGACACCCGCCAGCCACCUGUGUGCGAAGCACGUUGGUAGAACCAGUCUUGCAUAAGCAUACGCGUAAUUUCGGUCCUGGCCGCUUCAUCCAACAAUACCGCCGAAUCAAAGUAUGACAUGCUAGUAAGUAGUAUGACUAUUAUCGCCCACAACUCUUUGUGUUCUACUCGUGCAUAUAACAUCUACGCAUAGACCUGGCUCGGAUGCCACUGUUGGGGAACGCAGUAAUUUCAAAAAAAUCCUACGCACACGCAAGAUCCAUCUAGGUGAUGCAUAGCAACGAGAGGGGAGAGUGUUGUCUACGUACCCUCGUAGACCGAAAGCGGAAGCGUUAUGACAACGCGGUUGAUGUAGUCGUACGUCUUCACGAUCCGACCGAUCCUAGUACCAAAAGUACGACACCUCCGUGAUCUGCACACGUUCAGCUCGGUGACAUCCCACGAACUCUUGAUCCAGCUGAGUGUUGAGGGAGAGCUUCGUCAGCAUGACAGCGUGAUGAUGGUGAUGAUGAAGUUACCGGCGCAGGGCUUCGCCUAAGCACUGCAACGAUACUACCGAGGUGGAUUAUGGUGGAGGGGGGCACCGCACACGGCUAAGACAAUGUGAACUUGUGUGUCUAUGGGGUGCCCCCUCCCCCGUAUAUAAAGGAGUGGAGGAGGGGGGAGGGCCGACCCUCUAUGGCGCGCCCUGGAGGAGUCCUACUCCCACCGGGAGUAGGAUUCCCCCCUUCCCUAGUUGGACUAGGAGAGGAAGGAAGGGGGAGGAAGGAGGAAGGAAAGAGGGGGCGGCCCCCACCCAAUUCGGAUUGGGCUUGGGGGGGCGCGCCCCCUCCUAGUCUCCCUUCUCCUCUCUGCCACUAUGGCCCAAUAAGGCCCAUAUACUUCCCGGGGGGGUCCGGUAACCUCCCGGUACUCCGGUAAAUGCCCGAACUCAUCCGGAACCAUUCCGAUGUCCAAACGUAGUCAUCCAAUAUAUCGAUCUUUAUGUCUCGACCAUUUCGAGACUCGUCAUGUCCGUGAUCAUAUCCGGGACUCCGAACUACCUUCGGUACAUCAAAAUACAUAAACUCAUAAUACCGAUCGUCACCGAACGUUAAGCGUGCGGACCCUACGGGUUCGAUAACUAUGUAGACAUGACCGAGACACGUCUCCGGUAAAUAACCAAUAGCGGAACCUGGAUGUUCAUAUUGGCUCCCACAUAUUCUACGAAGAUCUUUAUCGGUCAAACCGCAUAACAACAUACGUUGUUCCCUUUGUCAUCGAUAUGUUACUUGCCCGAGAUUCGAUCGUCGGUAUCUCAAUACCUAGUUCAAUCUCGUUACCGACAAGUCUCUUUACUCGUUCCGUAAUGCAUCAUCCCGCAACUAACUCAUUAGUCACAUUGCUUGCAAGGCUUAUAGUGAUGUGCAUUACCGAGAGGGCCCAGAGAUACCUCUCCGACAAUCGGAGUGACAAAUCCUAAUCUCAAUCUAUGCCAACUCAACAAACACCAUCGGAGACACCUUUAGAGCACCUUUAUAAUCACCCAGUUACGUUGUGACGUUUGGCAGCACACAAAGUGUUCCUCCGGUAUUCGGGAGUUGUAUAAUCUCAUAGUCACAGGAACAUGUAUAAGGCAUGACGAAAGCAAUAGCAACAUACUAAAUGAUCAAGUGCUAAGCUAACGAAUGUGUCUUGUCCAUCACAUAAUUAUCCUAAUGAUGUGAUCCCGUUAAUCAAAUGACAACACAUGUCUAUGGCUGAAACUUAACCAUCUUUGAUUAAACGCGCUAGUCAAGUAGAGGCAUACUAGGGACACUCUGUUUGUCUAUGUAUUCACACAUGUGCUAAGUUUCCGGUUAAUACAAUUCUAGCAUGAAUAAUAAGCAUUUAUCAUGAUAUAAGGAAAUAUAAAUAACAACUUUAUUAUUGCCUCUAGGGCAUAUUUCCUUCAGGUUCUACUAUGGAUUUUCCCACCCGUUUUUUCUUCUGUUAGUGUUGUGGAUGUGGAUUUUUAGGACAUGGCAAUAGUUUUUGGUGUUUAUGGAUUUUAGGAUGUGCAUUAGUGGCUGUGGAUUUGAACAGUGACCCUAAGUUCACUCCCAAAAUGUUGUUAUGUGGGAUUUGUUUUACGCGUUCUGUCUAUCAAUUAGGCUUGUGAUGCUCUAAUUACCAUGUUUACAAUGCUUGAAUUAUGGGUGUUGUUUGUUCUAUUUAAUUAUCAUGAUGAUGGUAUUGAACUUGCCAAUGACAUUGCACUCAAAUUACCAGAUGCUGAAACACUGCUAUUAUUGGUGUUGUUUGUUCUGCUUUAAUUAUCAUGAUGAUGGUAUUACACUUACCAAGGACAUUGCACUCAAAUCACCAGAUGCUGAAACACUGCUAUUUUUAUGAUUGGUGUUGUUUCUGUGCCUAAAUUUCAAGUUGGUUGGUAAUUUGAGCGGUGCAAUCACGCUCUGAUUACCAAUUGUUUUUCAAAUAGCUACAUUCACAUUAGGUUGUGUUUUAGGACUGCAGCCCCAUGAUUUUUAUGCUUUGUGCUUUUCUUUUUGGAUAUCCCCAAUGAUGAUGUGCAAGCAGUUACCAUUAUCAUGUUAUCGUACUUACCAGUAUUUUUCUAGUCUAACUACAUGUAGCACAAUGCUCAUUUUUAUUCAAUGGUCUGGUUGUUUUUGUGUGCUUACCGGCAUCAUUUUUGUGAUUAUUAAUGACCAUGUGUCAAUGCUAAAUUUAUCAGGGGUAAAUUGGUUGUACAUCAUCAAAUUGAUGCUGCUUUUCUCACUUACCAAUGUAAUUGUGCCUUAGUUAUCAGUUGCACAUGCUUUAAUAUACCUGUGUCAUUUGUUUUGCUAUAGUUUAGAAGGUGUGGCAUUGUCUUUGUUUUUUAACCAGUUUAUUUUUCUGUAAACCAAGUGCAUUUUGCUUGAUUUAUUUACCAUGGUCAUGAUAAUCUUUUUUGUGUCACCAUGAACCACAAUGAUAUGUUUAUCAGAUGUAUUAUUGCUUUGUCAAACACCAGUUUAUAAAUGUUGCUAUUAAUUGUGAUAUCAGUUUUUCAUAAGUAAUCUAAUUGGUUUCAUUUGCUUUCUUUUCAUUCCUACGUGACAGGGACACAAUGCCGAGGAAGUGCAAAGGAGAUGGUGAUGGAAUUGAUGAGGUUCCUUCGAAAAAGGUGAAACGCCCUCCUCCGCGGAACAGAGCCUCACCUAGUUCACUUCUUUUAGCAUGGAAAGACAUGAAUGGUGACAGGAAGGUUGCCAUUGAUGAGAUGGACUUCACAAGCCUUCAGAAUAUCCAGUGUGACCAUCUCUUCAACAAUCUCAUUGUGUGGCUUGCUGACCUGUACAAUCCCGAUUCCCGUGAGGUGGUCGUACCAGGGCAGGGUAGGCUUCCGGUUAACGAGGAAUAUGUGCAUCGGGUUAUGGGCAUGUUGCAUGGAGGGGAGGAUGUCCCUUACAACCUCCCUAUUGAAGCUGAUAUUGAGUUAGGGCUUGAGUUGUUUGGCAAACUUGGAUAUGCCCCUAAAAUGACUGAUCUUGCUGUUCUCAUAAAGGGUUCUGUAAAUGCUGAUGAUACUUUCAAGCGUAUGUGGCUUUUGCUUGAGGGGAGUACAGUCAUUGCCCCGACCACCUCCAACAAAGUCAGUCCUAGAUGGUAUGCUGUGCCAGUAAGUGAUUAUGUAAUUCUGCCAUUUUCUUUCUUGUGUGCCUGAUAACUUUACUGUAUGUCAGUGUGGUAACUUUCAUAGUUUUUGUGUUCCAUUCGGUGAACUUCAGUUUCUUUGUUUUCAACUUGUAGCGUGACAUCAAUGGUAUUAAAAUUCUCAAUUGGUCCAAAUUCAUUGCUGACGAAUUACACAAGGCACUGCUGAAACGCAAGCCUACCAGGGGUUCCCUUCUCUUCUACAAUGUAAGUGAUGGUUCUUUCCUCUUACCUUCUUUUUUGUCAUUUGUCUCUGAUUUUGUUCGUGUUUACCAUGACGCUUGUAUUUUUGUUAUCAGCUAUUGUACAUUCAUGCGAUUGAUCUUUCUGGACUCGGCAUCGUAUUGCCUGAUGGUCCUUUUCCUACCAAUGUGUGGAUGAAGAAGCUGAUAACUCUUGUCCUCAACAAGGAUGUUCAGGCUGACAAAGCUUCUUUCAGGAAACUACCAUUAAUCUAUAUAUAUGUUUUUAGUUCACACACUACUUGCAACUGCAUUUUCUUUUCAUUGUUUUCUAUUGUUACUUUAUCUGACUUAUCACUACAUUUUUUUCCAGUUAAAGCCCGAGUUUGGCAUGAAUUUCUGUCUAUUUGGUGGUCUGGAAGGUCUUGAUAAGUUUAUGUGUGUUCAUGCUACCCCAAGCUGCAGUCAGGAGGUGUGCAUGUAACCUCGUUUUUUUUCAUGCUAUUCUAUGUUUUUUCAUAAGCUGAUAACUUUUUUUGUUGCACUCAAUGUGGUAACUCUCGUUUGAUGUCAACUUUACACCCUUUACUAAUGCCAUAAGAUAUUGUUCUUUGUUUCCAAUGUGGCAUAUGCUCUAUAAAGGAUAAUAAUUUUGUUGCAACCUUGUGAUAAUUCUUAUUAUAAUGCCUUGAUAACUUUGUGAUGUGAAACUCAUGCCAUCAUGUUUUUUUUCCAUGACAGCAUACGUUCUCACAUAUCUUGAUAACUUGGUUGCAUUCCUGUGAUGAUUUUUUUGUAAAGCCUUUGAUAACUUAAGUUUUUGCUGAUAUCUAUUUGUGUUAUUUUAGCUUUCUCGUAUAUUGUUCUUCAUUUUCACGAUGACUGAAUGUUUGUUAAAUCAUGAAUACAUUCAUGUGUUUAUUGCAACAACACCAUACAUUUGUUUGGUAUUGUUCAUGUGUGUACUUUUUGUGAACUCCUGAUAAAUUUUGUUGCAUUUUGGUGAUAACUUACGACACUCUACGUACUGUGUGGUUUUACAUGUGUGUGUUUUACUGUAAUUCUUUUGUCUCACCAUCUGAAUUUUUUCAUCCACUUAGCAUUUGAAUAAUCUUAUUUUUUGCAUUUUUUCUAUUGAGCAGAAAUUUACCAAACCUACUCAGUUGGUUGCUCGAUUCACGUCCGUCAUGGCUGGCAUACUAGGCGAUCUUGUGCAAUCAUUCACCGCUUUGGAUGAUGAGGGCCAUUCAGAUGCCUCCCGUCAGCUAGACGCUGGAUUGAAUGUUCUUUCUUAUGCUGCUCGUACGACGGCAAGGACCACACGCUCAUCACAAGGCAGGAGGCCAGAAAGCCCUAGAAAGAACAUUGCUGAUGAUUCUGAUAUUGAUGACGAGUACCACGGAGGCAAUGACGCCGAUUUUGAUGCUAACUCCGAUGAUGAUGAUGAUGGUGAUGAUAUGGAUUAUCGAGUUGUUCAUCGUCGCAGUAAGCACUGGUACGCGUCGGUGCUGUACAAACGUUUUUUAACCCCUUUCUGCGACGGCAUUUGGAACCGUCGCCUAGUGAGUGACGACGAUAGGGGGGGUCCUUCCCACACGACCCAGAAACCGUCAGGGAUAGGGAGCCAAGAUGUAUAUACAGUACUCCUACUCAUUUGUGUUCUCAUUGCCAUCGCAGUCGGUAUUCUGUGGUGCUACGUUUACGAUGCGCGGCCCAUCACAAAUGAUUCACUAUUGUAGAACGUGUAUGAUAAGCAUACAAUCACACACAUUUGCUUUUCCCAAACCGUAUGCGAUAACUAAUUAAGAAGAUUAGCUAAUCAUCGUAGGAGUGUCGGAUAGGAUUACAAAACGUCGGACCGUCGUAACAUCGUCGUACACGACAACUAUCGCACACACUAUUGUGUGGUGCAACAUUUACGAUGCGUACUUCAUCAAAAACAGUUCAUGGUUGCGAAUCGUGUACGAUAAGGCAACUAACACAAACAUUUAGUUUGCCCGCACUGUUUGUGAUAUUGUCUGACAUUGCACACACUUUGCAAACGGCAAUUGUGUGCAUGCUUGCACACGUUUCCUCUCUGUGAACCGUCUCGGAUUAUGGUGUAUAUCACAAACAUUUGUGUUUUACCAACCGUGUGUGCCGUAACGACCUGGAGAGCGCAAUUUCACCGUAAUUUAAUUGCUGCUAUUUCAAAUUGUACCGGAUUUGAAUUUGAAAGUAUGCUAUAGCUUUAUUCAUAUCCAUCAGGUUCAAACAAUCAAUGCAUUAUUCGAUUCAUAGGUACAUAUGUUCAAGAAUUACAUAAGAACCAAAUAAAGAAUGAUGAACCACAAUUCUAUACUUGUACUAUUAAAGACGGUAAAUAAAGAGGCGGAAUACAUUAUGGUUGCUGAACAAGGUGAAGCGGAAUGCCCAUAUUGUGCACUCCUCCAUGCAGAAGGCACGCACGACUCUAGUCCAACCCCCUGUGAUGGCCGACCGCCCAUCCUUCACGGUCUUCAUGGAAACAUCUAGAUAAUCAUCGUGUUCUGGUAGAAAUACUUUAACAUUUGCAUGCCCAGCAAUCAUGUAGUUUGAGGGGUAAUCUUGAGUAAACUGCUUUGGCAACCACUGCAAAGGAAACAGAUUCAGACAUUGUCAUCUAACACAACUCAUUAUGGGCAGUAAAAAGAAGGCUGCAGAGUUCUUACUUACCAUCCUGCAGUUUGGUGUUGUCUUGGAUAAAGUGUGAACAAAUAUUUUAAUUGCCAUCUUUGGACCCAUUUUACUAACAAUCUUUAUCAGCUUCCUCACUUGAUGCUGGUUCAUCGAUAUCUCAUUGCCCCAUACGCAGAAAGGGUCGAAGCGCGGAUCUUUACCAAUGACGUAAAACCUAAAAGCACCAAGUUAAUAUUAGAAGCUAAAUAGCAAUUGCACAAUGAUGUAGUACAACACUCUUUUAUAAAUAUCUUAUAACAUCUAAUAUACUCGCAUAUUAGAUGAAUUAACAUCUUAUAUUAUGGGCUGAAAGGAGUUUAUUACAUUCUUACAAAUUAUCGGCUGAUUAACUGAUGCUGUAUCCAUGGGUUACAGUUAGUUUGAGCUAGUUCAGGCUCAAAUAGCCCUAAAGUAUAUCUAAACAUGAGGGCUAGUUUGAGCUAGUUGCAUCAUAACCCACCCAAAAAAACUAUCCAACCUAAGAGGUGCUAAUUGGAGCUAGUUCUCCUAGUGCAUGUAUUGUCGAUCUAACCCUGCCAUCCAAACAACUCUUUGGAUGGAGUUAGUUCAGGGUUAGUCAUGAGCUAGAAACUAACUCUAACCUCUAGCUAAGUUGAGUAUCCAAACAGGGAUGUGUUGUUGUUGUUGUUGCUGCUGCUCUUCUAUGUAUAUCUAGACAUCAUCAGGACAUUAAUGUAACACUCUUGCUUGUUGCUAUGUAGCCUAGGAUUGCAUAUUAGACAUUAAGUACAGUGCAUGUUGCUAUGUAGCCUCAGAUAUAUUACAUAUGGACCUAGUUAACCUAACGAUAAAUGGGUUGCAGAUAUAUCUAUACCAAUAUAAAAAGACCCAAAGGGGCAGAUCCAAAUCAUCUUGGCCAUCAAAUCAUGUUAUCUAGCGGUUCAAAUCGCUCCAAUGUUGAGCACCAAACACGUUUAACGCUCUAAUUACCCACCACUGCCAUUGGUUAUAAACACGUUUUGACUCAACGCUAUCCCAUGAAAUGUGCCAUGUAAUUAAUAUCCUACCGUUCCCGUGAAAAAUUAAUUGAUAUCUUACCAAAUACCAACAUGCAAUAGAUAUAUCUUACCUAAUAUAACGUGCAACUAAUAUCCUACCUAAUAUAAACGUGCAUUGCACGUACAUUAUUACUAGUUCGGUUAAAAGUCCGAUUCACCGAUUAGUCCCUUAUCAGCCCCCGACCUAUAUGGUACCAGCUACUGAUAUCCUGAACAAUGAGCAUAUAUAAGCCAUGGGAUGAAACUAACCUCGAUGGAAAACAACAGUCAUUCCCAAAAUUGUCCUAUGUAGGUACAUCGAGAAGCAUUUUAAGCACAGCAGGCUAAACAUCAACCAAAAUUAUCCAUGACAGACAAAAUAAUUUCCAAAAGAUAGCUUCAGUGUGCAGGUUUAAGCACGGUAGUAUAGCAAAAAAAGUGGAAAGGUGUGUUAACUGCAACAGGCCUAACAUUUAACAACAAGCAAACAUAGUCAUAAAAACUGGUAUUGUGCCGGUCUAAGUACACUAAUUAUUGUUAAAUAAAAAUGGAAAGGCGUGUUAACUACAAGAUGCAACAACCAAUUGUAGUCAUUCAUAGUGGUUUUCUUGAAACUGGUACUGAUGAAAUUGAACUGCACAGUUCAUACUUGCACAUAUAGAACAUCACGUUGUGAAUAACUGGAAUAAACAAGGCAUACUACGAACAACCAAAGAUAGCAUUUCAAACUGGACAUAUGCUAACUACAGACAACCGAACAAUCAAAAAACUUUAAAAGAGGCAUAUGCUAGCUAUAACAGGCUUAACAACAAGCAAAUAUGCGCAUUCCUAUCGGUAUGUUUAAAACUGGAUUGAUGAAAUGUAUUGCACAGUAAAUAAUUUCACAUAUAGAGCAUCACAUUGUGAACAACUAAAAUAAACAAGGCAUACUGCAAACAACCAGAUAUAGCAAUUAAAACUGGACAUAUUCUCACUACACUACAAAAGGGACUCGACAAAACUAAUCAUGGGUUUCCCCCCUGUGAAGAGGCAUGACAAAACAAAUCAUGGGUUUCCUCACUUGUCACAGAUGGGCUCGUUCCCGUGGGAAGAGCACGAACCCUGGAUGCGCUCCAUAUUGUCGUAGAUGGUCUCGUUCCCCUUGGAAGAGCAUGACUGUAGGGUGCCCUCCCUGAUGUUGCAGACGGACACUUUCCCCUUGGAAGAGCAGAUGGGCUCUUUCCCCUUGGAAGAGCCGGAGAGGGUGGCCUCCCCGUGGUCACCGUCGAUGAGGUCUGACUUGGAAGCCGUGGAUCCCAAGCCAGCGUCGUAGAACGUGUCCUUCAGGAAUGACAGAAGGGGCUCGAUGGCGAUGUAGGAUGGCAAAUUGUUGACAGCGAGCUAGAGGAGAUCAACGGCGGGGCCAUGGAUGAGAUUAACGAUGGUUGAACCCGAGGGGUUGGGCGUGAGCCACUUAACCUGUGACAUAGUCUGCCUCAGGCCGUCGCUGUCGAUGACCUCGAUGUCGUAGCCGGCAGCCGAGACAUGCCCGCAUACUCUAGCCCGCUGCUUGAGUGCCUGUCGCUAGUAAUGGUCGUCAGCUUCCUCGGCGACGUCGGGCGAAGAGACCAUGAUACACCUCUUUUGGGCCAGUCGCUCCUCGAGCUCCAUGGGAAGCGUAGCCGGGCUGAGGCUGCGACACUCUGGAGUGGGGGAUGGGGAUGGGGAUGGGGAUCUGUGGGAAGGGGGCGUUUGGCAGGCAUCAUCUAAGAAACUCAGGGCGGACUGGGUAUGGAGAUCGGUGGGUAAGCUGCACGGGAAAACUGGCAGAUGUUGACAAUGGAGGCCUUGCGGCGGCGGCGGCGGGGACCUUGCUAGGGUUUCGAGCGAGGCAGUGUGUGUGUGUGCGCGCGCACGCCCGAGGAGGUUUUGGUGUGUGUGUGUGUGUGUAUGUGUGUGUGGAGGGGAGGGCGGCAGGGGUUGUGUUUGAGGAAAUGAUGCGGGUACUAAAAAAUUUACUACGCGGGAGUCAAACGCAGGAGUGAAAUGCCGGGGCUAUUGAAAUUUUUGAUGAUGGUGCAUCGCACACGGUCCAGAGAUAACAACCAUGUGUUAUGAAACAGAAAAACCCUCGAGGCGGGCAGAUAUUUUCGGGGGAUGCAGGCGGGAUUGGGAACAAGAAACAUCACACAUGGUCUAAACACAAUAACCGUGUGUUAUCAAACAGAAAAAGCUGCAGACGGGUAGAUAUUUUUGAGAGGGGAAGCCUCACGGAGCCCAAUGCACACGGUUAGUUUGAGUGAACCGUGUCUGUUGUGUCAUCCAACUUAUCUAAUGUUCAUAAAUUUGGCGAAAAAUGACGCGGUAGAUGGUCAGAACACGAACACACUUGCAUGUGGACCAAAUUUAUGUAUGAAAAGGGUGGUUUGAUUUUCAAAUACCAAAUGCAACUUCGAUGUGGCACCUAUCUCGCAAAGCACACGGUAUUGCUUGCCCCACCCCCCCUCGUGUUGGCAUGAAGGGAAUCCUAAGCUAUGAAUGCAUGCCCCCUCCCCCCAACCAAGGUUCACCUAGCAAAGUGCAAAGUAGCUAGCAGCCCCCCUCGUGUCGGCACGAAGGGAAUCCUAAGCUAUGAAUGCAUGCCCCCUCCCCCCAACCGAGGUUCACCUAGCAAAGUGCGAAGUAGCUAGCNNNNNNNNNNNNNNNNNNNNNNNNNNNNNNNNNNNNNNNNNNNNNNNNNNNNNNNNNNNNNNNNNNNNNNNNNNNNNNNNNNNNNNNNNNNNNNNNNNNNNNNNNNNNNNNNNNNNNNNNNNNNNNNNNNNNNNNNNNNNNNNNNNNNNNNNNNNNNNNNNNNNNNNNNNNNNNNNNNNNNNNNNNNNNNNNNNNNNNNNNNNNNNNNNNNNNNNNNNNNNNNNNNNNNNNNNNNNNNNNNNNNNNNNNNNNNNNNNNNNNNNNNNNNNNNNNNNNNNNNNNNNNNNNNNNNNNNNNNNNNNNNNNNNNNNNNNNNNNNNNNNNNNNNNNNNNNNNNNNNNNNNNNNNNNNNNNNNNNNNNNNNNNNNNNNNNNNNNNNNNNNNNNNNNNNNNNNNNNNNNNNNNNNNNNNNNNNNNNNNNNNNNNNNNNNNNNNNNNNNNCUAGCAGCCCCCCUCGUCUCGGCACGAAGGGAAUUCUAAGCUAUGAAUGCAUGCCCCCCCAACCGAGGCUCACCUAGCAAAGUGCGAAGUAGCAGCCCCCCCCACACACGCACUUUCAGUCGGUGGGCCAGAGAGGCAUAUCUCACCAAGAUGGAUCGUAAAAUGGACCAAGAAUAAUCCACCUUGGUCGUACAACCUCUCUCUUGUUGUUGGUCAAAGUGAUGGCCAUCCAUGCGACCCCGGAGAUGGGCUAGCUCGCCAACAAUCACACAAGUAGCUAGUCCUCGAAGACAACCACUGCAUGCAUGUGGCCCAAACAUAUGUAUGGAGAGGUGUGUUUUGAGUACACAAUGGAACAACUUUGAUGUGGCACCAUGAUUUCGAACUAGAAAUCCCCACAUUGAGUGAGGGUUAGGUUGACGAUGCAUAUGUAUGUUACACCACACUUCAAGCCAACAACGGGGAUUCAUGCAUGCAUGCGUGCAUAGUAUAUGCGCUCAAACUUAAUUAGGUCUGAAUCUCACCAUGACCUAUACUACGAUAACACGAACCAAAUGAAGAAUCUGCCAUGGUAACCUAUCUUGUUGUCGGUCAAGGUGAUCAUGGAUGUCCACGCCUUCCCACGAAUAUAUAGGCUUGUCGCCGAUAACCACGCGAGGGAGUGUACCAUUCGAAGGCAACCACUACAUGCAUAUGUAUGGAGGUGAUGCGUGCAUGCAUGUUUGAAUACCAUUUCACAACAUUGAUGUGGCGCGUGCGUCAAAAAUCGUACACUCCCCACACAGAGCAAGAUCGGUUCAUGACGUGUCAUUGUACUAGUCACUUCGACUCGAUGGGAGGGAUUCAUGUGUACACAUGCAUGUGUGUGUGCUCAAACUGUAUCAUGCAUGUCAUCCCAGAGCAUGACCUAUAUAUAUACCGUAUUACAAGCAAAAAAAUUAAUCCCCUCGUAAGUCAAAUUAACCUCCCUCGUUGUCAGGCAAAAAGUAGUGAUGGACCAAGCGGGCCCACAGAUGGAAAGCAUCGAUAUCGCUGAUAACCGUGUCGGGUGGUUGGUGCGACAUAUGCCAAGGGAAGGCUUAUCAUUGUGGGAGCCAAUAAAAUGUCGUCGGUGCCUGGAAACGGGAUGAGGCGAAGACAUGCACGCCGGCGAAUCUUACCCAGGUUCGGGGCUCUCCGAGGAGAUAACACCCCUAGUCCUGCUCUACGGGGUCUCCGCAUGAUCACUAGAUCGAUAAAGGGUAGCUACAAUCACUCCUAGAGCUGUUGGGGUCAAGGGAGAAGAAGAACAAGGCUAGCUCUUGCUUCUCUCUAUCUAUGUGUGUGUGCGUGUGCUAUGCUUGGAAGCCAAACAUGCAGAGGUGCGAACUAUGCUUCCGAGAGAACCAGUAGCCAACGGGGGGUUUAUAUAGGCUUACCCCCCGGGGGUACAAUGGUAAUCCGACUGGGAACGGGUCCCAGCCGUCAGUGUCUAUGCUCACCGGCUUCUCCGCCGGCUGGUGAGUCCCGCCGGCUGCCGGCUACUUGGUCGACAGGCCGGCCCCACCGCCUAGGGCUUUGUCGGCGGCUGCUUACUGUAGCCGCGCCUCUGAUGAUGAGGGCUUGGUCGAGGUGAGCGUGGCUACAGUGGGCCGCCUUGGGGGCUAUCACUGUAGCCUCACCUCGUCUUGUCUCCUUAAUGGGGCUCCUGCUUCGAGGAAGGGAGUAGCCGGCUUCUGGAGGCCGGCUAUGCUCCCGGCCGACUAGGAAAAGCCGGGCCGCCUUCACGCCUCUCUCUGGCUGAAGGGGCCCGCGGUCCUUGGGCCGUACGGGAGCAGGUCGUGGAUGACGUCGAGGCUAGCGUGGCUACAGUGCCGGGCCGCACGGGAGACAUCCCUCCCGUACGGCCUCCUGUAGCCGUGCCCGCCUCGGGCUUCGGGGGUCGUGGGCCGCACUGUGGCCACACCCCGUCACGUCGUCGUUAUGUAGGAGUGGUUGUGGUCUUAGCCGGCUUCUAGGAGUCGCGUCCUUCUUGGCCGGCUUCUUGGAGUCGGUGAGGCUGGGUUGCCUUCCGGGAGUCGGCUUCAGUGGUAGCCGGCCGGGGAAGGCGGCCCAAAUGCUUGGAGUGCUUGAAGGCCCAAAGGCCUGAUAAAUUUUCUGAAGAGCCAGGGGUAGUCGGUUAGGCUACCCGUGGCCACUUACUCCGACAGUAGUCCCCGAAGCUGAUUGGGCUUCGAGGUGGAGUGGGGUUCGAGAAGCUCGAACAGCUUCCUAUUGUGACAAGCCGGCAGCUGGGAGCCGGCCUUGGUCAAGCACGCCGCCUGAGCCAAAAUCUUCUGGAGUCGGAGGGCGGGAACCCGCUGGCACGUGCGCCGGGCCACGGGCCGGAAAGCCUGCCAGCCCACGCGCGUGACGGGACGUCGCCGCAGAGAGGGGGCCCGCCACGACCGCGCCGCGGCCCAAGCGCGGAUCCUUUGUAUCCCGAAACCGCCCGCACGUUCCGUGCGGCAGUUUCGGUUCGUACUUAUGCGUAAUAAACGCGAGACGUGGGGGGAGUGGGCGCAGUUAAUCCCCACGUCUCCCCCCACGUCCGGCCUCUUCGGCCGCGUGAGGCUAUAAGUAGGGGGAGGUGGAGGGCGGCAGACCCUCGCGCGCUCCUCCUACUCCCUUUGUCUUCUCGCCUUGCUUGUUCUUGCGACAGCGCCUCGCCGCCGCGCUCUUCCUUCGCACGCUCCUCCGCCACCGUGCCAGCUUCCGCUAUGCCUCCCCACGUUGAGCAGCUUGGCGGGGAUUGGGAUGGCUCCAUCAUCCACAACGACCACAUCGACUUCCUCCGCGACACCCGGCGUCUGCCCAGCGCGGACAAAGUGGAGGUCCGCCUCGCGCCGGAGAAGGAAGUCAGGCCGGCGCCGCGGGAUGGCGAGCGGGUGGUCUUCCGCUCGCACUUCCUGCGCGGCUUCGGACUGCCAGUGAGCGCCUUCUUCCGCUCCUGGUUGGACUUCUAUCAGCUCCAGCCGCACCACCUCACCCCCAACGCGGUGGUGCUGCUGUCGGCCUUUGUCACCCUGUGCGAGGGCUAUCUCGGCGUCCUCCCCACCCUCGAGGUCUGGGGGAAUUCUUCCAGUCGAAGCUGGGCACGCGCGUGCGGGGCGUGCCGGCUCAGACCGGCGCCUUCAUCGCGUCACGGAGAUCAGGCGCCGACAACCCCUUCCCCAUCAUCACGCUGAUCCAAUCGGUGAAGAAGUGGCAGAAGUCAUACUUCUACGUGCGGAACAUCGCUCCACGGGGCAACUACAUCAACCUGCCGGCUUACGUAGCCGGCCCACUGGUGGGGAGGCUGCCCCAGUGGUCCUUCUGGGCGGUGACGCUGUCGCAGGGAGGAAACGCCGACAUCGCCCGCCUGCGGGUGAUGGUCCAGUCGGAGGGCCUGACGGGGCCCGACCUCCUGGCCGCGUUCGUCUGGAGCCGGGUCCUCCCGCUCCAGAGCCGACCUCAUCUGAUCUGUCGGAUGAGCGGCCAGCUCGAUCCGAGCCGGUUGUGCACCAGCGAGAUGCCGCAGCCCGACGCCGCCGACAUGGUGAACUACCUCGCCAAUUGCCAGCUUCCCGACGACUGGCAAUUCGGCAAGGAGCCAUACAGCCGCGCCAAUCCUCCGCCUAUGGUACGCUCCCCUUCUCUUUUUCUCUUUUUCUCUUUUUCUCUCUCAGCUUUGCCGCCGAGUUCCUCUGGGCCGACUCUAACUCAGUCGGCUCGCUCUUUUGACAGAAUCCUCUGCUUCGGCCGGCCGGCGGAGCGAACGUGGAGCGCCGCUUCGUCCCCGACCGGACCGAGCACGACCAGGAGGACCCCGAUCUGGGGGCGGUCCAUAUGGAGGAUGCCGCCAAGCCGGCCGGCGGCCAAGCCGGCGGCGAAGCAGGCGGCUCCGGGUUCUCCGCGACCUUCGACGACUGGCCGGACGAGGACGAAGCCGAAGCCGUCCCGCCCCGUCAGCCGGCCUCCGGACGCGGCGCGGGCUCCUCCGGCGCGCAGCCUGCUCGGGGUAGAGGCCAGAAACGUCGCGCCACCCAGGGCAUGUUCGGCAGCCGGACGAAGAAGCCGAGGGGUGGGGCGGCAGCCACUAGGCGGGAAGAAGCGGCCGCGAAGGCGGCUCGCUUCCGCAAAGUGGUGAAGCAGCCGCAGACUGUGUCGGCGUGAGUUCUCUCUUUCUUCGUACUGUCCUUCUUUCUUUCCUUUGAUGGUUCUUGAGUCUUCGUCUUCUUUUUCAACGGUCAGAGCUCCGCUGUCACUUGAGCGGGCGGCUGCCGGCUCCGUCAUCGGGUCGCCAGGGGGCUCUGGGAGCACCACCCGCCGCGUAGAUCCCCGCGCCGCCCUCCUGGAGGUGACGGAAAGGAACGCGCGGGAGGUGCGGGAGGAGCAGGAAGCGCGGGAGGCGGAGGCACGGAGGGCAGCCGCCGCCCAGGCCGCUCGGGAGGAGGAGGCGGCGAAGGCGCUCGCCGAGGCCGCAGCCAACGCCCAGGCAGAGGCUGAAGCCGAAGCGGUGGCAGGGGAGGCCUUGAUGGUCACUCCCCUGCGCACCAUGGCGCCCGGGGACGUGGAUCCCUCGCCAGGGGGAGCCAGCGGGUCCCAGCCGGGGCUGGGAGGAAGCGGCGACGAUGUCGUCAUCUUGGGGGAGGCGCCGGGGCUGACUCCUCCGACUAGGAUGACCCAAGGCCGCCAGCCUGAGCCUGCGCCCGCACAGUCGGCGGGGGCGAGCCGGCCGCGGGGGCUGAGGUGGCGGUCCGGGUUCCGCCAAGCCGGCGUGCGGGGAAGGCCGCGGCUGAACCGCAGAAGGCUGCGUCGGAGCCACAGCCAGCCGUGGGCUCCAGCUCAUCGGCCCGAGACGUGGAGGCGGCUAGCGCUACCUCGGGGUGGACGCCGGGCGGAGGGACAUCGGUGGUGAACGUCGCUGCACAAGACGUCCGGACCCGGCUGCAAAGCCAAGCCACGGCGCUGAGGCAGUUCACCGAUGAAUUCCUCGCCACGCGGGCAGCCAUCCGGGUUAGUACUCUCAUCUUGUUCUUGAUUUCUCUUGUGGGGGCGCGUCAGCGCACCCACUGGGUGUAGUCCCCGAGUUCCGAGUCGGGUGCUGAGCAGGCGGCUUGGAACUUCUUGGAGAUUUUGUUUUUGCUGCUUUUGUUCUCACGUCGGUCUUCUGUCCAUCUUGCAGGACUACCACAACCUCCGAGCGGCCGCCUUCAACUCCCAGGCUCGGGAGCUGACGUAGAAGACCGCCGAUCUCACUGAAAGCCGAGGUAUGUGACUUGAUCUUUAUCUCAUGUGGGGGCGCGUCAGCGCACCCACUGGGUGUAGUCCCCGAGAUUCGGGCCGACUGCUGAGCAGUCGGCUCGGAUCUUCCAUGAUAAUUUCUCAUUGUGCUUCUUCUUCUAUCUCUGCAGCGGCCAAUGCCGGUCUGAGGGCGCAGCUGGGGGAGUCCCAGACUGCUCUUCGUGCCAAGGACGCGGAGCUCGCCGCCUUGGUGCAGGAGCGCGACCGCCUGGUCAAGAAGCUGGCCGACCAGGAGGAAAGCCACAAGGCGGCGCUGAAGGCUGCGCAGGACCGCGAAGCCGCCCUCCAGGCCGAGUUCGAGACGGAGGCGGCCGGCUGGGCAAAGGACCGACAGACUCUGGUCUCCGGCUAUGGCCAGAUCGAGCAUCUGGUUGACGGUAAGUCGUCUACCCCUUCGUCCUUUCUUGCCAUCUGUUACUUCGACUUGUUUUUCUGAUUUGGGGUUCUUCUUUUCUUUUCUUCUUUGCGCAGAGUACUUCCCUGGUUAUUCAACUGCCGCCAACCAGGCCGUCGAGGCCCGUUGCCAGGCGAAGAGGCAAGCCGGCUUUGAGAUCUCGCCAACCGCCGGCCGCUCGCUAGAGGAACAGCUCCUGGCGAUCCAGGCUCGCAUCCAGCCGGCUCACAGGCUGCUCCGCCGGCUUCAGCGUGCCGGGUCGCAGGUCCUGGCCGCCCUCUGGCCCGGCCAAGUGAUCCCGCGCACUCCCAGUCGGACCGCCGACUGGCUGGAGGUGGCCGUCGGCCGCUUCGAGGCUUGGAAGGCGUCAGCGGCUCGCUCCGGAGCCGGGCGGGCGCUGGAGUUCGUCAAGGCCUGGUACCCUGGCCUGAACCUAGAUCAGCUGGCUACCUGGCGGCAGCAAGCCAACACAGAGCUGGAGCCGGCGCGGCCGGCCAUCAUUCGGCGGGCUUCGGCGAUCGCCGACUACACCGACACCAACGUCUUCGCCCCCGAGGUGGACGACAAUGGAGUCGCCCAGCCGGAAGAUUGGUUCGGGCUGGACCCGGCGUGCGGCGAGGACUCGGCGGAGGAGAUCGACUCCAGUGACGAGGGCGAAGAGGAGGAGGAGGAGGGUGAAGACGUCGAGCCGGCUGGCAGAGUAGCCGGCCAGCCUGACCGCGCCUCCAGCACUACGUCGCGUGCGAGUGUGUCUCCUGCCGUAGGAGGUGGUCAAGCCGGGACCAGCUAGGCGGCCACUCCUUCAGCCGGCGAGCUGCCUUCACCGACCAACUCGGCCUCCAAGUCGCGCCUUAGUCUUCUUUCUUUGUUUUCCUGUCUUGUUACUUUUGAACAAUGUUUGGUUAAGUCUGCACAAUUCCACCCACUGGGUGUAUUCAAACUUAAGUCUGUUGCCAGCCUGUGGGCGGCUUUAUGUAUAUAAGUUAUGCAAUCGGUCUUUCCUUGUACUUUCGCUUUUUGUCCUUUUGCUUUUUUCCUUUGCCGCCCUCCCUUGGUUGCCGCCUCCCUAGUCAAACAGUUGCUCUGCAAUCUGUAGCCGGGGAGUGCCUGGCUGAUUGGGGAGGGGGAAGUACUUUUAGCUCUGCCGGACUUAAGCUAUGUUUUUAGGAAGCCGGCCAGCCGGCUGCUGUGACAGCCGGUAGGCAUAUAUGGAGGCCGUCUCUUUGCUAUAUAGGUUAGUUGUUCCUUAGCCGUUUUUCGUGUGGGCGUCCUUUCUGUCUUCUCUCUUGCUAGUCGGACAGUCAGUUCUUUGAGCUGCGACUUUCAACAAGAGAGGACUUGGGAGCCGGCGCACUACUUUGCUGACUUCGGGAAGAACUUAGAAUAUAGCUCAAGGCGGCCAGUCCCCGGGCCGACUAGUCGGACCCGGUGCCGGACAAGAAUUCAAAAUAUAAUAAUACAUUCAUGGAUAUGACACUCGUCAUUCAUAGAUAAAUAAAAGGCAGUCCCCGAGUACUGUUCGGGGGCCCUGUUGGUUUGUACUUAAUACAAAAGGGGUAGCGUGAUACAUACUGCUUUUCAGCUGUAAAAUCGUCUUAGGAGGUUUGCGGUCCAUGGUCGCUCCGACUCCUUGCCGGAGUCGUCUCUCUUGCGUGCUCUUGGUUUUUGCGCGUCGAUCAAGUAGUAGGAGUCGUUGCCGAGUGCUUUGCUGACGACGAAGGGGCCUUCCCAAGGGGCCGAGAGCUUGUGCUGGCCGGCUGUUCGCUGGAUCAGCCGGAGCACAAGGUCGCCCUCUUGGAAGGAUCUUGGCUUGACCUUGCGGUUGUAGUAGCGGCGCAGGCCUUGCUGGUAGAUGGCGGACCGGUUGAGGGCUAACAGCCGGCCUUCUUCCAGUAGGUCGACGCCGUCUUCUCUUGCUUCUUUGGCUUCCUCCUCCGUGUACAUGGUGAUCCGAGGCGAGUCGAACUCGAUGUCUGUUGGGAUGACAGCCUCGGCACCGUACACAAGGAAGAAUGGAGUGAAGCCGGUUGACUUGUUGGGUGUAGUGCGCAGACUCCAGAGGACAGCCGGUAGCUCUUUGAGCCAGCAGCCGGCCGAUCGCUCCAGUGGUACAACCAGUCGGGGCUUGAUGCCGGAGAGGAUAAGUCCAUUUGCUCGCUCGACCUGGCCGUUUGACUGCGGGUGGGCAACGGACGCUAAGUCCAGUCGGAUGCCCUGUGUCGCGCAGAAACGUGCCAGUGCGCCUUUGGCGAAGUUCGUGCCAUUGUCGGUGAUGAUGCUGUGCGACACGCCGUACCGAGUAGUGAUGUCGGUGAUGAAUGUCACGGCAGUCGGCCCGUUCAGCUUCUUGAUCGGUUUGGCUUCGAUCCACUUUGUGAACUUGUCCACAGCAACGAGUAGGUGCGUCAUGCCACCGCGGGCUGUCUUGAAAGGGCCCACCAUGUCCAGUCCCCAGACGGCAAAAGGCCAGCUGAGGGGAAUGGUCUUGAGGGCAGAAGCCGGCAGGUGUUGUUUGGAACUGAAGACUUGACAUCCUCUGCAGCUCUUAACUAUUUCUUUAGCAUCCUCCAAGGCAGUCGGCCAGAAGAAACCAUGGCGGAAGGCCUUGGCCACGAGGGAUCUUGAGGCGGCAUGAUGGCCGCAUUCGCCUUGGUGGAUGUCUUUGAGGAUCGCCACUCCUUUUUCUGGCUCGACGCAACGCUGGAAGACUCCAGUGACGCUGCGCUUCACAAGCUCCCUGUUGAUUAUUGUGUAUGCUGCGGCUCGUCGUUGCACUAGUCUUGCUGAGAUCUCAUCAGCCGGCAGCUCUCUGCUGACUAGGAACUUGAGGAUGGGCUGGGCCCAUGAGGGAGCUGUGACUUCUUCUGCUGUUAAUGUGGCCACCAUGACUCGGGUGGGUGGGUUGGGUGUUGUAUUGGAGUCGACCGCCGCUUCUUGUGUCGUUGCAGUCCCCGGGCCGACUGCUGCAGUCCCCGGGCCGGGUUCUGAAGUCCCUGGGCCGGGUGCGACUACGUCAGUCGCCGGGGUAGUCGUCGAAGUCCCCGUGCCGCCUGCGGGAUUUCUUGAGCCGGAUCCGGCUGUUUCUAGCGCAGGCGGUACGAAGAUGGAAUCCGACUCUGGAGAUGGCUUGAUGGACGGCUUGAGGAGGCGCUGGAGGGAGACGCCAGUCGGUAUGGCUUGUCGGGUGGAGCCGAUCCGUGCUAGGGCAUCUGCUUGGUCGUUGUCGGCCCUUGGCACAUGAAGGAACUCGCACCCUUCGAAGUAUCCGCUCAUUUGCUGGACGAGGAAGCGGUAGCUCGCCAUGUUUGCGUCCUUGGCGUCCCAGUCGCCAGAUGAUUGCUGGAUCACUAAGUCGGAGUCGCCGUAGCACAGGAUCCGGCGUAUGCCGAGUUCUUUGGCUAGCCGGAGCCCAUGUACGAGCGCCUCGUACUCGGCCACGUUGUUGGAGGCGGCGAAGUGGAUCUGCAGCGUGUACUUGAGCUUGUCGCCUUUGGGAGAGGUGAGGACGAUGCCGGCUCCCAAGCCGGUGCGCAUCUUGGACCCGUCGAAGUUCAUCCGCCAAUGGGUAGAGUCGGGAGCCGGCGGUAAGUACUGGGUCUCGGCCCAGUCGACGAGGAAGUCAGCCAAUGCUUGCGACUUGAUGGCGGUGCGGGGUUGAUAGAAGAUCGUGUAGGGCGCCAAGGCAAUGGCCCAUUUGGCCACCCGGCCGGAUGCAUCCCGGCUGCCUAUGAUCUCGGCGAGCGGGGCAGUGCACACGACCGUGAUGGGGUGCUCUUGGAAGUAGGGCUUCAAUUUCUUGGCAGCGAAGUACACCCCAUAGCACAUCUUCUGGUAGUGCGGGUAGUUUUGCUUUGAGCUGGACAGUACUUCGCUGAGAUAGUAGACCGGCCUCUGGACCAGCUGGGCUCGGCCUUCCUCCGGGCGCUGGACCACAAAAACAGUGCUGACGACUCGGCUUGUCGCGGCGAUGUAGAGGAGCAUGGGCUCCUUCUCAGUCGGCGCGGCCAGGACAGGCGGAGUGGUCAACAUUUUCUUCAACUCAUGGAAGGCUUGGUCGGCUUGAUCAUUCCACUCAAAGUGAGUGGACUUCUUCAUGAGUCGGUACAGGGGGAGAGCCUUCUCUCCUAGUCGGCUGAUAAAGCGGUUCAGGGAGGCUAAGCAGCCAGUGAACUUCUGCACAUCUCGCAGCUUGGUGGGAAUUUCCAUCCUCUCGAUGGCCUUGAUCUUGACAGGGUUGCACUCAAUGCCGCGUUCGGAGACCAGGAAGCCUAGCAGCUGGCCGGCUGGCACGCCGAACACGCACUUCUCGGGGUUGAGCUUGAUCUGGAAUCGACGCAAGUUGGCAAAUGUUUCCUUCAGGUCUUCCAGCAAGGUACCGCGCUUCUCUGUCUUCACCACAAUGUCGUCUACGUAGACGUGGGCAUUUCUGCCGAGUUGUUUCAAGAGACAUUUCUGCAUGCAACGCUGAAAAGUGGCACCGGCGUUUCUCAAGCCGAAUGUCAUUGUCAGGUAGCAGAAAGCUCCAAAGGGUGUGAUGAAGGUAGUCUUCAGGCGGUCAGCCGGGUCCAACUUGAUCUGAUGAUACCCUGAGUAUGCAUCCAAAAAACUUAACAGCUCGCAUCUGGCUGUGGAGUCCAUCACUUGGUCAAUCCGUGGCAAAGCAAACAGAUCCUUUGGGCAGGCCUUGUUCAAACUCGUGUAGUCUAUACACAUGCGCCACUUGUUAUUCUUCUUCAAAACCAGAACUGGAUUGGCAAGCCAUUCUGGAAAGAACACUUCCAUGAUGAAGCCGGCUGCAAGGAGCCGGGCUAUCUCUUCUCCCACUAUUCUUCGCUUCUCUUCUGAUAGUCGGCGGAGGGGUUGCUUGACCGGCUUCGCAUCAGCUCGGACAUGUAAUUUGUGCUCGGCGAAAUCCUUCGGGACACCCGGCAUGUCCUUUGGGGACCAUGCAAAGAUGUCUCGAUUCUCACGGAGGAAGUCGACGAGCUCGCCUUCCUAUUUACUGUCCAAGUUCGCCCCAAUCACGGCGAACCUCUCCGGGUGCUCCGGGUCUAGAGGUAUCUUCUUCGUCUCUUUUGCAGGCUGGAAGGAGCCCUGCGCAUCACAGUCCUUGGGGUUGGGGGACAAGGCCGGCUGCUUGCCGGCCAUGGCCACAACCCGUUCCAACAUCUUCUUCUCUUCUGCCACCACGAGGGACUCGGCCAGCCGGCUGCUGGCCAUGGCACACUCGAUGGACUUCUUGUAGUCGCCGGCUACCGUGAUGAUCCCUUUCGAGCUCGGCAUCUUCAUCUUCAGGUAGGCAUAGUGGGGCACGGCCAUGAACUUGGCCAAAGCAGGUCGGCCAAGCAGUGCAUGAUAGGGGCUCUCCAAAUCCACCACCUCGAACCAUAUUGCUUCCCGGCGAAAAUGAUCUUUGUCUCCGAAGAGAACAUCCAUCUUGAUCUUGCCGAUUGGAGAGCAAGAUAGGCCGGGUACGAUACCAUGGAAGACGGUGCGGCUCGGCAUGAGCUGCUUCGCUUUGAUGUUCAGCUUGUCCAUGGUAUCGCGGUACAGUAUGUUGAUACUGCUUCCGCCGUCUAUCAGGACGCGGGAAAAUCUGGCAGCUCGCCUCUCCGUCGCAAGGGUGACGUCCAAGACCAUAGCAUAGGAGCCAGGCGAAGGCAUCACCUCUGGGUAGUCGGCCUGGCUCCAGCUGAUGGGCUUUUCCGACCAGUGCAUGAACUCGGCGGUGCUAGAGGCGACUGCGUUUACUUCUUGGUGCUGCCGGCAUCGGCUGUGCUUGUCGUCGACUUGACUUGUGAAGACGACAUAGGUGUCGUGUGCUUCGGGGAACUCGUCUUGGAUGGCGCCGACUGCCAGCCGGGCCGCCGGCUGCUGGGGAGCCGGAGGCGGCGGGCCGGGAGGUGGAGGCGGCACCAUCCCUUCGCCCUUGGUGAUGCGGGUGAGCCAGUGGCAUUUCCGUGUUGUAUGGUUGGAUGGCUUCGCGCCGCUGUGGAACUUGCAGGGAGCAUCGAGUGCUUGUUCAUAGGAGAAAGACGGCUGCCAGGGCGGCCGGCCACCCUUCUUCUUGGGAGCGGGCCGCUCUUCAGGCUGCUUGUCUUCAACUGUGGCCACCUGCCGACUGGAGGAAGUCGGCAUGGGGCCCUUGCGCUUGUGGUCGUUCUGGUAGGGGUGCCGGUUGGGGUCGCCAGCCGGCUGCUUGGGAGCCGGAGCAACUACUUUUCCCGAGGCGUCCACUCGGAGCUCGGUCUUCAUGGAAGAGUCAGCCGUGGCAUAUUUGUCGGCGGUGAUCAGCAACUCAUCGAGGGUAGCCGGCUCGUUGCAGAGGAGUCGGUGCUUGAGGAGGGUGCCCUCUCGGCACCCUGCAGUGAAGUACUCGAUGGCCUGGACCUCGUGCACUCCCUCGCAGGAGUUGCGGAGCUCGGCCCAUCGCGUGAGGUAGUCGCGGGUCGACUCGUUGGGCCCUUGGACGCAGAGGAGAGCUGACGAGGCUUGGGGGGCCGCUUGUAGGUGCUGGUGAAGUUACGGACGAAAACUUCGGUGAAGUCCAGCCAACUAUUGAUGCUGUAGGGCUUGAGGCUAUUUAGCCAUGUGCGCACCGUGCCCUGCAGCGUCAGGGGGACGUACUUCACGGCAACGCGCCGGUUGUCGUUGGCGAUGCUGACGGCUGUGGAGUAGUCGAUGAGCCAAUCUUCCGGCUUCACCGAGCCGUUGUACUUGGGCGUGUCUCUGGGGAGCGAGAACCCUUUGGGAAAGGGCUCGUCGCGGAUGCGGGGGGCAAAGCAUGGCGGGCCGACAUCGUCUUCUUCUUCUAACGCCAAGGAUCGAGCCAGGCGGUCGAUCCUGUGGCGGGCGUCGUUCUCGCCGACUCCUUCUCGGCGGCCGAGUCGGUCGCCAAGAGUCGGAUGGGCGACAGGCGGUGGAGUGAGGCGUCUUUCUCUUCGAGGCGGGGGAGGAGGCAGGUUUCCUUGGUGUUCAACCGCCCGAGGGCGGCCAUCCGCGUCGCGCUCGAUAGUGAUGCGAGUCCGGCUGCGGCUGGCAGCCGGCUCCUUGUCUUUCUUCUGGCGCGCGCCGCUCGCAGUCGGCGAGCGGGACGUCGCGGCGUGCUCCCGGCGCGGGGGAUGGCUAUCAGCUCGGGCGCCGGCUUCGUGCCGUUCUGCAGCCGUGUCGAUCAGCUGCUGGAUCCGUCUUGUCAUGUAAGGGAGCUCAUCGGCUCCCAGCCCAUUAAGCUCCUCUGCAGCCGCCUGAGCGGCUCGCAGAUUCUCGAGCGGGGUGGCGUAGACGGGGCGAUCUGCGCCCAGCAUGCUGGCAACGGCUGCGCCGCGCUUCUGGACGAAACCGGCUCGGCUCGGGCCGCUAGGCGGCGGCGUCCCGAAGGCGGCGCGGUCAGCCUCGCGCUGGUGGGCCUCGGUGAGGCGUCUCAUCGAGGCUAUCUUCUUGCCCUCCGCGAUGAGGGCAAGGCGGCGUGCCUCCAAGGUCUCGGCGUCGGCGUCGGCUGGGAUGGGGACGGAGAGGUCGUGCAUCGCCGCUUGCUGAGCGUCGCGGGCGUUCUCGCCCGAAUUGGAGACGUGGCUGAUGACCAGCACUUCGGUGACAGCGCUGCUGCCGCUGUCAGCUCGAGGGAGUGGGUCGUCAAAGACCACCACGUCGGAGGGGUAAGCGUCGAGCGACGCGGUGUCGGAGUCGAUGAGCAUCGGGUCGGUGGAGCUGACAGACUCCAUGUCCGCAGCAGGCUCGCUGGAGACGUGAAGUUGGUCGAGGAGGCUGACGAGGCGGCUCUCGGGGUAGUCGGUGCCUGCGUCGGACGCAGGCUUGUCGGAGAUGCAAGUCUCGCCGAGCAGAUCGGCGAGGCGGCUUGCUGCGCAGGCAUCGUCGACGCCUUGCAGCGCAUCGGGGCAAGCGCCAUCGAGCGCAGCAGGCUGGCUGCGCUCGCGGGGAAGGAAGAGGGUUCCAGUCCAGAACAGGUCUCCGGACGACGGUGCACCUCGCCCCACGGUGGGCGCCAAAUGUCGGGUGGUUGGUGCGACAUAUGCCAAGGGAUGGCUUAUCAUUGUGGGAGCCAAUAAAACGUCGCCGGUGCCUGGAAACGGGAUGAGGCGAAGACAUGCACGCCGGCGAAUCUUACCCAGGUUCGGGGCUCUCCGAGGAGAUAACACCCCUAGUCCUGCUCUACGGGGUCUCCGCAUGAUCACUAGAUCGAUAAAGGGUAGCUACAAUCGCUCCUAGAGCUGUUGGGGUCAAGGGAGAAGAAGAACAAGGCUAGCUCUUGCUUCUCUCUAUCUAUGUGUGUGUGCGUGUGCUAUGCUUGGAAGCCAAACAUGCAGAGGUGCGAACUAUGCUUCCGAGAGAACUAGAAGCCAACCCUUUGCAUGGGUGCUCCGGGGGGUUUAUAUAGGCCUACCCCCGGGGGUACAAUGGUAAUCCGACUGGGAACGGGUCCCAGCCGUCAGUGUCUAUGCUCACCGGCUUCUCCGCCGGCUGCUGGGUCCCGCCGGCUGGUGGGUCCGGCCGGCUGCCGGCUACUUGGUCGACAGGCCGGCCCCACCGCCUAGGGCUUUGUCGGCGGCUGCUUACUGUAGCCGCGCCUCUGAUGAUGAGGGCUUGGUCGAGGUGAGCGUGGCUACAGUGGGCCGCCUUGGGGGCUAUCACUGUAGCCUCACCUCGUCUUGUCUCCUUAAUGGGGCUCCUGCUUCGAGGAAGGGAGUAGCCGGCUUCUGGAGGCCGGCUAUGCUCCCGGCCGACUAGGAAAAGCCGGGCCGCCUUCACGCCUCUCUCUGGCUGAAGGGGCCCGCGGUCCUUGGGCCGUACGGGAGCAGGUCGUGGAUGACGUCGAGGCUAGCGUGGCUAUAGUGCCGGGCCGCACGGGAGACAUCCCUCCCGUACGGCCUCCUGUAGCCGUGCCCGCCUCGGGCUUCGGGGGUCGUGGGCCACACUGUGGCCACACCCCGUCACGUCGUCGUUAUGUAGGAGUGGUUGUGGUCUUAGCCGGCUUCUAGGAGUCGGCGUCCUUCUUGGCCGGCUUCUUGGAGUCGGUGAGGCUGGGUUGCCUUCCGGGAGUCGGCUUCAGUGGUAGCCGGCCGGGGAAGGCGGCCCAAAUGCUUGGAGUGCUUGAAGGCCUAAAGGCCUGAUAAAUUUUCUGAAGAGCCAGGGGUAGUUGGUUAGGCUACCCGUGGCCACUUACUCCGACAAACCGCUUAAGUGGGUGCGAGAGGACUGUUGGGGAACGCAGUAAUUUCAAAAAAUCUCCUACGCACACGCAAGAUCCAUCUAGGUGAUGCAUAGGAACGAGUGGGAGAGUGUGUCCACAUACGCUCGUAGACUGAAAGCGGAAGCGUUAAGCAACGCGAUUGAUGUAGUCGAACGUCUUCGCGAUCCAACUGAUCAAGUACCAAACGCACGGCACCUCCGCGAUCUACACACGUUCAUCUCGGUGACGUCCCUCGUACUCUUGAUCCAGCUGAGGCCGAGGGAGAGUUUCGUCAGCACGACGACGUGAUGACGGUGAUGAUGAAGUUACCGACGCAGGGCUUUGCCUAAGCACUACAACGAUAUGACCGAGGUGGAAAUCUAUGGAGGGGGCACCGCACACGGCUAAGACAACUGUCAACUUGUGUUCUAGGGUGCCCCCCUCCCCACGUAUAUAAAGGAGUGAGGGGGAGGCCGGCUGGCCCUCAUAGGCGCGCCAAGGGGGGAGGAAUCCUCCUCCUAGUAGGAGUAGGACUCCCCACUUUCCUAGUCCUACUAGGAGAAGAAGGAAGGAGGGGGAAAGAGAAGGAAGGAGGGGGCGCCGCCCUCCCCCUAGUCCAAUUCGGACUAGGACCAUGGGGGGGGGGGGGCGGCUAGCCCUUGGCAGCCCCUCUCUCUCUCCCCUAGGCCCAAUAAGGCCCAUUACUUCUCUGGUGGUUCCGAUAACCCUUCCGGCACUUCGACAUUUAUCCGGUGACCCCCGGGACUCAUCCGGUGUCCGAAUAACAUCGUCCAAUAUAUCAUUCUUUAUGUCUCGACCAUUUUGAGACUCCUCGUCAUGUCUGUGAUCACAUCCGGGACUCCGAACUACCUUCAGUACAUCAAAACACAUAAACUCAUAAUACCGAUCGUCAUCGAACGUUAAGCGUGCGGACCCUACGGGUUCAAGAACUAUGUAGACAUGACCGAGACUCAUCUCCGGUCAAUAACCAAUAGCGGAACCUGGAUGCUCAUAUUGGCUCCCACUUUUUCUACGAAGAUCUUUAUUGGUCAAACCGCAUAACAACAUACGUUGUUCCCUUUGUCAUCAGUAUGUUACUUGCCCGAGAUGCGAUCGUCGGUAUCUCUAUACCUAGUUCAAUCUUGUUACCGGCAAGUCUCUUUACUUGCUCCGUAAUUCAUCAUCCUGUAACUAACUCAUUAGUCACAUUGCUCGCAAGGCUUAUAGUGAUGUGCAUUACCGAGAGGGUCCAGAGAUACCUCUCCGACAACCGGAGUGACAAAUCCUAAUCUCGAUCUAUGCCAACUCAACAAACACCAUCAGAGACACCUGUAGAGCAUCUUUAUAAUCACCCAGUUACGUUGUGACGUUUGAUAGCACACUAAGUGUUCCUCCGGUAUUCGGGAGUUGCAUAAUCUCAUAGUCAUAGGAACAUGUAUAAGUCAUGAAGAACGUCAUAGCAACAAACUAAACGAUCAUCGUGCUAAGCUAACGGAUGGGUCAAGUCAAUCACAUCAUUCUCUAAUGAUGUGACCCCGUUAAUCAAAUGAGAAAUCAUGUCUAUGGCUAGGAAACUUAACCAUCUUUGAUUAACGAGCUAGUCAAGUAGAGGCAUACUAGUGACACUCUGUUUGUCUAUGUAUUCACACAUGUACUAAGUUUCCGGUUAAUACAAUUCUAGCAUGAAUAAUAAACAUUUAUCAUGGUAUAAGGAAAUAUAACUAACAACUUUAUUAUUGCCUCUAGGGCAUAUUUCCUUCAGCCUCCCACUUGCACUAGAGUCAAUAAUUUAGAUUACACAAAAAUGAUUCUAACACCCAUGGAGUCUUGGUGCUGAUCAUGUUUUGCUCGUGAGAGAGGAUUAGUCAACGGGUCUGCAACAUUCAGAUCCGUAUGUAUCUUGCAAAUCUGUAUAUCUCCCUCCUUGACUUGAUCGCGGAUGGAAUUGAAGCGUCUCCUAAUGUGCUUGGUUUUCUUGUGAAAUCUGGAUUCCUUUGCCAAGGCAAUUGCACCAGUAUUGUCACAAAAGAUUUUCAUUGGACCUGAUGCACUAGGUAUGACACCUAGAUCAGAUAUGAACUCCUUCAUCCAGACUUCUUCAUUUGCUUCUUCUGAAGCAGCUAUGUACUCCGCUUCACACGUAGAUCCCGUCACGACGCUUUGCUUGGAACUGCACCAACUGACAGCUCCACCGUUCAAUAUAAAUACGUAUCCGGUUUCUGACUUAGAUUCAUCCGGAUCAGUGUCAAAGCUUGCAUCGACGUAACCAUUUAUGACGAGCUCUUUGUCACCUCCAUAAACGGGAAACAUAUCCUUAGUCCUUUUCAGGUAUUUCAGGAUGUUCUUGACCGCUGUCCAUUGAUCCACUCCUAGAUUACUUUGGUACCUCCCUGCUAAACUAAUAGCAAGGCACACAUCAGGUCUGGUACACAACAUUGCAUACAUGAUAAAACCUAUGGCUGAAGCAAAGGGAAUGACUUUCAUUUUCUCUUUAUCUUCUGCUGUGGUCGGGCAUUGAGUCUGACUCAACUUCACACCUUGUAACACAGGCAAGAACCCUUUCUUUGCUUGAUCCAUUUUGAACUUCUUCAAAACUUUUUCAAGGUAUGUGCUUUGUGAAAGUCCAAUUAAGCGUCUUGAUCUAUCUCUAUAGAUCUUGAUGCCCAAUAUAUAAGCAGCUUCACCGAGUUCUUUCAUUGAAAAACUCUUAUUCAAGUAUCCUUUUAUGCUAUCCAGAAAUUCUAUAUCAUUUCCAAUCAACAAUAUGUCAUCCACAUAUAAUAUUAGAAAUGCUACAGAGCUCCCACUCACUUUCUUGUAAAUACAGACUUCUCCAAAAGUCUGUAUAAAACCAUAUGCUUUGAUCACACUAUCAAAACAUUUAUUCCAACUCCGAGAUGCUUGCACCAGUCCAUAAAUGGAUCGCUGGAGCUUGCACACUUUGUUAGCAUCCUUUGGAUCGAUAAAACCUUCUGGUUGCAUCAUAUACAACUCUUCUUCCAGAAAUCCAUUCAGGAAUGCAGUUUUUACAGCCAUUUGCCAAAUUUCAUAAUCAUAAAAUGCGGCAAUUGCUAAUAUGAUUCGAACGGACUUAAGCAUCGCUACGGGUGAGAAGGUCUCAUCGUAGUCAACUCCUUGAACUUGUCGAAAACCUUUCGCAACAAGUCGAGCUUUGUAGAUAGUAACAUUACUGUCAGCGUUAGUCUUCUUCUUGAAGAUCCAUUUAUUCUCUAUUGGUUGCCGGUCAUCGGGCAAGUCAACCAAAGUCCACACUUUGUUCUUAUACAUGGAUCCCAUCUCAGAUUUCAUUGCCUCAAGCCAUUUCGUGGAAUCUGGGCUCACCAUCAAUUCCUCAUAGUUUGUAGGUUCAUCAUGGUCAAGUAACAUGACUUCUAGAACAGGAUUACCGUACCACUCUGGUGCGGAUCUGCAGCGACCCGACCUCAGAUGGUCAAGUCUCUGUGCUUCAGUGUCAUCCCUGGAUCGGUAAUGCUGACACACACAGUACUCGAAGGAUUUAUAACAGAGUGGCAAUCACACACUUAGUUCAUCGAAUGUCUCAAAUUAAAGAGAACGUAUUACAAUAAAUAAGGCUUAAGGCCAUCUAAUACGAUAACAGCGGAAGACUUGGAAGAUAAAGUGAGUCCAUCAACUCCAAUGGCAUAGCUGAGCUGCAUAACAACGACCUAUCGCACCUUUACUCGUCGUCUGAAAAGUCUGCAACAUCAUAUGUUGCAGGCCGAAAACGGGUCAGCACAUGGAAUAUGCUGGCAAUGUAACACAGUAGAGCAAUGAACAGAUAAAUGCUUUCACUACAUGCAUAUAUGUCUGGUGGAGGCUCUAUGGUUAUAUGGUUUUUGCGAAAAGCCAAUUUUUCUCUACAACAAAGGAAUAAAUUUUAUUUAACUAUCAUGGUAGUUGAAACAUCACUGAGAAGGUACCCCCAUCUCAAUCCCAAUUAAAGUAAUCUUUAACCCAACAAAUUAUAUUUAGAGUGAUGAGAUACAAUAGGAUAAUCCAAGCACUAGAUACUCAAGAUGUCCAUAACCGGGGACACGGCUAACCAUGAUUAGAUUGUACACUCUGCAGAGGUUUGCUCACUUUUCCCCAUAAGAUUCGAUCUCCUCCGUUGGAUUUCUCGCACUACAUGGUGUUUGAGAAACGGAUGACCGAGACAUAGUCUUUCAGAAGCAUUAACUCUUUACUCCGGGUGGACAGUUACACCUACUUUCCCUCUACAUCUGCUAGCCCACCACUGAAAGAGGUCACACAACAUACUCUGCCAGAGCCCAUAAUGGCUUGUGGCUGCACACGGAAGUUUCUAGCAUGAAUAAUCUCACGAUCCCUUUGAGCCUGGGUGGCGGACCUUAGGAGGAUCACACGGUAUAUCCCCGGUAUCUCCUAGGACAACACUGGUAUAUCCCCAGGUGCCCAAACAAGCAAUCCACCCAGAUGUGUAUUAGAGUUGCCACCUUAAGUUGAACCAUUAAUUAAUAAUCUCACAUCUGUCAUGGAUUCACUCACCCAAAUCACGUCUACGAGCAUAACAUGGCAAUAUAAGCAUAACGUAGAAGUAACUCCCAAAGGUUUGAUAAUAAAACAGGUAAUAGGUUCUACCUCAUCAUCUACUUCCCAAUACCCACAAGUUAAACACAUCCUAGUCAUGCAAUGUUUGAGGAUUGGAUCUAAUGCAUAAAAACUGGGUAUGAAAAGAGUAUGAUCAAUGUGUUACUUGCCUUGCUGACGAUCCGCAAAACCUAGUGACUCGUAGUAGCACGCUUCGCACUCCGGGAAUUCUAUCGCAAACAAACAAUAGCAUACAUAAGCAAUCAAACAAAGAUGCACGGGUAAAUCUCAAAUAAGAAGAUCUAACCAGAAAGUUCAACUUAAGAACUCCGGUUUGUGUAACAUCCCAAAUUUUCAAUUUGGAAUGUUAUACAUAGAUCAUUCAUGCAUAUCAUAUUUUAUUGCAUUUCGUUUUUUUCUUUGCAAUCCUCGAAAUUCUAAGCAACUCAACGACCCUUGGAGAGAGUUGGGGAUUUCACCGUUUUCGUAUUUGAAUCUUAUCAAAUAUCGAAACGAGGAUUAUUUGUUUUAAAUAUUUUUCUCCCCGAAAAUAUUUCAUAUUAAAAUUUAUGAGAGGGAAUAAAAUGACUUUCCCAAAAAUAAUGAAAUAUUGGAGGAAAAAUAUUAAAAGCAAAUUGAUAUUUUAUUUGGGAUUUUAUUGCUAUUUUAUUUGCAUAGGAAAAAUAUGCGUUUUUCAAAAUUGCAUUUUAGGCCCAAAUAAAUGUUCACCUGGUCAGGCAUAUUUUUAGAAGACGGGGAAAAUUCAUUUCGGGAUUUUUGGAGUCCGUUUAGUAUUUCUUUUAUUUCUUUUUCUGCAUGUAUGAAUUACUAAAAAAAAUGAACCGACUCCGGGCCGUACCCGAGCGGGACNNNNNNNNNNNNNNNNNNNNNNNNNNNNNNNNNNNNNNNNNNNNNNNNNNNNNNNNNNNNNNNNNNNNNNNNNNNNNNNNNNNNNNNNNNNNNNNNNNNNNNNNNNNNNNNNNNNNNNNNNNNNNNNNNNNNNNNNNNNNNNNNNNNNNNNNNNNNNNNNNNNNNNNNNNNNNNNNNNNNNNNNNNNNNNNNNNNNNNNNNNNNNNNNNNNNNNNNNNNNNNNNNNNNNNNNNNNNNNNNNNNNNNNNNNNNNNNNNNNNNNNNNNNNNNNNNNNNNNNNNNNNNNNNNNNNNNNNNNNNNNNNNNNNNNNNNNNNNNNNNNNNNNNNNNNNNNNNNNNNNNNNNNNNNNNNNNNNNNNNNNNNNNNNNNNNNNNNNNNNNNNNNNNNNNNNNNNNNNNNNNNNNNNNNNNNNNNNNNNNNNNNNNNNNNNNNNNNNNNNNNNNNNNNNNNNNNNNNNNNNNNNNNNNNNNNNNNNNNNNNNNNNNNNNNNNNNNNNNNNNNNNNCCGCCGCCGUCACCGAAGCCGCCGCCCGCCGUCGCCGGAGCCGCGCCGUUGACCGUGUUGACCGGUCGGUUUUUUUCGGUUAACCUCGGUUUAUUUAUUUAUUUAUUUUCGUAGAUCGUUUUUUUCGGUUUAGUAUUUAGCGGACGUUCGUCCGUACGUUCGUUUUAACGAACGGUUUUUGUUAGUUAACCGCAGACAGCGAACGUUCGUUCGUUAGCCAGUUCGUCAGUUUUUCUUUUUAUCGGAUUUUCCGCGAUUAUUUUCGAUCGCGAUUUCUGAUCCGAUUUUCGUUUCUGUUUAUCUUUUCGCUCGUAAGUUGGAAUCAGGCGAUUCAAGUGCCUACAUCUUCGUCUCGAGACCCUCUUUCUGUUUAACCAACUUGAACAAGAUUUUGGUACUGUAAAAUUUGACCUUCGUCCAGAUUAGUAAAUGAAUCUUGUUUUGCUCGCAGUUUGAAUUUCGUUGCUCCGUUUGAUUUGAUUCUUUUUGCAAACCGGAGUUCUUAAGUUGAACUUUCUGGUUAGCUAUUCUUAUUUGAGAUUUACCUGUGCAUCAUUGCUUGUUUGCUCAUGUAUGCUAUUGUUUGUUUGCGAUAGAAUUCCCGGAGUGCGAAGCGUGCUACUACGAGUCUCUAGGUUUUGCGGAUCGUCAGCAAGGCAAGUAACACAUUGAUCAUACUCUUUUCAUACCCAGUUUUUAUGCAUUAGUAUCAAUCCUCAAACAUUGCAUGAUUAGGAUGACUUAACUUGUGGGUUUGGGAAGUAGUUGAUGAGGUAGAACCUAUUACCUGUUUAUUAUCAAACCCUUAGGAGUUACUUCUACGUUAUGCUUAUACCGCUAUGCUAUGCUCGUAGACGUGGGAUUGGGUGAGUGAUAUCCAUGACAGAUGUGAGAUUGUUAAUUAAUGGUUCAACUUAAGGUGGCUACUUAAACACACAUCUGGGUGGAUUGGUUGCGGAUAACUGGGGUUCCAGCUCUGUCCAUUUGGUUCGCCACCCAGGCUCAAAGGGAUCUAAGAUUUUUCAUACUGGAAACUUCCGUGUGCAGCCACAAGCCAUUAUGGGCUCUGGCAUAGUUGAGUAUGCUACAUGACCUCUCGAAGAUGUGGGCUAGCAGAUGUAGAGGGAAAGUAGGUGUACGUGUCCACGCAGAGUAGAGAGUAAUGUUUCUGAAAGACUGUGUCUCGGUCAUCCGUUUCUCAAACACCAUGAAGUGCGAGAAAUCAAACGGAGGAGAUCGAGUCUUGUGGGGAAAAGUGCGCAAACCUCUGCAGAGUGUACAAUCUAAUCAUGGUUAGCCGUGUCCCCGGUUAUGGACAUCUUGAGUAUCUAGUACUUGAAUUAUCCUAUGUAUCUCAUCACUCUAAAAUAAUAUGUUGGGUUGUUAAUCACUUUUAAUUGGGGUUGAGUUGGAGGAACCUUCGCAACAAUGUUUCAACCACCAUGAUAGCUAAAAUAAAAUAUAUUCCUUUGUUGUAGGGAAAAAUUGGCUUUUCGCAAAAACUAUAACCAUAGAGCUUUCCACCAGCCAUAUAUGCAUAUAGUGAGAGCAUUAUUCAGUUCAUUGCUCUACUGUGUUAUAUUGCCAGCAUAUUCCAUGUGCUGACCCGUUCUCGGGCUGCAACGUAUUAUGUUGCAGACUUUUCAGACGAUGAGUAAGGAUGCGAUUAGGUCGUUGCCGUGCACUCAGCUAUGCCGUUGGAGUUGAUGGACUCACUUAUCUUCCAAGUCUUCCGCUGUUAUCUUUUUAGAUGGCCUUAAGCCAUAUUUAUUGUAAUAAGUUCUCUUUUGAGAAAUUUGAUGUAAUAAGUGUGUGAUUGCACUCUGUUUUAAAUCCUUCAAGUAUUGUGUGUGUCAGCAUUACCGAUCCAGGGAUGACACUUAUGCACAGAGGUUUGAUCCAUUCGGGUCAGGUCGCUACAAAGAUGGUAUCAGAGCACACGCUGACUGUAGGACACGACCACUAAGAUCAGCCAUAGAUCACUCUUCUCUACUCAUUUCUGACUCCUCUCCAUUUUCCACUCUCUAGGAUGGUGGACCAGAGGAACAAGUUUAUGCAACCGGAUGAAGACACCCCUUUUGGACGACACCUGAAGGAAGUCACUAGGUACCUAAACAUUGGAAUACCAAGUUUCACCGGGACCUACAAUGCCACUUUACCAGAAGAGGAGCGUUGGAUGAUUCAAGUUCAUAUUCCAGGAAGGACGUUCAUGCCAGUAAUUGAACGUAUAGAGUUUUCCUUUGAUGCACCAACCUGGAGUCUAGGCAAGAGCAUGGCAGCCCACAUUGCUAUGGGACAUAUUGGAGAAGUCUACAAGCAGGAGUUGAAGGACACUACCUACCAGAUAUGUGGGCGAAGAGAUGAGCAAUGGGAGAUGAUCAGCACCAGGAAGGAUAGGUCCAUUGCAGCAUUCAUCCAGGAGUUAAACCAGCACAUCCGACGCCAGGAGAAUCUAAUGUGUGCAGACAUGAUAGAGUUGAAGAAGGUGAAGACUAGGAUCACCGAACUUGAAGAGGAACUCAAGGCCACACGCGAUGGAUAUGAGGAGGAAAUCGCAACGCUAGUGGAGAAGAAUGAUGACCUGAAGCAGAAGAUCGAAGUUUUCAUGGGAGACCCUGUGCCAGAAGGAGAAGAAGACGAACCCAAGGAGAUUCAUUCCGAAGACAACAUCAUCAUCGACGACACCGACUCUGACCCCGACGAUAGUAAUGAUGAUUUUGUAGACGAAGCUGGAGCAGACAUCAUGGAGUCUUCCACCGAUCAAAAUUUCUAGAUGACCACCAUAUGAUUAGUAGUAAUUUUCCCCAUGUAUAUAGUAGUAGAUUGAGCACUUUAACGAUAGUUCUAGACCGCUUGUAUGCCCUUGCUUGGUUGAUUGAGUGAUAUGAUUUGAUAUGUUUGUCUCAUGUGCAUAUGGGUAGUGUUUUCCCCUUAGACCUCAUUCUAUUCUAAUCUCUUCCCUCUAAACCCAUCAGAUGCCUCCGAGACAUGACCCCGGAUUUGUCUUCCCACCGGAGCUCACUCAGUUGACCCAGCAGCAGAAUGCCUUAAUGCAGAUGUUAGUUCAUAACCAGGCCAACAACAACAACAACAACCCACCGCCACCACCUCCAAUUAACAACUUAGCCCAGUUUAUGAGGUUAAAUCCGCCGGUGUUUUCCAGUAGCACCGAGCCAAUAGUUGCUGAUGAUUGGCUACGCCAUAUUGGAAAGGAGUUAACCACCGCAGGUUGCACAGAUGCUGAGAAGGUGCGCUUUGCCGCACAUCAAUUGGAUGGACUAGCAGCCGCAUGGUGGGAGAAUUACACGGCCACUUUUCCCAUAGCCAAUGUCACUUGGGAUCAGUUUCAGCAAGCUUUCCGCACAGCCCAUGUCUCAACUGGAGCUAUGAGUAUGAAGAAGCGUUAGUUUCGCAACUUACGCCAGGGGAACCGUACUGUGGCCCAGUACGUGGAUGAGUUUAGCAAGUUGUCUCGCUAUGCCCCUGAUGAUGUGGCCACGGACACCGCGAAGCAGGAGAAGUUUAUGGAAGGGCUAAAUGAUGAGAUGAGUAUGCAGUUGAUGGUGGCAACAUUCAACAACUACCAGGAGUUGGUAGAUAAGGCUCUUAUGAUUGAAGGGAAGCAGCAGCAGAUUGAUAGCCGCAAGAGGAAGUAUGGACAAGGGAAGUUCAACCCAGGAGCCCAGCAGAAGCCCCGGUUCACCCCGAACUCGGGAGGACUUGUUCAUAACCAUGGAGGUCAUAACCAUAAUGGAGUAAGUUCGCACAACCAUAAUGGCCACAAGAAUGGAAAUGGAAAUGGAGCAAGCAACAAUCAGAACCGCUCUAACCCAGCCACACCCACCAAGAGGGACCUAAGUCACGUUACUUGUUUCAAGUGCGGGAAGACGGGACACUAUGCCACAGAGUGCCCAGAAGCAAAGAAUGGCAAUGGUAAUGGAAGCGCUGGGAAGAAGCCUAACCCAUUCAACCGAGGACAAGUGAACCACGUGAACAUGGAGGAGGUUGAGGAGCAGCCUGAUGCAAUUAUUGGUAAGUUUUUGGUUAAGUCUUUUACUGCAAUUGUUCUUUUUGAUACUGGUGCAUCGCAUUCAUACAUAUCAAGGGGAUUCGUGGAUAAGUAUAAGUUGCCCACAAAAACACUUGUCACACCCAUGUUAGUAAGAUCACCCGGAGCGGAAUAUAUGGCAAGACAAGGAUGUUUUUAGAUGCCAUUGACCAUUGGAAGUCAGGUUUUCCCCUCAGACCUGAUAGUUUUGGAGUCACAAGGAUUGGAUGUGAUAUUAGGCAUGGAUUGGCUAUCGCUGUAUGGAGGAAGCAUCGAUUGCGCUAGUAAGACGAUUUUGCUCACUACCCCGGAGGGAAAAAGGAUCAAGUAUGUAUCUAGGCAUGUGCCUAAAAGGAUCCAAGUAAAUUCUCUCACGGGAGUAGUUCAGGAGGAAGUACCUGUAGUAAAGGAGUAUCCGGAUGUUUUUCCUAAGGAGUUACUAGGCAUGCCGCCAGACCGGGACAUCGAGAUUUUGAUAGAAUUAUUGCCAGGCACCGGACCGAUAUCAAAGAGGCCAUAUCGGAUGCCCGCAAAUGAUCUGGAGGAGAUUAAGAAGCAGAUCAAGGAGUUAUUGGAGAAAGGUUACAUCCGACGAAAUUCAUCACCAUGGGGAGCCCUAGUACUCUUGGUUGAGAAGAAGGAUGGAUCGUUAAGGAUGGUGGUUGAUUAUCGAGCAUUGAAUGAGGUGACGAUUAAGAACAAAGACCCACUGCCGAUGAUCAAUGAUUAGUUUGACCAGUUGCAAGGAGCUAAAGUAUUUUCAAAAAUCAAUUUGCGAUCAGGAUAUCACCAGCUGAAGAUUCGGGAGAAGGAUAUACCGAAGACAGCAUUCACCACCAGGUACGGGUUAUAUGAGUAUACGGUCAUGUCAUUUGGACUGACUAAUGCCCCUGCCUAUUUCAUGAGCAUGAUGAACAAGGUGUUUAUGGAAUAUUUGGACAAAUUCGUUGUGGUGUUCAUUGAUGAUAUUAUGGUAUACUCGAAGAAUGAAGAGGAACACAAGGAGCAUUUGCGUCUAGUUCUCGAGAAGCUCAGGGAACAUCAGUUGUAUGCCAAGUUUAGCAAAUGUGAGUUUUGGUUGAAGGAAGUUGGAUUCCUUGGACAUGUUAUAUCAGGAGAAGGUAUAGCAGUAGACCCCACCAAGGUUCAAUCAGUCACUGAGUGGUUGGCACCCACUUCAGUUAGCGAGAUCCGCAGUUUUCUUGGACUCGCAGGAUACUAUCGGAGAUUUAUUGGGAAUUUUUCCAAGACUGCGAAGCCCAUGACAGAGCUAUUGAAGAAGGAUACUAAAUUCAGAUGGACUGAAGAAUGCGAGGCAAGUUUCCAGGAGUUGAAGAAACGUUUGACUACAGCCCCAGUGCUGAUUCUGCCAGAUAUUCGCAAGGAUUUCCAAGUGUAUUGCGACACCUCUCGCUUAGGAUUUGGAUGUGUGCUUAUGCAGGACGGAAGAGUUGUUUCGUAUGCCUCACGGCAACUGAAACCGCAUGAGUUGAAUUAUGCCACGCAUGAUUUGGAGUUAGCAGCAGUAGUACAUGCGCUCAAGACUUAGAGACAUUAUCUUAUUGGAAACCGCUGUGAUGUGUACACAGAUCACAAGAGUUUGAAGUACAUGGUUAGCCGUGUCCCCGGUUAUGGACAUCUUGAGUACCUAGUACUUGAAUUAUCCUAUGUAUCUCAUCACUCUAAAAUAAUAUGUUGGUUUGUUAAUCACUUUUAAUUGGGGUUGAGUUGGAGGAACCUUCUCAACAAUGUUUCAACCACCAUGAUAGCUAAAAUAAAAUAUAUUCCUUUGUUGUAGGAAAAAAUUGGCUUUUCGCAAAAACUAUAACCAUAGAGCUUUCCACCAGCCAUAUAUGCAUAUAGUGAUAGCAUUAUUCAGUUCAUUACUCUACUGUGUUAUAUUGCCAGCAUAUUCCAUGUGCUGACCCGUUCUCGCGCUGCAACGUAUUAUGUUGCAGACUUUUCAGACGAUGAGUAAGGAUGCGAUUAGGUCGUUGUCGUGCACUUAGCUAUGCCGUUGGAGUUGAUGGACUCACUUAUCUUCCAAGUCUUCCGCUGUUAUCGUUUUUAGAUGGCCUUAAGCCAUAUUUAUUGUAAUAAGUUCUCUUUUGAGACAUUCGAUGUAAUAAGUGUGUGAUUGCACUCUGUUUUAAAUCCUUCAAGUACUGUGUGUGUCAGCAUUACCGAUCCAGGGAUGACACUUAUGCAUAGAGAUUUGAUCCAUUCGGGUCAGGUCGCUACAGUUUGCAAAAAGAAUUAAAUCAAACGGAGCAACGAAACUCGAACUGCGAAAGAAAGAAGAUCCGUUUACUAUUCUGGACUAAAGUCAAAUUUUACAAUACCAAAAUCUUGUUCAAGUUGAUUAAACAUAAAGUGGGUUUUGAAACGAAGAUCUAGGCGCUUGAAUCGCCUGAUUCCGAUAAACGAGCGGAAAGUUAUACUAUAAAGAAAAUCGGAUCAGAAAUCACGGUCGAAAAUAAUCGCGAAAAACCCCCUGAGAAAAAGAGAAACUGACGAACAGGCUAACGAGCGAACGUUCGUUGUCUGUAACUAACGGGCGAAAACCAUUCGUUAAAACGAACGUACGGACGAACGUCCGCUAUAUAAACUAAACCGAGAAAACCGGCGAACCGAUCUAAAAAAACGAACUAGGGUUUUUAUAAAAAAACGAACGGUUUUUAACGAAAAACCGGCGGCGGCGGCUACCUCGACGGCGAGGUCGGCAACGGGCGGCGGGCUCCGGUGGCGGUGGCAGCGGCACGACAGCGAGGCGGCGGCGCGACGUCAGGCGGCGGUGGCAGGCAGCGGGGGCGGUGAGGCGCGCAGCGGCGGCGGCUCGGGCGGCGGGCGGCGCUAGGGUUAGGCGCGGGUGGUGAGGCGGCUCAGGUGGGCUGGCAGGUCGCGGGGCAGCGGCUUAUAAGGGCCGGCCCGAGGUGUCCUGGCCGGAUACGGCCCGGAGUCGGUCGCGUGUUUUUUUAAAUAAUUCCGACGUGCAGAAAAAGAAAGAAAAGAAAUACUAAACGGACUCCACAAAUCCCGAAAUAAAAUUUCCCCGUCCUCUAAAAAUAUGCCGGACAAGAUGAACAUUUACUAAGGACUCUAAUGCAAUUUUGAAAAACGCAUAUUUUUCCUAUGCAAAUAAAAUAGCAAUAAAAUCCCCAAAAAAUGUUUAUUUGAUUUUAAUAUGUUUCCUCCAAUAUUUCAGAUAUUUUGGGGAAGUCCUAUUAUCCCCUCUCAUAUAUUUUUAUAUGAAAUAUUUUCGAAGAGAAAAAUAUUUAAAACAAAUUAUCCUCGCUUUGAUAUUUGAUAGAAUUCAAAUAUGAAAACGGUGAAAUCCCAAACUCUCUCCGUGGGUCCUUGAGUUGCUUAGAAUUUCGAGGAUCGCAAAGCAAAUAUGCAAUAAAAUAUGAUAUGCAUGAAUGAUCUAUGUAUAACAUUCCAAAUUGAAAAUUUGGGAUGUUACAAGAUCUUACUCUGGUAGACCUACGAGGUUCGGUAGUAACUUGAUCUGAAGUUACAUGAUCAUCAUCAUUAGCUUCCUCACUAAUUGGUGUAGGAGUCACAGGAACUGAUUUCUGUGAUGAUCUACUUUCCAAUAAGGGAGCUGGUACAGUUACCUCAUCAAGUUCUACUUUCCUCCCACUCACUUCUUUCGAGAGAAACUCCUUCUCUAGAAAGGAUCCAUUCUUAGCAUCGAAUAUCUUGCCUUCGGAUCUAUGAUAUAAGGUGUACCCAACAGUCUAUUUUGGGUAUCCUAUGAAGACACAUUUCUCCGAUUUGGGUUCGAGCUUAUCAGGUUGAAGCUUUUUCACAUAAGCAUCGCAACCCCAAACUUUAAGAAACGGCAACUUGGGUUUCUUGCCAAACCACAGUUCAUAAGGUGUCGUCUCAACGGAUUUAGAUGGUGCCCUACUUAACGUGAAUGCAGCCGUCUCUAAAGCAUAACCCCAAAACGAUAGCGGUAAAUCAGUAAGAGACAUCAUAGAUCGCACCAUAUCUAAUAAAGUGCGGUUACGAUGUUCGGACACACCAUUACUCUGUGGUGUUCCGGGUGGCGUGAGUUGCGAAACUAUUCCGCAUUGUUUCAAAUGAAGACCAAACUCGUAACUCAAAUAUUCUCCUCCAUGAUCAGAUCGCAGAAAUUUUAUUUUCUUUUUAUGAUGAUUUUCCACUUCACUCUGAAAUUCUUUGAACUUUUCAAAUUCUUUAGACUUAUGUUUCAUCAAGUAGAUAUACCCAUAUCCGCUCAAAUCAUCUGUGAAGGUCAGAAAAUAACGAUACCCGCUGCGAGCCUCAAUAUUCAUCAGACCGCAUACAUCAGUAUGUAUUAUUUCCAACAAAUCUGUUGCUCGCUCCAUUGUUCCGGAGAACGGAAUUUUAGUCAUCUUGCCCAUGAGGCAUGGUUCGCAAGUACCGGGUGAUUCAUAAUCAAGUGAUUCCAAAAGUCCAUCAGUAUGGAGUUUCUUCAUGUGCUUUACAGUAAUAUGACCCAAACGGAAGUGCCACAAAUAAGUUGCACUAUCAUUAUCAACUCUGCAUCUUUUGGCUUCAAUAUUAUGAAUAUGUGUAUAUCUACUAUCGAGAUUCAACAAAAAUAGACCACUCUUGAAGGGUACAUGACCAUAAAAUAUAUUACUCAUAUAAAUAGAACAACCAUUAUUCUCAGAUUUAAAUGAAUAACCGUCUCGCAUCAAACAAGAUCCAGAUAUAAUGUUCAUGCUUAAUGCUGGCACCAAAUAACAAUUAUUCAGGUCUAAAACUAAUCCCGAAGGUAGAUGUAGAGGUAGCGUGCCGACGGCGAUCACAUCGACUUUGGAACCAUUUCCCACGCGCAUCGUCACCUCGUCCUGAGCCAAAUCUUUGCUUAAUCCGUAGUCCCUGUUUCGAGUUGCAAAUAUUAGCAACAGAACCAAUAUCAAAUACCCAGGCACUACUGCGAGCAUUAGUAAGGUACACAUCAAUAACAUGUAUAUCACAUAUACCUUUGUUCACCUUACCAUCCUUCUUAUCCGCCAAAUACUUGGGGCAGUUCCGCUUCCAGUGACUAGUUCCUUUGUAGUAGAAGCACUCAGUCUCAGGCUUAGAUCCAGACCUAGGCUUCUUCACUUGAGCAGCAACUUGCUUGUCGUUCUUCUUGAAGUUCCCCUUCUUCCCUUUACCCCUUUUUCUUGAAACUGGUGGUCUUGUUGACCAUCAACACUUGAUGCUCCUUAUUGAUUUCUACCUCCGCAGCCUUUAGCAUUGCGAAGAGCUCGGGAAUUCUCUUAUCCAUCCCUUGCAUAUUAUAGUUCAUCACGAAGCUCUUGUAGCUUGGUGGCAGUGAUUGAAGAACUCUGUCAAUGACACUAUCAUCAGGAAGAUUAACUCCCAGUUGAGUCAAGUGGUUGUGGUACCCAGACAUUCUGAGUAUAUGUUCACUGACAGAACUAUUCUCCUCCAUUUUGCAGCUGUAGAACUGAUUGGAGACUUCAUAUGUCUCAGUCGGGGCAUUUGCUUGAAAUAUUAACUUCAACUCCUGGAACAUCUCAUAUGCUCCAUGACGUUCAAAACGUCGUUGAAGUCCUGGUUCUAAGCCGUAAAGCAUGGCACACUGAACUAUCGAGUAGUCAUCAGCUUUACUCUACCAGACGUUCUCAACGUCAUCAGCAGCAUCUGCAGCAGGCCUGGCACCUAGCGGUGCUUCCAGGACGUAAUUUUUCUGUGCAGCAAUGAGGAUAAUCCUCAAGUUACGGACUCAGUCCGUGUAGUUGCUACCAUCAUCUUUCAACUUAGCUUUCUCUAGGAACGCAUUAAAAUUCAAAGGAACAGUAGCACGGGCCAUUGAUCAACAACAUAGACAUGCAAAAUACUAUCAGGUACCAAGUUCAUGAUAAAUUAAAGUUCAAUCAAUCAUAUUACUUAAGAACUCCCACUUAGAUAGACAUCCCUCUAAUCAUCUAAGUUAUCACGUGAUCCAAAUCAACUAAACCAUGUCCUAUCAUCACGUGAGAUGGAGUAGUUUUCAAUGGUGAACAUCACUAUGUUGAUCAUAUCUACUAUAUGAUUCACGCUCGACCUUUCGGUCUCAGUGUUCCGAGGCCAUAUCUGCAUAUGCUAGGCUUGUCAAGUUUAACCCGAGUAUUCUGCGUGUGCAAAACUGGCUUGCACCCUUUGUAUGUGAACGUAGAGCUUAUCACACCCGAUCAUCACGUGGUGUCUCGGCACGACGAACUUUCGCAAUGGUGCAUACUCAGGGAGAACACUUGUACCUUGAAAUUUAGUGAGAGAUCAUCUUAUAAUGCUACCGCCGAACUAAGCAAAGUAAGAUGCAUAAAGGAUAAACAUCACAUGCAAUCAAUAUAAGUGAUACUAUAUGGCCAUCAUCAUCUUGUGCCUUUGAUACCAUCUUCAAAGCACCGUCAUGAUCACCAUCAUCACCGGCUUGACACCUUGAUCUCCAUCGAAGCAUCGUUGUCGUCUCGCCAACUAUUGCUAUCAUGACUAUCACUACCGCUUAGUGAUAAAGUAAAGCAAUUACAUGGCGAUUGCAUUUCAUACAAUAAAGCGACAACCAUAAGGCUCCUGCCAGUUACCGAUAACUGUUACAAAACAUGAUUAUCUCAUACAACAAUUUAUAUAUCAUCACGUCUUGACCAUAUCACAUCACAACAUACCCUGCUAAAACAAGUUAGACGCCCUAUACUUGUUGUUGCAAAUUUUACAUGCCUGCUACGGGUUUAGCAAGAACCAUUCUUACCUACGCAUCAAAAACCACAACGAUUUUUUGUCAAGUGUACUGUUUUGACCUUCAACAAGGACCGGGCGUAGUCACACUCGAUUCAACUAAAGUUGGAGAAACAGACACCCACUAGCCACCUAUGUGCGAAGCACGUUGGUAGAACCAGUCUCGCGUAAGCGUACGCGUAAUGUCGGUCUGAGCCACUUCAUCCAACAAUACCGCCGAAUCAAAGUAUGACAUGCUGGUAAGCAGUAUGACUAUUAUCACCCACAACUCUUUGUGUUCUACUCGUGCAUAUAACAUCUACGCAUAGACCAUGCUUGGAUGCCACUGUUGGGGAAUGCAAUAAUUUCAAAAAAAAUCCUACGCACAUGCAAGAUCCAUCUAGGUGAUGCAUAGAAACGAGUGGGAGAGUGUGUCCACAUACCCUCGUAGAUCAAAAGCGGAAGCGUUAAGCAAUGCGGUUGAUGUAGUCGAACAUCUUUGCGAUCCAACCGAUCAAGUACCGAACGCACGACACCUCCGUGAUCUGCACACGUUCAGCUUGUUGACGUCCCUCAUACUCUUGAUCCAGCUGAUGGCGAGGGAGAGUUUCGUUAGCACGAAGGCGUGAUGAUGAAGGCGUGAUGAUGAAGUUACCGACGCAGGGCUUCGCCUAAGCACUACAACGAUAUGACCGAGGUGGAAAUCUGUGGACGGUGGCACCGCACACGGCUAAGACAACUGUCAACUUGUGUUCAAGGGUGCCCCCUCCCCAUGUAUAUAAAGGAGGGAGGGGGAGGCCGGCCGGCCCUCAUAGGCGCGCCAAGGGGGGAGGAAUCCUCCUCGUAGUAGGAGUAGGACUCCCUCCUUUCCUAGUCCUACUAGGAGAAGAAGGAAGGAGGGGGCGCCGCCCCUCCCCCUAGUCCAAUUCGGACUAGGCCCAUGGGGGGCGCGCGACACUCCGACAUUUAUCAGGUGACCCAAUAAGGCCCUCUCUCUCUACCCUAGGCCCAAUAAGGCCCAUUACUUCUCCGGUGGUUCCGAUAACCCUUCCGGCACUCCGACAUUUAUCCGGUGACCCCCGGAACUCAUCCAGUGUCCGAAUAACAUCGUCCAAUAUAUCAUUUAUGUCUCGACCAUUUCGAGACUCCUCGUCAUGUCCGUGAUCACAUCCGGGACUCCGAACUACAUUCGGUACAUCAAAACACAUAAACUCAUAAUACCGAUCGUCAUCGAACGUUAAGCGUGCGGACCCUAUGGGUUCGAGAACUAUGUAGACAUGACCAAGAGUCAUCUCCGGUCAAUAACCAAUAGCGGAACCUGGAAGCUCAUAUUGGCUCCCACAUAUUCUACGAAAUCUUUAUCGGUCAAACCGCAUAACAACAUACGUUGUUCCCUUUGUCAUCGGUAUGUUACUUGCCCGACAUUCGAUCGUCGGUAUCUCUAUACCUAGUUCAAUCUCGUUAUCGGCAAGUCUCUUUACUUGUUUCGUAAUGCAUCAUCCCGUAACUAACUCAUUAGUCACAUUUCUUGCAAGGCUUAUAGUGAUGUGCAUUACCGAGAGGGCCCAGAGAUACCUCUCCAACAAUCGGAGUGACAAAUCCUAAUCUCGAUCUAUGCCAACUCAACACACACCAUAGGAGACACCUGUAGAGCAUCUUUAUAAUCACCCAGUUAUGUUGUGACAUUUGAUAGCACACCAAGUGUUCCUUCGGUAUUUGGGAGUUGCAUAAUCUCAUAGUCAUAGGAACAUGUAUAAGUCAUGAAGAAAGCAAUAGCAACAAACUAAACGAUCAUCGUGCUAAGCCAACGCAUGGGUCAAGUCAAUCACAUCAUUCUCUAAUGAUGUGACCCCGUUAAUCAAAUGACAACUCAUGUCUAUCGCUAGGAAACUUAACCAUCUUUGAUUAACGAGCUAGUCAAGUAGAGGCAUACUAGUGACACUCUGUUGGUCUAUGUAUUCACACAUGUACUAAGUUUCCGGUUAAUACAAUUCUAGCAUGAAUAAUAAACAUUUAUCAUGAUAUAAGGAAAUAUAAAUAGCAACUUUAUUAUUGCCUCUAAGGCAUAUUUCCUUCAAGGAGAACCACCAUCGCUUUGCAUGUGCCAAACAUAUAUAUGUUGAAUACAAAAAAUGCACAACUUUUGAUGUGCCACAUGCCUCAAAAACCGUAAAACAUGCACCCACACAGAUCGAGGUUCAUGAAGCGUACUACAUAUGAUGGUCCCCUUCCCCCCUCUUUGACGCAUACUAUAUGCUCCUACCAUAAUAUGUACAACCCAAAAGAAUCCUCAUCGAUGGUGAAAUUAAUUAACCUCUCCCGAUGUAGGUCAAAGUGAUGCAUGCAUGCAUCGACGAUGGUGAUAACCCACAAGUAUAGGGGAUCAUUUGUAGACUUUUCUGAUAAAUAAGAGUGUCGAACCCAAGGAGGAGCUAAAGGUAGAACAAAUAUUCCCUCAAGUUCUAUCGUCCACCGAUACAACUCUACGCACGCUUGACGUUCGCUUUACCUAGAACAAGUAUUUAACUAGAAGUACUUUGUAGGUGUGAUAGGAUAGGUUUGCAAGAUAAUAAUGAGCACGUAAAUAAAAUCUAGGGGCUGUUUAGAUAAAGACACAACUAAGAGAGCUUUUGUCAACAAGAAAGUUAUUUGUCCCUAGGCAAUCGAUAACAAGUACCAGUAAUCAUUCUUGUAAUUUUAAAUGAGGGAGAGGCAUGAGCUAACAUACUUUCUCUACCUGGAUCAUAUGCACUUAUGAUUGGAACUCUAGCAAGCAUUCGCAACUACUAAAGACCAUUAAGGUCAUGAAACCCAACCAUAGCAUUAAGUAUCAAGUCCUCUUUACUCCCAUACUCCAUAACCCACCUACUCGGGUUUAAGUUUCUGUCACUCUCGCAACCCACCUUAAGAAAACCAUGAACAUACUACAACACCCUACAGCGGGGCCCCCCCAUGUUUGCGCAAGACGGAGGGAACCGUAGGACAACACCAUGAAUAAAAUAUACAAUCAUACCAACCAAGAUCACGAUUAACACACAGGACAAAACAGAUCUACUCAAACAUCAUAGGAUAACCAUAGAUCAUUGGGAAAUAAUAUAUGGAGUUGAGCACCAUGUUUAAGUAGAUAUUACAGCGGGGGGAAGAGGUGUUACACCGCUGCAUAGAGGGGGAGAAAGUUGGUGUUGAUGGUAGCAAGAUUGUUGAUGUAGAUCGCCGUCCCGAUCGUUGCCCCGGCGACACUCUGGCGCCACCGGGAGACAGGGGGAGAGAGCCGCAAUGCUUCUUCUUCUUCCUUGGCCUCCUCAUUAGAUGGGAGGAGAGUUCCCCCUCUGGUCCUUGGUCUCCAUGGCGCCGGAGGGGCGGGAUCCCCUCCGAGAUUGGCUCUCCCUCUCUGUUCUCUUCUGUUUUGCGCUCCCCCAGAUCUGGCCGAAAAUCGUUUCUUAUAUUCCCAGAGAUCCGUAACUCCGAUUGUGCUGAGAUUUGAACAUGAUUUUUUUGUGGAUAUAAGCUUCCUUGCACCUGAAGUAGAGGUCCAACCGACGUACGAGGUGAGCACAACCCACCAUAGCACACCUGGCUCCUCUUGCGCGCCCUGGUGGGUUGUGCUCACCAGGGCCUCCGUUUGUGGUGAUUCCAACUCCCAAAAAUCACAUAUAUUCCCAAAUAAUUCUCUGUGAAAUUUUAUUGCAUUUGGACUUCGUUUGAUAUGGAUACUCUGUGAUACGAAAAACAUGCAGAAAACAGGAACUGGCACAUGGCACUGGAUCAAUAGGUUAGUCCAAUAAAUCAUAUAAAAAGCCAAAAGUAUGUAAAAGUUGUAUAAUAUUGGGAUGAAACAAUCAAAAAUUAUAGAUACGACGGAGACGUAUCAGCAUCCCCAAGCUUAAUUCUUGCUCGUCCUCGAGCAGGUAAAUGAUAAAAAAGAUAAUUUUUGAUGUGGAAUGCUACCUAGCAUAAACUUGAUCAUAUAUCUUAUCAUGGAAUGAAUAUUAAGACAUAAGUGAUUCAAAGAAAAUAGUCUAUAAUUUGACAUAAAGACAUCAAUACUCAGGCAUCCCAAUAAACAAUCAUGUCUUUCAAAAUAUGAACGCUAAAGAAAGCUAUCCCAACAAAAUCAUAUAGUCUUGUCAUGCUCUGUCUUCUUAACACAAAGUAUUUAUCAUGCACAACCCCGAUGACAAGCCGAGCAAUUGGUUCAUACUUUUUAACGCGCUUCAGCUUUUUCAACCCUCACGCAAUACAUGAGCGCAAGCCAUGGAUAUAACACUAUAGGUGGAAUAGAGUAUGAUGAUAGGGGUAAAUAUAGAGAAGACAAAAAAGUAAGAAAGUCUCACAUCGACGCGGCUAACCAAUGGGCUAUGGAUAUGCCCAUCAAUUGAUAUCAAUGCGAGGAGUAGGGAUUGCCAUGCAACGAAUGCACUAAGAGCUAUAAGUGUAUGAAAGCUCAAUAUGAAACUAAGUGGGUGUGCAUCUAAUCCUAUAAUGAAAUAUUCCCACUAGUAUAUGGAAGUGACAACAUAGGAGACUCUCCAUAUGAAAAACAUGGUGCUACUUUGAAGCACAAGUGCGGUAAAGGAUACUAACAAUGCCCCUUCUCUCUUUGUUUAUUUAUUUUUAUUUUUUCUUUUCUUUUUUUCUUUUUUUCUUUUUUCUCUCUCAUUGUUCUGAGUCUCAUCCCGACUUGUGGGGGAAUCAUAGUCUCCAUCAUCCUUUCCUCACUGGGGCACUGCUCUGAAAAUGAAUAAUGAUGAUCAUCACACUUCUAUUUACUUAUAACUCAAAAGAAAUAAAAAUUACAACUCGAUACCUAUGACAAAAUAUGACUCUAUAUGAAUGCCUCUGGCAAUGUGCCAGGAUGUGCAAUGAUCUAGCAUAACAUGUAUGAAAAAUGAUGAACGAUGGCUGAGCCACAACUACUAUGUCAGCUAUAUGAUCAUGCAAAGCAAUAUGACAAUGAAUGCUCAAGUCAUCAAACGGAAGCGGUGGAAGUGGCAUGGCAAUAUAUCUCGGAAUGGCCAUGGAAAAGCCAAUUAUAGGUAGGUAUGGUAGCUGUUUUGAGGAAGAUAUAAUAAGCUUAUGUGUGAUAGAGAGUAUCAUAUCACGGGGUUUGGAUGCACCUGCCAAGUUUGCACCACGUCUCGAUGUGAGAAAGGGCAAUGCACGGUAUCGUACAGGCUAUCAAAUUGCGGAAAGGUAAGAGUGCGUACAAUCCAUGGACUCACAUUAGUCAUAAAGAACUCAUAUACUUAUUGCAAAAGUUUAUUAUCCCUCGAAGCAAAGUACUACUAUGCAUGCCCCUAGGGGGAUAGAUUGGUAGGAAAAGACAAUCGCUCGUCCCCGACCGCACUCAUAAGGAAGACAAUCAAUAAUAAAUCAUGCUCCAACUUCAUAGCAUAACGAGAGACUAUACGUGCAUGCUUCGGGAAUCACAAACCUUAACACCAAUAUUCCUACUAAACACAACCAUUUACUAGUACCUCCCACAUAUUAUCAUGUCUAUAUCGCAAAACUAUUGCAAGGAAUCAAACAUAUCAUAUUCAGUGAUCCACAAGUUUUAUGUAGGAUUUUAUGACUAACCAUGCAAAUGACCAAUUCCCGUUGACUCUCUAAAUAGAUCUAAGUGAAGCAUGAGAGUUUAAUUCUUUCUACAAAAGGCCAUGCUCUAAUAAAUAUAAGUGAAGCAAAAGAGAAUUCUUCAAAUAACGGUUUUCUAUGUGAAGAGAAACAAGCAAUCCAAACUUCAAAUGAUAUAAGUGAAGCACAUGAAGCAUCCUAUAAAGCCAUACUCAAAAUAUAUAAGUGAAGCGCAAUGAGCAUUCUAUAAAUCAACCAUGGACUAUCUCAUAGUAGCAUGGUGCAUAAAAUAAAAAUGAAAACUGAAAGCAAAAGACGCUCCAAGAUUUCCAAAUAUCACAUGAACCAAACGAAACCGAAAACAUACCGAUACUUGUUGAAGAAAGAUGAGAUGCCUUCCAGGGCAUCCCCAAGCUUAGACGCUUGAGUCUCCUUGAAUAUUUACAUGGGGUGCCGUGGGCAUCCCCAAGAUUGAGCUCUUGCCUCUCCUCCUUCUCCUCAUAUCGAGACCUCCUCGAUCUUUGAUCACUUCAUCAACACAAAACUCAAUAGAAAGUUCGGUAAGAUCCGUUAGCAUAAUAAAGCAAAUCACUACUCUAAGUACUAUUGCAAACCAAUUCAUAUUUUGUUUUUGCAUUGCAGCUAAUGUAAAAUAACUUUUCCAUGGCUUAAUCCACUGAUAGAAAUUGAUAGUUUCAUCAAAACAAGCAAACAAUGCAUCAAAAAUAGAAUCUGUCUUAAACAGGACAGUCUGCAGUAAUCUGAACAUUAACGAUACUUCUAGUACUCCAAAAAUUCUGAAAAUUUAUGACAAAAUAAACAAUUUGUAUAUAAAGACAGUGCAAAAAGUUUCAGAACCGUUUGACGUUCCAGUAAAAAAUGUAAAAUCGCGCACUACAGCCAAAGUUUCUGUUUUGCACCGCACAAACCAAGAAACAAUCUACUCAUCAUAAAGGAAAAUCUUGGCACAUUAUUUUUAUAAUACAAUGGAAUUGUACAAGGGGAUAAUUAUUUUUGUUGAAAAGUUUAUGUAAUUAAGAUUCACAAAGUUUCUGUGAGCAUGAACAAAGUUCAAGGAGCCCCCCACUUCAACAAUGCUUGUCUCUUUCACUUUCACUUUCCUUUUUGAAAAGUUUUGUGUUACCCUCUAUGUUUUUUUAAACUUUAGAAAAGCACUCAACAGAAAUAAAUGACUCUCUAAAACUUCCGGGUUGUGUCCCUGGCAGCGCUUUCUUUGAAGCCAUUAAGCUAGGCACAAAGUGCUCAAGUAAUGGAUCCACCCGGAUCCCAAGGUAUAUCAAAGCCAAUUUGAAUCAACAAUGUUUUUGCAUUUAGUAGUGAGCACAAAGCAGCAUAUAUCAUGCAAUGACGAAGUCUAACUCUCUUCCUAUGCAUCGGCAUGUCAUACAAGAACAAUUCAUGCACAUCAAGUAAAGGCCAAUACAUAACAUAAGCAAUUUCUUGCAAUUUUUUCGUGUUGGAAACAUAAAGAGGCGGAGAUGUAGUUCCUCUCUCAUAAGAAUUGCAAGUAGGAGCAGCAAGCACAUGCAUAUUAUAUUCAUCAAAAUCAUCAUGUGUAGUAGCAAAAUGCAGCCCAUCAACAUAAUCCUUAACAAGAGCAAACUUCUUCGAUAUAGUGUAGUUGGGAGAAUUCAAAAAGAUAAUAAGACUAUCAUGUGUGGGUGCAAUAGCAACAAUAUCAUUCUUAACAUAAGGAACUAUAACAAGUUCAUCUUCAUAAGCAUAAUUCAUGUUGGCAUCUUGGCCACAAGCAUAGCAAGAAUCAUCAAAAAGGGAUAUUUCAAACGAAUCAAUGGGAUCAAUGCAAUUAUCAUGGCAAUCAUCCUUCGGUAAGAAUGAAGGGAAAUUAAAUAAUGUAUGAGUUGAAGAGUUACUCUCAUUAGAAGGUGGGCACGGGUAGCUAAUCCGAUCUUCCUCCCUUUGUUCAUCGCUCUCCUCAUCAUCUUUUUCAUCUAAUGAGCUCACAACUUCAUCAAUUUCUUCUUCCAUAGACUCCUGCAAAAUAUUAGUCUCUUCUUGGACAACAGAGACUUUCUCAAUCAAUUCAUCAAUAUCAGAGUUAUAUUUAUAAUUAUCAUAGCAAUAUUUAAGGAUGGCAAAAUUUUCGGGUCUAUAAACAUCAUCAUCAAAAGCUUCAUGUUUUUCAAACAAAGAUUCAAUUUCAUAAGCACCCUUAAAAGCAACAAAUUCUUCUAUUCGUUCCACAUUAUAGUAAUCAUAUAUACCAUUAGCAUAAGAAGCCAAGGUUUCAUUAUCAUUAAAUUCACAUGAAAAGGGAAGAUGUGGAGCAUUCAUCCUAGAGCAACAAGUAUAAUCAUAUCUCAAGCAUAGCUCCCGAGCAUACCAAUGCAACAUAUGAAUUUGAUCCCAUAAAAAUUUCCCUUUAUGAGUCAAGCGAUAAUCCCUAAAGUAUUCACGUUGAUACAACAUUACUCCCAUUAUAUAGUGGAAUGGGGUUUUCUCAGGAUUAUCAAAGUAGUGCAUAAUAUCUUUUACAUAACGGGCAUAGAGGGUUUUAGGAGGUUCCCCAUCUCCAUGAGUAGCAAGUACCACUAUUUCUUUUGGUGUUUCGUGUUCCAUAUCCAUAACUAAAGAUAGAGACCAACUUAGUACAGGAAAUAAAAACUACUUAGUGAUAAAGCAAACAAGCACACACGAGAAUAUUCACCCCACGCUAUUGCUCCCCGGCAACGGUGCCAGAAAAAGGUCUUCUUAACCCACAAGUAUAGGGGAUCGUUUGUAGCCUUUUUCGAUAAAUAAGAGUGUCGAACCCAACGAGGAGCUAAAGGUAGAACAAAUAUUCCCUCAAGUUCUAUCGACCACCGAUACAACUCCACGCAGGCUUGACGUUCGCUUUACCUAGAACAAGUAUGAAACUAGAAGUACUUUGUAGGUGUGAUAGGAUAGGUUUGCAAGAUAAUAAAGAGCACGUAAAUAAAAUCUAGGGGCUAUUUAGAUAAAGACACAACUAAGAGAGCUUUUGUCAACAAGAAAGUUAUUUGUCCCUAGGCAAUCGAUAACAACUACCGGUAAUCAUUCUUGUAAUUAUAUAUGAGGGAGAGGCAUGAGCUAACAUACUUUCUCUACUUGGAUCAUAUGCACUUAUGAUUGGAACUCUAGCAAGCAUCCGCAACUAUAAAGAUCCUUAAGGUCGUGAAACCCAACCAUAGCAUUAAGUACCAAGUCCUCUUUACUCCCAUACUCCAUAACCCACCUACUCGGGUUUAAGUUUCUGUCACUCUCGCAACCCACCGUAAGCAAACCAUGAACAUAUUGCAACACCCUACAGCGGGGGGCCCCCAUGUUUGCGCGAGACGGAGGGAACCGUAGGACAACACCAUGAAUAAAAUAUACAAUCAUACCACUAAGAUCACGAUUAACCCACAUAACAAAACAGAUCCACUCAAACAUCAUAGGAUAACCAUAGAUCAUUGGGAAAUAAUAUAUGGAGUUGAGCACCAUGUUUAAGUAGAUAUUACAGAGGGGGGAAGAGGUGUUACACCGCUGCAUAGAGGGGGAGAAAGUUGGUGUUGACGGUAGCAAGAUUGUUGAUGUAGAUCGUCGUCCCGAUCGUUGCCCCGGCGGCACUCCGGCGCCACCAGGAGAGAGGGGGGAAGAGCCCCCCUCCUUCUUCUUCUUCCUUGGCCUCCCCCUAGAUGGGAGGAGAGUUCCCCAUCUAGUCAUUGGUAUCCAUGGCACCGGAGGGGCGGGAGCCCCUCCGAGAUUGGAUCUCCCUCUCUGUUCUCUUCUGUUUCACGCUCCCCCAGAUCUGGCCGAAAAUCGUUUCUUAUAUUCCCGGAGAUCCGUAACUCCAAUUGCGCUGAGAUUUGAACACGAUUUUUUUCCGGAUAUAAGGUUCCUUGUUCCUGAAGUAGAGGUCCAACUGACGUACGAGGUGAGCACAACCCACCACAGCACGCCUGGCUCCUCUAGCGCGCCCUGGUGGGUUGUGCCCACCACGGGCCUCCGUUUGCGGUGAUUCCAAUUCCCAAAAAUCACAUAUAUUCCAAAAUAAUACUCCAUGAAAUUUUAUUGCAUUUGGACUUCGUUUGAUAUGGAUACUCUGUGAUACGAAAAACAUGCAGAAAACAGGAACUCGCACUGGGCACUGGAUCAAUAGGUUAGUCCAAUAAACCAUAUAAAAAGUUGCCAAAAGUAUGUAAAACUUGUAUAAUAUUGGCAUGAAACAAUCAAAAAUUGUAGAUACGACGGAGACGUAUCAGCAUCCCCAAGCUUAAUUCCCGCUCGUCCUCGAGCAGGUAAAUGAUAAAAAAGAUAACUUUUGAUGUGGAAUGCUACCUAGCAUAAACUUGAUCAUAUAUCUAAUCAUGGCAUGAAUAUUAAGACAUAAGUGAUUCAAAGCAAUAGUCUAUAAAGACUUAUAUUUGCAAUGAGGGAAUCUACACUCUAAAAUGUAUUUGUAUACAUCUAUAUGUGAUCCAUAGUGGAAAUCUCUACAAAGACUUAUAUUUUGGAACGGAGGGAGUAUGAUAGUGUAGUACAGUAUGUUCCUUGUAGUGAAGAUGAGCAGGGACAUUUGCAAUGUAGAGGUCUAUUCGGUCGGUUAUGAUGGACACUUUGAAAUCUUCGGGCCUCUUUGAUUCGUAGGAUUUUAUAAACAUAGGAAUAGGAAUUGAAGUGGCCUGCCCACUUGAAUCCUAUAAGAUUAGCAAGGAAAUGCGGGGAGUUGUGUCGCCUUUGAGAGUUACACUAAUAUUAACAGUACCGCACCUUCAGUUGAAGAGAGCUGGUAUCCGAAGCCUUUCUAGCCAUACCGGCAAUACUAGCACAUAUAUUCCAGCAAGUUCCACUUUCCUGAUUUUACUCCUGAUGCUUAGGGUUUUCCCAUUAUAUCUACACUACGAUCUGCGUAGGUGCUUUGUGUCCUACUAGCAGCUGUCCACCCUUUAAAGCUAAAUAACACACCAAUCAUACGUCCUAAGGUUCUUCAAAUACGAAUGUGAUAUGAUACUGCCAUUAGCUAACAAACACACAUUUAAUUGGUUAGCUUAUGCUCCCAAUUGAGUUUCCAAAUACAUGUGGCCACAUAUAGAGAGACAUCAUGGAAUUGCAUUUCUUUGGGCGCUCUGAUUCAUCAUGGGUGGGCAACCAACAUUGUAUAGAAAUAAGGGGAAUCUUAAUAAUAUGCUUCCCCUUAUAUUCUUUAACAUGUUCCUCUUUUGUUAUUCUUUAGUAAGCACAGUAUGUUCCUUGUCAGGAAGGGGAUCAGGGACAUCUGCAGUCGACAGCUCUAUUGGGGCGGUUCUGCUAAAUGAUUUUGCAUUUCGAGUUGGUCUGCCAUAAUACCCUGGAAAUGGUGGGAGCCGCGCGGUAUUUGAUAGACUAAACUGAUAGUAACAGUUGUGCGCCUUCAGAUGAAUAGAGCUGGCCUGUCGGUGAUCGAUAGGUUGCAUAUUAGUAGCGGCAAAACCCUGUGUUUUCCAGCCAGUUCUGCUUUCCCGAUUUAUUUAUGGUGGUUAUGGUGUACCCCUAUUAUCUACACUAUGAUCUGCCUACUGGCUCUGCGCUCUCGUUAUCAUGGUUUGGCAAUAAACUUUCUAUACGGUAUAUUAUGAACCUAUCGUCUGCCAACUAUCCUUACAUCUGGGGCUCCCAACAGGGAGCCUAUUUUUUGUGUAGUUGUGCCAGAUUAUAUUAAUCUACUCACCAUAUUACAACACACAUGGGCUCUCUCAUCAGAAUCCAGUGAUAGCACACAAGGGUUUACAGGGAGCCUCUAUUAUAUUACAAUAUCCUCUGCAUUAAAAAGAUAAUCUCACUACUAUUUGUGUUUUCAUGCUUUAUAGAUAUUGUAUGUAAUCACAAUGAAUAUAAGAAUGUGCACAUCAGAAGAAUAUUACGGAACAGUUCAAUGGGUAACAAACUUGGCAUCAAGGGAUUGAGGUCCAUUGUGGAUGCAAUGAAACCCACAUGCUCCCGACCUAUAGAUUCAUAUUCAGAAUAUGAUCCUAAUGACUAUUCUGAGCUGAAGGAGUCAAAGGCAGAUGGCCUAUCCUGUUCACCCAAUAAGGUGCCUGUUCUAAUUUGGCAAGGUUUUAUUGGUUGCACAUAUCUUGCAUAAGGUGUCUUGCAUUUCUUUUGCUUCGUUGCACCGCCAUCUGCUUAGUUUACUCAUGAUAUAUGUGAAGAUGCCAUGCCCAUCCAUUAUCAACAUCUAUUCCAUUUGUCGUCAUACCAUGUUUUUCCAUUCAAAUGUUGUUCUUGUGUUUCAGACAUCCAAAAGGAAGAGGGUGAUUGCAGAACCUGAAGGAGUACAAGCAAAGUCCUUGAAAAAGGUGGUGCUACCGGAGAAAUCACAUAGCACUCGACGUAUAUUGGCGAUAGAACUAGCGCCGCAAAACCUAGGAUAUCGCAACUAUGCUGGUCGCUGCUUUGCUCUUGUGAGUACCUAUUGUCCUAUCGCUGUCCUUACAUUCAUACCUUGUGGAUUAUGUGACAUCAUUGUGCAUUAUAGCUUGCUUAUACACUGUUCGCUCCAAAUUAUCAGAUCUAUAUUAAUGCUUAAAUUAAUGUAGAAUAAACCCAAUUCUUAUGAAGAAAUUUAGUUCUGCAUUGUUCUUGUAAGUAUCUGCUGCCCUUCAUCACCGUACUUAUAUUUGUCAGUUAGUUUUUCAUGUACACUUUGCAGCUUAUUUUCCCUUGUCCUCCAUUUUUCUACACAUCGGAUCUUCAUUUACUCUUGCCAAAAUAUUGAAUAAAACCAAUGUUACUGAAGAAGUUUAGCUCUGCAUUGCUCUUGUCAGUGCCUUCUGCCUGUAUGCUAUAUUUACAUUUGUACUCUGCAUCUUAAGUUAAAUAAUCGCCAUUUGUUCCUAUAUUUUCACAUCUAUAUUUACUCUCAACAAAAUGUAGAAUAAAGGCAAUACUCUUGAAGAAGAGUGUGCGGUAAACUUCUUGAAUUGCCCCCCCCAUCAAUAUGGACAAGGCCUUCAAACUAAUGUAAGUUUGUCCUCCUCGAGCCUUCAAACUUUGUUGUGUAUAUUUGGAUAGCUAUGAGUGCAAAUGCUGUUUAUUUUUGUCGUCUGCAUCAAAUUGCUGGUUCAAAGAUUAUAAAGUAGAAGUACAUAAACAUAAGUUUGUCCUUCUCAAUUUCAGUCUUUAGUUGUACAACCUAGUUCCUUUUUCGUACCAUGUAAAUUAAACUAAACAUAGUAAGUUAUCUUCUUUAGCACUAUGUAUGCUUAUGUUCUUGAUCUGUAAUCCAGUGGUGUGGUGAAACUACCAACAACAGCACAAUGUCAUAUCCUACUAUGUCUCAACUAUGAACAAUGCCAUAUUAUAUUAAUGUUAUUUAAAUCGUGUCUCUUUAUUUACCAAUCUAAAAUGGUAUAAAUUGACAGUACACUCACCAUUCAUGCUUAUACGUUGUUUAGAACUACAUCCAUGCUUGUGUUCUUGAUCUAUAAUCCAGUGGUCUGGUGAAGCUGGCCGCUCCUACACAAUGCCAUUUCCUGCUGUCUUAACUAUGAACAAUGCCUAUUAUGUUAAUGCUAUUUUAAACUGUGUCUCUUUAUUUCUAACAAAAAAUGAGGUGAAUUGACAGUGCUGAUGCUUAUACGUGCAAAACUUGUUAUCUACCUACUUAUUUCUCUUUCAGGGUGACAACACUGCUGCUAGGAAGAACUGCCACAAUGAUAGUGAGACGAACCCAUUGUUUGUCCCUCUAACACAUAUUCCAAAGGAGAAGGUAAUACAUCUUGAGGGUAGGGAUACAACCACGAAGUCACAUCUUGAUGUAGUGUCAAACUUAACGACACAAGCUUGAUGAAGUCGCCGCCUGAAUCUGUUCGACUUCUUUAGUCUGAAAUUCAAGCAGAAAUACAUGCUUCCGCUCAAAUGCGAUUGGAACUCCAAUCUCUAUGCAAGAUUAACCGUAAGUACAUGAUGUUUAUUGAUGCUAUGCAGCUUAAGUUGGUGGAUAUGAGCGCCAAAGAAGUGCAGUCUCAUCAGGUUGCUAAGUUGUUUGCGCUGCAGCUCCUUGGCUGGGCUAACCUUUCUUGAACUGUGUUGAAGUGCUGUCGGUUCUGUCUAUUAUUUUGUCCGCCUGUUAACUUCCACUGGUGGCGACCUGCCCAAUUUAUGUAAUCUGCUAUCUGGUUGCCCUUUAUUAUCACUAGCGGCAAACUUUGAUGCCCAGAGGAUGUAAUAUGCUGUAAUUUCUUUGUUGUAUAGUCUAGGUUUAUUCUUCGUCACGAUGUUGUAAUUUAUUUUCUGUUUAUGCUGUCGUCGCUCUGAGAAAAGGUCGUAAUCUUUGAUCAGUGCAUAAUGAGCCAAUAGGUUAGGUUCAUAAAAUAAUAAUUUCUGUACUAAAACUGGUCGGUGGCUUAUCGCUAGUACGGGCCGAACCGUGGGCCUACAAUCAUCUUGGGCCAUUAGUUUGGUCUAGUCUUAAUCUGGCCCACUAUUAGUUUUGGGACUUUAAAAGGUCGAGUAAACCGCUUUUCUUAAUUGGGCCCGAAAAUUAAAUAGGCUUUUAAAAUAUUGAAAUGUUUUUGGGCCUUGGCUGACCCAAUUACAUGACGGGUGGGAAGCAGGCCGGAUGUAUAACGGGCCUAAAUUAGGCCCAACACUCUCAAGGACCUUUAAUGGGCCGAUAGGCAGUUUGGGCUAGAAUGUAUCCAUGAAGAGUACGGGUCGUUAAGAGGCCGAAAGUAACUACGGACCACAAUUGGGCCCAGGUGCAACUCGGGCCUUUAAAUGGCUGAAAGUGAAACCGGGCCGAAAGAGGCCCAUAUAUAGACAGGGCCGUUGACAGGCCAAAACUAGUAUCAGGCCGAACUGUUAAACGGGCCAUUAAGAGGCCGAAGAGUAAAUCAGGUCGCCAAUGGGCCCAAUGGCACAGUAGCUAUUAAAUGGGUCGUAUCUGUUAUGGGCCAUAAUUUGGCCCAAGAAAUAAAAGUUAGUUAACAGGCCAGAUCAGGUUUGGUCCGUAAUUUGGCCCCAACUAUUGCAGGCUGUUAACUGGUCGGAUCUGACAUGGGCCGUAAACUGGCCCACAAUAUUGCAGUCAUUUAACGGCCCGUAUCUGAUGUGGGCUAUAAUUUGGUCCAGAAAAUGUUAGGCUGUUAACGGGCCGACCCAUUAGAUCUGACGAAAUCUUGUGGGCCUGUUCCUGGGCUGGCUUUUAGACCUAUAUGGGUCUCUAUUGGGCCGUCCCACGUGUCAACGUUUCAUUGGCGAUUCUUGUCAAAUGGUCGGUUGACAUCUGUCCCAACGCUGAGCCGACACGUGGUUCGUCGCUGAAUGAGAAUUUUACACAUGGAAAAUCGCCAUUGGUCCGGGCUGUUAAUGGGUUAUCGGAACCAAACCGGAACCCGAUAGCUUAACGGCGACCUGUUAUGGUGGAUGCCACGUGUCGAUCACCCUUGACGAAAGUACUUCUUUGACGCGCGAUUUAUCGUCAUGGAAGUGGACACUUCCGUGAUGAUAAUUUUGGUAAUGUCAUGGAACACUUCUACCACAACACAGGUAUGACUAUCUUGAUUCUGUAAUAAAAUCGUCAUGGAUGUACAUGCAUGAUAGAAAACGUGACCUACUGUGACAAACAUGUAUCAUCACGGAAGUGUAUUUUUUUGUAGUGAUAGCGACAACACAAGCAUUCCCAUAACCCCAAGAGCGGUUGGGAACUCGAAAAAUUGCUAUCUUCUGUAGAUGACAGUCACCAUGAUCAUAUUUGAACGUACAUAGAAUAUCGGUGUGAUCAACUUCAGGGCAGUCUGAGAUUUUUGGAAGUGGAACAUUCACAAGUUCCCACUCGCAGUUGUUCCCAAUAUAAACAACCCAAUCUCCAUUUGCGCCCGCCCAAGCCUUACCCUCAAGCGAUGGCAUCUUAACAUCACACGUAUCAUUAUCAAGCUGCAUCAACUUGCAAAAGGCGAGGCUUUCGUCGUCUGCACGCCAGCGAGCAGGGUCAUGGCGAAGAAGAUAGGGGAGAUCAAACCGCUCCUGGACCCUUGGUUUCUUUGUAAUGAUGAUAUUAGUUGAGUCAAGAAUGGUCUUGAACGAACCUGCCAUGCUAACCGAGGUGAUGACUUCGCACCGAUCAAUCAGUUCUUCCACCACGUCAUCUUUCAGAUCGGGGCAAGAAUAAUAGGGUCAUUUCCGGCCUGUUCCCUUCAUGGAGAAGAUGAUCGAACAAUGGCAGAAGGCAAGGUGAAGGAAAAUGGAGGAGGGAGGAAGAGCGUGCGACAACAGUUCCAAAUCAAGAGGGAAAGGCGAAGAGGCGAUGGACGGUUGCCACGAUACACGAAGAGGCACCCCGGCCUACAUAGACGUCCGUUCGGAAAUUGUACAAAAGGACUCGCCGUCGUCUCACUGACAUGUUGGAACGGGACCACAUGUCAAUGAAACAUGGUGUGUCAUUUCUCGUGCAAAAUGUGAUCUGGCCGUGUUGGCCCGAGGUGCCGCAUUAUUUACUGACUUUAUUUUUUUUAAUGGCGUGUCGUUCAGUUUUGAAGCACGACUAACUGGUACUAUAUGCAGAGAAAAUGUAAACUACUCUACCGCUACUCCACCUCUAGUACUAGUAUCAAAAAAGAUAUAUAGGGUGGAGCUUCAGCGCUUUCUUGCUAAGGGCUGCCCACGUGCUUCUCACACUAUCACCCUCUCUCCAGAUCUUAAAAAGACAACCUCUCUCCCUCCUCACCGGUGGUCACAGAUCCACCGGGGAAGAAAAGGACAUGCAGCAUUGACGCACUCGUCGUCUGCUAGCGAGGUGAUACGUCUCCAACGUAUCUAUAAUUUUUUAUUGUUCCAUGUUGUUAUAUUAUCAUUCUUGGAUGUUUUACAAUCAUUUUAUAUCAUUUUUUGUACUAACCUAUUGACAUAGUGCCAAGUGCCAGUUGCUGUUUUUUGUAUGUUUUUUACAUCGCAGGAAAUCAAUACCAAACGGAGCCCAAACGCAGUGAAACUUUUUGUGGAUUUUUUGGACUAGAAGACAUCUAGUGGGCUGGAGAAGCACCUGGAGGGUGCUCCGAGGGGAGCACAACCCACCAGGGCGCACCUGGAGGCCCACGCGCGCCCUGGUGGGUUGUGCCCACCUCGGGUGCCCCCGGACCACCUCUUUACUCUAUAAGUACCCCAAUAUUCCGGAAACCCUAGGGAAGUCGACGAAAAUCAAUUCCAGCCGCCGCAAGUGCGAGAAACCACAGAUCCAAUCUGGACACCAUCACAGAGGGGUGCAUCAUGUCCAUUGGUGCCUCUCCGAUGAUGCGUGAGUAGUUCUUUGUGGACUUACGGGUCCUUAGUUAGUAGCUAGAUGGCUUCCUCUCUCUCGUUUGAUUCUCAAUACAAUGGUCUCUUGGAGAUCCAUAUGAUGUAACUCUUUUUGCGGUGUGUUUGUUGGGAUCGGAUGAACUUUGAGUUUAUGAUCAGAUCUAUCUUUUUAUCCAUGAAAACUAUUUGAGUCUUCUUUGAUCUCUUAUAUGCAUGAUUGCUUAUAGCCUCGUAUUUUUCUCUGAUAUUUGGGUUUUCUUUGGCCAACUUGAUCUAUUUAUCUUGCAAUGGGAAGAGGUGCUUUGUGAUGGGUUCGAUCUUACGGUGCUUGAUCCCAGUGACAGAAGGGGAACUGACAUGUAUGUAUCAUUGCUAUUAAGGAUAACAAGAUGGGGUCUAUUUCUACAUAAAUAGAUCUUGUCUACAUCAUGUCAUCGUUCUUAUUGCAUUAUUCCGUUUCUCCAUGAACUUAAUACACUAGAUGCAUGCUGGAUAGCGGUCGAUGUGUGGAGUAAUAGAAGUAGAUGCAGACAUGAGUCGGUCUACUAAUCUUGGACAUGAUGCCUAUAUAAUGAUCACUGCCUAGAUAUCGUCAUGAUUAUUUGAAGUUCUAUCAAUUUCCCAACAGUAAUUUGUUCACCAACCGUUUGCUAUUUUUAUCCAGAGAAGCCACUAGUGAAACCUACGGCCCCCGGGUCUCUUCUUUAUUAUAUUUGCCUUAGCGAUCUAUUUUCCUUUGCUUUUAUUUCCAGAUCUAUAAAACCAAAAAUACAAAAAUACCUUGCUGCACUUUAUUUUAUUUGGCGUUCGAUCUAUCAAUAUUUACAACUCUCUCACGCCCGUUUGCCAAUUUCUGGUGCCGUUACCUGAAAGGGAUUGACAAACCCUUUAAUACAUCGGGUUGCGAGUAUUUGUUAUUUGUGCGGAGGUGUUGUUUACGUAGUGUUGUUUGGUUCUCCUACUGAUUCGAUAACCUUGGUCUCAUCACUGAGGGAAAUACCUACCGUCGCUGUGCUGCAUCAACCCUUCCUCUUCGGGGAAAUACCAACGUAGUUCUAGCAGACAUCACGAGGUCACAUACUGACGACAAGGCCGCCCUCUCAGACCUAGCACCCGCGCGGGAUGGCCUCCGUCAACCAAGCUCGCUGCCUUAGUGUGUGCGGAGGAUGACGACCACAAGCGAAGCCACUUCCCGCCAACCCUUAGGUAUGCUACCUCUUUUCGAACCAUACCCUUUUUCUAUUGCCCCAUCUGCCACGUCGCUACAUGUGGAUCUUUUUCCACUCCACCAUCUCCCCAAUUUGCUAUCCUCUGCUCUGCUGGUCACGCAGACGGAAACCUUAAUUUUCACUAUUAAAGGAAACCCUACUUCAUGCAGACUAAUCCAUGUACGGGUUGAAUAAGGAAAGGAAGGGAGAAAGUACUGUCCAAGAGAUUAGGCAUCGAACCCGCACCUAGGUUGAAAAGGGGAAAAUUAGUAGCUUUGUCUCAUGUCUCUUGGUUGAAAAAGGGUGAAAAAGGGUAGAAAGGCAUGGCAACGCAAUAGAGAAUGGACAGGUCGAUCGGUUUGUUGUCCUCACAUAGGAAAAGGUGGCUAAAGAGAACAAAACUGGGACGUAAUCCACAUAUGCUGCCUCGAUAUUUGUUGCUCUGGGCAACCAUACCUCCCUCACCACUCUAUGCAUCCGUGGAGGUACAUCGUACUGGUGCUCCCAUUAUCUAAAUGAGCCUCCCAUGCUCUUAUUGCCACUUUUUUUAUGUUAGUACAACGCCAGCGGUAAAGUCAAGCAAUGCUACUACUAAAGUGAUGCCACAUUUAACUAAUGUCGCACUCAGUCUAAUGCCACCGAUAAACUUAAGCAAUACCAUUUAAUGUCACUGGAUUAUUCCAGGGUUAGCUGUUGAUUGUGGAUGUAUUAAAGAUUUUUCAGCUAAGGCAUUCUAAUGCUGUUGCACAUGCAAUAUACCAAUGAUGAAACUUGUUACUACCUUCAGAUUUUUGCAUUGUUAAUGCUUAUAGAUUACGUACGUCAUUUUCAUGAGAUAAGUAUUUUUUUUGUACAGUGUCACCAAAAUGCCAAGGCGCUGAUGACAUUUUAUUUUGGUUAAACUGCACAAAAAAUUAUGAAGACGGGAGGAAAGGUCAAGAGUGGGCACCUCCUCCUCCGGCUGUUCUCUUGAUUCGUUCGAUCAAGUUUUUAUGUUUGAUAGAUUAUCAAGAUUGGGAUAGCAAUUUUGAGGUCCCCUCGAGUUCGAAAUGAUAUUUACCUUGAAGGUACAUGGUUUGCAAUUUUUUAUACUGCCAUUAGUUAAUAAUGCUAGUUACCUUCAGACUUUUGUAUUUUGUUUAAUGUUGUUGCACAACUAGUAUACCAAUGCUGAAACUUGUUACCUUUACAUUUUUUAUUGUUAAUGCUUAUAGAAAUCUUCCAGUGCUAGCGUAUGGAAAUUUGUUCAGUAAAACCAUUGUACUGUACCCCGUAAUAAAAAACUACUCUACUGCUGCACUAGCCACUGGAUUAGUGUAUAUUUGUACUAUUCGAAUGGUGUUGCAUUAGCGUAUGGACAUAUAUAAAGUGUGGGAAGCUUUUCCAGAUAUGUGCUCAAGAAAACUACGACCUGCUUUUCUAAAUUCUAGACGUUUGGGUACUUUAAAUUGAACUGCGAAAAUGUCUUAUAUUAAGGAACAUAGGGUGUAGAGUUCACUCAAAUUAUCCCGGUAAAGCUAGUCACACCUUUGUUAAAAUUAAGGUUCAUUAUGUUAUCGGAGGAGGUCUGUAUGUUUGUCUCUAAUGCCUGUCGAUUAAAUACCUGAUAUCAUGAUGUAAUGUUAAGUCAUUUCUUUUUGUAUAGUGCAUUGAAUUUUCAAGGCGAUGAUGGCAUUUUAUUUUAGUUGAACUGCACAAAAUAUGCUUAAAAGAAGAGGAAAGGUCAGGAAUGGUUCAGUUUUUCAGAAAAUACUAUGUAUGCCUUCCUGACAUCAGCCGCCGGUGCCUUAUUUAUUCCGUCAAAUAUGUGGUUAGAAAAAGUCUUGCUACCUUUGCCCAUUAAGAAAUUGGAAUGCUUACAUUUGUGAGUCUAUGCUUCAACUAGUGCCACUUUUGUAGUAAUCACACUUCCAAUAUCUAUGCAAACAGGGAUGCUCGAGUUUAGUGGAACUGCAAAAAAAAGUCUAAAUGAUUCAACAUUAGGAGCAUGUUUUCUUCCAAACCGUUAUAUCCAAUUGGUGGCACUAUGAGCUGUUCAUUACGAAGGUACAUGGUUUGCUACUAUCUCGCUACUGUUUUUGUACUGUCAUUAGAUAGUAAUAUUAGUGGCUUGCAUGUGAAUUUAUUGGCAGGGUGGACCUACAUUGGAGGUGCAGGACAUGAUUCAAUGAUUGGAUGCUCAAUUUCAGUUGGAUUGAUUUCACCUCUUCCAUCACUUGGAACAUGGAUAUCCUUGGUCUGAUGAAGAGUAUGCGCUAUAUUUAUGCUUUGUACCAGAUUCAGUACGAAAUUGUCCAGGGCAAAACAUGACAGUAUCAAAUUAUCCAGUGCAAAACAUGACAGAUGCUAAGCGGAAGAGACGUGUUUAAACCAAAAAUACAAGGUGGGGUAUAUGUUUACUAGCUACUUGAUAUUUGCGCAGACAGAUGUCUGCCCAUUGCUAUUUGGCAAACAAACAAAGUGACCACAAUUUUGGUGGAACUGCACAAGAGAUAGUAUAGUCACUGCAUGCAGUGCCAUUUGAAAAUAGACACAGAAAGAUUGGAUAGUCACUUCAUGUACUGCACAAAAGUAGUAUUGUACGAUUUAUUGGCCAACACUUGGUGCUUCAUUGCUUUGGUCUGAUUAUACAAUGGGCAUCAUUUUGCCUAAGUUAAAGUUUGUAUUCCGGAAAUAGUAUCUUCGUGUGAUCGAGAGAAGACCAAAUCAUAUUGCAGUGGAUGUUCCUCCAUCAUGUGUGGUUCAUUCUCAUGGUUCCAGCUAUUGGUGAAACCACUUACAUUUGCAACAGGAGUUGUAGACUUCACAAAAAAAUUUGUCUUUCACUUUGUACUGAAUGUUGGCCCAGAGAAACAUCCAUGUUAGUAGGAAGAACAGAUGUUUUUUUCUAGAUCUUUGCUUUUGGAGCUACAUAUUUGUAUAUGAUCUGUGAAUCAUUGAGAUGCAUUAACAUGUUGGUCUUAUGUAUGGGAAUCGUACUAGUUGGUUGUGAAUUUGGGCUAUUAAUGUGAACAUAUUACAAUGCCAGGCCUGUAAGUCUCGUGUGAACAUUUUGAACGGAUCGACUCUUACUACUGUGCACAGCAUGAUCCUUCUUUUUGUGUUCUCAGUGUUGGCAAGUUACUAGCAGUUCCUUAUUUCUGUUUGCUCACUGUUUACAAGUUACUGAUCAAUCACUAGCUAGCCUACUAAUACGCUCCUGACAGUUUUAGUUGCGACGCAAGAUCCAAAGUGGCAGCUUUUUGAAUAAAAAUGCCUUCCUCUGAAGAACUGGCAUGCUGUUCUGAAGAAAAUGCCAUGCGAAUCUGAAGAAAAUGCCAGCAAAAACGUUCGCAAAUGCCUUAUCUCCCAGCGAACGUUCAUCCUCUAUUGCGAUCCUACACAUACACUAUCCGACCGACUCGAUCCUAUGCGAAUAACCAGUGGAUCACGCACGUACCUCAUCUGGAUGAAUCGAGCGCACUCGUUAGACCGUCAUGCCGACGUGCGACCCAGCACGGACGGGACGCACCACUGACGGGAUGGGACGGGACGACACAGUCAUAAUUUCAGUUUUUCUAGUUUUCCACGGCAAGCUGGCGCGCUAAGCCAUGCCUACUUAUGCAUUGAAUUCCGAUAACCGCGAUGACCGUUGCGUUUCCCGUGACACGCUGUUUCACCUACCUUCCGCCUAUAAUUACUGGUUCCCAGCGUUCUCCGAUGGCACCAUCACCCAACUCGCCCUAUCCUCAUAAGACCCCACCGGCCUGACGUCGCUCGCCACUUGUCCUCGCUCUCGCCACGUCCAUCAUGCCCCCGCCCAUCCAUAAUAGGCGACGUCCGGCGGUCACUGCCGGAACUAGUGUUCGGGUUUUCACCGGAAGGCGGACGAAGGGAGGAGGCAUUCUAUUGGUCUUUCGAUGGCAAUGAGGAGUAUGAGGACUUGUUGGAGCGCGAUCACUGAUGUCGCUUGAAGCUACGUCGGUAUUUCCCCAAAGAGGAAGGGAUCAUGCAGCACAACGGCGGUAGGUAUUUCCCUCAGAUAUGAAACCAAGGUUAUUGAACCAGUAGGAGAACCAAGCAACACAACGUAAACAGCCCCUGCACACAGAUAACAAAUCCUCGCAACCCGACGUGUUAAAGGGGUUGUCAAUCCCUUUCGGGUAACGGUGCCAGAAAUUGGUGCGUGACGGGAGAAAGUUGUAAUAGAUUUAAUAAAUAGAUCACAAAUAAAAUAAAGUGCAGCAAAGUAUUUUGGGGUUUUUGGAAUAAUAGAUCUGCAAAUAAAAGCAAAUAAAAGUAGAUCGCAAAGGCAAAUAAUAUGAGAAAGAGACCCGGGGGCCGUAGGUUUCACUAGUGGCUUCUCUCGAGAAAAAUAGCAAAUGGUGGGUGAACAAAUUACUGUUGGGCAAUUUAUAAAACUUCAAAUACUCAUGACGAUAUCCAGGCAAUGAUCAUUAUAUAGGCAUCACGUCCAAGAUUAGUAGACCGACUCCUGCCUGCAUCUACUACUAUUACUCCACACAUCGACCGCUAUCCAGCAUGCAUCUAGUGUAUUAAGUUCAUGGAGAAACGGAGUAAUGCAAUAAGAACGAUGACAUGAUGUAGACAAGAUCUAUCUAUGUAGAGAUAGACCCCAUCGUUUUGUCCUUAGUAGCAACGAUACAUACGUGUCAGUUCCCCUUCUGUCACUGGGAUCAAGCGUCGUAAGAUCGGACCCACUACAAAGCACCUCUUCCCAUUGCAAGAUAAACAGAUCAAGUUGGCCAAACAAAACCCAAAUAUCGGAGAAGAAAUACGAGGCUAUAAGAAAUCAUGCAUAAAAGACAUCAAAGAAACUCAAAUACUUUCAUGGAUAUAAAAAGAUAGAUCUGAUCAUAAACUCAAAGUUCAUCGAUCCCAACAAACACACCGCAAAAGAGUUACAUCAUAUGGAUCUCCAAGAGACCAUUGUAUUGAGAAUCAAGAGAGAGAGAUGAAGCCAUCUAGCUACUAACUAUGGACCCGAAGGUCUACAAAGAACUACUGAUGCAUCAUCGGAGAGGCACCAAUGGAGGUGGUGAACCCCAUCCGAGAUGGUGUCUAGAUUGGAUCUGGUGGUUCUGGACUCUGCGGCAGCUGGAUGAAUAUUUCGUCGACUCCCCUAGGGUUUUGGGAAUAUUGGGGUAUUUAUAGAGCAAAGAGGCGGUCCGGGGGUCACCCGAGGUGGGCACAACCCACCAGGGCGCGCCUGGGCCUCCUGCACGCCCUGGUGGGUUGUGCCCCCCUCGGGGCACCCCCCAGGCGCAGCCAGGGCCCGUUGUGUUACUUUUGGCCCAUAAAAAUUCUCCGUAAAAUAAUCGUGCCAUUUGGACUCCGUUUGAUUGAUUUUCUGCGAUGUAAAAAACAUGGAAAAACAACAACUGGCACUUGGCACUAUGUCAAUAGGUUAGUACCAAAAAAUGAUAUAAAAUGACUAUAAAAUGAUUAUAAAACAUCCAAGAUUGAUAAUAUGACAACAUGGAACAAUAAAAAUCUAUAGAUACGUUGGAUACGUAUCAGCAUCCCCAAGCUUAACUCCUACUUGUCCUUGAGUAGGGAAGUGAUAAAAACAGAUUUUUUGAUGUGGAAUGCUGCCUAACAUGUCAUAUCAUAUUCUUUUUUUAUAGCAUGGACAUUUGGACUUUUAUAUUGUUUAAAGCAAUAGUCUAGUUUUGACAUGAUAAUUUAAAUACUCAAGCAUAUCAACAAGCAACCAUGUCUUUCAAAAUAUCAAUGCUAAAAUAAGCUAUCCCUAGCCCAUCAUGCUCAACCAUUGAUCCAUUCAUGAAACACACUCGCAUAUUAGCUACAUCCAAUAUUCUAGUACGAUCAUAUUGCCUCGAAGUUGGUGCUUUUAUAAGGGAAGAUGGAGAAUCAAAUUCAAAAUAAAAAUUGCAUAAAGUAAAAGAAUGGCCCUUCGCAGAGGGAAGUAGGGAUUUGUAGAGGUGCCAGAGCUCAAAGCAAAAAACUUAGAGAUAAAAACAUUUCGGGAGGUGUAUGCAUCCCGCCAACGAAAACGACUUAGAGUCCCCAAUACUUUCCAUGCUAAGAUAUAUCAUAGGCGGUUCCCAAACAGAAAAUAAAGUUUAUUCCUUUUUCCACCAUACAUUCACUUUCCAUGUCUAGCCGUAUCCACGGUUGCCCUCCAUAACAACACUUUCCAAGGAAUUUAUUAUUUGACAAUGAUGGUAGCUGGAACUACGUCGGUAUUUCCCUGGAGAGGGAGGGAUGAUGUAGCACAGCGAUGGUAGGUAUUUCCCUCAGUUAUGAAACCAAGGUAUCGAACCAGUAGGAGAACCAAACAACACAACGUAAACAACACCUACACACAAACAACAACACCUCGCAACCCGACGAGUUAAAGGGGUUGUCAAUCCCUUCCGGGGUACGGCGCCUCAAGAUAGGCAAGCGGACGUGAGGUAAAUUGUAGUAGAUUGAUAGAUCAAACGCCAUAUAAAAUAAAUAAAGAUAAAACGCAGCAAGGUAUUUAUGUAUUUUUUGGUUUAAUAGAUCUGAAUAAAAUGAAAAGGAAAAGCAGAUCGCAAGGCAAAUAUAUGAGAAAGAAGACCCUGGGGCCAUAGGUUUCACUAGUGGCUUCUCUCGAGAAAAAUAGCAAACGGUGGGUAAACAAAUUACUGUUGGGCAAUUGAUAGAACUUCAAAAAUUAUGACGAUAUCUAGGCAAUGAUCAUUACAUAGGCAUCACGUCCAAGAUUAGUAGAGCGACUCCUGCCUGCAUCAACUACAAUUACUCCACACAUCGACCGCUAUCCAGCAUGCAUCUAGUGUAUUAAUUUCAUGGGAAAAUGGAGUAAUGCAAUAAGAACGAUGAUAUGAUGUAGACAAGAUCCGUUUAUCUAUAUGGCGGUAGACAUAGAUCUUGUCUUUUUAUCCUUAGUAGCAAUGAUACAUACAUGUUGGUUCCCUGUAACAUCCCAAAUUUUCAAUUUGGUAUGUUAUACAUAGAUCAUCAUUGCAUAUCAUGUUUUAUUGCAUUUUGACAAAUCCUCGAUAAAUCCUAAGCAACUCAAGGACCAUCGGAGAGAGUUGGGGAUUUUCUCGAAUUUACAUAUUUGAUUUUCAUCAAAUAAUAAGACGAGGAUUUUGGUUUUAAUUAUUUUCUCUCCGGAAAAAUAUUUCAUUAAACAAAAUAAACGAGAGGAGAAAAUAUGACUUCUCCAAAACAAUUGAAACACUGGAGGAAAAUGUUAAAAUCAUUAUUUGGAAUUUAUUUGGAUUUUAUUUGCAAUUUUAUUGCAUUAAAAAUAUUGCAUGUUUUCAAAAUAUUUAUUUUGAUUUAAAAAAUGUUCACCCUGUUCUAGAUUUUCUAACUAGACGGGAAAAAUUUAUUUCAUAUUUUUCUGAUUUUUAUUUAUUUUUUACGAAUUAUUUUCCGCGGAACUUAUUAAAAAAAACGCGCGACGCCCGCUGGGCCGAAGCCCAGCCGAGCGCCGGCCCACCCCGCGCCUCUCCUCUCCGUGCACGGGAAGCCGCCGCCGCCAUGGCCGAGUCCGGCACCCGCACGGCACCCGCCGGCCGCCCCCUCCCCCAAGCCACCUCGCCCCCCUCCCUUUAAAUACCCCCUCUCUCUUUCCUCUCACCGCCGCCGNNNNNNNNNNNNNNNNNNNNNNNNNNNNNNNNNNNNNNNNNNNNNNNNNNNNNNNNNNNNNNNNNNNNNNNNNNNNNNNNNNNNNNNNNNNNNNNNNNNNNNNNNNNNNNNNNNNNNNNNNNNNNNNNNNNNNNNNNNNNNNNNNNNNNNNNNNNNNNNNNNNNNNNNNNNNNNNNNNNNNNNNNNNNNNNNNNNNNNNNNNNNNNNNNNNNNNNNNNNNNNNNNNNNNNNNNNNNNNNNNNNNNNNNNNNNNNNNNNNNNNNNNNNNNNNNNNNNNNNNNNNNNNNNNNNNNNNNNNNNNNNNNNNNNNNNNNNNNNNNNNNNNNNNNNNNNNNNNNNNNNNNNNNNNNNNNNNNNNNNNNNNNUACUGCCGCUGCCCCGUUCCGUCGUUGCCGGUUUUCGUUCUAAAAAAAAACCUUCGUUAAAAAAAAACCCUAGAUCGGUUUUUUUUCCGGUUUUAUUAUUUUGCGAGCGUUUUCCGAACCGUUCGUUUUAGCGAACGCGUUCGUCGGUUUUUCUCUGUUAACGAACGUCCGUUCUUUAACCGUUCGUCCGUUUUUCUUUUUCGUCGGAUUUUUCUGCGAUUAUCUCAGAUUCGAUUUCUGAUCGAAUCUUCGAUUCUGUUUAACUUCUCGCUCGUUUAUCGGAAUUAGGCGAUUCAAGCGCCUAGAGUUUCGUCUCGAAAUUCUCUUUCCGUUUAACCUACUCAAACAAGUUUUUGCUACAGUAAAAUUUGACCUAGAUCCAGAUUAGCAAACAAAGUUUCUUUCUUCCGCCGUUUGACUUUCGUUGCUUCUUUCGAGUUGAUUCUUUUUGCAAACCGGAGUUCUUAAGUUGAACUUUCUGGUUGGAUCUUUCAUUCGAGUUUUACCUAUGCAUUAGAUGAGUACUGAUUGUAUGCUUGUUUGUUUGCGAUAGAGUACCCGGAGUGUGCCGCUUGUUACUUCGACUCGUUAGGUUUUGCGGAUCAUCAGCAAGGCAAGUAACACUUUGAUCAUACCUUCCAUUACCCAGUUUUUAUUGCAUUAGAUCUAUUCCUCAAACACAUUGCAUGACUAGGAUCUAAAUAAAUUGUGGGUAUUGGGAAGUAGUUGAGGUAGUACCUAUUACCUGUUUUCUAUUCAAACCCUUGGGAGUUACUUCUACGUUGCUUUUAUUAUUGCCAUGCUAUGCUCGUAGACGUGGAUUGGGUUUGAGAGAUAUUCAUGACAGAUGUGAGAUGUUAAUUAAUGGUUCAACCUAAGGUGGCAACUAAAACUCACAUCUGGGUGGAUUGAGGCACCUGGAGAACCCAGUGUUGUCUGUUUGUAUAAGGACCGCUACCCAGGCUCAAAGGGAUCAUAAGAUUAUUCAUGCUAGAAACUUCCGUGUGCAGCCACAAGCUAUUAUGGGCUCUAGCAUAGUGGAGUAGGUUACAGGAUCUAUUGAAGAGGUGGACUAGCAGAUGUAGGGGAAAGUAGGUGUACCGGUCCAUCCAGAGUAAAGAGUGAUUGUUUCUGAAAGACUGUGUCUCGGUCAUCCGUUUCUCAAACAUCAUGUAGUGCGAGAAUCAAGCGGAGGCGAUCGAGUCUUGUGGGGAAAAGUGCGCAAACCUCUGCAGAGUGUAUAAACUAAUCAUGGUUAGCCGUGUCCCCGGUUAUGGACCACUUGAGUAUCUAGUACCUGGAUUAUCAUAUGAAUCUCAUCACCAUGUUACUUUUAAUUAAUUUUGUUGGGUUAAUGAUGACACUUAAUUGGGAUUGAGUUGGAGGUACCUUCUCAAUGUUUCAACCACCAUGAUAGUUAAAUAAAAUUUAUUCCUUUGCAGUAGGAUAAAAAUGGCUUUUCGCAAAACUGUAACCAUAGAGCUUUCCACCAGCCAUAUAUGCAUGUAGUAUAGCAUUAUUAUUGUUCAUUGCUCUCUAUGUGUUACUUUGCCAGCAUAUUCUAUGUGCUGACCCGUUUUCGGGCUGCAACGUUUCAUGUUGCAGACUUUUCAGACGACGAGUAAGGUGCCUUAGGUCGUGGUCUUAUACUCAGUGAUGCCGCUGGAGUUGAUGGACUCACUUAUCUUCCAAGUCUUCCGCUGUUAUCAUUAUUAGAUGGCCUUAAGCCAUGUUUAUCAUACUUAUUCUCUUUGGAGAUAUUCGAUGUAAUAAGUGUGUGAUUGCUACUCUGUUAUAAAUCCUCCAUUUGUACUGUGCGUGUCAGCAUUACUGAUCCAGGGAUGACACUGGUGCACAGCAGCACAGACCAUUUGAGGUAUGGUCGCUACAUUCCCUUUCUGUCACUGGGAUCAAGCACCGUAAGAUUGAACCCACUACCGGGCACCUCUUCCCAUUGCAAGAUAAAUAGAUCAAGUUGGCCAAACAAAACCCAAAUAUCGGAGAAGAAAUAUGAGGCUAUAAGAGAUCAAAGAAACUCAAAUAACUUUCAUGGAUAUAAAAAGAUGUGACUGAUCAUAAAAUCGAAGUUCAUCAGAUCCCAACAAACACACGGCAAAAGAGUUACAUCAUAUGGAUCUCCAAGAGACCAUUGUAUUGAGAAUUCAGCAAGAGAGAGAAAGUCAUCUAGCUACUAACUACGGACCCGAAGGUCUACAAAGAACUACUCACGCAUCAUCAGAGAGGCACCAAUGGAGGUGGUGAACCCCAUCCGAGAUGGUGUCUAGAUUGGAUCUGGUGGUUCUGGACUUUGCGGUGGCUGGAUGAAUAUUUCGUCGAUGCUUUUAUGGUUUCUGGAAUAUUGUGGUAUUUAUAGAGCAAAGAGGCGGUCCGGGGUACCCGAGGUGGGCACAACCCACCAGGGCGCACCAGGGCCUCCUGGCGCACCCUGGUGGGUUGUCCCCUCCUCGGGACUCCCCCCAGGUGCAACUAGGGCCCAUUGCCUUUCUUCUGGCCCAUUAAAAAUCAUCAUGGAGUUUUGUGGCAUUUGGACUCCGUUUGAUAUUGAUUUCCUGCGAUGUAAAAAACUUGGAAAAAACAGCAACUGGCACUUGGCACUAUGUCAAUAGGUUAGUACCAAAAAUGAUAUAAAAUGACUAUAAAAUGAUUAUAAAACAUCCAAGAUUGAUAAUAAAACAACAUGGAACAAUCACAAAUUAUAGAUACGUUGGAGACGUAUCAGACAACAUACAAUAAAUUCUUUUUUUUUCAUUUCGGGACUGGGCAUCCCUAAUACCUUUGCCUUACUCUCGUGCAAUGAUAAGUGAAUAAACACUCAUCUUGAGAAUAACACAUCUAGCAUGGAAAAUAUUAGCCACCCAUCACCGCUCUGCGAGUGAAACAAACACACAAAAGAGAAGUUUAUUUUUGAAAAUUAGAGAUGGCACAUGCAAAUUUGCUUAGAGCAGCAAAACAAUACCGCAUAUAGGUAGAUAUAGUGGACUCAUGUGGCAAAACUGGGUUAAAGGUUUUUAGAUGCACAAGUAGUGAUCAUACUUAGUGCAAAAUGAAGGCUAGCAAAAGAUUGAGAAGCGACCAACCAAGAAACGAAUAAUAUCAUAAACGAGCAUUAAGCAUAACUAACACCGAAUAAUACACCAUAAGUAGGAUAUAAUUUAUUUGCAUAACUAUUGACUUUCGUGCUUGCAUAGGAAAUCACAAACCUUAACACCAAUAUUCUUACUAAAGCAUAAUUACUCAUCAACAUGACUCACAUAUCACAUGAUCAUAUCUCAAAACUACUACUAAGAAUCAAGUUUAUUUUGUCCAAUGAUCUUCAUGAAAGUUUUUAUUAUAUCCUUCUUGGUAUCUUUCACUUUGGGAAUAAUUUUCAUAUGUUGCUUUUGACAAGCUCAAACAAAUACAAGUGAAGAUCAUGAGCAUAAUAUUUCUUUCUCUCAAAUUAAUUUAAGUGAAGCAAGAGAGAAUUUCUUGAAAAUUUUACUAACUCUCAAAUAAAUCUAAGUGAAGCAAGAGAGCAUUUCUUAAAAAAUACUAAGCACACCAUGCUCAAAAAGAUAUAAGUUAAGCACUAGAGCAAGUCCAUAGGUCAUAAAAAUUUAAGUGAAGCAUAGAGAGCAAUUCUAACAAGUCAUGACAUAAUUUUGGCUCUCUCAAAUAGGUGUGUCCAGCAAGGGAUCAAGACUUUAAACACAAAAUAAAACAAGCAAAGACUCAUAUCAUACAAGACGCUCCAAGAAAAAUACAUAGUAUGUGACGAAUAAAAAUAUAGCUUCGAGUAAAUUACCGAUGGUUGUUAGAAGAAAGAGGGGAUGCCACUCGGGGGCGUCCCCAAGCUUAGUUGGUUGAUCAUUUUUGGAUAAUAGCUUGGGAUGCCGGGGCAUGCCCAAGAUUAGGCUCUUCUACUCCUUAUUCCUUCAUCCAUCAUAAGAUAACCCAAAACUUGAAAACUUCAAUCACACAAAACUUAACAAAACCUUCGUGAGAUACAUUAGUAUAAGAAUAAUAAAUCACUACUAUAAGUGUUGUAUCAAACCAAUUCAUAUUUUGUUCUUGCAUGAUAUCUACUGUAUUCCAACUUUUCUAUGGCAAAAACUCUUCAAAGAAAACCAUAGAGCCAUCAAAAUAAGCACACAACACAAAGAAAACAGAAUCUGUUAAAACAGAACAGUCUGUAGCAAUCUGACUAUUUUGAAUACUUCUGUAACUCCAAACAUUCUGAAAAAUUAGGACGACCUGAGAAAUUUGUAUAUUCUACUACAAGUGGAAUGGGUAUUUUAUCGCUCUCUGGUAAAAAAAUGAAAAUUAUUUUCGUGAGCGCCAAAGUUUCUUUAUUUUCAGCAAGAUCAAACAACUAUUACCCAGGAAGAUCCUAAAGGCUUUACUUGGCACAAACACUAAUUAAAACAUAAAACUGCAAUCAUAACAGUAGCAUAAUUGUGCUAACACUCAAAAAUAGGAAGAAAAAAGCAAAAAUAAAUUUUAUUCAUUUGGUUGCCUCCCAACAAGCGCUAUAGUUUUACGCCCUUAGCUAGGCAUAAAGCAAGGAUCCAAGUUUUGUCAUCUUUGGUUCGAGAUCCAUAAGAUGCCCUCAUGAUUGAUUCAUAUGGUGGCUUAAUUCUUGUAGGAAAGUGUUCCAUACCCUUCCUCAAAGGAAAUUGGAACUUAAUAUUGCCUUCUUUCAUAUAAAUCACGGCACCAAUAGUGCGUAAAAACGGUCUACCAAGAAUAAUUGGACAAGACGGAUUGCAGUCAAUAUCAAGAACAAUAAAAUCUAUGGGCACAUAAUUCCUAUUUGCAAGAAUAAGAACAUCAUUAAUUCUUCCCAUAGGCUUUUUAAUACUGGAAUCCGCCAAGUGCAAAUUCAAAGAACAUGAUUCAAGAUCGGUAAGACCAAGCACAUCACAUAAAGAUUUCGGAAUAGUAGAAACACUAGCACCCAAGUCACACAAAGCAAAGCACUUAUAAUUUUUAAUCUUGACUUUGAUAGUAGGUUCCCAUUCAUCAUGCAAUUUUCUAGGAAUUGAAACUUCUAAUUCCAACUUUUCAUCAAAAGCUUUCAUCAUAGCAUCAAUAAUAUGUUUAGUAACAGCUUUAUUUUGUUCAUAAGCAUGGGGUGAAUUUAUCAUGGAUUGCAACAAAGAAAUACAAUCAAUCAAAGAGCAACUAUCAUAAUUAAAGUCUUUGUAAUCCAAAAGAGUGUGCACAUCACUAGCUAAAGUUUUGACCUCUUCAAACCCACUUUUAUCAAUUUUCUCAACAAGAUUUUUACCCUACGAAAUAUUGGAACGCCUUCUACCCAAAGUUGACUCUUCUCCAGUCCCUUUUUCAUCAAUAUUAACUUUACUAAACAAGGAAUCAAUAGAAGAAACACCAAUCAUUUUAAGAUCUUCAUCACUCUUACCCUCUAGUGAGAUUGGUUUAGCAGCCAUUUGAUUAACUAGAUUACACUGGUGCGCGUCGGUCCUAAACAAACAGUUUUUUACCCCUUUCCGCGGUGACAUUUGGAACCGUCGCCAAGUGAGUGUGUGCGAUAGGGUGUCCUUCCCACACGACCCAGAAAUCGUCGGGGAUAGGCCCUCCUGGGACCCAGGCUGGGGUCGUGUGCGAUCGGGCGAGGUAUCGAAAUCCAAUCAUUUCCGUAGGUAUGUACAUCCCACACGGUAAUCCGAGAAAAUCAUUUCCGUAGCUAUGUACAUCCCACACGGUAAUACGAGAAAAUCAUUUCCGUAGGUAUGUACAUCCCACAUGGUGAAUCCCAGAAAAACAUUUCCAUUCGUAUGUAUAUCACACACAGUCAAUCCAAGGAAUACAUUUCCAUUCUUAUGUACAUCCCACACAGUCAAUCUAGGGAAAACUUUUCCGUUCGGACGUAAAUCCCACACAGUUUUAUGUGUAGGCUCGUGUGUGAAAGGUGUAACUAUCACACACGGUCUUCCUUGGUUAACGGUUUGCUUUUAUCAACUAUAUCACACACGAUUUGAUGAAGAAGACUGUGUGGCAUUGGGCUAUCCAUCGCAAGCGCUUUUACUGCUAGAACCGUUUGCAAAGGUCCAUGACACAUUUAGCAUGUUUAUUAGUUUACGAUUAAUAAUUCCAGUAUUAUGCAAAUUCACAUUUCAUAUCAAACAGUUGUUUGCCAAUUUCAUAUCAGGCACAUAAAUAUAUUGUAACAUCACAAUACGGUAGCUACAUGAAAACAGCACAGUACAACAUAUAGCUAGUUCAACUUUAUAAGAACAAUAUAUUCAUUUCCCUAAUCGAGAUCAUCAAGGCUCGUCUUAUCCACCUCUGCUUUCGGUUCAGUAAGAACCCGUUUUGCACGGGCCAACUGGGAUAGUGCCUCCUCCUUCGCCAACACCAUCUUAGCAAAGUCUGAUUUAAAAAAUCUGAGCUCAUUCUCCACAUUCAACUUUUUAUCCCACAUCUUGAAAUAUGCUUCAGUGUUGACAAGACUUUCUCUAAGCCUAUGUGUGUUCACUUCCUCAUACAUGCUCCAGAGCUUCGUUAGGCACAUCUUCAAAGACUGUGGCCACUCUUGAUCAACCCACUCCAAGUAAGAACACUUCCGUUCAUCCUAUAAUAUUUAAAACUAGAUCAGUAACAAUUUUAGGGGAAAUGGGUUUAUAGCAACAUAGAAAAUCACCAAUGCUUAUUUUGAAAAAUUUAAGAAACAUGUUAAUUAUGACAUAUCUUCUCAAAAAGAUCAAUGUGCAAAUGAAAUAAUUGGUACUGAGACAACAACCAAAUUCUGGAACAUCAGAAGCUAUAAUUAAUUACAAUGGCGCUACAAGUUCUUACUCAUGUACAAUAAAUAACAAAUCAAACAUUUUAUGAGGAAGGUAAAUAUAACUGCAACAGCAUAGCAAAACUAACAGGUGUGUACAUGCACAAAUUUAGUAACAUAGAACUAAUAGCACUAAGGCCGUCCACUAUGUAUGCCAAAACUGGUGUAAAGACAACUGUUGCUACAUCUCGCACCAGUGCCCUGAAUUGGCGAGCUGAUGCAGCAGAAAACAAAUCAGGGACCCGGACUUCGGAGCACGUAGUUGCUCUGAUGCCCAGUUCCUUUGUGCCAUAAAGAUUUAGUAUUUUACUGCUUGGCUGCUCGGAUGUGUGGACCAAAGUUGGCUGCACAAACUGCUGAAGCGGUGCCAAAGAAUUUUUUAAUGGCACCACUGAUGAGAUGGCAGCAAUUUAAGAUACUAGGUACAAACUGUGACACUGUCUUAGGAUGCGUUUGGUUGAAGGUGUGGUAUGAAUGGGUUGGGACCGUGGCAGUGUCUGAAUCACAUCUAACAAAUGAUUUGUAACAAUGGAAGAGGGUCUAACCUUCUCUGCACAUGAGAGAAACUUCCUCCCAAUGUCCAUAGAAUCAAACGCAAGUAGCUUCACGCAUGGAGAUUGAUGGUGACAACGAGCAGAUAAAUCUUCAGCCACCCCGCUCCAUUCGUUGCCACUGAUGGUCUUAGGGAGCUACAGGAGGAAGAAACGACUCAAAUCGACCUCCAGGUAAAAAUCCUUCAUUCCAAGUCAUAGCCCGAGAGAGAGAAGAGAGGCAUACCUGGGUGGUGAAGGAGUAGUCGCCGGAGGAGGAACCGCUGGAGAUGUCCUUGAAGAAGACCAUGGCGACCCCGGUGGUAGGAUCCAAGACGGCGAGAGCGAGGAAGCGGCUAUAGCUUAGCAAGGAAGGAAGGAAGGAAGGAGGAAACAGAGGAAAUGUGACUUGUGGUCGGGGAGAAAAGGGGGUGGGGUAGAUAUUUUGGCGGUAGGCCAAAAUUUUGGAAAUGUGGAGGGAAACUUUGUGCGCGGUGCCGCUGGACCAUUCACUUUCAACGAUUGUGUGCAUCACAAACGAUUCUUCUGUUUACGCGCAUGGGAUGAGUUUGAUAAUUCAAAUUUUGGUCUCAAGGCAUGGGCACAUUCACUUUGAACGCGCGCGGUGCCGCCGGACCAUUCACUUUGAAAGAUUGUGUGCAUCGCAAAUGAUUCUUCUGCUUUACAUGCAUGGGAUGAGUUUGAUAAUUCAAAUUUUGGUGGAAAUUUCCCUGGGUACGUCAUUGCAUAAUUUAACAUCGCUUGCUAAUUUGGGCACACAAAAGAGCGUACAACAGACAUAACACACUUACUGAAUCGAGCAAUUUUAGUAAUUACACAGAGCCAGUUGACCUAAACAUUGCUCUAACAAAAGACCAGCAUUAAAAACAAAUCCUAAGUACGCAAAAUUAAAAAUCCACCGCCGCGCCGGCCUAUGCAUCGCAGACGCCCUCUCGGCGGAAGCGGCCGCGCUCAAUGCGGAUGCGGCGGCACUCUCGGCGUAGCCGGCCGUGCUCUCGGCGCAGGCGGCGGCGCUCGGGUGGGACGCGGCCAUCGUACGGGCCUUCACGAAGCGCCACGACGUCAUCUUUGCAAGAAGGGGGUGCAGGAAUGGGGAUCGGGAUUCGUGGAUUCGGGGGUUGCCGGCACUAGAGCAGACAAGCCGGCGAAGCUUAAGGAGGGAGACUUAAAUAGACCCAGGUAUUUUCAUCGCAAACGGUUCCUAGAAACAACUGUGUGUGAUGUUGUAGAUAUUUUUUAUUAGCUGUGAAAGACGAAUUUGGAAUAAAGUGCCAACGGAUGGUGUAUUAAAUGAACGAGAAUUUUUUAGUACCAAUACAACUGUCAUGUCAAAUUUUGGAAAAUUUCAGGGGUCAUUUGACCUUCUAAGACAUUUAAGUGAUUUUCUAGCCAUUUAAUGACCGUAAUUGAAAUUUGAACUACAUGUACAUGCAACAACUAACCAUAACGGUUUGAAAACUCAUAUUUUGUGUACUUGUGUGCAAUUUAAUUCCAUGUGCAGUAACUUGGAAGGAAUUUUCAAACAUAUUGGUCUAACGGCUAUGACACAAUUAAGCAUGGAUUGACAUGGCAUUUUAAUUCAAAAAAUAGAAAAAUGAUCAGAAACACAUGAAACCUUGGUUGAUGUAAUGUCAUGCCACCAAGAUGAUUUGGUAAAAAAAUUGGCAUGUUUGACCAAUGUUUGGACACACACCCCUCACAAACCGGAGCAACUCACUAGAAGGCUCGUGGUUCCGAAAGGAAAAAUGCAUGUUUGAUGACGAACAGGAGAUAGCUUCCUCUUACGGCCUUAAACUUUUUUCUACGUCUAAUGUGCACUACUACAACUGUAAUGUGAAAUUUUUGAAAAUUCUAGGGGUCAUUUGACCUUUUAAAGACAUUUAAGUGAUUUUCUAGCCAUUUAAUGACCGUAAUUCAAAUUUGAACUACAUCUACAUGCAAGGCAUAACCAAAACGGUUUGAAAAAUCAUAUUUGUGUACUUGUGUGCGAGCUAAUUCCAUGUGCAGUAAACUAGAAGGAAUUUUCAAACAUAUUUGUAUCACGACAUGGACACAUAUGCAUGAAUACGUAUGCAUGGAGUGGCAUGGCAUUUUAAUUCCAAAUAAAAUCAGAAACACAUGAAACCUUGGUUGAUGUAAUGUCAUGCCAUCAAGAUGAUGUGGUAAAGAAAUUGGCUUGUUUGAUGAAAGUUUGUACACACACCCCUCACAAACCGGAGCAACUCGCUAGAAGGUUCAUGGUUCCGAGAGGGAACAAUGCAUGUUUGAUGAGGAACGGGAGAUAGCUUCCUCUUACGGCCUUCAAAUAUUUUCUACGUCUAAUGUGCACUACUACAACUGUAAUGUGAAAUUUUGGAAAAUUCUAGGGGUUAUUUGACCUUUUAAAGACAUUUAAGUGAUUUUCUAACCAUUUAAUGACCGUAAUUCAAAUUUGAAUUACAUCUACAUGCAACGCCUAACCAAAACGGUUUAAAAAAUCAUAUCUGUGUACUUGUGUGUGAGUUAAUUCCAUGUGCAGUAAAUUAGAAGGAAUUUUCAAACAUAUUGGUCUCAUGAGAUGGACACAUGCAUACGUAUGCAUGGAGUGACAUGGCAUUUUAAUUUAAAAAAUUAGAAGAUCAGAAACACAAGAAACCUUGGUUGAUGUAAUGUCAAGCCACCAAGAUGAUGUGGUAAAGAAAUUGGCAUGUUUGACGAACGUUUGGACACACACACCCCUCACAAACUGGAGCAACUCGCUAGAAGGUUCGUGGUUCUGAGAGGGAACAAUGCAUGUUUGGUGACGAACGGGAGAUAGCUUCCGCUUACGGCCUUCAAAUUUUUUCCUACGUUUAACGUGCACUAAUACAACUGUCAUGUGAAAAAUUGGUAAAUUUCAGGGGUCAUUUAACCUUUUAAAGACAUUUAAGUGAUUUUCUAACCAUUUAAUGACCGCAAUUCAAAUUUGAACUACAUCUACAUGCAACGCCUAACCAUAACGGUUUGAAUAAUAAUAUUUUUGUGUACUUGUGUGCGAGUUAAUUCCGUGUGCAGUAAAUUAGAAGGAAUUUUCAAACAUAUUGGUGUCAUGGCAUGGGCAGAUGCAUGGAGUGCAUGCCAUGGCAUUUUAAUUCCAAAAAAUUAAAAAAUGAUCAGAAAAACAUGAAACCUUGCUUGAUUUAAUGUCAUGCCACCAAGAUGAUGUGGUAAAGAAAUUGGCAUGUUUGAAGAAAGUUUGGACACACACCCCUCACAAACCUAAGCAACUCGCUAGAAGGUUCGUGGUUCCGAGAGGGAACAAUGCUUGUUUGAUGACGAACGGGAGAUAGCUUCCUCUUACGGCCUUGAAAUUUUUUCUACGUCUAACGUGCACUACUACAACUGUAAUGUGAAAUUUUGGAAAAUUCUAGGGGUCAUUUGACCUUUCAAAGACAUUUAAGUGAUUUUCUAACCAUUUAAUGACCAUAAUUCAAAUUUGAACUGCAUCUACAUGCAACGCCUAACCAAAACGGUUUGAAAAAUCUUAUUUGUGUACUUGUGUGCGAGUUAAUUCCAUGUGCGGUAAAUUAGAAGGAACUUUCAAACAUAUUGGCCUCACGACAUGGACACAUGCAUACGUAUGCAUGGAGUGACACGGCAUUUUAAUUCAAAGAAAAUAGAAAAAUGAUCAUAAACACAUGAAACCUUGGUUGAUGUAAUGUCAUGCCACCAAGAUGAUGUGGUAAAUAAAUUGUCAUGUUUGACGAACGUUUGGACACACGCCCCUCACAAACCGGAGCAAGUCGCUAGAAGGUUCGUGGUUCCGAGAGGGAACAAUGCAUGUUUGAUGACGAACGGAAGAUAUCUUCCUCUUACAGCCUUCAAAAAAAUUUCCUACGUUUAACGUGCAACUGUCAUGUGAAAAUUUGGUAAAUUUCAGGGGUCAUUUGACCUUCUAAAGAUAUUUAGGUGAUUUUCUAAGCAUUUAAUGAUCGUAAUUCAAAUUUGAACUACAUCUACAUGCAAUGCCUAACCAAAACGGUUUGAAAAAUCAUAUUUUGUUGUACUUAUGUGCGAGUUAAUUCCAUGUGCAGUAAAUUCGAAGGAAUUUUCAAACAUAUUGGUGUCAAGGCAUGGGCACAUGUGUGGAGUGCAUGCCAUGGCAUUUUAAUUCAAAAAAAAAUUUAAAAAAUGGUCAGAAAAACAUGAAACCUUGCUUCAUUUAAUGUCAUGCCACCAAGAUGAUGUGGUAAAAAACUUGUCCUGUUUGACGAAAGUUUGGACACACACCCCUCACAAACCGGAGCAACUCACUAGAAGGUUCGUGGUUCUGAGAGGGAACAAUGCAUGUUUGCUGACGGACGGGAGAUAGCUUCCUCUUACGGCCUUCAAACUUUUUCCUACAUUUAACAUGCACUAAUACAACUGUCAUGUGAAAAAUUGGAAAUUUUCAGGGGUCAUUUGACCUUCUAAAGACAUUUAAGUGAUUUUCUAACCAUUUAAUGACCGUAAUUCAAAUUUGAGCUACAUCUACAUGCAACGCCUAACCAAAACGGUUUGAAAAAUCAUAUUUUUGUGUAGUUGUGUGCGAGUUAAAAAAUCAUCAGACGAUGUAAAUAUCUGGUGUUCAAAAAAAUAUAAAGACCUGGCAAGACAACCGGCCCCCACACGAUUGGAACUCUAUCUCGCGGCUCGAGGUUUGGUAGGUGAUUGGCGGGGAUCAUUAAUCAAACACGGUUCUGUAUUGGAAACCGUCAGCUAUUAUGUUCACACACGGAUUUGCUGCAGGAAUUGUGUGUAAUUCAAACUAUAGUGCUCGUAAAUUCCGGCGACCGGCGUGUGUACUGUCCCCGUCGAUCUAGAUUCUGGCCGCCAAUAAAUACUACCUUGCUCACGUCGUCCCGCCUGCAUUCUCAUCUACAUCCUCCCCUCGCUCGCCCUCUCUCUCUCUCUCAAAUCUCUGCCAUGGCGCCGCCGGUCUGCCCACGCGCCGACGAGGAGUCGCCGCCCCCCGAGGACGCUCACUCGAUUAGCAGUGAAGAGGACCCCUAUGCGCCUCGUGACGAAGUUGCGCCGGACCCCCCAACUUUGAUUGGUUUUGGGGCCAAUACAAUCUUUGUCUAUGGAAGUCGCUUCCGCCGGCUGAGAAAGCUAGGCAAGUGGCGUUCAAGAAGGAGAUGGCGGAGGAGGAAGCCAGGUAACAGGCGACCUGUGAAGCCCGUGAUGCCGCCUCGAAAAAGGAGGCGGCAGAGCUUUGGGGGCGGGCGCGUCGUCGUGCCAAGGAGGUGUACGAAGACGGGUACUUCGCGAGGAAGGUCAUAGCGUUGGGCAUCUUGUCGCUGCGUGGAGGUGGGCCGGUAAGAUCUAGCGUGCCACCGACGAGGAGCUCCGGUGGGCGCCCAACAAAAUGGCAAGAUCGGCCACGCACGUCCACCAGCAAGAGGCAGAUCGAUACGUCAAGCAUUGCGAGGCGGAGGAGUCGAAGUACUGCCUCCGCACUGGGAAGACGCCGCGCACCAGGGAGCUACUGGCGAGGGGCUGCCGGAAUACUGGUCCCAGGAGGGAUUAUUAGUUUUAGUAUUGUUCGUUUUCAAUUUUAUGCAUUGUACCUAGUGGUUAAGUAUCAUCACGUAUAUAUGAUGAUAUUAUAUAUAUAUAUAUAUUCUGUGAUGAUCUAAUGAACAAUUAAUAUAUAUUAUGAAUUCCAUUUUCUAUCUGUUUUUGUAUACUAAUUUGAAUCUAGCUGUUAUCAUCCACAUAUAUGGAAUGGAAAGUGUAUACACAAACACAUUGAAACAGAACAUAUAAGAAUGGAAAACAGAGUACACACAUUGAAACAGAGCAAUACUAUGAUUGCUGUGAAUACAAAGCUAUCCACGUCGAAACGACUUUUCAAAAUAAAACGCGUCCAUGAGACCAUGACCAGCAGCCCUUGCCUAGGGUAGCUCUUGGCUCUGCCUGAACUCGUGCAGGCGUUCGUCCAAGCGGUCGACACGCUCGCGGUACAUCUGGAGCGUGAUCUCGAGCUCCAAGUUGGCUAUUUCAUCGGAGAUCACCAGCUCGAGGAGCGACGGCCAUGUUCCUCUACUGCGCCAGGUGGACACCUAGGCCAAGGAGGUGGUCGAGCCUACGGACCAGCGCGUCGGCCUCCAGCGGGCCGCGGACAAGGCGAACGGCGGCACCCAUGCGAACGGCGCGGUGGGCAUCCGGUGCAAGUACGGCGCGGCCGGCCUCUGGUGCAAGUACGGCGCUGAGGGCCUCUGCCCACUCCUGGCGAGGAAUGGGGGUACUGACGGGACGUGUACCCAGCUGCGACGCCGUGUUGACAGCAGGCAAGCGCCGAUGGAUCCGCUCUUGCUGUGCGGAGCACCGCGCCUCUCGCUCUGCGGCGCUCGAACGGUCUCACCAUGCGGCGAGCCACAGCCUAUUGGCGCAGACGCACCUAGAUGAAGGAAAUAUGCCCUAGAGGCAAUAAUAAAGUUAUUAUUUAUUUCCUUAUAACAUGAUAAAUGUUUAUUAUUCAUGCUAGAAUUGUAUUAACCGGAAACAUAAUACUUGUGUGAAUACAUAGAAAAACAGUAUGCCACUAGUAUGCCUCUACUUGACUAGCUCGUUGAUCAAAGAUGGUUAUGUUUCCUAGCCAUAGACAUGAGUUGUCAUUUGAUUAACGGGAUCACCUCAUUAGGAGAAUGACGUGAUUGACCUGACCCAUUCCGUUAGCUUAGCACACGAUCGUUUAGUAUUCUGCUAUUCCUUUCUUCAUGACUUAUACAUGUUCCUAUGACUAUGAGAUUAUGCAACUCCCGUUUACCGGAGGAACACUUUGUGUGCUACCAAACGUCACAACGUAAAUGGGUGAUUAUAAAGGUGCUCUACAGGUGUCUCCAAAGGUACUUGUUGGGUUGGCGUAUUUCGAGAUUAGGAUUUGUCACUCCGAUUGUCGGAGAGGUAUCUCUGGGCCCUCUCGGUAAUGCACAUCACUAUAAGCCUUGCAAGCAUUGCAACUAAUGAGUUGGUUGUGGGAUGAUGUAUUACGGAAUGAGUAAAGAGACUUGCCGGUAACGAGAUUGAACUAGGUAUUGAGAUACCGACGAUCGAAUCUCGGGCAAGUAACAUACCGAUGACAAAGGGAACAACGUAUGUUGUUAUGCGGUUUGACCGAUAAAGAUCUUCGUAGAAUAUGUGGGAGCCAAUAUGAACAUCCAGGUUCCACUAUUGGUUAUUGACUGGAGAAGUGUCUCGGUCAUGUCUACAUAGUUCUCGAACCCGUAGGGUCCGCACGCUUAAGGUUUCGAUGACGGUUAUAUUAUGAGUUUAUGAGUUUGAUGUACCGAAGGUAGUUCGGAGACCCGGAUGUGAUCACGGACAUGACAAGGAGUCUCGAAAUGGUCAAGACAUGAAGAUUGAUAUAUUGGAAGCCUAUGUUUGGAUAUCGGAAGUGUUCCAGGUGAAAUCGGGAUUUUACCGGAGUACCGGGAGGUUACCGGAACCCCCCGGGAGGCUGUUGGGCCUUAGUGGGCCUUAGUGGGGAAGAGAGGGCAGCAAGGGGCGUGCCCCCCUGGCCCAAACCGAAUUGGUGGGGGCAAGGGGGCCGGCCCCCGUUCCUUCUCUCUUUCCACCUCCUCCAAUCCUAUUCAACCUAGGAGAGGGGGGAGUCCUACUCCUAGUGGGAGUAGGACUCCUCCUGGCGCCUCCAAACCCUGGCCGGCCACCUCCCCCUUGGCUCCUUUAUAUACAGAGGCAGGGGGCGCCACACACACGAUUGAUUUGAUCUCUUAGCCGUGUGCGACGCCCCCUACACCAAAUUACACCUCGAUAAUACUGUAGCGGUGCUUAGGCGAAGCCCUGCGUCGGUAGAACGUCAACAUCUUCACCACGCCGUUGUGCUGACGAAACUCUCCCUCAACACUCGGCUGGAUCGGAGUUCGAGGGACGUCAUCAAGCUGAACGUGUGCUGAACUCGGAGGUGCCGUACGUUCGGUACUUGAUCGGUCGGAUCGUGAAGACGUACAACUACAUCAACUGUUGAUCGGUCGGAUCGUCAAGUACGACUACAUCGACCGCGUUGUCAUAACGCUUUCGCUUUCGGUCUACGAGGGUACGUGGACACACUCUCCCUCUCGUUGCUAUACAUCACCAUGAUCUUGUGUGAGCGUAGGAAAUUUUUUGAAAUUACUACGAAACCCAACAGUGGCAUCCGAGCUUGGUUUUAUGCGUUGAUGUUAUGCACAAGUAGAACACAAGUGAGUUGUGGGCGAUAUAAGUCAUACUGCUUACCAGCAUGUCAUACUUUGGUUCAGCGGUAUUGUGAGAUGAAGCGCCCAGACCAACAUUACCCGUACGCUUAUGCGAGACCGGUUUCACCGCUGCGAGCACUCGUUGCUUAAAGGUGACUGGCGGGUGUCUGUCUCUCUCACUUUAGAUGAAUCGAGUGUGGCUACGCCCGGUCCUUGCGAAGGUUAAAACAGCACCAACUUGACAAACUAUCGUUGUGGUUUUGAUGCGUAGAUAAGAACGGUUCUUGCUAAGCUCGUAGCAGCCACGUAAAACUUGCAACAACAAAGUAGAGGACGUCUAACUUGUUUUUGCAGGGCAUGUUGUGAUGUGAUAUGGUCAAGGCAUGAUGUGAUAUAAUUUGUUGUAUGAGAUGAUCAUGUUUUGUAACCGAGUUAUCGGCAACUGGCAGGAGCCAUAUGGUUGUCGCUUUAUUGUAUGCAAUGAAAUCGCGAUGUAAUGCUUUACUUUAUCACUAAGCGGUAGCGAUAGUCGUGCAAGCAUAAGAUUGGCGAGACGACAACGAUGCUACGAUGGAGAUCAAGGUGUCGCGUCGAUGACGAUGGUGAUCAUGACGGUGCAAUGAUGCUACGAUGGAGAUCAAGGUGUCGUGCCGGUGACGAUGGUGAUCGUGAAGGUGCUUCGGAGAUGGAGAUCACAAGCACAAGAUGAUGAUGGCCAUAUCAUAUCACUUAUAUUGAUUGAAUGUGAUGUUUAUCUUUUAUGCAUCUUAUUCUUCUUAGAACGACGGUAGCAUUAUAAGAUGAUCUCUCACUAAAUUAUCAAGUAAAAGGUGUUCUCCCUGAGUAUGCACCGUUGCAAAAGUUCUUCGUGCUGAGACACCACGUGAUGAUCGGGUGUGAUAGGCUCUACGUUCAAAUACAACGGGUGCAAAACAGUUGCACACGUGGAAUACUCAGGUUAAAUUUGACGAGCCUAGCAUAUAAUAGAUAUGGCCUCGGAACAUGGAGACCGAAAGGUCGAGCGUGAAUCAUAUAGUAGAUAUGAUCAACAUAGUGAUGUUCACCAUUGAAACUACUCCGUCUCACGUGAUGAUCGGACACGGUUUAGUUGAUUUGGAUCACGUGAUCACUUAGAGGACUAGAGGGAUGUCUAUCUAAGUGGGAGUUCUUAAGUAAUAUGAUUAAAUUGAACUUAAAUUUAUCAUGAACUUAGUCCUGGUAGUAUUAGCAUAUCUAUGUUGUAGAUCAAUAGCUCGCGUAGUUGCUCGCCGUUUAUGUUUUGAUAUGUUCCUAGAGAAAACUAAGUUGAAAGAUGUUAGUAGCAAUGAUGCGGAUUGGAUCCAUGAUCUGAGGUUUAUCCUCAUUGCUGCGCAGAAAAAAUUAUGUCCUUGAUGCACCGCUAGGUGACAGACCUAUUGCAGGAGCAGAUGCAGAUGUUAUGAACGUUUUGACAUAAGCUCGGUAUGAUGACUACUUGAUAGUUAAGUGCACCAUGCUUAAUGGCUUAGAAUCGGGACUUCAAAGAUGUUUUGAACAUCAUGGACCAUAUGAGAUGUUCCAAGAGUUGAAGUUAAUAUUUCAAGCAAAUACCCGAGUUGAGAGAUAUGAAAUCUCCAACAAGUUCUAUAGCUAAAAGAUGGAGGAGAAUAGCUCAAGCAGUGAGCAUGUGCUCAGAUUGUCUGGGUACUACAAUCGCUUGAAUCAAGUGGGAGUUAAUCUUCCAGAUAAAAUAGUGAUUGACAGAAUUCUCUAGUCACCAUCACCAAGUUAGUAGAACUUUGUGAUGAACUAUAAUAUGCAAGGGAUGACGAAAGUUAUUCCCGAGCUCUUCGCGAUGCUGAAAUCGGCGAAGGUAGAAAUCAAGAAAAACAUCAAGUGUUGAUGGUUGACAAAGACCACUAGUUUCAAGAAGAGGGCAAAGGGAAGAAAGGGGAACUUCAAGAAGAACGGCAAGCAAGUUGCUGCUCAAGUGAAGAAGCCCAAGUCUGGACCUAAACCUGAGACUAAGUGCUUCUACUGCAAAGGUACUGGUCACUGGAAACGGAACUACCCCAAGUAUUUGGCGGAUAAGAAAGGAUGGCAAAGUAAACAAAGGUAUAUUUGAUAUACAUGAUAUUGAUGUGUACUUUACUAGUGUUUAUAGCAACCCCUCGGUAUUUGAUACUAGUUCAGUUGCUAAGAGUAGUAACUCGAAUCGGGAGUUGCAUAAUGAACUGAGACUGGUUAAGGGUGAAGUGACGAUGUGUGUUGGAAGUGGUUCCAAGAUUGAUAUGAUCAUCAUCGCACACUCCCUAUACUUUCGGGAUUAGUGUUGAAACUAAAUAAGUGUUAUUUGGUGUUUGCGUUGAGCAUGAAUAUGAUUUGAUCAUGUUUGCAAUACGGUUAUUCAUUUAAGUUAGAGAAUAAUUGUUAUUCUGUUUACAUGAAUAAAACCUUAUAUGGUUACACACCCAAUCAAAAUGGUUCGUUGGAUCUCGAUCAUAGUGAUACACAUAUUCAUAAUAUUAAAGCCAAAAGAUGCAAAGUUAAUAAUGAUAGUGCAACUUAUUUGUGGCACUGCCGUUUAGGUCAUAUUGGUGUAAAGCGCAUGAAGAAACUCCAUGCUGAUGGACUUUUGGAAUCACUUGAUUAUGAAUCACUUGAUGCUUGCGAACCAUGCCACUUGGGCAAGAUGACUAAAACGCCGUUCUCCGAAACAAUGGAGCGAGUAACAGAUUUGUUGGAAAUCAUACAUACUGAUGUAUGAGGUCCGAUGAAUAUUAAGGCUCGCGGCGGGUAUCGUUAUUUUCUCACCUUCACAGAUGAUUUAAGCAGAUAUGGGUAUAUCUACUUAAUGAAGCAUAAGUCUGAAACAUUUGAAAAGUUCAAGGAAUUUCAGAGUGAAGUGGAAAAUCAUCGUAACAAGAAAAUAAAGUUUCUACGAUCUGAUCGUGGAGGAGAAUAUUUGAGUUACGAGUUUGGUAUUCAUUUGAAACAAUGCAGAAUAGUUUCACAACUCACGCCACCCGGAACACCACAGCGUAAUGGUGUGUCCGAACGUCGUAAUCGUACUUUACUAGAUAUGGUGCGAUCUAUGAUGUCUCUUACUGAUUUACCGCUAUCGUUUUGGGGCUAUGCUCUAGAGACUGGUGCAUUCACGUUAAAUAGGGCACCAUCUAAAUCCGUUGAGACGACGCCUUAUGAACUAUGGUUUGGCAAGAAACCAAAGUUGUCGUUCCUUAAAAUUUGGGGCUGCGAUGCUUAUGUGAAAAAGCUUCAACCUGAUAAGCUCGAACCCAAAUCGGAGAAAUGUGUCUUCAUAGGAUACCCAAAAGAGACUGUUGGGUACACCUUCUAUCACAGAUCCGAAGGCAAGACUUUUGUUGCUAAAUUUGGAUCCUUUCUAGAGAAGGAGUUUCUCUCGAAAGAAGUGAGUGGGAGGAAAGUAGAACUUGAUGAGAUAACUGUAUCUACUCCAUUGUUGGAAGGUAGUUCAUCACAGAAAUCUGUUCCUGUGACUCCUACACCAAUUAGUGAGGAAGUUAAUGAUGAUGAUCAUGAAACUUCAGAUCAAGUAACUACUGAACCUCGUAGAUCAACCAGAGCGAGAUCCGCACCAGAGUGGUACGGUAAUCCUGUUCUGGAAGUUAUGUUACUAGACCAUGACGAAACUACGAACUAUGAAGAAGCGAUGGUGAGCCCAGAUUCCGCAAAAUGGCUAGAGGCCAUGAAAUCUAAGAUGGGAUCCAUGUAUGAGAACAAAGUGUGGACUUUGGUUGACUUGCCCGGUGAUCGGCAAGCAAUUGAGAAUAAAUGGAUCUUCAAGAGGAAGACGGACGCUGAUAGUAGUGUUACUAUCUACAAAGCUCGACUUGUUGCGAAAGGGUUUCAACAAGUUCAAGGUGUUGACUACGAUGAGAGUUUCUCACUCGUAUCUAUGCUUAAGUCUGUCUGAAUCAUGUUAGCAAUUGCCGCAUUUUAUGAAAUCUGGCAAAAUGGAUAAACAAAACUGCAUUCCUAAAUGGAUUCAUUAAAUAAGAGUUGUAUAUGAUGCAACCAGAAGGUUUUGUCGACCCUAAAGGUGCUAAAGAAGUGUGCAAAGCUCCAGCGAUCCAUCUAUGGACUGGUGCAAGCAUCUCGGAGUUGGAAUAUGCGCUUUGAUAAGAUGAUCAAAGCAUAUAGUUUUAUACAGACUUGGUGAAGCCAGUAUUUACAAGAAAGUGAGUGGGAGCACUACAACGUUUCUGAUAAGUAUAUGUGGAUGACAUAUUGUUGAUCGGAAAUAAUGUAGAAUUAUUCUGCAAAGCAUAAAGGAGUGUUUGAAAGGAGUUUUUCAAAGAAAGACACGGUAAAGCUGCUUACAUAUUGAGCAUCAAGAUCUAUAGAGAUAGAUCAAGAGGCUUGAUAAGGUUUUUCAAUGAGUACAUACCUUGACAAGAUUUUGAAGUAGUUCAAAAUGGAACAGUCAAAGAAAGAGUUCUUGCCUGUGUUACAAGGUGUGAAAUUGAGUAAGACUCAAAGCCCGACCACGGCAGAAGAUAGAAUGAGAAUGAAAGUCAUUCCCUAUGCCUCAGCCAUAGGUUCUAUAAAGUAUGCCAUGCUGUGAACCAGAUCUAUUGUAUACCCUGCACUGUGUUUAGCAAGGGAGAACAAUAGUGAUCUAGGAGUAGAUCACUAGACAGCGGUCAUAAUUAUCCUUGGUGGAAUAAGGAUAUGUUUCUCGAUUAUGGAGGUGAAAAAAAGGUUCGUCGUAAAGGGUUACGUCGAUGCAAGUUUUGACACUGAUCUGGAUGACUCUAUGUCUCGAUCUAGAUACAUAUUGAAAGUGGGAGCUAUUAGCUAGAGUAGCUCAGUGCAGAGCAUUGUAGACAUAGAAAUUUGCUAGAUACUAACGGUUCUGAAUUUGGCAGACCCAUUGACUAAAUUUCUCUCACAAGCAAAACAUGAUCACACCUUAGUACUCUUUGGGUGUUAAAUCACCUAAAAUGAUGUGAACUAGAUUACUGACUCUAGUAAACCCUUUGAAUGUUGGUCACAUGGCGAUAUGAACUAUGGGUGUUAAUCACAUGGUGAUGUGAACUAUUGUUCUUAAAACACAUGGCGAUGUGAGCUAGAUUGUUGACUCUAGUGCAAGUGGGAGACUGAAGGAAAUAUGCCCUAGAGGCAAUAAUAAAGUUAUUAUUUAUUUCCUUAUAUCAUGAUAAAUGUUUAUUAUUGAUGCUAGAAUUGUAUUAACCGGAAACAUAAUACUUGUGUGAAUACAUAGACAAACAGUAUGUCACUAGUAUGCCUCUACUUGACUAGCUCGUUGAUCAAAGAUGGUUAUGUUUCCUAGCCAUAGACAUGAGUUGUCAUUUGAUUAACGGGAUCACCUCAUUAGGAGAAUGACGUGAUUGACCUGGCCCAUUCUGUUAGCUUAGCACACGAUCGUUUAGUAUUCUGCUAUUGCUUUCUUCAUGACUUAUACAUGUUCCUAUGACUAUGAGAUUAUGCAACUCCCGUUUACCAGAGGAACACCUUGUGUGCUACCAAACAUCACAACGUAAAUGGGUGAUUAUAAAGGUGCUCUACAGGUGUCUCCAAAGGUACUUGUUGGGUUGGCGUAUUUCGAGAUUAGGAUUUGUCACUCCGAUUGUCGGAGAGGUAUCUCUGGGCCCUCUCGGUAAUGCACAUCACUAUAAGCCUUAUAAGCAUUGCAACUAAUGAGUUGGUUGCGGGAUGAUGUAUUACGGAACAAGUAAAGAGACUUGCCGGUAACGAGAUUGAACUAGGUAUUGAGAUACCGACGAUCGAAUCUCGGGCAAGUAACAUACCGAUGACAAAGGGAACAACGUAUGUUGUUAUGCGGUUUGACCGAUAAAGAUCUUCGUAGAAUAUGUGGGAGCCAAUAUGAACAUCCAGGUUCCACUAUUGGUUAUUGACUGGAGAAGUGUCUCGGUCAUGUCUACAUAGUUCUCGAACCCGUAGGGUCCGCACGCUUAAGGUUUCGAUGACGGUUAUAUUAUGAGUUUAUGAGUUUGAUGUACCAAAGGUUGUUCGGAGUCCCGGAUGUGAUCACGGACAUGACGAGGAGUCUUGAAAUGGUCGAGACUUAAAGAUUGAUAUAUUGGAAGCCUAUGUUUGGAUAUCGGAAGUGUUCCGGGUGAAAUCGGGAUUUUACCGGAGUACCGGGAGGUUACCGGAACCCCCCGGGAGGCUGUUGGGCCUUAGUGGGCCUUAGUGGGGAAGAGAGGGCAGCAAGGAGCGUGCCCCCCUGGCCCAAACCGAAUUGGUGGGGGCAAGGGGGCCGGGCCCCCUUCCUUCUCUCUUUCCACCUCCUCCAAUCCUAUUCCAACUAGGAGAGGGGGGGGGAGUCCUACUCCCAGUGGGAGUAGGACUCCUCCUGGCGCCUCCAAACCCUGGCCGGCCACCUCCCCCUUGGCUCCUUUAUAUACAGAGGCAGGGGGGCGCCACACACACGAUUGAUUUGAUCUCUUAGCCGUGUGCGGCGCCCCCCUACACCAAAUUACACCUCGAUAAUACUGUAGCGGUGCUUAGGCGAAGCCCUGCGUCGGUAGAACGUCAACAUCGUCACCACGCCGUUGUGCUGACGAAACUCUCCCUCAACACUCGGCUGGAUCGGAGUUCGAGGGACGUCAUCAAGCUGAACGUGUGCUGAACUCGGAGGUGCCGUACGUUCGGUACUUGAUCGGUCGGAUCGUGAAGACGUACAACUACAUCAACUGUUGAUCGAUCGGAUCGUCAAGUACGACUACAUCGACCGCGUUGUCAUAACGCUUUCGCUUUCGGUCUACGAGGGUACGUGGACACACUCUCCCUCUCGUUGCUAUACAUCACCAUGAUCUUGUGUGAGCGUCGGAAAAUUUUUCAAAUUACUACGAAACCCAACACUAGCUUGCUCUACGGCGCGCCAUCGAUCAUGUUGUGCGGCAAGCUGCACCCUGUCGGCGCUGACAUGCCUAUCUUGAUCCGCAGUGCUCAAGCGCCAUGCACCAAAGGUCUGCUCAACCCUGGCGAUGACAUGCAUCACGACGUCGUCCAUCGCGUUGCCGGGGAGCGCCUCGGCCUCGACGGGCCGUAGCGCCUGCUCGUUUUCCUCGUCGGCGAGGUUGAUGGCGGAGGCGGCGCUUUGGUGGGUUGGCAUGCUUGGAAAAUGUAGAUGUGCUACAGGCUGCGCUUGUCGCCUCCGUGCGUCGCGCGCCCCCUAUGCGCAAUAUAGCAGGGUGGCGGGAAACAGGUGAGGAAAUGGCGAGAAACGGUGGCGUGUUCAUAAAACACCAUCAAUUAAUGGAAACUUAGCAUCGAGCUAGCACAAGUCGUAGAAGAUGAUCAGAUGAACACGGACCACACUAGGGAACUCGUCAGUGAUGAAUUCAUCAAUCCCAAACGGUUGAAUACUAGCAAGCGUUUGCCCACAACAUACACGGCCUAUUCCAUCACAAAUAGGUCGGAUGGAUCAACUGUAUGCCACGUAUCGCACAUUGUCAAAAAGUAAUGCGGUAGACCUUCUUUAAUUAACAUGUGUUAAAAAAUAAAAAACAAGGACCUCGAGGUUAAAUUAGCUGAGGUAAUGGUGCAUUUCGGUCAUUUGACCGAAAUGACCCAUCCCAUCAGCUAAUUUAACAUCUACACAACUUCCCAUCCAGUCACCCAUUCGAUGGCUGCUCCAGCCUAAGCACACUUAACUUGAUAGUUUUCUUACAUGAGCUACUGGUGGAACAGCUAGUCCUUGCUGAUAGGAAUGCCUCUUCACAUCCUUAUGGCAUAUCCGGAUGACCGCCCGUCCCACAAUGGCCAAUAGAUGUUGUGUAGACAGAGGAUAUCACAUACAUCUUAUUAGAAGCAAUCGUCUGCGUUAUUAUCGGUCUACGCACACAUUUCUGAUUACAGACCUGUUUGCCACAUAUCACACACAUCUUGUUAUAUUGAACCGUUUCGGUUCUCUUGCCUAAUCACAAACAGUUCAUCCGAGUGAACCAUAUGUUGUAUAUCGCACACACCUUCAUCUGGCUGCUCGUUUCUUUUGUGCUGCCUAAUCACAAACAGUUCAUCCGAGUGAACCGUAUGCUGUGUAUCGCACACGCCUUCAUCUGGCUGCCCGUUUCUUUUGUUCCUCCUCAUCGCAAAAAGUUAAUUGAACUGAAUCGUAUGCCCUUCAUCGCACACGCAACUAAAACCUGAACCAUGUUUGAUGCAUACAUCAUCACAAACGUUUUAUACAUUUCUGACAGUUUUCAUACACCACCGUCUGCGGUUAUGGCAUCGCACACAGUUUCUCGAAGGGUGUCUGAUUGUAGUGUCGCGUUAGCAGCAUCCUGCAGUAGUGGUAGCUUGUGCAUCGGAUAUUUUCCAAGGAAACUUUCAGCAAAAUUAAGCAUACUUCGAUUGGAGAUUGCAAACUUCUUGACUAAGAUCAUCAAGUUGUUUUGUGAUAGCAUCCAGCACAACGGAGUGCUCCAUAAGUUCUUAAGUAAAAUACUUAUUAUGCUCAAAUUGUGUAGUCAUAUACUCCUUAGUACUUUUCUCAAUUUCAAGCAAAAUGUUUGGGUAAGGAACAUCAUAAUAUUUUCUUUUUGGCAUCAUGACUACGCAAACAAGAACGCACACAAAAAUAGAUCUGGCAAGAAAAUAGCGAACGGAAAAAGAUGGGCGGAUAAAACGGCAAAUUUUUGUGACGUGGGGGAGAGGAAAACGGGAGGCAAAUGGCUAAUAAUGUAAAUUGCGAGGAGUUGAGAUUUGUGAUUAGGAACUUGGUAUAUGUUGAAGAUCCUCCCCGACGACGGUGCCAGAAAUUCCUUUUGAUGUCGCUUGAAGCUACGUCGGUAUUUCCCCAAAGAGGAAGGGAUGAUGCAGCACAGCGGCGGUAGGUAUUUCCCUCAGAUAUGAAACCAAGGUUAUUGAACUAGUAGGAGAACCAAGCAACACAAAGUAAACAGCCCCUACACACAGAUAACAAAUCCUCGCAACCCGACGUGUUAAAGGGGUUGUCAAUCCCUUUCGGGUAACAUUGCCAGAAAUUGGUGCAUGACGGGAGAAAGUUGAAAUAGAUUGAAUAAAUAGAUCACAAAUAAAAUAAAGUGCAGCAAAUAUUUUUGGGUUUUUUGGAUUAAUAGAUCUGAAAAUAAAAGAAAAUAAAAGUAGAUCGCAAAGGCAAAUAAUAUGAGAAAGAGACCCACGGGCCGUAGGUUUCACUAGUGGCUUCUCUCGAGAAAAAUAGCAAACGGUGGGUGAACAAAUUACUGUUGGGCAAUUGAUAGAACUUCAAAUACUCAUGACGAUAUCCAGGCAAUGAUAAUUAUAUAGGCAUCACGUCCAAGAUUAGUAGACCGACUCCUGCCUGCAUCUACUACUAUUACUCCACACAUCGACCGCUAUCCAGCAUGCAUCUAGUGUAUUAAGUUCGUGGAGAAACGGUGUAAUGCAAUAAGAACGAUGACAUGAUGUAGACAAGAUCUAUCUAUGUAGAUAUAUACCCCAUAGUUUUAUCCUUAGUAGCAACGAUACAUACGUGUCGGUUCCCCUUCUGUCAGUGGGAUCAAGCACCGUCAGAUCGAACCCACUACAAAGCACCUCUUCCCAUUGCAAGAUAAAUAGAUCAAGUUGGCCAAACAAAACCCAAAUAUCGGAUAAGAAAUAUGAGGCUAUAAGAAAUCAUGCAUAAAAGUGAUCAAAGAAACUCAAAUACUUUCAUGGAUAUAAAAAGAUAGAUCUGAUCAUAAACUCAAAGUUCAUCGAUCCCAACAAACACACCACAAAAGAGUUACAUCAUAUGGAUCUCCAAGAGACCAUUGUAUUGAGAAUCAAGAGAGAGAGAGAGAUGAAGCCAUCUAGCUACUAACUACGGACCCGAAGGUCUACAAAGAACUACUCACAUAUCAUCGGAGAGGCACCAAUGGAGGUGGUGAACUCCAUCCGAGAUGGUGUCUAGAUUGGAUCUGGUAGUUCUGGACUCUGCGAUGGCUAGAUGAAUAUUUCAUCCACUCCCCUAGGGUUUUGGGAAUAUUGGGGUAUUUAUAGAGCAAAGAGGCGGUACGGGGGGCAUCCGAGGUGGGCACAACCCACCAGGGCGCGCCUGGGCCUCCUGGCGUGCCCUGGUGGGUUGUGCCCCCCUCGGGGCACCCCCCAGGCGCAGCCAGGUCCCGUUGUGGUCCUUUUGGCCCAUAAAAAUUCUCCGUAAAGUUUCGUGGCAUUUGGACUCCGUUAGUAAAAAACAUGGAAAAAAAACAGCAACUAGCACUUGGCACUAUGUCAGUAGUUUAGUACCAAAAAAUGAUAUAAAAUAACUAUAAAAUGAUUAUAAAACAUCCAAGAUUGAUAAUAUAACAGCAUGGAACAAUAAAAAAAUUAUAGAUACGUUGGGACGUAUCAACCGCCUGGCGGGGCAUGGAGCAGCAGUGCACCGACGCUCUGAGUCACGGGCAGAGCGCCCGCAACUGGGCCGACUACGUGGAGGCCGGUGCCCGGCAAAUAGCCCUAGAGGCUGUCGGGCACGCACGCGUUCGCGACGCCGAAUUUUAAUACCAUCUCGUCAAGUGGGUUUCCUGCGUAGAAGCCGAAGCUUCAAUGGACCACGCCGGCAUGGAAAGGGCCAACGCGUGCGAGCAACGCGCCAUAUCGCACCUCUGGCAAGUCCGAGGCGAGGAGGAGGACGUCGGUGCCGGUGUUUACCGUGUACCGCAGAUGGUGCUACCUCUUGACCAUGUGUUGGUUUUCCCUUGAAGAGGAAAGGGUGAUGCAGCAAAGUAGCAUAAGUAUUUCCCUUGGUUUUUGAGAACCAAGGUAUCAAUCUAGUAGGAGAUUACACGCAAGUCACCUAGUACCUGCACAAACAAUCAAGAACCUUGCAACCAACGCGAUAAAGGGGUUGUCAAUCCCUUCACGGUCACUCGCAAAAGUGAGAUCUAAUAAAGAUAAUAAGAUAAAUAUUUUUUGUAUUUUUGUUGUAUAGAUUGGAAAGUAAAGAUUGCAAAAUAGUAAAACGAGAUGUGAUGUAAAUAAAAGAGUUGCAAUAUAAUAAGAGACCCGGGGGCCAUAGGUUUCACUAGUGGCUUCUCUCAAGAUAGCAUAUAUUACGGUGGGUGAACAAAUUACUGCCGAGCAAUUGAUAGAAAAGCGCAUAGUUAUGAGAAUAUGUAGGCAAUGAUCAUGAAUAUAGGCAUCACGUCCGUGUCAAGUAGACCGAAACGAUUCUGCAUCUACUACUAUUACUCCACACAUCAACCGCUAUCCAGCAUGCAUCUAGAGUAUAAAGUUCAUAAGAACAGAGUAACGCAUUAAGCAAGAUGACAUGAUGUAGAGGGAUAAACUCAAGCAAUAUGAUAUAAACCCCAUCUUUUUAUCCUCAAUGGCAACAAUACAAUACGUGCCUUGCUGCCCCUACUGUCACUGGGAAAGGACACCGCAAGAUCAAACCCAAAGCUAAGCACUUCUCCCAUUGCAAGAAAGAUCAAUCUAGUUAUUCCUUUUCUGGAUUGCGUUUGUUCCAAGAAAGAUCAUCGCGAAGGUUUCAUUCCUUUUGGAUUCCGUUUGGUAUUCCUUUUCUGCAAAACACUGAAAUAGGCAAAAAAACAGAAACUGGCACUGGGCCUUCGGUUAAUAGGUUAGUCCCAAAAAUAAUGUAAAAGAGCAUAUUAAAGCCCAUUAAACAUCCAAAACAGAUAAUAUAAUAGCAUGGAACAACAAAAAAUUAUAGAUACGUUGCAGACGUAUCAAGCAUCCCCAAGCUUAAUUCCUGCUCGUCCUCGAGUAGGUAAAUGAUAAAAACAGAAUUUUUGAUGUGGAAUGCUACCUAACAUAAUUUUCAAUGUAAUUCUCUUUAUUGUGGCAUGAAUGUUCAGAUCCAUAAGAUUCAAAAUAAAAGUUUAAUAUUGACAUAAAAACAAUAAUACUUCAAGCAUACUAAUAAAGCAAUCAUGUCUUCUCAAAAUAACAUGGCCAAAGAAAGUUAUCCCUACAAAAUCAUAUAGUCUGGCUAUGCUCUAUCUUCAUCACACAAAAUAUUUAAAUCAUGCACAACCCCGAUGACAAGCCAGGCAAUUGUUUCAUACUUUUGAUGUUCUCAAACUUUUUCAAUCUUCACGCAAUACAUGAGCGUGAGCCAUAGACAUAGCACUAUAGGUGGAAUAGAAUGGUGGUUGUGGAGAAGACAAAAAGGGGAAGAUAGUCUCACAUCAACUAGGUGUACCAAUGGGCUAUGGAGAUGCCCAUCAAUAUAUAUCAAUGUGAGUGAGUAGGGAUUUCCAUGCAACGGAUGCACUAGAGCUAUAAGUGUAUGAAAGGUCAACAAAAGAAACUAAGUGGGUGUGUAUCCAACUUGGUUGCUCAUGAAUACCUAGGGCAAUUUGAGGAAGCCCAUCAUUGGAAUAUACAAGCCAAGUUCUAUAAUGUAAAAUUCCCACUAGUAUAAAAGUGACAACAUAGGAGACUCUCUAUCAUAAAGAUCAUGGUGCUACUUUGAAGCACAAGUGUGGUAAAAGGAUAGUAGCAUUGUCCCUUCUCUCUUUUUCUCUCAUAUUUUUAUUUGGGCCUUUCUCUUUUUUUAUGGCCUUUUUUUUCGUCCGGAGUCUCAUCCCGACUUGUGGGGGAAUCAUAGUCUCCAUCAUCCUUUCCUCACUGGGACAAUGCUCUAAUAACGAUGAUCAUCACACUUUUAUUUACUUACAACUCAAUACUUAGAACAAAAUAUGACUCUAUGUGAAUGCCUCCGGCGGUGUACCGGGAUGUGCAAUGAAUCAAGAGUGACAUGUAUGAAAAUCAUGAAUGGUGGCUUUGCCACAAAUACGAUGUCUACUACAUGAUCAUGCAAAGCAAUAUGACAAUGAUAGAGCGUGUCAUAAUAAAUGGAACGGUGGAAAGUUGCAUGGCAAUAUAUCUCGUAAUGGCUAUGGAAAUGCCAUAAUAGGUAGGUAUGGUGGCUGUUUUGAGGAAGGUAUAUGGUGGGUGUAUGAUACAGGCGAAAGGUGCGCGGUAUUAGAGAGGCUAGCAAUGGUGGAAGGGUGAGAGUGCGUAUAAUCCAUGGACUCAACAUUAGUCAUAAAGAACUCACAUACUUAUUGCAAAAAUCUAUUAGUUAUCGAAACAAAGUACUACGCGCAUGCUCCUAGGGGAAUAGAUUGGUAGGAAAAGACCAUCGCUCGUCCCCGACCGCCACUCGUAAGGAAGACAAUCAAUAAAUAAAUCAUGCUCCGACUUCAUCAUAUAACGGUUCACCAUAUGUGCAUGCUACGGGAAUCACAAACGUUAACACAAGUAUCUCUCAAAUUCACAACUACUCAACUAGCAUGACUCUAAUAUCACCAUCUUCAUAUCUCAAAACAAUCAUAAGGAGUCAAACUUCUCAUAGUAUUCAAUGCACUUUAUAUGAUAGUUUUUAUUAUACCCAUCUUGGAUCCUCAUCAUAUUAGGACUAAUUUUAUAGCCAAAGCAAAUUACCAUGCUGUUCUAAAAGACUCUCAAAAUAAUAUAAGUGUAGCAUUAGAGAUCAAUAAUUUUUAUAAAAUAAAACCACCACCGUGCUCUAAAAACAUAUAAGUGAAGCACUAGAGCAAAAUUAUCUAGCUCAAAAGAUAUAAGUGAAGCACAUAGAGUAUCUAAUAAAUGCCGAUUCAUGCGUGUCUCUCCAAAAGGUGUGUAAAGCAAGGAUGAUUGUGGUAAACUAAAAAGCAAAGACUCAAAUCAUAAAAGAUGCUCCAAGAAAAACACAUAUCAUGUGGUGAAUAAAAAUAUAGCCUCAAGUAAAGUUACCAAUAGACGAAGACGAAAGAGGGGAUGCCUUCCGGGGCAUCCCCAAGCUUAGGAUUUUGGUUGUACUUGAAUUUUACCUUGGGGUGCCUUGGGCAUCCCCAAGCUUAGGCUCUUUCCACUCCUUAUUCCAAAAUCCAUCAAAUCUUUACUCAAAACUUGAAAACUUCACAACACAAAACUUAAACAGAAAAUCUCAUGAGCUCCGUUAGUAUAAGAAAAUAAACCACCACUUUAAGGUACUGUAGUGAACUCAUUCUUUAUUUAUAUUGGUGUUAAACCUACUGUAUUACAACUUCUCUAUGGUUCAUACCCCCCGAUACUACUCAUAGAUUCAUCAAAAUAAGCAAACAACACACGAGAAACAGAAUCUGUCAAAACAGAACAGUCUGUAGCAAUCUGUAUCAAACGAAUACUUAUGAAGCUCCAAAAAUUCUGAAAUAAAUUGGUGGACGUGAGGAAUUUUUCUAUUAAUAAUCUGCAAAAAUAAUCAACCUAAAAUCACGCUCCAGGAAAAAAUGGCAUCUAAUCUCGUGAGCGCAAAAGUUUCUGUUUUUUUACAGCAAGAUUGCAAAGACUUCACCCAUGUCUUCCCAAAGGUUCUACUUGGCACAAACACUAAUUAAAACAUAAAACCACAUAUAAACAGAGGCUAGAUGAAUUAUUUAUUAAUAAACAGGAACAAAAAGCAAAGAACAAAAAUAAAAUUGGGUUCCCUCCCAACAAGCGCUAUCGUUUAACGCCCCUAGCUAGGCAUAAAGCAAGAAUAAAUCUAGGUAUUGCCAUCUUCUCCCUUUUGGUGAUAAAGAGAAAACUUCUUAUCUAAAGCACUUAUCUUUUUAUUUUGUAAAAGCAUGUGGCCAUUAAUGGUAGAAGAAAGAUUAAGCACACUAUGAAAAUUUGCAUCUAAACUAGCCUUCAUCUCUUUGAUAAUUUCAUUCUGAUAAAAACACAAAAGAGAAGUAGAUUCAACUUUUUCACUCAUUGGGUGCCCAAAUAUAGCUUUCACCUUUUCAUAGGUAUCGAUGGCAUCCCCUCAAGAAAACCUUCUUCAAAAAUAGAAUCCAAAACUUGCUUAAAAGAAGAUGGUAAGCCAACAUAAAAACUUUUUAAGUAUAUCUCAAUUUGAUAUUGGGGCACAUAGCUGGCUCGGAUCCUUACACUACAAAAAAAUACACUUCCGUGAUGAUACGUGUUUGUCACAGUAGGUCACGUUUUCCGUCAUGCAUGUACAUCCAUGAAGAUUUUAUGACAGAAUCAAGAUAGUCAUACCUGUGUUGUCGUAGAAGUGUUCCAUGACAUUACCAAAAUUAUCAUCACGGAAGUGUCCACUUCCAUGACGAUAAAUCGCGCGUAACAGAACUGCUUUCGUCAAGGGUGACCGACACGUGGCAUCCGCCAUAACGGAACGCCGUUAAGCUAUCGGGUCCGGUUUUGGAUCCGAUAACCUGUUAACAGCCCAGACCAAUGGGGAUUUUCCACGUGUAAAAUCAUCAUUGGCCGGAGGAAACACGUGUUGCCUCACCGUUGGGACAGAUGUCGUCCACUCAUUGGACAGGAGGCACCUAUGAUAGGUCGACACGUGGCACGGCCCAACAGUGGCCCAUUUCGGUGAAAAAGGUCGGGCCAGUAAAAAUUAGCAGGCCGGCCCAUAUAAGGCCUACUUGUGCCAGGUCCAUUUAAGCCCAUGGCCCGUAUGAGAUGUGCCAAUUCGGCCCGUCAACGGCCCAUUAAAUAUUUGACACCAUUGCAGCCCAUCGUCAGUUCAAGCCUGUUAACAGCCCGCUAUAUAUUUGGGCUCAGUAUCGGCCUGAUGAGAUUUUGGCCUAUUAGCGGCCCAUUCAAUGGAUGGGCCAAUUUUCACGAUGUACAUCUUUCGGCCUUUUAGCGACCCAUUUAAAUGUUGGGCUAAUUUCCGACCCGGUGUGUCUUUCAGCCUGUUGACGGCCCAUAAAUCAGUUGGGCCAUUUGUAGUCAGACCUGAGUUUCUGCCUUUUAGCGACCCAUUUAAGUGUUGGGCCAAUUUCCGGCCUGGUGUGUCUUUCAGCCUGUUGACGACCCAUAUAUCAGUUGGGCCAUUUGUAGUCGGACCUGAGUUUUGGCCUUUUAGCGACCCAUUUAAGUGUUGGGCCAAUUCCCGACCAUGUGUGCCUUUCAGCCUGUUAACGGACCAUAAAUGAGUUGGGCCAUUUGUAGUCGGACCUGAGUUUUGGUCUUUUAACGGCCCAUGCCCUUCAUGGUCCAAUACCAGCCCGGUUUCUCUUUCGGCCUGCUAAAGGCCCACAACACAGUUGGCCAUUUACAAUACGACCUGACUUUCGGCCUCUUAGCGGCCCAUGCUCUUCAUGGUCCAGUACAAGCCCGUUGUCUCUUUCGGCCUGCUAAAGGCCCACAGUAUAGUUGGGCCAUAUGUAGCCCGAACUUAGUAACGGCCUGUUAAUGGCCCGUGAAAUCAAUUGGGCCCACCUGUUGCCCGCUUCGAUGUCGGCCUGUUAACGACCCGGGAGUUAAGAGGGCCGACCAUUAACUUUCGGCCUGGUAACGGCCCAUUAACUUAAUGGGCCCACUAAAGUUCAUACAUGUCUUUAGGCCAAAUUAGAUAAUUUGAGCCCAUUAUGACGAGCAAUUAUGCACAGGACCAAAACCAAUCAAGCAAAGGUACGACAUACAGGGAAAAAUGUUGCACAUCCAGCAUGUAUUACAGGAAAUUACAUCCACUGGGAAAUCAAAGAUUGAUGCCAGUGCAAAUAAAUGAAUAGAACCUAACGAUCUACAACGUCACAAUCUGCAACCUCAGCACGGAUGACGCCCAUAAGCAUGUGGGCAAGUUCUUGCUGCUUUGCUACACUGUCUCUGAAAACAUUGAUCAGUUGUUGUGUCGCACGACUCUGCACCUCUGAUUCCUCCACCAUUUCCAUUAUUGCUUUAGCCAUUAAUUUACAUUUUUUCCAUUGCAUUCGAGACAGAGGAUACUGAACAGAUUCAGAUGGCGAUUUUGGCAGGCUUGUAUUAUUGAUAGUGGAGAGUGUCUCGACCACUGCAUCAUAACAUAAAUUAGGAGGGGAACCAAACAGAUUAAUCAUGAGUUAUUGCCAUAUUACCUGGCCUAGAUUUAUUGGAAAGAAACAAUGGGGUUGCCUUGCUGUUUUCAGAGUUUGUCUUCUUAUCUUCAGCAGCCUGCACCAAAUUAACACACUAGCAUUGCUAUCCUUGGCCAAGUCAGAUAAUAGGAAAGCAAGAUUGGCACAACGAACGUUUGGGCAACUAGCCAACACCAAAUUAACACAAUAUGGCAUAGCUAUCAUCAGCCAGGUAAGGUAAUACGAAAGCAACAUUGACACAAUGAAUGAAUGGGCAACCAGAGCAGCACUACAAUUCAAUAAUGUGCAUGAUAUGAGAUAGUACACUCAUGCAGCUCAGUAUGCAAAACUACCAGGCAGUUUUCUUUACAAAAAUCAACAUUGGCGCCUUUAACAUUUUGCUACAACUAAUUUUAGAUCAGAUAAAGCUUGGAUUCACGCCGAUUAACAAAAUACAUGUUGAUGUAAAAAUAUAGUGAUAUACAAUAGGUACUUACAUCAGCAUUGGAGCACACAGAAUUCCCGCAAGAUAUUUUCCUCGAAUACAAUCCCAAUGAAGGAAGUCUUCUAUCAUUUAAACUUAUUUUAUAAAAGAGAGAUGGGUAAGAAACAUGUAGAAAAUAUGAUCAAAAUGCUAUAAAAUUUCAUGAUGCAAGGAUACGCACACGCUUCUUAGAAUGGAGUUGACAUUCUUUUGCUGGACUGGAGCGGACUAGUUCUUUGGACACUGGAAUCUACUUAUUAUCAAUGGGAGUUGGGUUUCUCUGUGCCGGAGCAGUAUCUAUGAAAAAUGGAGUUGGUUUAUUAUCUCCUGGUGUUUGGAUCUUUUGCAAAGACCUGGUUUGUAACCCUUCAGAUUCUAACAUAGUCGUCUUCCCCUUGCAUGCCUUAUAUAGAAGAAUGGUGCUUCAAUAAUAAAACAUGCUACAGCAGAGAUGGAAUAGGUACUGAAGAAUAGAAAGGCAUGACAUAUUGACAUGUAUUCCCUCCAUCUAGAAAUAAAUGGAUGGGUCUAGGCGUAUUUCAGUUCUAAAUACAUCCAGUUUUAUCCAUUUCUGCGGCAUGUAAUCCGGACGGAGGGAGUAUGAUGUAAGAGCUAGGGAUACGACAGGACAACACGGUAAAAAAACACUGAAAACCCACUGCAGAACCAAAGUAUUCAAACCCACUGAUAUGAGAUAGUACACUCAUGCAGCUGAGGAUGCAAAACUACCAGGCAGUUUUCCUUACAAAAAUCAACAUUGUGGCAUUUAAUCAUACAUUUUGCUACAACUAAAUUUAGAUCAGAUAAAGCUUGGAUUCACGCCGAUUAACAAAAUACAUGCUGAUGUAAAAAUAUAGUGAUAUACAACAGGUACUGACAUCUACAUUGGAGCACAGAGAAUUCCUGCAAGAAUCUUUCCUCACAGACGAUACCAGUGCAGAAAUUCUUCUAUUUGUUAAGCUUAUUUUCUAAAAGAGAGAUGGGUAAGAAACAUGUAGAAAUAUGAUCAACAUGCUAUAAAAUUUCAUGAUGCAAGGAUACGCACACGCUUCUUAGAAUGGAGUUGACAUAUUUUUGCUGGACUGGAGCGGACUAGUUCUUUGGCCACUGGAAUCUGCUUAUUAUCAGUAGGAGUUGGGUUUCUCUGUGUUGGAGCAGUACCUAUAAAAACUGAAGUUGGUUUACUAUCUCCUGGCAUUUGGAUCUUUUGCAAAGACCUAGUUUGUAACCCUUCAGAUUCUAACAUAGUCGUCUUCCCCUUGCAUGCCUUGUAUAGAAGAAUGGUGCUUCAAUAUAAAACAUGCUACAGCAGAGAGAUGGAAUAGGUACUGAAGAAUAGAAAGGCAUGACAUAUUGAUAGGUAUUCCCUCCAUCCGGAAAAAAUGGAUGGGUCUAGGUGUAUUUCAGUUCUAGAUACAUCCUUUUUUAUCCAUUUCGGCAACAUGUAAUCCGGACGAAGGGAGUAUGGUGUAAGAGCUAGGGAUACGACAGGACAACACAGUAAAAAAACACUAGUUGAAUGUAAAAUUGUAUGCUAGCGGAAUACAUACAGAAAAAACUAAGGCAACAUACACGUGUAUGAUUGGAAAACUAAGAUGGCAUUGCAACAGAGCACUAGAACAACACUCAAUGUAAAAAAACAUGGUAUGGUAGACAGAUGAAGUACAUACUGAUGAAUAACAAUGCAUAAGAUAUUCAGAAGCAUGAUGUCCAAAUUAAGCAGAUGGCAUUGCAAUAGAGUAGAAUGACAGUACUUGAAUUUGAAAACAUGUUAUCAUGAAUGGAAUAGGUACUGAAAAACAGGAAGGCAUGACAUAUUUACAUGCAUGAUCAGCAUGCUAAGCACAUGGCAUUGCAACAGAGUAGAUACACUCCAGAACAUUAUAUGCAUGUUGUACCCAUAUCACGGGCCAAGUUAGAGCAAGGACCUUGUGGGGUGAAGAGGAUUCAACAUCUUUCUGCAAGUCUUCUGAAGAACUGCCUUUACAUGUUCCAUCAUAUUGGGUAUCAUUGGCAUCAAGUUUAUUGGCCUUUACAUUGCUCCGUGAGGUUCUUGUGGAUAUAUCAGUGUGUGUAAUUAUAUCUGACAUGCAUGGAAGACAACUAGUAGUUAGAUUUAUGUAAUGAGUGCCUGUAGAGACGACAUAAAUAGUAGGACUGGGGUUAACUAGCAGCAACAGGUCUCAAAAACUAAAGGGAGAACACAGAUGAAAGCUACAGAAUAUGUAUCGUUUGUACUCGAGAUUAACUAGAUGGCACACAAAAGUAUUAAAGAACAACAUAGGUAAUACUAGAAGUGGUAUAAUACUAUAAUCACCAGCCUGUGGGAUAGCAUUGGCUGAUGGAUGAUAACUAUGGAACAUCGUUACCUAAAGAACUAGUAUCUUAGCUGAACUAUGGAACAGCGUUAACUCCUGAACAAGACUCGUAAGAGAUUAGCAUGAAUAUACAGUGAAAUGUGAUAAUCUAUUUUCCAUGCUUAGAUGAAUAACAAAGCCAUAAAUGUUGCACACAAGUAAAAUGAGGGUACAACCUAUCUGGCCGCCAUCCAUAGGAGUGAGCAUCAUGUGCUGACUUGUCGAUGGCCCUGCAGUUGUUGUGGUUGUCCAUGUCGGGCACGCACAUUCGAUGCAGGGAACUGUUGAGUGGGGACUAUAGCCCCCUUCUGGUGUAUGCUUCCUUUGUUGGAGCAGCUGCGGUGAGUCGGAAGACGGUGUGGCUGAAGAUGCAGAUAACGCAUAAUGUUAAGAACGACACAUCUCUUUGAUCUGAAGAAAUACACUAAGAGAUCAACAGCAAGGUACGAGAGUGGUCACACGUCUGUUGACUGAAGACUAAAUUGGGGUCACACGAUUUUAUUUUAUUUUGGUACUGUCCGAUCUACGCCGCAUGGCUUGAUGGCCGUCUUGUGCCUCCCGGCUGACACUGUUAGGAAUCUUCCCCGAAGAGCCAACGACCAACGGCAGAGCAGCCUGCCUCCGCCUUCUGUGGCCCGGGCCAAAACCCCACUCCCAGCCCCACCGCACUACCGUGGUUGCGCCGCCCCCGGGCCAAUCCACAAAGACUCCCCGUUAUCUAGAUCCGGCGGCGGCAGUACCUUCAACCCACGCAACUCUAAGAUAGCCAUCUAAGCGCUGCUUCCGCGGUGAACUUGCGGCCCCACACCCUUACAUUAGACACCAGCCAACCGGUAGCCUAGGAGCUCCGUCGCCUCGAGGGGUGCUGCUUCCCCAUUGGGAAUCGAUUGGCCUAGAAUAAAAAUUCAGACAACUGAUGCCUAAAUAAAGUGAUUUGAGAUGAGGGUGCGACCUAUCUGGCGGCAUGGUGAAGUAGGCAGGUCCAGCUGCCGAGUUGGUGAGGCCAGCGCGGCUGCAGUGGCGACCGGCGGCAGGGAAACAGCGAUGUCGCGACGGUCGACGGCUAUGGGGAAGCAGCGCCGGGACUUUGGAUGGAUCCGAAGUUGGAGCCGCUCUGGCGCCGUGAACAACGGCGGGGGUGAAUCGGCUCUGGUACGGUUCACGCGGCCGUCGUCGAGGCAGCUCCAGCAGCAUGGAGUAAGAGGCACACGGCCCAGUGCACGAUGGCAAAUGGACAGCGUCUCUGGCAUUAGGGAGGAGGGCGGCUGUGAAAUUGGUGCGGUGGGGGCGCCAUGGAGGAGGGGAUGAGGUUUUGCGGCUCGGGAGAAGGGAGCUUCCGGGGAGAAGGUGAUUUGGCGCCCAUGAGGUAUGAAUGGGGGGAAUUGGAGGGGAGUGGAACCAUGUUUUACGGACGCAUUUGUCUGAAAUGUGAGGGGGAGUUACAGUUCUACCCCUGCCUUUAGGCUUCUCGGCUUGGGUCUGUGUACUGAGGGUCGGGGAUAGUAGAGUAACUUUGCUUCUCCCCAAAUAGUGGGCGGGAGAGAUUUCGGGCGAGGAGGGCGUGUUUUGAAAUAUAGUGGGCGCGAGCGAUUUCAGGCGAGGAGAGCGUGUUUUGAAAUAGUGGGUGCGAGCUAUUUCGGGCGAGGAGAGCGUGUUUUGCCGACCAUGGUUUAUGAAUUAUUCGGCACAUGUCAUUUCAGCCGAGGAGAAGGCACGCUUGGAUGAAGUUACGAACCUACCCUUGAUGUACAACGGGCCAAUUGAUGUGUGUCCCACAUAGGGUGGUAAUUUCGCGUCUCCCAUUUAUUUGCUCGGGCGAAUUCCACCGAGCACAGGAUGUUUAAUGGUUCGUUCAAAAUUUGGGAGAACGAGCAUCCACGUCUACCUUACCAAGUCGAUUCGAAUCAAAUUUUGAAAUAUUAGCUUGCCACUUCUUUUUUAGAUGGAGAGAUGAUGCUCAGGAGUAAUGUGUUUGUACAUGCUCGUUGCUAGCGAUUUACUAUAUGACAAAUAGUUAACCCACUAAAAAACGGGAAUCAAACCCAAAAUGAAAUAUCUCGAUUCAAUGAAAUAGCUCGUUCACCAGAUCAAAAUAGUGAACUAAAUCCAAAAUUGAACACCUCAAUCGAGUAGCAUGUUGUACAGUAUUAUAGUACUCCAUGAACAUGUUGAAAGUCAAAUUAAUAAACUUGUUUGAUAUACGCAUAUAUCCGUUCAUGUGUGGAUUGCAGACAACAUGUUCUCCAAUUUAAAUAUUUGAAUGCAAGUUUAUAUCAAAACAUGGUUUAUAUCAGUGUUUGAUGCAUAAAACGCGACCACCCCCUCUCCCGGACUCCUGCUCUCUCUCUCUCUCUCUCUCUCUCUCUCUCUCUCUCUCUCUCUCGCCGACAAUCUUCAAUUCUGUCACACGCAUCCAACACACAAACCUUGUUGGUCCCUCUCGCUUUCUCUCCAUCUCUCUCUCUCUCUCUCUCUCUCUCUCUCUUUGUGUGUGUGUGUGGGGGGUCUUUCUAGUUCGCAUGCAUAUAUACUCCAUCUAUAGGUCUCUCUCGCACACUAUGUAUGAUUCUCUAGUCCAAGCUAGAUAUCUUGGGUGCACUCAUCAUAUGCACACAAAUUCCUUGGCUCGUUGCCCGUAACUCUCUCACGCACCACUCUGUCAUCUUUGAGCUCUUCCCCCUCUCUCUCAAAUCUCCAUCUACCUGGAUCACACAUACACAUGCAUAUCUCACUCGCACUCGAUAGGCCCAUCUAAAACUCUAUCUCUCUCCCUCGUUCUCUCUCCAUCUCACACGCACACACACACAAUCUCAUGCCUAGCUAGCCAAGUAUGAUGGUCUCUCACUCAAUUGUAGGCACACGCAGUCCCCCCUAUAUGUAUAUGACUAGCUAAUCUUAGUCUCCAUCACAAACAUGUGCAUGGUCUAUCUCGAUUUCUCUCGGGGCAUCUUUCUAUCGCGCACGCACCUCCCUCGAUCUCCCACCCAUAUAGUCCCCUCACGAUCUCGAGGGGAUCUCUCUAUCACAAACACACCCUCUCACCCUCCCCAUGCAUCCAUGUUCUCCAUGUGUCCCUCUCGACCUUUGUUCCUUGUUGGCCAGACCUCUAUUGGACAUGUGCUAUAGGGGUGUCUCUCUCCGUUGCAACCAAUCACACACUAGCUAUCUUCGUGUAUCUCCUCGCCUCGCUUUUCUAUCUCGGAGAUGCAUGCGUGAUAUGUUCGCCUAAGAAACGAAAAAACACACUCUCUCUAAUUUAUCGUUUGUUGUCACUUUCUCUUUCACACACAUACUCUUUUUGCACACUUACUCAUUCUCCUUCACACGCACUUGAUCUCUCUCGAUUAGGCACUCUCCUCGGUCCAUAGCAUAUUAAUUUAUUGAAAAGUCAAACAUCACAAAGUUUGACCAUGUACGUGGAGAAAAACAAUUACAUCUAGAACGGCAAACAUAUACCAUUAGAUUCACCAUGAGAUGUAGUUUCGUAUGAUGUAUCUUUGGUAUUGUAGAUAUAAAUAACAUUUGCAUAAACCUGAUCAAAGUUUCCAAAGUUUGACUUCUAAAAAAUUUACAUGCACUGCAUUAUCGAGCGGAUGGAAUAUCUCUUUCCCCCUCUCAGCUAUCUGACGCACCACUCAGCCUUAUCGGGGCUCCUCAAUCUCUCUCAGACUUUAUAUCUCCCUGGUUCAGACAUACACAUGUCUCGCUCGCGCUAUACAUAUAGACCCAUCCAACACUCUCCGCCCUUGUUCCCUCUGUAUGUGACACGCACCCCCCUAAUAAGUACCAUAAUCCCUCACUCCAUCAUAGGCGCAAGCACUCCCCCCCCCUAAGUAUGAUUAUUUCUCACUAGCCAUCAGGAACACACGUAUUGUCUCCUUCCGUCCAUACGUCUAUCUCGAUAUCUCUCGGGGUAUCUUCUAUCGCGCACACACCUUGUCACUCGAUCUCCCACCCAUGUAGUCCCAUCACGAUCUCCAGGGGAUCUCUCUAUGACAAACAUACACUCUCUCCUCCCCGUGUUUGCAUUUUCUCCGUACGUCUCCCUCGACCUCUCUCCCUUGUUUGUCAGACCCCUCUUGGCCACGUGCUAGGGUUCUUGAUCUCUCGGUUGCAAACAACCACACACUAUCUCCUCGCCUUGCUUCCGUUGUCGAAGAUGCAUGUGUGAUAUGUUUGCAUAAGACACACACGUUUUUUCUCGACCUUUAUCGAGUGUUGUCCAUGCCUCUUUCACACACGCACACACACUUUUUUCACUCUCUCUCUCUCUAGUUAGGGACUCUCUCACGUCCAUAAGCAUAUGGAUGUUUUGAAAAGUCAACCUCAGAAAAGUUUGACCAGGUAUAUGUGGAGAAAAACAUUUACAUCUGGAACGAUCAUUAGAUUCAUCACAACAUGUACUUACUUCAUAUUGUCAUUUAUCUUUGGUAUUGUACAUAUAAGUAAUUUCUUUAUAAACUUGGUCAAAGUUUCAAAAGUUUGACUUUUAAAAAAAGUUGGAACUACAUUAUCGAACGGAGGGAGUAGCUCUUUCUCUCUCUCUGCUAUCUCUCACGGGCCUCCCCUCUCACUCGAACACUCUAUACCCACGGAUUAUACGCUCACUGUGUCAGCGUAUAGCUCCAUAUAUUGUUUAGUUGACCGGUCAACCAGUCCACAUGCUGCCUUGCCAGCUCGUGUUCUGUAUCUUCGUGUGUUGGCCCAUGUGGUAGUGGGUGAAAAUAAGUAAACUAGAGGACCAUCUGACACGCGGUGAAGUAAACAAAGUUGAAACCACUCGGGGUAGCACCCCGCACGCUAGUAAAUUGAGGGCGCGUUGAGGACACACUUCUUCCGCGUGAAGGACGCGCUCGCGCACAAUUCACCACUGCGCGGCAGCAUGCACAGAAGGACACACUCGCGCACACCCAGCACACAACACAGACCAGCACACGUGUACACCGGCGUCACCGCCGGUUGAGAUGGACAGCGAGGCAGCAAUCAAGCGGAGGCGGCUCGAGCCUAAACCGCAUCCGGCGAGCUUCCGUAACCCUCUCUACUUUCUUGCACAUGCUAUGUGGGUGAAAUGAUGAUACCAUGCCAACUUUCAACCUUUUCAGAGUUCAUUUGUAGUGCUUUUCAAUUUCAGGGUUUUAUAGCCCAAAAAAUCUGUAAAUGCAUGGAAAAUAACAAAUGAAGUAAGAAAGGGUUGAAAAUUGAUGAUGUGGCUUUGAAUGAAGCAUUUUGAACACAGAAAAACUAUGGAGUUCAAAUAAGUUCAAAAAAAUGAAUCCCUUUGUAUAAUAGUCGAGUUUCCGUAUGAAACCCUGAUACUCCGAAAGAGAUUGUCCGUUUUGUACAAGAAGUGCAUCUAGUUUUUGCCGUAACCCUCUCUACUUUCUUGCACAUGCUAUGUGGGUGAAAUGAUGAUACCAUGCCAACUUUCAACCUUUUCAGAGUUCAUUUGUAGUGCUUUUCAAUUUCAGGGUCUUAUAGCUCAAAAAAAUCAGUAAAUGCAUGGAAAAUAAUAAAUGAAGUCAGAAAGGGUUGAAAAUUGAUGAUGUGGCUCUGAAUGGUGUAUUUUGAACACAUAAAAACUAUGGAGUUCAAAUAAGUUAAAAAUGAAAUCCCUUUGUAUAACAGACGAGUUUCCGUAUCAAACCCUGAUACUUCGAAAGAGAUUGUCCGUUUUGUACACGAAGUGCAUCCAGUUUUUGUCGUAACCCUCUCAACUUUCUUGCACAUGCUACGUGGGUGAAAUGAUGAUACCAUGCCAACUUUCAACCUUUUCAGAGUUCAUUUGUAGUGCUUUUCAAUUUCAGGGUCUUGUAGCUCAAAAAAAUCAGUAAAUGCAUGGAAAAUAACAAAUGAAGUCAGAAAGGGUUGAAAAUUGAUGAUGUGGCUUUGAAUGGUGCAUUUUGAACACAGAAAAACUAUGGAGUUCAAAUAAGUUCAAAAAAAUGAAAUCCCUUUGUAUAACAUACGAGUUUCCGUAUGAAACCUGAUACUUCGAAAGAGAUUGUCCGUUUUGUACACGAAGUGCAUCCAGUUUUUGCCGUAACCCUCUCUACUUUNNNNNNNNNNNNNNNNNNNNNNNNNNNNNNNNNNNNNNNNNNNNNNNNNNNNNNNNNNNNNNNNNNNNNNNNNNNNNNNNNNNNNNNNNNNNNNNNNNNNNNNNNNNNNNNNNNNNNNNNNNNNNNNNNNNNNNNNNNNNNNNNNNNNNNNNNNNNNNNNNNNNNNNNNNNNNNNNNNNNNNNNNNNNNNNNNNNNNNNNNNNNNNNNNNNNNNNNNNNNNNNNNNNNNNNNNNNNNNNNNNNNNNNNNNNNNNNNNNNNNNNNNNNNNNNNNNNNNNNNNNNNNNNNNNNNNNNNNNNNNNNNNNNNNNNNNNNNNNNNNNNNNNNNNNNNNNNNNNNNNNNNNNNNNNNNNNNNNNNNNNNNNNNNNNNNNNNNNNNNNNNNNNNNNNNNNNNNNNNNNNNNNNNNNNNNNNNNNNNNNNNNNNNNNNNNNNNNNNNNNNNNNNNNNNNNNNNNNNNNNNNNNNNNNNNNNNNNNNNNNNNNNNNNNNNNNNNNNNNNNNNNNNNNNNAGUUCAUUUGUAGUGCUUUUCAAUUUCAGGGUCUUAUAGCUCAAAAAAUUCAGUAAAUGCAUGGAAAAUAACAAAUGAAGUAAGAAAGGGUUGAAAAUUGAUGAUGUGGCUUUGAAUGAUGCAUUUUGAACACAGAAAAACUAUGGAGUUCAAAUAAGUUAAAAAAAUGAAAUCCCUUUGUAUAACAGACGAGUUUCCGUAUGAAACCCUGAUACUUCGAAAGAGAUUGUCCGUUUUGUACACGAAGUGCAUCUAGUUUUUGCCGUAACCCUCUCUACUUUCUUUCACAUGCUAUGUGGGUGAAAUGAUGAUACAAUGCCAACUUUCAACCUUUUCAGAGUUCAUUUGUAGUGCUUUUCAAUUUCAGGGUCUUAUAGCUCAAAAACAUCAGUAAAUGCAUGGAAAAUAAUAAAUGAAGUCAGAAAGGGUUGAAAAUUGAUGAUGUGGUUCUGAAUGGUGCAUUUUGAACACAUAAAAACUAUGGAGUUCAAAUAAGUUCAAAAAAAUGAAAUCCCUUUGUAUAAUAGUCGAGUUUCCGUAUGAAACCCUGAUACUUCGAAAGAGAUUCUCCGUUUUGUACACGAAGUGCAUCCAGUUUUUGGCGUAACCCUCUCUACUUUCUUGCACAUGCUAUGUGGGUGAAAUGAUGAUACCAUGCCAACUUUCGACCUUUUCAGAGUUCAUUUGUAGUGCUUUUCAAUUUCAGGGUCUUAUAGCUCAAAAAAAUCUGUAANNNNNNNNNNAGUUCAAAUUAGUUCAAAAAAAUGAAAUCCCUUUGUAUAACACACGAGUUUCCGUAUGAAUCCCUGAUACUUCGAAAGACAUUGUCCGUUUUGUACACGAAGUGCAUCCAGUUCUUUCCGUAACCCUCUCUACUUUCUUGCACAUGCUAUGUGGGUGAAAUGAUGAUACCCUGCCAACUUUCAACCUUUUUAGAGUUCAUUUGUAGUGCUUUUCAAUUUCAGGGUCUUAUAGCUCAUAAAAAUCAGUAAAUGCAUGGAAAAUAACAAAUGAAGUCAGAAAGGGUUGAAAAUUGAUGAUGUGGCUUUGAAUGGUGCAUUUUGAACACAGAAAAAGUAUGGAGCUCAAAUAAGUUCAAAAAAAUGAAAUCCCUUUGUAACAGACGAGUUUCCGUAUGAAACCCUGAUACUUCGAAAGAGAUUGUCCGUUUUGUACACGAAGUGCAAACAGUUUUUUCCGUAACCCUCUCUACUUUCUUGCACAUGCUAUGUGGGUGAAAUGAUGAUACCAUGCUAACUUUCAACCUUUUCAGAGUUCAUUUGUAGUGCUUUUCAAUUUCAGGGUUUUAUAGAUCAAAAAAAUCUGUAAAAGCAUGGAAAAUAACAAAUGAAGUAAGAAAGGGUUGAAAAUUGAUGAUGUGGCUUUGAAUGGAGAAUUUUGAACACAGAAAAACUAUGGAGUUCAAAUAAGUUCAAAAAAUGAAUCCCUUUGUAUAACAGACGAGUUUCCGUAUGAAACCCUAAUACUUCGAAAGAGAUUGUCCGUUUUGUACACGAAGUGCAUCUAGUUUUUGCCGUAACCCUCUCUACUUUCAUGCACAUGCUAUGUGGGUGAAAUGAUGAUACCAUGCCAACUUUCAACCUUUUCAGAGUUCAUUUGUAGUGCUUUUCAAUUUCAGGGUCUUAUAGCUCAAAAAAAUUAGUAAAUGCAUGGAAAAUAACAAAUGAAGUAAGAAAGGAUUGAAAAUUGAUGAUGUGGCUUUGAAUGAUGCAUUUUGAACAUAGAAAAACUAUGGAGUUCAAAUAAGUUAAAAAAUGAAAUCCCUUUGUAUNNNNNNNNNNNNNNNNNNNNNNNNNNNNNNNNNNNNNNNNNNNNNNNNNNNNNNNNNNNNNNNNNNNNNNNNNNNNNNNNNNNNNNNNNNNNNNNNNNNNNNNNNNNNNNNNNNNNNNNNNNNNNNNNNNNNNNNNNNNNNNNNNNNNNNNNNNNNNNNNNNNNNNNNNNNNNNNNNNNNNNNNNNNNNNNNNNNNNNNNNNNNNNNNNNNNNNNNNNNNNNNNNNNNNNNNNNNNNNNNNNNNNNNNNNNNNNNNNNNNNNNNNGAAAAUAAUAAAUGAAGUCAGAAAGGGAUGAAAAUUGAAGAUGUGGCUCUGAAUGGUGCAUUUUGAACACAUAAAAACUAUGGAGUUCAAAUAAGUUCAAAAAAAAUGAAAUCCCUUUGUAUAACAUACGAGUUUCCGUAUGAAACCCUGAUACUUCGAAAGAGAUUGUCCGUUUUGUACACGAAGUUCAUCCAGUUUUUGCCGUAACCCUCUCUACUUUCUUUCACAUGUAAUGUGGGUGAAAUGAUGAUACCACGCCAACUUUCAACCUUUUCAGAGUUCAUUUAUAAUGCUUUUCAAUUUCAAGGUCUUAUAGCUCAAAAAAAUCAGUAAAUGCAUGGAAAAUAACAAAUGAAGUCAGGAAGGGUUGAAAAUUGAUGAUGUGGCUUUGAAUGGUGCAUUUUGAACACAGAAAAACUAUGGAGUUCAAAUAAGUUCAAUAAAAUGAAAUCCCUUUGUAACACACGAGUUUCCGUAUGAAACCCUGAUACUUCGAAAGACAUUGUCCGUUUUGUACACAAAGUGCAUCCAGUUUUUUCCGUAACCCUCUCUACUUUCUUGCACAUGCUAUGUGGCUGAAAUGAUGAUAUCAUGCCAUCUUUCAACCUUUUCAGAGUUCAUUUAUAGUGCUUUUCAAUUUCAGGGUCUUCUAGCUCAAAAAAAUCAGUAAAUGCAUGGAAAAUAAUAAAUGAAGUCAGAAAGGGUUGAAAAUUGAUGAUGUGGCUUUGAAUGGUCUAUUUUGAACACAGAAAAAGUAUGGAGUUCAAAUAAGUUCAAAAAAUGAAAACCCUUUGUAACAGACGACUUUCCGUAUGAAACCCUGAUACUUCGAAAGAGAUUGUCCGUUUUGUACACGAAGUGCAACCAGUUUUUUCCGUAACCCUCUCUACUAUUUGCACAUGCUAUGUGGGUGAAAUGNNNNNNNNNNNNNNNNNNNNNNNNNNNNNNNNNNNNNNNNNNNNNNNNNNNNNNNNNNNNNNNNNNNNNNNNNNNNNNNNNNNNNNNNNNNNNNNNNNNNNNNNNNNNNNNNNNNNNNNNNNNNNNNNNNNNNNNNNNNNNNNNNNNNNNNNNNNNNNNNNNNNNNNNNNNNNNNNNNNNNNNNNNNNNNNNNNNNNNNNNNNNNNNNNNNNNNNNNNNNNNNNNNNNNNNNNNNNNNNNNNNNNNNNNNNNNNNNNUUUGUACACGAAGUGCAUCCAGUUUUUUCCGUAACCUUCUCUAAUUUCUUGCACAUGCUAUGUGGGUGAAAUGAUGAUAUCAUGCCAACUUUCAACCUUUUCAGAGUUCAUUUGUAGUGCUUUUCAAUUUCAUGGUCUUAUAGCUCAAAAAAUCAGUAAAUGCAUGGAAAAUAACAAAUGAAGUCAGAAAGGGUUGAAAAUUGAUGAUGUGGCUUUGAAUGGUGUAUUUUGAACACAGAAAAACUAUGGAGUUGAAAUAAGUUCAAAAAAUGAAAUCCCUUUGUAACAGACGAGUUUCCGUAUGAAACCCUGAUACUUCGAAAGAGAUUGUCCGUUUUGUACACGAAGUGCAACCAGUUUUUUCCGUAACCCUCUCUACUUUCUUGCACAUGCUAUGUGGGUGAAAUGAUGAUACCAUGCCAACUUUCAACCUUUUCAGAGUUCAUUUGUAGUGCUUUUCAAUUUCAGGGUCUUAUAGCUCAAAAAAAUCAGUAAAUGCAUGGAAAAUAAUAAAUGAAAUCAGAAAGGGUUGAAAAUUGAUGACGUGGCUCUGAAUGGUGUAUUUUGAACACAUAAAAACUAUGGAGUUCAAAUAAGUUCAAAAAAUGAAAUCCCUUUGUAUAACAGACGAGUUUCCGUAUGAAACCCUAAUACUUCGAAAGAGAUUGUCCGUUUUGUACACGAAGUGCAUCUAGUUUUUGCCGUAACCCUCUCUACUUUCAUGCACAUGCUAUGUGGGUGAAAUGGUGACACCAUGCCAACUUUCAACCUUUUCAGAGUUCAUUUGUAGUGCUUUUCAAUUUCAAGGUCUUAUAGCUCAAAAAAAUAGUAAAUGCAUGGAAAAUAACAAAUGAAGUAAGAAAGGGUUGAAAAUUGAUGAUGUGGCUUUGAAUGAUGCAUUUUGAACACAGAAAAACUAUAGGGUUCAAAUAAGUUCAAAAAAAUAAAAUCCCUUUGUAUAAGAGACGAGCUUUCGUAUGAAACCCUGAUACUUCGAAAGAGAUUGUCCGUUUGGUACACGAAGUGCAUCUAGUUUUUGCCGUAACCCUCUCUACUUUCUUGCACAUGCUAUGUGGGUGAAAUGAUGAUACCAUGCCAACUUUCAACCUUUUCAGAGUUCAUUUGUACUGCUUUCCAAUUUAAGGGUCUUAUAGCUCAAAAAAAUCAGUAAAUGCAUGGAAAAUAACAAAUGAAGUCAGAAAGGGUUGAAAAUUGAUGAUGUGGCUUUGAAUGGUGCAUUUUGAACAUAGAAAAACUUUGGAGUUCAAAUAAGUUCAAAAAAUGAAAUCCCUUUGUAUAACAAAUGAGUUUCCGUAUGAAACCCUGAUACUUCGAAAGAGAUUGUCCGUUUUGUACACGAAGUGCAUCCAGUUUUUGCCGUAACCCUCUCUACUUUCUUGCACAUGCUAUGUGGGUGAAAUGAUGAUACCAUGGCAACUUUCAAGCUUUUCAGAGUUCAUUUAUAGUGCUUUUCAAUUUCAAGGUCUUAUAGCUAAAAAAAUUAAGUAAAUGCAUGGAAAAUAACAAAUGAGGUCAGGAAGGGUUGAAAAUUGAUGAUGUGGCUUUGAAUGGUGCAUUUUGAACACAGAAAAACUAUGGAGUUCAAAUAAGUUCAAAAAAAUGAAAUCCCUUUGUAACAGACGAGUUUCCGUAUGAAACCCUGAUACUUCGAAAGACAUUGUUCGUUUUGUACACGAAGUGCAUCCUGUUUUUUCCGUAACCCUCUCUACUUUCUUGCACAUGCUAUGUGGGUGAAAUGAUGAUACCAUGCGAACUUUCAACCUUUUCAGAGUUCAUUUGUAGUGCUUUUCAAUUUCAAGGUCUUAUAGCUCAAAAAAAUUAGUAAAUGCAUGGAAAAUAACAAAUGAAGUAAGAAAUGGUUGAAAAUUGAUGAUGUGGCUUUGAAUGAUGCUUUUCAAUUUCAGGGUCUUGUAGCUCAAAAAAAUCAGUAAAUGCAUGGAAAAUAACAAAUGAAGUCAGAAAGGGUUGAAAAUUGACGAUGUGGCUUUGAAUGGUGCAUUUUGAACACAGAAAAACUAUGGAGUUCAAAUAAGUUCAAAAAAAUGAAAUCCCUUUGUACAACAGUCGAGUUUCCGUAUGAAACCCUGAUACUUCGAAAGAGAUUGUCCGUUUUGUACAUGAAGUGCAUCCAGUUUUUGCCAUAACCCUCUCUACUUUCUUGCACAUGCUAUGUGGGUGAAAUGAUGAUACCAUGCCAACUUUCAACCUUUUCAGAGUUCAUUUAUAGUGCUUUUCAAUUUCAGGUUCUUAUAGCUCAAAAAAAUCAGUAAAUGCAUGGAAAAUAACAAAUGAAGUCAGAAAGGGUUGAAAAUUGAUGAUGUGGCUUUGAAUGGUGCGUUUUGAACACAGAAAAACUAUGGAGUUCAAAUAAGUUCAAAAAAAUGAAAUCCCUUUGUAUAACAGACGAGUUUCCGUAUGAAACCCUGAUACUUCGAAAGAGAUUGUCCGUUUUGUACACGAAGUGCAUCCAGUUUUUGCCGUAACCCUCUCUACUUUCUUGCACAUGCUAUGUGGGUGAAAUGAUGAUACCAUGCCAACUUUCAACUUUUUCAGAGUUCAUUUAUAGUGCUUUUCAAUUUCAGGGUCUUAUAGCUCAAAACAAUCAGUAAAUGCAUGGAAAAUAACAAAUGAACUCAGAAAGGGUUGAAAAUUGAUGAUGUGGCUUUGAAUGGUGCAUUUUGAACACAGAAAAACUAUGGGGUUCAAAUAAGUUCAAAAAAAUGAAAUCCCUUUGUAACAAACGAGUUUCCGUAUGAAACCGUGGUACUUCGAAAGAGAUUGUCCGUUUUGUACACGAAGUGCAUCCAGUUUUUUCCGUAACCUUCUCUAAUUUCUUGCACAUGCUAUGUGGGUGAAAUGAUGAUAUCAUGCCAACUUUCAACCUUUUCAGAGUUCAUUUGUAGUGCUUUUCAAUUUCAUGGUCUUAUAGCUCAAAAAAUCAGUAAAUGCAUGGAAAAUAACAAAUGAAGUCAGAAAGAGUUGAAAAUUGAUGAUGUGGCUUUGAAUGGUGUAUUUUGAACACAGAAAAACUAUGGAGUUGAAAUAAGUUCAAAAAAUGAAAUCCCUUUGUAACAGACGAGUUUCCGUAUGAAACCCUGAUACUUCGAAAGAGAUUGUCCGUUUUGUACACGAAGUGCAACCAGUUUUUUCCGUAACCCUCUCUACUUUCUUGCACAUGCUAUGUGGGUGAAAUGAUGAUACCAUGCUAACUUUCAACCUUUUCAGAGUUCAUUUGCAGUGCUUUUCAAUUUCAGGGUUUUAUAGAUCAAAAAAAUCUGUAAAUGCAUGGAAAAUAACAAAUUAAGUAAGAAAGGGUUGAAAAUUGAUGAUGUGGCUUUGAAUGAAGAAUUUUGAACACUGAAAAACUAUGGAGUUCAAAUAAGUUCAAAAAAAUGAAAUCCCUUUGUAACAGACGAGUUUCCGUAUGAAACCCUGAUACUUCGAAAGAGAUUGUCCGUUUUGUACACGAAGUGCAACCAGUUUUUUCCGUAACCCUCUCUACUUUCUUGCACAUGCUAUGUGGGUGAAAUGAUGAUACCAUGCCAACUUUCAACCUUUUCAGAGUUCAUUUGUAGUGCUUUUCAAUUUCAGGGUCUUAUAGCUCAGAAAAAUCAGUAAAUGCAUGGAAAAUAAUAAAUGAAGUCAGAAAGGGUUGAAAAUUGAUGAUGUGGCUUUGAAUGGUGCGUUUUGAACACAUUAAAACUAUGGAGUUCAAAUAAGUUCAAAAAAAUGAAAUCCCUUUGUAUAACAGAUGAGUUUCCGUAUGAAACCAUGAUACUUCGAAAGAGAUUGUCCGUUUUGUACAGGAAGUGCAUCUAGUUUUUGCCGUAACCCUCUCUACUUUCUCGCACAUUCUAUGUGGGUGAAAUGAUGAUACCAUGCCAACUUUCAACCUUUCCAGAGUUCAUUUGUAGUGCUUUUCAAUUUUAGGGUCUUAUAGCUCAAAAAAAUUAGUAAAUGCAUGGAAAAUAACAAAUGAAGUCAGAAAUGGUUGAAAAUUGAUGGUGUGGCUUUGAAUGGUGCAUUUUGAACACAGAAAAACUAUGGAGUUCAAAUAAGUUCAAAAAAAAUGAAAUCCCUUUGUAUAACAGACAAGUUUCCGUAUGAAACCCUGAUACUUCGAAAGGGAUUGUCCGUUUUGUACACGAAGUGCAUCUAGUUUUUGCCGUAACCCUCUCUACUUUCUUGCACAUGCUAUGUGGGCGAAAUGAAGAUACCAUGCCAACUUUCAUCCUUUUCGGAGUUCAUUUGUAGUGCUUUUCAAUUUCAGGGUCUUGUAGCUCAAAAAAAUUAGUAAAUGCAUGGAAAAUAACAAAUGAAGUCAGAAAGGGUUGAAAAUUGACGAUGUGGCUUUGAAUGGUGCAUUUUGAACACAGAAAAACUAUGGAGUUCAAAUAAGUUCAAAAAAAUGAAAUCCCUNNNNNNNNNNGUGAAAUGAUGAUACCAUGCCAACUUUCAUCCUUUUCGGAGUUCAUUUGUAGUGCUUUUCAAUUUCAGGGUCUUGUAGCUCAAAAAAAUCAGUAAAUGCAUGGAAAAUAACAAAUGAAGUCAGAAAGGGUUGAAAAUUGACGAUGUGGCUUUGAAUGGUGCAUUUUGAACACAGAAAAACUAUGGAGUUCAAAUAAGUUCAAAAAAAUGAAAUCCCUUUGUACAACAGACGAGUUUCCGUAUGAAACCCUGAUACUUCGAAAGAGAUUGUCCGUUUUGUACACGAAGUGCAUCCAGUUUUUGCCGUAACCCUCUCUACUUUCUUGCACAUGCUAUGUGGGUGAAAUGAUGAUACCAUUCCAACUUUCAACCUUUUCAGAGUUCAUUUAUAGUGCUUUUCAAUUUCAGGGUCUUAUAGCUCAAAAAAAUCAGUAAAUGCAUGGAAAAUAACAAAUGAAGUCAGAAAGGGUUGAAAAUUGAUGAUGUGGCUUUGAAUGGUGCGUUUUCAACACAGAAAAGCUAUGGAGUUCAAAUAAGUUCAAAAAAUGAAAUCCCUUUGUAUAACAGACGAGUUUCCGUAUGAAACCCUGAUACUUCGAAAGAGAUUGUCCGUUUUGUACACGAAGUGCAUCUAGUUUUUGCCGUAACCCUCUCUACUUUCUUUCACAUGCUAUGUGGGUGAAAUGAUGAUACCAUGCCAACUUUCAACCUUUUCAGAGUUCAUUUGUAGUGCUUUUCAAUUUCAGGGUCUUAUUGGUCAAAAAAAUCCGUAAUGCAUGGAAAAUAAUAAAUGAAGUUGGAAAGGGUUGAAAAUUGAUGAUGUGGCUCUGAAUGGUGCAUUUUGAACACAUAAAAAUUAUGGAGUUCAAAUAAGUUCAAAAAAAUGAAAUCCCUUUGUAUAACAGACGAGUUUCCGUAUGAAACCAUGAUACUUCGAAAGAGAUUGUCCGUUUUGUACAGGAAGUGCAUCCAAUUUUUGCCGUAACCCUCUCUACUUUCUUUCACAUGCUAUGUGGGUGAAAUGAUGAUACCAUGCCAACUUUCAACCUUUUAAGAGUUCAUUUAUAGUGCUUUUCAAUUUUAGGGUCUUAUAGAUCAAAAAAAUCUGUAAAUGCAUGGAAAAUUACAAAUGAAGUCAGAAAGGGUUGAAAAUUGAUGAUGCGCCUUUGAAUGGUGCAUUUUGAACACAGAAAAACUAUGGGGUUCAAAUAAGUUCAAAAAAAUGAAAUCCCUUUGUAACAGACGAGUUUCCGUAUGAAACCCUGGUACUUCGAAAGAGAUUGUCCGUUUUGUACACGAAGUGCAUCCAGUUUUUUCCGUAACCUUCUCUACAUACUUGCACACGCUAUGUGGGUGAAAUGAUGAUAUCAUGCCAACUUUCAACCUUUUCACAGUUCAUUUGUAGUGCUUUUCAAUUUCAGGGUCUUAUAGCUNNNNNNNNNNAAAAUCAGUAAAUGCAUGAAAAAUAACAAAUGAAGUCAGAAAGGGUUGAAAAUCGAUGAUGUGGCUUUGAAUGGUGCAUUUUGAACACAGAAAAACUAUGGAGUUCAAAUAAGAUCAAUAAAAUGAAAUCCCUUUGUAACAGACGAGUUUCCGUGUGAAAGCCUGAUACUUCGAAUGAGAUUGUCCGUUUUGUACACUAAGUGCAUCCAGUUUUUGCCGUAAGCCUCUCUACUUUCUUGCACAUGCUAUGUGGGUGAAAUGAUGACACCGUGCCAACUUUCAACCUUUUCAGAGUUCAUUUGUAGUGCUUUUCAAUUUCAGGGUCUUGUAGUUCAAAAAACUCAGUAAAUGCAUGAAAAAAAAUGGAGUCAGAAAGGGUUGAAAAUUGAUGAUGUGCCUUUGAAUGGUGCAUUUUGAACACAGAAAAACUAUGGAGUUCAAAUAAGUUCAAGAAAAUGAAAUCCCUUUGUAACUGACGAGUUUUCGUGUGAAACCCUGAUACUUCGAAUGAGAUUAUCCGUUUUGUACACGAAGUGCUUCCAGUUUUUGCGGUAAGCCUCUCUACUUUCUUGCACAUGCUAUGUGGGUGAAAUGAUGACACCAUGCCAACAUUCAACCUUUUCAGAGUUCAGUUGUAGUGCUUCUCAAUUUCANNNNNNNNNNNNNNNNNNNNNNNNNNNNNNNNNNNNNNNNNNNNNNNNNNNNNNNNNNNNNNNNNNNNNNNNNNNNNNNNNNNNNNNNNNNNNNNNNNNNNNNNNNNNNNNNNNNNNNNNNNNNNNNNNNNNNNNNNNNNNNNNNNNNNNNNNNNNNNNNNNNNNNNNNNNNNNNNNNNNNNNNNNNNNNNNNNNNNNNNNNNNNNNNNNNNNNNNNNNNNNNNNNNNNNNNNNNNNNNNNNNNNNNNNNNNNNNNNNNNNNNNNNNNNNNNNNNNNNNNNNNNNNNNNNNNNNNNNNNNNNNNNNNNNNNNNNNNNNNNNNNNNNNNNNNNNNNNNNNNNNNNNNNNNNNNNNNNNNNNNNNNNNNNNNNNNNNNNNNNNNNNNNNNNNNNNNNNNNNNNNNNNNNNNNNNNNNNNNNNNNNNNNNNNNNNNNNNNNNNNNNNNNNNNNNNNNNNNNNNNNNNNNNNNNNNNNNNNNNNNNNNNNNNNNNNNNNNNNNNNNNNNNNNNNNNNNNNNNNNNNNNNNNNNNNNNNNNNNNNNNNNNNNNNNNNNNNNNNNNNNNNNNNNNNNNNNNNNNNNNNNNNNNNNNNNNNNNNNNNNNNNNNNNNNNNNNNNNNNNNNNNNNNNNNNNNNNNNNNNNNNNNNNNNNNNNNNNNNNNNNNNNNNNNNNNNNNNNNNNNNNNNNNNNNNNNNNNNNNNNNNNNNNNNNNNNNNNNNNNNNNNNNNNNNNNNNNNNNNNNNNNNNNNNNNNNNNNNNNNNNNNNNNNNNNNNNNNNNNNNNNNNNNNNNNNNNNNNNNNNNNNNNNNNNNNNNNNNNNNNNNNNNNNNNNNNNNNNNNNNNNNNNNNNNNNNNNNNNNNNNNNNNNNNNNNNNNNNNNNNNNNNNNNNNNNNNNNNNNNNNNNNNNNNNNNNNNNNNNNNNNNNNNNNNNNNNNNNNNNNNNNNNNNNNNNNNNNNNNNNNNNNNNNNNNNNNNNNNNNNNNNNNNNNNNNNNNNNNNNNNNNNNNNNNNNNNNNNNNNNNNNNNNNNNNNNNNNNNNNNNNNNNNNNNNNNNNNNNNNNNNNNNNNNNNNNNNNNNNNNNNNNNNNNNNNNNNNNNNNNNNNNNNNNNNNNNNNNNNNNNNNNNNNNNNNNNNNNNNNNNNNNNNNNNNNNNNNNNNNNNNNNNNNNNNNNNNNNNNNNNNNNNNNNNNNNNNNNNNNNNNNNNNNNNNNNNNNNNNNNNNNNNNNNNNNNNNNNNNNNNNNNNNNNNNNNNNNNNNNNNNNNNNNNNNNNNNNNNNNNNNNNNNNNNNNNNNNNNNNNNNNNNNNNNNNNNNNNNNNNNNNNNNNNNNNNNNNNNNNNNNNNNNNNNNNNNNNNNNNNNNNNNNNNNNNNNNNNNNNNNNNNNNNNNNNNNNNNNNNNNNNNNNNNNNNNNNNNNNNNNNNNNNNNNNNNNNNNNNNNNNNNNNNNNNNNNNNNNNNNNNNNNNNNNNNNNNNNNNNNNNNNNNNNNNNNNNNNNNNNNNNNNNNNNNNNNNNNNNNNNNNNNNNNNNNNNNNNNNNNNNNNNNNNNNNNNNNNNNNNNNNNNNNNNNNNNNNNNNNNNNNNNNNNNNNNNNNNNNNNNNNNNNNNNNNNNNNNNNNNNNNNNNNNNNNNNNNNNNNNNNNNNNNNNNNNNNNNNNNNNNNNNNNNNNNNNNNNNNNNNNNNNNNNNNNNNNNNNNNNNNNNNNNNNNNNNNNNNNNNNNNNNNNNNNNNNNNNNNNNNNNNNNNNNNNNNNNNNNNNNNNNNNNNNNNNNNNNNNNNNNNNNNNNNNNNNNNNNNNNNNNNNNNNNNNNNNNNNNNNNNNNNNNNNNNNNNNNNNNNNNNNNNNNNNNNNNNNNNNNNNNNNNNNNNNNNNNNNNNNNNNNNNNNNNNNNNNNNNNNNNNNNNNNNNNNNNNNNNNNNNNNNNNNNNNNNNNNNNNNNNNNNNNNNNNNNNNNNNNNNNNNNNNNNNNNNNNNNNNNNNNNNNNNNNNNNNNNNNNNNNNNNNNNNNNNNNNNNNNNNNNNNNNNNNNNNNNNNNNNNNNNNNNNNNNNNNNNNNNNNNNNNNNNNNNNNNNNNNNNNNNNNNNNNNNNNNNNNNNNNNNNNNNNNNNNNNNNNNNNNNNNNNNNNNNNNNNNNNNNNNNNNNNNNNNNNNNNNNNNNNNNNNNNNNNNNNNNNNNNNNNNNNNNNNNNNNNNNNNNNUGUACACGAAGUGCAUCCAGUUUUUGCCGUAACCCUCUCUACUUUCUUGCACAUGCUAUGUGGGUGAAAUGAUGAUACCAUGCCAACGUUCAACCUUUUCAGAGUUCAUUUGUAGUGCUUUUCAAUUUCAGGCUCUUGUAGCUCAAAAAAAUCAGUAAAUUUUUGGAAAAUAACAAAUGAAGUCAGAAAGGGUUGAAAAUUGAUGAUGUGGCUUUGAAUGGUGCAUUUUGAACACAGAAAAACUAUGGAGUUCAAAUAAGUUCAAAAAAUGAAAUCCCUUUGUAUAACAGACGAGUUUCCGUAUGAAACCCUGAUACUUCGAAAGAGAUUGUCCGUUUUGUACACGAAGUGCAUCUAGUUUUUGCCGUAACCCUCUCUACUUUCUUGCACAUGCUAUGUGGGUGAAAUGAUGAUACCAUGCCAACUUUCAACCUUUUCAGAGUUCAUUUGUAGUGCUUUUCAAUUUCAGGGUCUUGUAGCUCAAAAAAUCAGUAAAUGCAUGGAAAACAACAAAUGAAGUCAGGAAGGGUUGACAAUUGAUGAUGUGCUUUGAAUGGUGCAUUUUGAACACAGAAAAACUAUGGAGUUCAAAUAAAUUCAAAAAAAUGAAAUCCCUUUGUAUAACAGACGAGUUUCCGUAUGAAACCCUAAUACUUCGAAAGAGAUUGUACGUUUUGUACACGAAGUGCAUCCGUUUUUUGCCGUAACCCUCUCUACUUUCUUGCACAUUCUAUGUGGGUGAAAUGAUGAUAACAUGCCAACUUUCAACCUUUUCAGAGUUCAUUUGUAGUGCUUUUCAAUUUCAGGGUCUUAUAGCUCAAAAAAAUCAGUAAAUGCAUGGAAAAUAAUAAAUGAAGUCAGAAAGGGAUGAAAAUUAAUGAUGUGGCUCUGAAUGGUGCAUUUUGAACACAUAAAAACUAUGGAGUUCAAAUAAGUUCAAAAAAAUGAAAUCCCUUUGUAUAACAGACGAGUUUCCGUAUGAUACCCUGAUACUUCGAAAGAGAUUGUGCGUUUUGUACACGAAGUGCAUCCAGUUUUUGCCGUAACCCUCUCUACUUUCUUGCACAUGCUAUGUGGGUGAAAUUAUGAUACCAUGCCAACUUUCAACCUUUUCAGAGUUCAUUUGUAGUGCUUUUCAAUUUCAGGGUCUUAUAGGUCAAAAAAAUCAGUAAUGCAUGGGAAAUAAUAAAUGAAGUCAGAAAGGGUUGAAAAUUGAUGAUGUGGCUUUGAAUGGUGCAUUUUGAACACAGAAAAACUAUGGAGUUCAAAUAAAUUCAAAAAAAUGAAAUCCCUUUGUAUAACAGACGAGUUUCCGUAUGAAACCCUAAUACUUCGAAAGAGAUUGUACGUUUUGUACACGAAGUGCAUCCGUUUUUUGCCGUAACCCUCUCUACUUUCUUGCACAUUCUAUGUGGGUGAAAUGAUGAUACCAUGCCAACUUUCAACCUUUUCAGAGUUCAUUUGUAGUGCUAUUCAAUUUCAGGGUCUUAUAGCUCAAAAAAAUCAGUAAAUGCAUGGAAANNNNNNNNNNNNNNNNNNNNNNNNNNNNNNNNNNNNNNNNNNNNNNNNNNNNNNNNNNNNNNNNNNNNNNNNNNNNNNNNNNNNNNNNNNNNNNNNNNNNNNNNNNNNNNNNNNNNNNNNNNNNNNNNNNNNNNNNNNNNNNNNNNNNNNNNNNNNNNNNNNNNNNNNNNNNNNNNNNNNNNNNNNNNNNNNNNNNNNNNNNNNNNNNNNNNNNNNNNNNNNNNNNNNNNNNNNNNNNNNNNNNNNNNNNNNNNNNNNNNNNNNNNNNNNNNNNNNNNNNNNNNNNNNNNNNNNNNNNNNNNNNNNNNNNNNNNNNNNNNNNNNNNNNNNNNNNNNNNNNNNNNNNNNNNNNNNNNNNNNNNNNNNNNNNNNNNNNNNNNNNNNNNNNNNNNNNNNNNNNNNNNNNNNNNNNNNNNNNNNNNNNNNNNNNNNNNNNNNNNNNNNNNNNNNNNNNNNNNNNNNNNNNNNNNNNNNNNNNNNNNNNNNNNNNNNNNNNNNNNNNNNNNNNNNNNNNNNNNNNNNNNNNNNNNNNNNNNNNNNNNNNNNNNNNNNNNNNNNNNNNNNNNNNNNNNNNNNNNNNNNNNNNNNNNNNNNNNNNNNNNNNNNNNNNNNNNNNNNNNNNNNNNNNNNNNNNNNNNNNNNNNNNNNNNNNNNNNNNNNNNNNNNNNNNNNNNNNNNNNNNNNNNNNNNNNNNNNNNNNNNNNNNNNNNNNNNNNNNNNNNNNNNNNNNNNNNNNNNNNNNNNNNNNNNNNNNNNNNNNNNNNNNNNNNNNNNNNNNNNNNNNNNNNNNNNNNNNNNNNNNNNNNNNNNNNNNNNNNNNNNNNNNNNNNNNNNNNNNNNNNNNNNNNNNNNNNNNNNNNNNNNNNNNNNNNNNNNNNNNNNNNNNNNNNNNNNNNNNNNNNNNNNNNNNNNNNNNNNNNNNNNNNNNNNNNNNNNNNNNNNNNNNNNNNNNNNNNNNNNNNNNNNNNNNNNNNNNNNNNNNNNNNNNNNNNNNNNNNNNNNNNNNNNNNNNNNNNNNNNNNNNNNNNNNNNNNNNNNNNNNNNNNNNNNNNNNNNNNNNNNNNNNNNNNNNACAUUGUCCGUUUUGUACACAAAGUGCAUCCAGUUUUUUCCGUAACCCUCUCUACUUUCUUGCACAUGCUAUGUGGGUGAAAUGAUGAUAUCAUGCCAACUUUCAACCUUUUCAGAGUUCAUUUGUAUUGCUUUUCAAUUUCAGGGUCUUAUAGCUCAAAAAAAUCAAUAAAUGCAUGGAAAAUAACAAAUGAGGUCAGAAAGGGUUGAAAAUUUAUGAUGUGGCUUUGAAUGGUGCAUUUUGAACACAUAAAACUAUGGAGUUCAAAUAAGUUCAAAAAAAUGAAAUCCCUUUGUAACAAAUGAGUUUCCGUAUGAAACCCUGAUACUUCGAAAGAGAUUGUCCGUUUUGUACACGAACUGCAUCUAGUUUUUGCCGUAACCCUCUCUACUUUAUUGCACAUGCUAUGUGGGUGAAAUGAUGAUACCAUGCCAACUUUCAACCUUUUCAGAGUUCAUUUGUAGUGCUUUUCAAUUUCAGGGUCUUAUAGCUCAAAAAAUCAGUAAACGCAUGGAAAAUAAUAAAUGAAGUUAGAAAGGGUUGAAAAUUAAUGAUGUGGCUCUGAAUGGUGCAUUUUGAACACAUAAAAACUAUGGAGUUCAAAUAAGUUCAAAAAAAUGAAAUCCCUUUGUAUAACAGACGAGUUUCCGUAUGAAACCCUGAUACUUCGAAAGAGAUUGUGCGUUUUGUACACGAAGAGCAUCCAGUUUUUGCCGUAACCCUCUCUACUUUCUUUCACAUGCUAUGUGGGUGAAAUGAUGAUACCAUGCCAACUUUCAACCUUUUCAGAGUUCAUUUGUAGUGCUUUUCAAUUUCAGGGUCUUAUAGGUCAAAAAAACCAGUAAUGCAUGGAAAAUAAUAAAUGAAGUCAGAAAGGGUUGAAAAUUGAUGAUGUGGCUCUGAAUGGUGCAUUUUGAACACAUAAAAACUAUGGAGUUCAAAUAAGUUCAAAAAAAUGAAAUCCCUUUGUAUAACAGACGAGUUUUCGUAUGAAACCCUGAUACUUCGAAAGAGAUUGUCCGUUUUCUACAUGAAGUGCAUCCAGUUUUUGCCGUAACCCUCUCUACUUUCUUUCACAUGCUAUGUGGGUGAAAUGAUGAUACCAUGCCAACUUUCAACCUUUUCAGAGUUCAUUUGUACUGCUUUUCAAUUUCAGGGUCUUAUAGGUCAAAAAAUCAGUAAAUGCAUGGAAAAUAAUAAAUGAAGUCGGAAAGGGUUGAAAAUUUAUGAUGUGGCUUUGAAUGGUGCAUUUUGAACACAGAAAAAUUAUGGAGUUCAAAUAAGUUCAAAAAAAUGAAAUCCCUUUGUAUAACAGACGAGUUUCCGUAUGAAACCCUGAUACUUCGAAAGAGAAUGUCCGUUUUGUACACGAAGUGCAUCUAGUUUUUGCCGUAACCCUCUCUAAUNNNNNNNNNNCAAAUGAAGUCAGAAAGGGUUGAAAAUUGAUGAUGUGGCUUUGAAUGGUGCAUUUUGAACACAGAAAAAUUAUGGACUUCAAAUAAGUUCAAAAAAAUGAAAUCCCUUUGUAACAGACGAGUUUCCGUAUGAAACCUUGACACUUCGAAAGAGAUUGUCCGUUUUGUACACGAAGUGCAACCAGUUUUUUCCGUAACCCUCUCUACUUUCUUGCAUAUGCUAUGUGGGUGAAAUGAUGAUACCAUGCCAACUUUCAACCUUUUCAGAGUUCAUUUGUAGUGCUUUUCAAUUUCAGGGUCUUAUAGUUCAAAAAAAUCAAUAAACGCAUAGAAAAUAAUAAAUGAAGUCAGAAAGGGUUGAAAAUUGAUGAUGUGGCUCUGAAUGGUGCAUUUUGAACACAUAAAAACUAUGGAGUUCAAAUAAGUUCAAAAAAAUGAAAUCCCUUUGUAUAACAGACGAGUUUCCGUAUGAAACCUUGAUACUUCGAAAGAGAUUGUCUGUUUUGUACANNNNNNNNNNUCCGUUUUGUACACGAAGUGCAUCUAGUUUUUUCCGUAACCCUCUCUACUUUCUUGUACAUGCUAUGUGGGUGAAAUGAUGAUACCAAGCCAACUUUCAACCUUUUCAGAGUUCAUUUAUAGUGCUUUUCAAUUUCAGGGUCUUAUAGCUCAAAAAAAUCAGUAAAUGCAUGGAAAAUAAUAAAUGAAGUCAGAAAGGGUUGAAAAUUGAUGAUGUGCCUCUGAAUGGUGCGUUUUGAACACAGAAAAACUAUGGAGUUCAAAUAAGUUCAAAAAAAUGAAAUCCCUUUGUAUAACAGACGAGUUUCCGUAUGAAACCCUGAUACUUCGAAAGAGAUUGUCCGUUUUGUACACGAAGUGCAUCCAGUUUUUGCCGUAACCCUCUCUACUUUCUUGCACAUGCUAUGUGGGUGAAAUGAUGAUACCAUGCCAACUUUUACUCUAUUCAGAGUUCAUUUGUAGUGCUUUUCAAUUUCAGGGUCUUGUAGCUCAAAAAAUCAGUAAAUGCAUGGAAAAUAACAAAUGAAGUCAGAAAGGGUUGAAAAUUGAUGAUGUGGCUUUGAAUGGUGCAUUUCGAACACAUAAAAAUUAUGGACUUCAAAUAAGUUCAAAAAAAUGAAAUCCCUUUGUAACAGACGAGUUUCCGUAUGAAACCCUGACACUUCGAAAGAGAUUGUCCGUUUUGUACACGAAGUGGAACCAGUUUUUGCCGUAACCCUCUCUACUUUCUUGCACAUGCUAUGUUGGUGAAAUGAUGAUACCAUGCCAACUUUCAACCUUCUCAGAGUUCAUUUGUAGUGCUUUUCAAUUUCAGGGUCUUAUAGUUCAANNNNNNNNNNUAACAAAUGAAGUUAGGAAGGGUUGAAAAUUGAUGAUGUGGCUUUGAAUGGUGCAUUUUGAACACAGAAAAACUAUGGAGUUCAAAUAAGUUCAAAAAAAUGAAAUCCCUUUGUAUAACAGACGAGUUUCCGUAUGAAACCCUGAUACUUCGAAAGAUAUUGUCCGUUUUGUACACGAAGUGCAUCCAUUUUUUGCCGUAACCCUCUCUACUUUCUUGCACAUUCUAUGUGGGUGAAAUGAUGAUACCAUGCCAACUUUCAACCUUUUCAGAGUUCAUUUGUAGUGCUUUUCAAUUUCAAGGUCUUAUAGCUCAAAAAAAUCAGUAAAUGCAUGGAAAAUAACAAAUGAUGUCAGGAAGGGUUGAAAAUUGAUGAUGUGGCUUUGAAUGGUGCAUUUUGAACACAGAAAAACUAUGGAGUUCAAAUAAGUUCAAAAAAAUGAAAUCCCUUUGUAACAGAUGAGUUUCCGUAUGAAACCCUGAUACUUCGAAAGACAUUGUCUGUUUUGUACACGAAGUGCAUCCAGUUUUUUCCGUAACCCUCUCUACUUUCUUGCACAUGCUAUGUGGGUGAAAUGAUGAUAUCAUGCCAACUUUCAACCUUUUUCAGAGUUCAUUUGUAGUGCUUUUCAAUUUCAGGGUCUUAUAGCUCAAAAAAAUCAAUAAAUGCAUGGAAAAUAACAAAUGAAGUCAGAAAGGGUUGAAAAUUGAUGAUGUGGCUUUGAAUGGUGCAUAUUGAACACAUAAAACUAUGGAGUUCAAAUAAGUUCAAAAAAAAUGAAAUCCCUUUGUAAAAAACGUGUCGCGCUUAUGUGUGGCCCAGGCCCGAGGGCUCCUGUCGGUGUACAAAAGAAGGGGCGCACCUUUGUACCUCUUUACCUGUGCACGGACAGUCGGAGCCGCGCCCACGGCCGCACCAAGCAGAACAGGGGAGGUGAACCGAGGUAAAACUGAAGCUCAAGACAGCCAAGGCAACGCCAAGGCCAAGAAGCACAAAGAAGCAGGGAGGCAAAGCAGGCUCCCUCGGCAAAGACCCUUGCAGGGGCAGCCUCAGCAGCCCCAACAAGACCCUUGCCGGGGCGGCUCGCCCACACCAGCGGAACGCGCCACCCUUGAGCCCAUGGUUUCCAGCACCCUACGUUGGGCCAGGGCUCGGGAGGCACCUCCAUGGUGGCAUGCAGAUCUUUGUGAAGAGAAGAAGUGUCCAAGAUCAGAUGAGGAUUAAAAGACAAAGGUCCUCGACAAGAUCCUUGCCGAGGAGAGCCACAAGACCCCCGGCAAGAUCCUUGCCGGCGACGACGGCACACCACGACAAGACCCUUGCCGGACCACCCGGCAAGGCCCUCACCAAGGGCGUCAGCAGGGCCACUGCCAGGCCCGCACCUGCUUAGCAGCCGACUCGGAACUCGGGGACUACACCCAGUGGGCUCCAGCUCGUCGGUGUAUUGCCUCAGCGCCGUAGCCUGGGCUUGGAGCCGGGUCCGGACGUCCUGCGCGGCCACGUUCAUCACGGCCGUCCCUCCCCCGGCGUCCACCCUGAGGUGGCGCUGGCCACCUCCACAUCCUGGCCCGACGAGCUGGAGCCCACUGCCGGCUGCGGCUCCGACGCCGCCUUCUGUGGCUCCGACGCAGCCUUCCCCGCGCGCCGGCUCGGCGGCAUCCGGACCGCCAGCUCGGACCUCGCGGCCGGCUCGCCCCCCGCCGACUGCGCAGGCGGCAGAUCAGGCCGGCCGCCUUGAGCCGCCCCAGUCGGCGGGGUCGGCACCGGCGCCCUCUCCAGGAUGACGACGUCGUCAUCCCUUUCCAGCCCUGGCUGGUCGCUGCUGGCUCCUUCUGGCGAGGGCUCCGGGGCCCCAGGCGCUGCGACGCGCAGUGGGGUAACCAACAAGGCCCCCUCCGCCGUUGCCGCAGCUACAGCCUCCGCUUGGGCCUUGGCUGCGGCGUCGGCGCGCGCAUUCGCCGCCUCCUCCUCCUGCGCCGCCUGGGCGGCGGCCGCCUUCCGUGCCUCCGCCUCCCGCGCCUCCCGCGCGUUCCGUUCUGUCGCCUCCUGAAGGUCAGCACGGGAUUCCACACGGCGAGUGGUGCUCCCAGACCCCCUCGGCGACUCGACGACGGAGGCGGCAACCGCCCGCUCAAGCGACAAUGGAGCUCUAGUUGUUUGGAGAAAAAGACAAGGAUUCAGGAACCACCAGAGAAAAGAAAGAAAAAAGAGUACACAAAAGAGUUCGAACUUACGCCGACACCGUCUGUGGUUGCUUCACCUUCUUGCGGAAGCGAGCCGCCUUCGCGGCCGCCUCCUCCCGCCUGGUCGCCGCCGCCCCGCCCCUGGGCUUCUUCGUCCGACUGCCGAACAAACCCUGGGAGGCGCGACGCUUUUGCCCGCCGCCCCGAGCAGGCGGUGCAGCGGAGGAACCCGCGCCGCGGCCAGAUGCCGGCCGACGGUGCGGGACGACUUCAGCCUCGUCGUCGUCCGGCCAGUCGUCGAAGGUGACUCCAUGCCCGGAGCCGCCUGCUUCGCCACCGGCUUGGCCACCACCCGGCUCGGUGUUGUCGUCCAUAGAGGCCGCCCCCAAGUCGGGGUCCUCCAGGUCGUGCUGCGUUCGGUCGGGGACGAAUCGGCGCUCCGCGUCCGACCCGCCGGCAGGCCGAAGAAGAGGGCUCUGUCGAAGACAAGCCGACUAGUCGGAGUCGGCCAAAGGAAAUCGGCGACAAAGCUGAGAGAAAAAGAAGAGACAAGGAGAACAUACCGUGGGCGGCGGAUUGGCUCGGCUAUAUGGCUCCUUGUGUGGCAUGUCCUUGGUACACAUCCGGCUUGGAUCGAGCUGGCCGCUCAUCUGACAGAUCAGAUGAGGGCGGCUCUGGAGCAGGAGUACCCGGCGCGUGACGAAGGCGGCCAGCAGGUCGGGCCCCGACAAGCCCUCCGACUGGGUCAUCGCUCGCACUCGGGCGACGGCUGCGGAUCCAGCCGGCGUCAGCGUCACGGCCCGGUAGGACCACUGGGGCCGCCUACCCGCCGGUGGGCCGGCUACGUAAGCCGGCAGCUUGACGUAGUCGCCCUGCGGGGCAACGUUCCUGAUGUAGAAGUACGACUUUUGCCAUAACUUCACCGACUGGAUCAGCGUGAUGACGGGGAAGGGGUUGCCGGCAGCCACCCUCCGCAUCGCGAUGAAGGCGCCAGUCUGAGCCGGCACGCCCUGCGAGCGCGUGCCCAGCUUGGACUGGAAGAACUCCCCCCAGAGCUCGAGGGUGGGGAGGACGCCGAGGUAGCCUUCGCACAGGGUGACAAAGGCAGACAGCAGCACCACCGCGUUCGGGGUGAGGUGGUGCGGCUGGAGCUGGUAGAACUCGAGCCAAGAGCGGAAGAAGGCGCUCACGGGCAGGCCGAUUCCGCGCAAGAAAUGUGAGCGGAAGACCACCCGCUCGCCCUCCCACGGCUCCGGCGUAUUCUCCUUCGCUGGCGCGAGACGGACCUCCACCUUGUCCGCGCUGGGCAGCCGCCGCGUCUUGCGGAGGAAUUCGACGUGAUCCUCGUGGACGUUGGAGCCGUCCCAAUCCCCGCCGUACUGCUCUGUGGCGGGAGGCAUGGUGGAAACAAGCGCGGCGGGGGAGGAAUGAGUGGUGGAAGAGCACGGCGGCGAGGCGCUGUUGCAAGAAAGGGCAGGAAGAAGAAGAUGGUGGAAAGAGGAGGAGCGUGCGAGAGCCUGCCGCUCUCCCCCCUCCCCCUACUUAUAGCUUCGCCAGGUGAAGCCGGGGAGGCCGGACGUGGGGUGAGACGUGGGAUUAACUGCACCCACUCCCCCCACGCCUCGCGAUUAUUAUGCCCUAAAGGCGUGCCGAAACUGCCGCAAGGAGACGUGCGGGCGGUUUCGGGCUGCAGAGAAUCCGCGCCUGGGCCCGGGCGUGGACGUGGCGGGCCCCCGCCCUGCGGCGACGUCCCGUCACGCGCGUGGGCUGGCAGGCUUUUUGGCCGAGAGAGGCCACGUGGUUCGCAGGCGACAAGUGGCCGGCCCGCGGCCCGGUGCACGCGCUGGCGAGCUCCCGACCUCCGACUCGGGAAUUUUUGGCCAAGACGGCGCGCCUAACCAAAGCCGGCUCCCAGCUGCCAACUUGUCAAGAUAGGAAGCUGAUCGAGCUUCUCAACUCCUACCCAACCUCGAAGCCCAAUCAGCUUCGGGGACUACUGUCGGAGUAAAUGGCCACGGGUAGCCUAACCGACUGCCCCUGGCUCUUCCAAAAAAUUAUCAGGCCUUUGGGCCUUCAAGCACUCCAAGCAUUGGGGCCGCCUUCCCUGGCCGGCUACCUCUAAAGCCAACUCAUGAAAGACGACCCAACCUCAGCAACCUCCCCCCAGGAUAACCACGGGGUGGCCGACUCUAGGAAGCCGGCCAUAGAGGAUGCCGACUUCUCAGAAGCUGGCCACGAAGAACGCCGACUCCAAGAAGCCGGCCAAGACCGCAACCACCAAAGCCACACCCACAUAACGGUGACAAGACGGGGUGUGGCCACAGUGCUGCCCACUACCCCCGAAGCCCGAGGCAAGCAUGGCCACAGGACGCCGUACGGGACGGCCAUCUCCCGUCCGGCUCGGCACUGUAGCCAUGUUGGCCUCAACGUCACCCACGACGGACGCCAGUACGGCCCAUGGGCAGCGGGUCCCUUUAGCCAGAGAGAGGCGCGAAGGCGGCCCGGCCUCCCCCAGUCGGCCGAGGGCGUGGCCGGCCCCCAGAAGCCGGCUACUCCCUCCCUCGAAGCAUGUGCCACAUUAAGGAGACAAGACGAGGUAAGGCUACAGUGAGCACCCUCGAGGCGGCACACUGUAGCCACGCUUACCUCGGCGAAGCCCUCGUCAUCAGGGGCGAGGCUACAGUAAGCAGCCGCCGACAAGACCCUAGGCGGUAGGGCCAGCCUGUCGACCAAGAGGCCGGCAGCCGGCGGGACCCACCAGUCUGCGGGCCCCAACAGCCGGCGGAGAAGCCGGUGAGCGUAGACACUGACGGCUGGGACCAGUGCCCAGCCGGAUUACAAUUGUAUCCCCGGGGGUAGGCCUAUAUAAACCCCCCGGGACACCCAUGCAAAGGGUUGGCUUCUUAGCAUUACACACACACCAUAGAGAGAGAGAAGCAAGAGCUAGCCUCGUUCUUCUUCUCCCUUGAACCCAACAGCUCUAGGAGCGAUUGUAGCUACUCUUCCUGAUCUAUUGAUCAUGCGGAGACCCCGCAGAGCAGGACUAGGGGUGUUAUCUCCUCGGAGAGCCCCGAACCUGGGUAAGAUCCGCCGGCGUGCAUGUCUUCGCCUCAUCCCGUUUCCAGGCACCGGCGACGUCUUACUGGCACCCACUAUGAUAAGCCACCCGUUGGCAUAUGUCGCACCUACCACCCGACAUAUUUAAUACUCCUAUACUCAAAUAGAAUCAUUAAACAAGCAAGCAUAUGCAAACAAUGCAAUCAUAACAGCAAUCUGCUAGAACAGUACAGUCUAUAAAGAAUGCAAGAGUAUCAAUACUUAUUCAACUCCAAACAUUAUGAAAUUCUACCAAACUAUAGAAAAUUUAUCAGAGCUUAUUAUGCAAAAAGUUUCAACAUUUUAUCACACUCUGACUUUCCUUGGGAAUUUUUGCAACAUCGAUAAACUUUCUGUUUUCAAAUAGCAACAUGUAUACUUGCAAGUUAAGCAUGGCAAAGGCUAUCAAUGCCACUUUUAUUGAAAUAAAGGAUGAAAAACAUUAUUCUAAAUAGCAACAAGCAAAUCCUAACAAAAUAAAUUGACGCGCCAAGCAAAACUCAUAUCAUGUGACGAAUGAAAACAUAGCUCCAAGUAAGGUUACCGAUAAUGUUGGAGACAAAAGAGGGGAUGCCUUCCGGGGCAUCCCCAAGCUUAGUUGCUUGGAUAUUAACUUGGGGUGCCUUGGGCAUCCCCAAGCUUAGGCUCUUGUCACUCCUUAUUCUCCUCAUAUCAUCAUCUCACCCAAAACUUGAAAACUUCAAUCACACAAAACUUAACUGAACUUUGUGAGAUAGGUUAGUAUGAUAAAGAGCAAACCAUUUCACCUUGAUACUGUCAAAGACAAGAUUCAUAAUUGUUCUCACACAAUGCCUACUGUAGCAUAUCGUUUCCACAACUUAUAUUGAGGAAUAAAAGCCAUAGAAACUAGAAAGCAAGCAAACUAUUCAUUAUAAACAGAGUUUUCCAUGCAACGUUCCCCAACAGUGGCAUCCGAGCCAGGUCUAUGCGUAGAUGAUAUGCACGAGUAGAACACAAAGAGUUGUGGGUGGUGAUAGUCAUACUGCUUACCACCAAUGUCUUAUUUUGAUUCAGCGAUAUUGUGGGAUGAAGCGGUCCGGACCAGCACAUGAGACCGGAUCCACCGACAGACAUGCAACUUGUUUUGCAUAAAGGUGGUUGGCGGGUGUCUGUUUCUCCUACUUUAGUUGAAUCGAAUUUGACUACGGCCGGUCCUUGAAGAAGGUUAAAAGAGCAAACUUGAUUAAUCACCAUUGCGGUUUUGCGUAGUGAUUUGUUACAGUAGAAAAUGAUAAGGUUUUUGCAUUGGUUUAUACUAACUUAUCUCACGAGUUCUUGUUGAGUUUGGUGUGGAUGAAGCUUUCGAGAUUUAGGAAACUAUGAUAUGAGAGGAAUUAAGGAGACACAAAAGCUCAAGCUUGGGGAUGCCCAAGGCACCCUAAGAUAUUAUUUCAAGAAGUCUGCAGCAUCUAAGCUUGGGUAUGCCCCGGUAGGCAUCCCACCUUUCUUCUUCAACAAUUAUCGGUUAGUAUCGGUUGAGCCUAAGUUUUUGCUUCUUCACAUGAUGAGUGCUAUCCUUGAAAUGUUGUUUUAUUUUGUUUUGCUUGCUGUUUGAAUAAUAUCCCAAGAUCUGAAAUUCUUAAAUGAGAGAGAGUCUUCACAUAGCUACAUAAUUAUUUAACUAUUCAUUGAUCUUCACUUAUAUCUUUUUGGAGUAGUUUGUCAUUUACUCGUGUGCUUCACUUAUAUCCUAUGAGUAAAUAGUUGAAUGAUUUGAAUAUCAUAAAUCUGAAAUUAUAUAUGUUUUAUAUGCUUAUCCCAUGGGGAGUAAUGACUUCACAUAUAAGAAGUAGAGGUGGUAAAUUUAUUGAAGUUUAGCAAACAUUGUAUUGGUCACUUGAACAAUUCAUGAAAGAAUACUGAAGGAAGAGAGAUUUCACAUAUAAAUAUACUAUCUUGGACAUCUUUUGUAAUUGUGAGCACUCAUUAAAAUAUGACAUGCUAAAAGGUUGAUGUUGGACAAGGAAGACAACGUAAUGGGUUAUGUUUUCUUAUAUCCGAAAUAAAGUAUAUUGUCAUGGAUCGCCCAACACGUUGAGCUUGCCUUUCCCCCUCGUGCUAGCCAAAUUCUUCGCACCAAGUAGGGAUACUACUUGUGCUUCCAAACAUCCCUUAAACCAGUAUUGCCAUGAGAGUCCACCAUACCUACCUAUGGAUUGAGUAAGAUCCUUCAAGUAAGUUGUCAUCGGUGCAUGCAAUAAAAAUUGCUCUCUAAAUAUGUAUGAUCUUUUAGUGUGGAGAAAAUAAGCUUUAUACGAUCUUGUGAUAUGGAAGCAAUAAAAGCGACGGACUGCAUAAUAAAGGUCCCUAUCACAAGUGGCAAUAUAAAGUGACGUUCCCUCGCAUUAAGAUUUUGUGCAUCCAACUAUAAAAGCGCAUGGCAACCUCUGCUUCCCUCUGCGAAGGGCCUAUGUUUUAUUCUUGUCUUUUACCUUAUGCAAGAGUCAUGGUGAUCUUCACCUUUCCUUUUUACAUUUUAUACUUUGGCAAGCACAUUGUGUUGGAAAGAUUCUGAUAUAUAUAUCCAAUUGGAUGUAAGGCAUCAUAAGCUAUUAUUGUUGACAUUACCCUUGAGAUAAAAGGUUGGGAGGCGAAUCUAUAAGCCCCUAUCUUUCUCUCUGUCUGAUUAAAACUUUGAACCCAUAAAUAUCACGUGAGUGUUAGCAAUUGUGAAAGACUAAAUGAUAGUUGAGUAUGUUGAGUUUGCUAAAUCAAAGCUCUGACAUAGACUCUUCCUGAAAAUAAGAUGAAUUGUAAUUGUUUGAUGACUAAUAACACGGUUUGUUAGUUUUCAGGAAAGUUUAUGAUCUAUACUUUAACAUGUGAAUAGUUUGUUACUUGAUCAUGAAAAGUCUUAUGAGUUGAGCUACUGUUAUCAUAUAUAAUGAUGCUAGAAAAGGUGAUUGAAAUUAUCAUUGAUCAAACUUGUGCACCUGCUAGCAUUCACACUUCAUAAAUUAUUUAUUUUAUCAUUUACCUACUCGAGGAAGAGCAGGAAUUAAGCUUGGGGAUGCUGAUACAUCUCCAACGUAUCUAUAAUUUAUGAAGUAUUCAUGCUAUUAUAUUAUCUGUUUUGGAUGCUUAUGGGCUUUACUAAACACUUUUAUAUUAUUUUUGGGACUAACCUAUUAACCGAGAGCCCAGUGCCAGUUUCUGUUUUUUCCCUUGUUUCAGUGUUUCACGGAAAAGGAAUAUCAAACAGAGUCCAAACGGAAUGAAACCUUCGGGAGCAUGAUUUUUUGAAUGAACGUGAUCCAGGAGACUUGGAGUUGAAGUCAGGGAAGCUUUGAGGUGGCCAUGAGGCAGGGAGGCGCACCUGCCCCCCUGGGCGCGCCCCCCACCCUCGUGGGCCCCUCGUGGCUCCCCUUACCGACUUAUUUUGCCUAUAUAUGUCCAUAUACCCUAAAAACAUCGGGGAACAGAAUAGAUCGGGAGUUCCGCCGCCGCAAGCCUCUGUAGCCACCAAAAACCAAUCGAGACUCUGUUCCGGCACCCUGCCGGAGGGGGGAUCCCUCACCGGUAGCCAUCUUCAUCAUCCCGGCGCUCUCCAUGACGAGCAGGGAGUAGUUCACCCUAGGGGCUGAGGGUAUGUACCAGUAGCUAUGUGUUUGAUCUCUCUCUCUCCCUCUCGUGUUCUUGAUUCGGCACGAUCUUGAUGUAUCGCGAGCUUUGCUAUUAUAGUUGGAUCUUAUGAUGUUUCUCCCCCUCUACUCCCUUGUAAUGGAUUGAGUUUUCCCUUUGAAGUUAUCGUAUCAGAUUGAGUCCUUAAGGAUUUGAGAACACUUGAUGUAUGUCUUGCAUGUGCUUAUCUGUGGUGACAAUGGGAUAUUCACGUAUUCUACUUGAUGUAUGUUUUGGUGAUCAACUUGCGGGUUCCGUAACAUUGUGAACUUAUGCAUAGGGGUUGGCAGACGUUUUCGUCUUGACUCUCCGGUAGAAACUUUGGGGCACUCUUUGAAGUUCUUUGUGUUGGUUGAAUAGACGAAUCUGAGAUUGUGUGAUGCAUAUCAUAUAAUCAUACCCACGGAUACUUGAGGUGACAUUGGAGUAUCUAGGUGACAUUAGGGUUUUGGUUGAUUUGUGUCUUAAGGUGUUAUUCUAGUACGAACUCUAUGAUAGAUCGAACGGAAAGAAUAGCUUCGUGUUAUUUUACUACGGACUCUUGAAUAGAUCGAUCAGAAAGGAUAACUUUGAGGUGGUUUCGUACCCUACAAUAAUCUCUUCGUUUGUUCUCCGCUAUUAGUGACUUUGGAGUGACUCUUUGUUGCAUGUUGAGGGAUAGUUAUAUGAUCUAAUUAUGUUAUUAUUGUUGAGAGAACUUGCACUAGUGAAAGUAUGAACCCUAGGCCUUGUUUCCUAGCAUUGCAAUACCGUUUGUGCUCACUUUUAUCAUUAGUUACCUUGCUGUUUUUAUAUUUUCAUAUUACAAAAACCUAUAUCUACCAUCCAUGUUGCACUUGUAUCACCAUCUCUUCGCCGAACUAGUGAACCUAUACAAUUACCAUUGUAUUGGGUGUGUUGGGGACACAAGAGAUUCUUUGUUAUUUGGUUGCAGGAUUGCUUGAGAGAGACCAUCUUCAUCCUACGCCUCCCACGGACUGAUAAACCUUUGGUCAUCCACUUGAGGGAAAUUUGCUAUUGUCCUACAAACCUCUGCACUUGGAGGCCCAAUAAUGUCUACAAGAAGAAGGUUGUGUAGUAGACAUCAGCACCAUUGCCAAAGUUCGUCAUUUCAAAGCACCUCGUGGUGAUCGGGUGUGAUAGACUCUACGUUCACAUACAACGGGUGUAAGACAGUUUUGCACAUGCAGAAUACUUGGGUUAAACUUGACGAGCCUAGCAUGUACAGACAUGGUCUCAGAACACUGGAGACCGAAAGGUCAAACGUGAGUCAUAUAGUAGAUAUGAUCAACAUAGAGAUGUUCACCAUUGAUGACUACCCCAUCUCACGUGAUGAUCGGACAUGAGUUACUUGAUUUGGAUCAUGUAUCACUUAGAUAACCUGAGGGAUGUUUAUUUAAGUGGGAGUUCAUUAGUAAUUUGAUUAAUUGAACUUAAUUUAUAAUGAACUUAGUCUUAUAGUUUUGCAUAUCUAUGUUGUAGAUCAAUGGCCCGAGCUACCAUUCCCCUGAAUUUUAAUGCAUUCCUAGAGAAAGCUAAGUUGAAAGAUGAUGGUAGAAACUACACGGACUGGAUCCGUAACUUGAUGAUUGUUCACAUUGCUGCACAGAAGAAUUAUGUCCUUAAUGCACCGCUAGGUGACAUACCUGCUGCAGGAGCUACUGCAGAUGUUAUGAACGUAUGGCAGGCUCGACCUGAUGACUACUUGAUAGUUCAAUGUGCCAUGCUUUACGGCUUAGAACCGGGACUUCAAAGAUGUUUUGAAUGUCAUGGAGCAUAUGAGAUGUUCCAAGAGUUGAAGUUAAUAUUUCAAGCAAAUGCCCGGGUUGAGAGAUAUGAAGUCUCCAACAAGUUCCAUAGCUGCAAGAUGGAGGAGAACAGUUCUAUCAACGAACACAUAUUCAAAGUGUGUGGGUAUCAUAACCACUUGACUCAGCUGGGAGUUGAUCUUCUAGUUGAUAGUGUUAUUGACAGAGUUCUUCAGUCACUGCCACCAAGCUACAAAGGCUUUGUGAUGAACUAUAAUAUGCAAGGGAUGAAUAAAACAAGUCAUGAGCUCUUCGUAAUGCUUAAGGCCGCGGAGGUAGAAAUCAAGAAGGAGCAUCAAGUGUUGAUGGUUAACAAGACCACUAGUUUAAAAAAAAGGGCAAGGGAAAGAAAGGGAACUUCAAGAAGAAUGGCAAGCAAGUUGCCACUCCCGGGAAGAAGCCCAAAGCUGGACCCAAGCCUGAAACUAAGUGCUUCUACCGCAAAGGGAAUGGUCACUAGAAGCAGAACUGCCCCUAAAUACUUGGCGGAUAAGAAGGAUGGCAAAGUGAACAAAGGUAUAUUUGAUAUACAUGUUAUUGAUGUGUACCUUACUAAUGCUCGUAGUAGUGCCUGGGUAUUUGAUAUUGGUUUGGUUGCUCAUAUUUGUAACUCGAAACAAAAGCUGCGGAAUAAAUGAAGAUUGUCUAAGAACGAGGUGACGAUGCGCGUCGGGAAUGGUUCCAAGGUCGAUGUGAUCGCCGUCGGCACGCUACCUCUACAUCUACCUUCGGGCUUAGUUUUAGACCUCAACAAUUGUUAUUUGGUGCCAGCGUUGAGCAUGUACAUUAUAUCUGGAUCUUGUUUGUUGCGAGAUGGUUAUUCAUUUCAAUCGGAGAAUAAUGGCUGUACUAUUUAUAUGAGUAAUAUCCUUUAUGGUAUGCACCCUUGAUGAAUGGUCUAUUCUUGUUGAAUCUCGAUCAUAGUGAUACACAUAUUCAUAAUAUUGAUGCCAAAAGAUGCAAAGUUGAUAAUGAUAGUGCAACAUACUUGUGGCACUGCCAUUUAGGUCAUAUUGGUGUAAUGCACAUGAAGAAACUCCAUACAGAUGGACUUUUAGAAUCACUUGAUUAUGAAUCAUUUGAUCCUUGCAAACCAUGGCUCAUGGGCAAGAUGACUAAAACUCUGUUCUCCGAAACAAUGGAGCGAGCUAAUGACUUAUUGGAUAUAAUACAUACCAAUGUAUGCGGUCCGAUGAGUGUUGAGGCACGCGGCGGGUAUCGUUAUUUUAUGACCUUCAUAGAUGAUUUGAGUAGGUAUGGUUAUAUCUACUUGAUGAAACACAAGUCUGAAACAUUUCAAAAGUUCAAAGAAUUUCAGAGUGAAGUGGAGAAUCAUCGUAACAAGAAAAUAAAGUUUCUGCGAACUGAUCACGGAGGCGAAUAGUUGAGUUACGAGUUUGGCUUUCAUUUAAAACAAUGUGGAAUUGUUUCACAACUCACGCCACCUGGAACACCACAACAUAAUGGUGUGUCCGAACGUCGUAAUCGUACUUUAUUGGAUAUGGUGCGAUCUAUGAUGUCUCUUACCGAUUUAGUACUAUCAUUUUGGGGUUAUACAUUAGAGUCACCCGCAUUCACGUUAAAUAGGGCACCAUCUAAAUUCGUUGAGACGACAUCGUAUGAACUAUGGUUUGGCAAGAAACCUAAGUUGUUGUUUCUUAAAGUUUGGGGUUGCGACACUUAUGUCAAAAGGCUUCAGCUUGAUAAGCUCGAACCCAAAUCGGAGAAGUGCGUCUUCAUAGGAUACCCUAAGGAUGUUGGGGAACAUAGUAUAUCAAAAAAUUUCCUACGAUCACGCAAGAUCUAUCUAGGAGAAGCAUAGCAACGAGUGGGGAGAGUGUGUCCAUGUACCCUCGUAGCCCGAAAGCGGAAGCGUUUAGUAACGCGGUUGAUGUAGUUGAAUGUCUUCGCGAUCCAACCGAUCCAAGCACCGAACUUACGGCACCUCCGCGUUCAGCACACGUUCAGCUCGAUGACGUCCCUCAAGCUCUUGAUCCAGUUGAGGACAAUGGGAGUGUUCCGUCAGUACGACGGCAUGGUGAUGGUGAUGAUGAAGUUACCGGCGUAGGGCUUCACCUAAGCACUACGACGAUAUGAUCGAGGUGUGUAACUAUGGAGGGGGGCACCGCACACGGCUAAGAGAAGACUUGGUGUGCCUUUGGGGUGCCCCCUGAGGGAGUCCUGGACUAAGGGGUCCUCGGGCGUCCGACCUGUUAGCCAUGGGCCGGACUGAUGGGCUGUGAAGAUGCGAAGACCGAAGACAGGACCCGUGUUCGGAUAUGACUCACCUUGGCGUGGAAGGCAAGCUUGACAACCAAAUAUGUAGAUUCCUUUCCUUGUAACCGACCUUGUGUAACCCUAGAUCUCUCCGGUGUCUAUAUAAACCGAAGAGCUUAGUCCGGAUAGAGAUAGACUCAUUACCAUAGUCAUAGAGGCUAGGCUUUUAGGGUUUAGCCAUUACGAUCUCAUGGUAGAUCAACUCUUUUAAUACUCAUAUUCAUCAAGAUCAAUCAAGUAGGAAGUAGGGUAUUACCUCCAUAGAGAGGGCCCGAACCUGGGUAAACAUCGUGUCCCCUGUCUCUUGUUACCAUCGACCUUAGACGCACAGUUCGGGACCCCCUAGCCGAGAUCCGCCGGUUUUGACACCGACAUUGGUGCUUUCAUUGAGAGUUCCACUGUGUCGUCCCCAAAAGGUUUGAUGGCCCCUUCAAUCGUUAACGACGAUGCCGUCCAAGGAGAAACCUUUCUCCCCGGACAGAUCUUCGUAUUCGGCGGCUUCGCACUGUGGGCCAACUCGCUUGGCCGUCUAGAGCAGAUCGACAGCUACGCCCCUGGCCAUCAGGUCAGAUCCGGGAGUUGAACUACGUCGCGGACAUCCGUGGAGACUUGAUCUUCGCUGGAUUCGAGACCGCGGCAAUCGCUCCUGGUCACCCCGAUGAACAUGACCUAAAUCUGUCAUCGGACCACAUCCAGGAGAUUGCUCCUGUAACUGCUCUGGCCGUAGAUCUGGAGCAUCCUGCGCCAUCCAAGGACGGGAGGCUCAACCCCACCGUGGAGGCCACAGAUUCCACGGCGUUGGAGCCGAACAUAGACCUAAAGUCACACGACGUCUUUGUCACCGGAUCUCUGGACUCGUCUCUGGUCAUAAAUUCCAAGCCAUGUGCAUCCGCGGACGCCGAACUUGAUCGCUUAUCGAUCUUUGAGUUUAGCGCCGCAGACAUCUUCCAACACUCGCCCCUCGGCGAUGUGCUAAACUCAUUAAAGAAUAUGUCCCUGGCAGGAGACUCAUAGCCGAAUUAUGUCCGGUUCGAAAUGGAGGCUGAUGAUGGGGGAGAAUUCAGCUUCCCACCCGCCACCCACUUCAUAGCCACUGUCGAAGACUUAACCGAUGUGCUUGAUUACAGCUUCGAUGACAUCGACGGUAUGGACGACGAUGCCGAGGAGAAGCAGGGCCAAAACCCGCCGCUUACCGGACGGUGGACGACCACUUCUUCAUAUGAUGUAUACAUGGUGGAUACAACUAAAGAAACUAACAACGAUGACAAAGAGGAUCCAGUUAAGGACAAACCCCCUGAGACACAGCCUCGGCACCGGCGUCAGCGGCGCCGGUCUAAGUCACGUCAUACAAAAGACAACAACACUGGCACCAGAGAAAAUAAUACUCCGGACGAAGCCGAAGACAAUGAAGACCCUGUCGGGGCAAUCUCCGGACAGGAUGAACGCGAGGGCGGUCAUGUUAGCCCUGAUGAACAGGCCAUACACAAAGACUCGGAGGAUAGUAAUUAUCUUCCGCUCUCCGAGGAAGAGGAGAGCCUCGGCAACGAGGAAUUCAUCGUGCCUGAAGAACCUCUCGAGCAAGAGCGCUUUAAACACCGGCUAAUAGCCACUGCAAGGAGCCUGAAAAAGAAGCAGUUGCAGCUUCACGCUGACCAGGAUCUGCUCAAUGAUAGAUGGACCGAAGUUCUGGCCGCCGAAGAAUACGGCCUCAACGGCCCAGCCAAAAAUUACCCGAAGCGCAAAUUGUUAUCUCAGUUCGAUGACGAGGCGCUGGAGCACGUACCAUCAUCGCACAACGCGGCCAACCGACCGCCACGCGGUCAGGAUAAAGCGGCAACUCAAGUCGAACACCGAACCGCCCCACCUCGCCGUGAAAGCAAGAAUAAAACAUCUCGGGGUUGUGCAUAUGACCGUCAACAGUACUUGGACAGUAGAGCAUGACACACAAUAUCGAUCUAUGGAUCGCGAGGCCGUGCCUCGACACGCGACAACGGCUACCUAUUCGGACGUGACAGAUCUAGCCACGCCCAGGCUGAAAACUGUAAACAAACUCCGUCGGAGGUACGUCGCAGUGUGGCCCAGUAUAGAGGCGCCGCACACCCUCUUUGCUUCACAGACGAAGUAAUGGAGCAUGAAUUCCCAGACGGGUUUAAACCCAUGAAUAUCGAAUCAUACGAUGGAACAACGUAUCCCACGGUAUGGAUCGAGGACUUCCUCCUCCAUAUCCACAUGGCCCGCGGGGAUGACCUUCAUGCCAUCAAAUACCUACCAAUAAAACUCAAAGGACCAGCUCGGUACUGGUUAAACAGUCUGCCGGAAAAUUCUAUUGGCAGCUGGGAAGAUUUGGAAGACGCCUUUCGUGACAACUUCCAAGGAACAUAUGUCCGGCCACCGGAUGCCGAUGACUUAAGCCACAUUGUCCAGCAGCCCGGAGAGUCAGCCAGGAAGCUCUGGACUAGGUUCUUAGUUAAAAAGAACCAAAUCGUCGACUGUCCGGACGCGGAAGCCCUUGCGGCCUUCAAACACAGCGUCCGGGAUGAAUGGCUUGCCCGCCACCUCGCCCAAGAAAGACCUAAAUCCAUGACAGCCCUUACCGCUCUAAUGACCCGCUUUUGCGCGGGAGAAGACAGCUGGCUCGCUCAUAGAAGCAACAGCGCCUGCGGCCCGGGCACUUCCGAAAUUUGAGACGGCAAUGGCAAGCCACGACGCAGCAAACACAAAAGUCGCAAUGAUAAUGAAAGAUCACGCGACACAACGGUCAACGCCGGAUUCAGCAGUCCCCAAUCCGGUCAACGGGAAAAGCCAUUCAAGGCGAACAGAGACGGACCAUCCAAUCUAGACAGGAUAUUGGAUCGACCCUGCCAGAUUCACAGCCACCCCGAUAAAUCAGCUAAUCAUACCAACAGAAGCUGUUGGGUCUUCAAGCAGGCCAGCAAGCUCAACGCUGAACACAAGGGGAGGAGGCCGCCCGGCGAUAGGGACCACGAAGAGAUCCACCAACCAAAUACCGGGGGUCAGAAGCAAUUUCCCCCCGAAGCAAAAAUAGUAAACAUGGUAUACGUGACACACACCCCUAGAGGGGAGCGCACGAAACACUCCCUCCGUACAGGAGAUCAUACUACGGCUACCUCAGCCGAACUACACAGCGGCCUUAUCACGCCGCAUACCACGUCAGCCAUCACGCCGCCGGUCUCGAUUCAACAUGACCGAUCAAUGUCCAUAUUGGACUAGCAAUUCGGCUUCCGCCGUUCGCCUAAUAUGCCUCGAAGUAGGUACCGCGCAUACAUAAUUAUGCACUUGAAAUACCCUGGGCAUCGGCGGAAGCACAAUACGGGUGUGCUGCAACCCCCCUACUUUUCUAACUGCCCCUUUUUUCCUUUUUAUUAGCCCCUUCACAGGUAGCUCAAGGGCCGGUCACCCCGAGGACUCCACCAGGGUUCGGGUUCGUACAAUCAUCCAAGGGUUAUUCCUGUCAAGGAAUCCCUUAACCGAGGACAGGCGGCGCAGACGUGCGACAGGAGGUCCAAAAUAACUUUUUGUAGACCGAGCUCUCUAUUCCUAGCCUGUAAAGUGCCUUUUUCCUCAGCCUUCGACCCCUAGCAUGUCAAAUAGCCAGGGUUGCGGCUUUGUUAUCUAUAUAAUAAUUGGUAUAUCACUCAGCUCCCAGUACAUGUAACCAGUGUCCAGUAUUGACUUUUUCCUAAUCGACCCGAAUUUUUGCUCAUGAGGUUGUUUUACACACACACCUCGGCAUAACUCGCCAGGGGCUCGGUAUGGGAACAAAUGAGUUGCCGGCAAGUCCGAACAGCUUUAUAGCAUACUUCGGCGUCGCGAGUUUGGCCUUAUAUGCGUCAGCUCCGAAUCAUAUCUUGGGUCAAUAGUUGGGUUGCCCGGCUCCUGUGCUUGCUACCCUACGUUCCACUCUAUCGGCUAGGGUAGUAAAGGGAGAACUACUGCGAUUGUGCUUCCGGUUCAUCUGGUCAAGCACCUCAGUUGAGAAAGCCGAAAACUGACUGUCAUGAUGCGGCGAGAGCUGGUCAACCACUCAAUGACUUAUUGGAAUCUUUAGCGAUUCUCUCCGUGUUAUACGAAGGUUCUUUUUUAGAUCAUCUGUACAGCGCAUCGUACUAAAAAUAAGCCGCGUACAUACCAGGGGCUAUAUCCUAGACCCACCAUAAAACUCUUAUGGCUUAGUGAAAGUGUUAACGCCCUAUAGUCUGAUUGCCUGGUUCGCCGCAUUGUCACCUCCUUCAUGGACCAAGACAUUGGGUCAAGCGUGAUCAAAUGCUUUUCCAAACACCCCCGUACUUCCUACGAGGGGGCUGAAGCCGACGACUGGAAAACUUUCAGAUUAUAUAAAAACGGCUGUGCAGGAGGAACAAAAAGCCUUCGAGCAGAACAUAAAAAUAGAUUAAAUAUAAAAUUGUCUUUUACAAUUCCCUUACACCUCACUCGAAUACUAUGUCUUUCGAGCAUUGACCCUCUAUCAAGCGGGCAGCCUCUAAGACGCCUUCAAAAUAAUGCUCCGGUGCGUGAUGGUCCUUGCCCUUGGGUGGACUCUUCGCUGCAACAUCGAUGGCCUUCAUCUUCCCCCAAUAUGUCUUGACACGGGUAAAGGCCAUCCGUGCACCCUCAAUGCACGCCGACUGCAGUGUCGAUACGUGGCACCGCAUCAACAAGCCGCUGCACCAAGCCGAAGUAGCUAUUCAGAAUAGGCUCAGUCGGUCACAGCCGGAUCAUGACGUUCUUCAUGACAGUGCCAGAUAUCCUAUGAAGCUCGGCCCAUUGGAAAAUCUGUUCAUUCAGCAAAAGAGGGCGCUUUGACACGCCAAAUUGUGACCAGAAAAGCCUCUCCAUUGCAUACCCCUCGCGCGCUUGGUAAAACUGCGCCGCAUCAGAAGAACUCUUCGGCAAGUCUAAAAACUCGUCCGGAGAACUCCACACUUGGUUAAGCUGAGCAUAGUCCGGAUCGCCGAACUUAGUCUGUAACAAAAAGGGCUUACCGGCCGCAAUCUCCCCAACUUGCCGGAUCUCCUCACGGGAUGCUCUGGAUUCAGACCGCGCUUCCCUCGCCUCUCGUAAGGCCUUGUCAAGUUCAGCCGUUUUGGCUUCAUUCUCCUUCUCAAGAAAUUCACAGCGGCUAGUAGCAUUUUUUAGUUCGAGCGCCAUUGUGGAUACUUUCUCCUCGUCUUGGCACCGAGCAGCUUGUUCGGCCUUUACCUCAGCCGAUGCCUUCUCGGCAGCCGCAUUACUAGACCGGGCCUGCUCCUUGGCUCGGGCCAGCUCCGCCCAAAGAAUCUCAAUAGCGGCGGCACCAUCUGCAGCCAUGCAUAUCCCAGUAUGCAACUUUCAGGGUCAUGCUUAUAUUAAAAACAUGUAUGUAUAAGGACUGCUCCGAAUACAUACCUUGCGACUCGUCAAGACGCAUAUUGAUUAACGCAAUGUCAUCCCCUGGCAGAUCAAGCUUCCGCUGCAGUUCGGCAAUAUCCGUAGUCCGGGAAGUUGCCAGGGGAGAAGCAGCCUGUGUUCCACUUAACCGGAUUAGUCCUUGAGUGUUUCUUCUUGAUCCUCCGUUCGCCUCCCAUGGGAAGCCAACCUGAGUCUCAGGGGCUACUACCUAUACACAGGUGCAUUUUUGCAAGUAAAAUAUAGUUAAAAAUAUUACAUCAACAAACCUCGAAGCCUCUUAGCAGGCUCAUGAAGGCUUCAUUCAAUCCGCUUUUCACGGACAGAACCUUCUCAACCACCGUACCCAUCAAGGUACGCUUUUCCUCUGAGACAGAUGCUUUUCGCAGCAUAUCCCUCAACAUAUCCGGCGCCGCCGGGUCUCCGGAAGCCGCUGUAGGAGCACGACCAUCCUUCGAAGGAACCUGUUCACCCGUCUCCAGAAUCAUCGUUGGCAGAAAACCGGAUAGUCCACGGCCUUCAUUGUUGGCCCCCGAAUCCCGGACGACCGGAGGUCUACCUUCAGGUACUGCCUCUUUCAUCCCCCGCACCGCUUGUUGAUCAAGAAAAAUCCUCCGAGAUGACACUUCGGAGUUGUCCGCCUUAGUGGGCGAGGAGGUCGGGGGAGGCGUCUCGCUUUCCAUCAUCUCCGGGAGGAGAUCCCCCAAAGAAGAGGAUUGCCCAGGAAAACUCUGUGGCGAACUGUAAAAACACACACGCACAUUACAUGUCUCUUCGAUAACAGGAAAGGAACGGGAUGCGAUCAAAGCACCCCAGAUUCACUUACGAUUUGGUCAAAGGCUUGUCCUCACCAUGGAGCAGUUCAACGGCGUCGCCUUCCAAUCCCGAGCCGCUCGACGGUGGCAUCUUGCCCCUCUUGGGAGGCCGCCCCUCCCAACCUUCGGAGGUGGCCCUUUUCUUCCUGAAUGGGGAAGGGGUACUUGCUUCCCCUUCGCCUUUGUCUUCGGGCGAAGAAAUGUCGAUUUCUCCGGACGCGGUAUCUAAUUUACCUUCGGAAUGAAGGUCAUCUUGGGUCUUCCCACUUUCCACCUUACCCUCCUCUACCGGCGCCUGGUACGGUGCCGGUACCAGCAUCCUUGUUAACACAGGGUCCGCUGAGUCUUCGGGAAGAGGGGCCAGACACCUAAUCCGUUUCACUUUCUUUAUCCAGCCCUGGAAAAAGAUGGUUUGCUUAUUGUCUUACCACAGGAUACCUGAUUAGGAGGUGUUCAGCGGACGGAUACUUACCGUGGUGUUCGGAUGGUUACAGUCAAGGCCGAUGUCUUCGGUAGCAUCCAACCACUGUUUUCGUUUCCCGAAGAAUAAUUUCCACAUUCCUUCGUGCGUACCCGUGGCCCUUCUGGGUUGAACUCCCACAUGCGGAGGGGCCGUCGCUGACACGGCAUGGUCCGACGGACUAGCAUUACCUGAAUAACAUGGCCAAGAUCGAUAUCCUUCUCAAUGAGGCUUCGGAUGCGGCUCUGCAGAAUACGCACUUCGUCAACUGGUCCCCAGUCCAACCCCUUCACUACAAAAAAAUGACACAUCCGUGACAUUUUGGGCCGAACGAAAUUUUUUUCUGUCAUACAUAUGACACUUCUAUGACGAUAAUUGUGACAAAACCCGGUAUCAUCAUAGAUGUGGUGGGCUCCUACUUCUACUAGUAGACCGCCCGUGUGUUGCUACGGGCUACAAUACAAUGCAUAUAAAUGAAUUAAACAAAUGACUAAAGUUGUCUUCAAGGUCGAAGCUCAUUUCUUCCUUGUAUAUUUGGGCAUGUUUGGACAUCAAACGGACAGCCGGUAGACUCUCCAAAUUCAGCUGUGUGGACAAUCGCUGCAACAUAGCUAACACUUUAUUUGCAAUCAACCACUCUCUUCCCAUCACAUCCUUUCUUCCUAUCAUUGUAGCCCAAUUGUUGAGCUCCCUCCGUAGUCACACAUUUCCUCACACCGCCAACCCGUGAACCACGUUGGGGGACACCAGAAGACAACCGUCCUUAUCGUCGCCCUCUCGCUAGGACGGACAAAGAGCGAGGCAUAAACAUACACAUACAUAAAUUAAUUCAUUAUUUCAUUAACUGAUUACUUAAUAUGAUGUCUUGUAUCCUCUACAUGGACAAAAAAUACAAAAAAAAUAUUAUCUUCAUUCUACAGAAUGAAAUUGAAAACUUGUGAACAAAAUCACAAAUAAGUGUUGAAAAGUAAGAAAACAUGAGGAUCCUUAAAUUGGUGCUCCUUCCCAUAUACAUAGGUCCCCUAUCAAAAUACUGACAAAAAAGAGAAGUGAUUAAUGCCCGUCUCAUGGGCCUCGCAUACUUGGACAGACGAUGUAAAUGAAAUCCAUAUAUUAGCUAAUUAUAAGGUGCUUCCAAUCAAAAGAAACCAUUUAUAAGGGAAGGGGCUACUACAACUUGUACAGUCCUGAGCCACCACGCUACUAACACACUCAUUGUCCAGUGUAUGCAAGUCAUCUCUUCCUCUCCCCAUCACAAGUGACAUGUUCAAACUGCAAAGUCGAUGGAUUGGAUCCUUCAAUGCGAAGACACCAAAUUUUGAACUCCAAGGUGCAACCUUGCAGCCUUCACAUGAUGCAGUAUAUUGGCCAAGGUAGCAUACUAUCAAAUUUAGAUCCGAUUAUAUUUUUAUACCUCUCAUAACAUAGAGAUUGACAAGAUAUGAUGAUUAUCACUUGAGAAUAUAUACCAGCAACAAAAACAUCCACAAAAUAUAAACACAUAUCACUUUUAAAAAGGUAAAACUUUGAGACACAGCAAAACACUAUAUGCCUAGAUGUAAAAAAUGACAAAAGGAGAAUAGGAAUAAAUAUGAAGACGUGUAGUAAUUGAACAGGAGCUCACAUGCUCCUUGAUGAACUAUAAAAUCCGAAAACACAGUAAAAAUAUAUAAAAAAAAUCUGAUUUUUUUAUAAAAAAUUAUGAAAGUUUUAACUUCUUGCAAAUGCUUUUGAUGAAAUGACAUUCGUGUAGGUCUGGGCAAAAAAAAUCGACGAUCCAAAAGAUUUGCUCUCGGAAGCAUUUUGGAGCAUCGAUUUUUUUUCUUUUUGUCAAGACAUCCACCAAUGUUAUUUCAUCACCAAAAUUUGCAGGAAGUUCAAACUUUCAUUGAUGUUUAAAUCCAGAAUUUUUUUGAAUUCUUUAACUAAUUUUUUGGAUUUUACUGUUCAUCAAGGAGAUUGUGAACUCGGGAUCAAAAGAGCACUUUCGUAAAUAUGAGUGGAAUUAAAUAGAGCUAAGAGCUAAUAGCUUAUGUACAUCUGGAGAAGCCAAUAUUGUAAGUUUAGUGCAAGGAAGUUUCUGCGGAAAAUGAAGUUAUUUAGUAAAAAUGAUAUCUUUUUACGCUGUGCCAUCCAAUCCCCUAACACUCAUUAUCAUGGCUCAUCCAUAUCUUUCGGUUUCAACAGAAUAAAGUGACCGCUAAUUAGAAGCUCACCAUCUUCCCUGAACAUUGCAUUGUAAUUUCUAGAUUGAAAUACCUAUGAGUUUGCCAUUUCUUAUGAUAAAUGUAAAUUCUUAGUACUAAAUGAUAAUUUUGUUCAUAAUUCUGCAUUAAGUUUCUAAACCAGAAUUUUGCAUACAUACACAAAAUAGUUAUGUAAAUUUUGUUAAGUGACAAAACAUGGUAAAUAUGGAAGAUGGUAGAACCUGAAGUACAUGAUUGGAGAUAAUUCAAGUGUUUGUAGCCAACAAUUCUGAACAUGUACACACACUGCUGAAUUGAUAGGAAGCAAAACUCACCGGUGGUCUAAGACUUCUCAUCACCAGGCACAUCUCCUCCUCGCGUGAACGGCCUCCAGCGUCGCCAAAGCAAUAACCUCCAGCUCAUUCUUGGCCAUAACCUUCCCACGGUGUGGUACGAGUAUGAACCAGUGGCGGAGCCAGAAAAUAUCUAUAAGGGAGGCCAAGUGCUACUAAAACUGGUUGGGGAGGACCAAAGUGUUGAAAAUAGAUUUUUAGCAGCAAAUUAGUACUAAUUUUGCCACUGUUCAUAGCAAAUUACAUGCAAAAUCAUGGUGUUAGGGGGGCCAGGGCCCCUGCUGGUCCCCCCUGUCUCCGCCACUGGGUACGACCUAGUGAGACCAGCUUAGGACUUUGUACAACUAAAAUCAUUAAGUGGACAGUUGAUCAAGCACAAACAUAGACAUGGAGAGAGAAGAAUAAAAAUUCUAAUAUAUUCACCUCAUUGUACCAAUCAUCGUCUUCGUAUUGUCCGCAAUGAACAUUUGUUUCACCGGGAAGUGGACCCCCAAAUCUAUUGGCUUGUCUGUCAUGAACCCUCGCCACAGAUGGAUUGCAAGCUAUAAAUUUAAGUUUUCAAAAAGGAAAUGUCAUGAGACCAUUGCCCAUCAGAUCUUCAUUGCACCACAGUGAACACAUGAGAAGCAUCAAACUCACAAUGGACUUGCGUGGUUGGUCCAUGCAUCCGUGGUGGGUUGCUUCUUGGGUCCUCUGAUGAUAACAUUCCCAAACAACAACUCUGCGUCCUCCGGCAUGGUUGGCCACAUGCCCCUUUCGAGGUCCAGUAUUAAGGUUGGCCUUCGGGCUGUGGGUACAAAAAUCUAUAUGAAUUGUUAAAAAUGCAAAGAAAUCAUAAAUAUGAUUCAUGCAUAGACACCUUGCUGGAGAGGACAAUCUGACAGAGAUGGAAAAGAGGUGUGAAGGAGGGAUUCUCCUGGCUGUCAUUUUCAUCGCCAAGGGUGCUAGUAUAGGGAGGAUAUGGAGGAGGUACUCGUGCUCACCGCAGGUGACCAUCCCCGACUGGCCAUGAAUCAUCUCCUCGCAGUGUGAUGGAACUGACCAUCCCCAACCGGCCAUGAAUCGUCCUCGCAGGUGAUCAUCCGCGACCAGCCAUGGAUCAUCCUCGUAGUGCGAUGGAACUAACCAUAUACAAAUGAAUUGAAAUAGCUAGAAAAUAAAACUAAAGAUAUUUUUAAAAUAAAUAAUAAUCAGUAAGAAGAAUGGUGUCAAGGGAGGGAGGCUGGAUCUAACAUGCAGCGGAGGACUGAUCAUUAUGUAUAUACUUUGGUUGUGUUAAACAGUAGAAAUGUUUAAACAUUUGACCAAUUUUUGCCCUGUUAAACAGUACAUAAAUAUAACGUAUGAGCAUGUGCGGCGGAAUGCUCACUAUGUAUAUAUUUUGGCUGUUCAGCAUUGAGAAGAUGACACUGAUCCAAAAUGAUUAUAUCAAUUUAGCAUCAUUUGUUCAGAUGAUGCGGAAAUAUUGUGAGUAUAGAAAUAAGACAAAUAUGACAUAUAGUACACUAAAUGAUGCCUUGAAUUUCAUAAAAGUCUGUUGGCCAACUAAUCAACAACGAAAUUCUAAAAUCAACCAAGAAUUCUACUCUGCACUCAAAUCUUCAGUUGACCAAAUGAUAUAUAUCAAGAUAAGAAUAAUGUACCAUGAUGCAAAAAAAAAGAUGGAACCAAUAUGCUACAGGAAGUUACUGAAACAACAAAGCAAACAUGAAUUAUAUCACCUAGAGUGGUCAUCAACAGUGGCAGCAGCUUUUCCUUCAACGCACUUGGUAAUAUAGCAGGCAAUCUAGACACUCCAUGAUUAGUUUCCAAAUCCAUAAUUUUAAUGAGAGAAAACAAGAAUGGAAGCUACAAAAUGUAUCCAUAUCUACCUAUGGGCAGGCUCACGGGUACUGCAGAUUGUGUCAAAAAAUCGUACUCUCUCCCUGUAUUAAUUAGUAUGUUAUUUCUAUAAGCAAAUUAGGCAGCGGCAGUGCCUCAAUAAGAAUAAUUAUGCCAUUCAAAAAUAAUAAGAAGAAUCAUUAUACAGGACACAAUGGCAUACAUGGCAGCAUGAAAAUCACGGCUCACAAGAUUGAGAGAUAUACAUACCAAGAAAAAGACAAAGAAAAGCUGAAGAACCGCACCUGCAUUAGUGCAUGGUCCCGAGCACGACACAGAUAGAGGAACGCCCUUGAGGUCGGGGCAGAGCGAGAAUCCUACCAGGCCAGAGGCAUGCUCCAAAUCAGGGACGCAUGCGUGCAUACUAACUGUACAACCAACAAUUCUGAUCCAUGAGGUGUCGUGCAGCCACUGUGCGAAACCGACAGGCUCAGCCACGGUAUGGAGCACACUUAUCUUCAAAUCCCGACAAUCAACAUUGUCGCCACACUGGAAGAUGCCAAGACAAUUCUGAACCUGACGUCCUGACCCGAUGGCUUAUGAUUUUGCUGUUCUUUAAUCUCUACAUCCCAAAUCAACUCUGGAUCAACCAAAACAAUAAAAAAAUAUUAGUAAAUACUAAAAGGGAAAUUAAUGGCCGAAUUUGGAUAUUUCUAUAUGCAUCAGACAUGCAAAAGUACUGAUUCUAGGCACAUGAAUCGUACAUUUGCAUGCUUGGACGGACUGGUUGCAUCAAAGAUAAUUAAGCUCUCAGUGUUAGCAAGUAUAAUGCUUAAAUACUGGCAGAAUCAUAUGCUAGUUCAACCAAAACAGCCGAGAUGAGACGGCAAGGAAGCGGGUCAGUGUUGUACCUCAAGGAUUUUCCUUCUGAACAAAUUCAGCAAAAUAGAUUACCUGGCAUAUAAUCACCCAGUCGCUCCCAAGGUCCAAAGGCACAGGAGACGGCGACCGGGACCUUCGCAAGAGGCCGGUCGUGGUGGCGGUCAGACGUCGAUCCCGCAGCUCGGCAAAAGGUGGCCAUGGCUCGCGAGGCGCAAGUGCGCAGUGCAGUUAGGGCAUCCCGGAUCGAGGAGGUUGAGGAGGAGGCGCGACGCUCGCGCCACAGACGACUGGUGACGGACCAGAGUUGGCGGAAGGAGAGGGCCAUGAAUCAGGGCGAGCUACGGCCGCGGAUGAACAAGGGUUGGAGAGAGAAGGAGGAGAACGGAGAGGAAACAGGAGGCAGGUAGGUUGCGCGAGAUCUCCGGUGUGGCCCUCAUCGGCGGCGGGGCUCCCGGCCAGAUCUACGUAUGGUGGGGUGGGGGCUCUGGCAGGAGGUAGGGAGACGGAACCGCCCCGCCGCUUCUGUCCCUGGGCGCGGCGCGGCUUCGCCGGCCGGCCCUCCGGCAGUGGCGUUGCGGGGAGCGGUGGGGGCGGAGCGGGCCUUGGGCGGCAGCGCGGAGUGUGGCGGCUGGGCAAACCCUAGCGUUGUUUGAGAUCGAGGGGAGCCUCGUUCCCGUCGGAGCUCGAGGGUUUUUUUCGUUGGUUUUUCUUCGUAGGUUUUUUGUCGUUCAAUUCUCUGGCGUGCGAGGGGCAUCGCUCCUUCUAAGGUGGGUUUUGGUUCUCCGGUUUUGGUUGAGAUUUUUUGUUGAGGUGGGAGGUGGGAGUGAGGACGAAAAAACCCGGACGAAAAUGGUGGGACGAAAAUAAACCCGGAACGGAGACUACCAACUAAGACAUUAGGAGUAGAGAUGACAAAAAAUCAUGACAGAAAAUGGGCUUUUCGUCCUGGGCAGGCCGGAGACGCAGCUGCAUGACAUUCUUUGGGUCGUCCAUGACGGAAAAAACUGUGGUAGAAGCGAGGGCGAGGAAAAUUUCGGGGAGUUCCCGGUUACGGUGGGAGGUCGGGGGCCGAGCGAUGCGCGUUUCUCUCAUACACGUACGCGCGUGUGUGCGAGGCGUUGGCUCUAACUAAACCCGAGCGAGGCGUUGGCUCUAACUGAACCCGAGCGAGGCGUUGGGCUCUAACUGAACCCGAGCGAUUGCACUGCAGGCUACGCGUUACUGAACCCGAGCGAUCGAUCGAUGGCUGUUAACUGAACCUGAUCGAGCGAUUCCUUCGCUACUGCUGCUAACUGAAGCCGAUCGAUGCUGCCUCUGGGAUGAACAGUGAGCGUUGCGGGGGGGUUUGGAUGAACAUUGAGCGGUGGCGUUGCCUCUGGAUGAACAUGACCCCGUGCUGUGGUGGAGGGCUGGAUGAACAGUAGACGAUGGAGGGGUGCCCGUGGAGGGGUGGUUGAACAGGACCCCGUGGUGUGGAGGGCUGGAUGAACAGUAGACGAUGGAGGGGUUCCCGUGGAGGGGUGGUUGAACAGUAGCCGGUGGAGUAGCGCGCGGUGGAGGCUGGAUGAACAGGAGCCCGUGGAGGCUGGAGGAGGUUGACGGUAGCCCGUGGAGGCUGGAGGAGGUCGACGGUGGAGAUGAACAGUAUCCCGUGGAGUCCCGUUUUGCGGUACGCCACACCCCUCCCGAUGAACAGGACCCCCGUUUCGACCGUAGGAGGUCCGUUUCAUCCGUUUUGCGGUACGCCACACCCCUCCCGAUCAAGAGGACCCCCGUUUCGACCGUAGGAGGUCUGUUUCGUCCGUUUUGCGGUACGCCACACCCCUCCCGAUCAACAGGACCCCCGUUUCGACCGUAGGAGGUCCGUUUCCUCCGUUUUGCAGUACGCCAGACCCCUCCCGAUCAACAGGACCCUGUUCCGAACGUAGGAGGUCCGAUUCCUCCGUUGUGCGGUACGCCAGGCCUCGUUUCCAUCACCUGUUCCGUCCAAGCCCUCCCGAUGAACACGACCACGCAUUCUGUUCCGACCCAGCCGGUUGGCUCCCACGCGUUCCGUUGCCUCCCGAUGAACACGACGCAUUCCGUUGCCUCCCCAUGAAUACGACACAUUCUGUUGCCUCCCCAUGAACACGACGACGACGCUGUUUCUUCGUUCCGACCCAGCCAUGUACACGAGCCCUGGCCGUACGUAUGCGCGAGUAGGCGUUCGAGACCCCGCCCGUAUUUACACAUACGUGGCCGUAUUUUCUUUCUUGCACCCUGGCCGCUGUACGUACGUGUACAUGCUACGUCGCGCCUCUACUACGACACGUACGCGCCUCUACUACGACACGUGCGCGCCUCUACAUCCACCAGUAUAUAUGUACGUACAUGUUUGCGACCAGAAUGACAACGCUACGUAUGCUUCGACCAGGUGGGUCCCGACCGUCAGGCACUUCCUAGCCUGCGAAGAUGUAGCUGGUGGGUCCCAGCAGUCAGGGGGGCGAAUCAUUUUUUUGCCCGGACGCACUUCCUUGCGUGCGAAGAUGUAGCUGGUGGGUCCCAGCAGUCAGGGGCAAACGUUUUUUUCGCGAAAUACGGUGGCCCGUCCGGUGGGUCCCUGCUUGUAGAUGGAGGAAUAAUUAUUUUGCACGUAAUAAGGAGGCACUUCCUUGCUGCGGCAGUGGACCCAGCUAUCAGCCUCUCCACGUACAGUCCACGUCCAAUGGAAGCCGUUCCUUGACCACGUUGACCAUGCUGCGCCGAGAGCACCAGGGCGGUGGACGACGGCGAGGCCUAGCAAGGGGACGACGCGGAGCCGGGGAAGAUGCGGCAGUGGAUCCCCACACGUAGAGGAGUACGAGGGUUCACUGGUUCGCUACGGUGUGAGGCUGCCGUCGCCGUAGAAUAACAGGGGGUGUGGGUGAGUAGAGGGAUGGCCUGGCCAGCGGUGGGAGUAGUAGGGGGCGGUGAGGCCUCCGCCGCAUCGCAGCCGGCCACGGGAGGCAGGAGAACGAGGCACGACCGGCGCUGGUUUGGGCGGCUGGAGCAAGAAGACCAGAGGUUGAAGAAGCACUACGGCCGUUGGAUGGACAUCGUACGGUCACCGGAGCUAGAAUCGUGCAUAUUGACUAAGUUGACAAAGCCCUCCGUCUCCGUCAACUUAGUAGGCCCACAAGUCAGCCUGCCACUAUACUGGGUCCCAGCUAACAGUGGGAGUAUUCAUUUUUUAUGCGUAAUAAGGAGGCACUUCCUUGCGUGCGAAGAUAUAGCUGGUGGGUCCAAGCUGUCAGCGGCGGUAACGUUUUUUUCGCGAAAUACAGAGGCCCUUUCGGUGGGUCCCUGAUGUCAGGUGGAGGAAUCAUUAUUUUGCGCGUAAUAAGGAGGCAUUUCCUUGCGUGCGGCCGUGGACCCAGCUCUCGGUCUCUCCACGUACAGUCCACUUCAGAUGCAUGUCGGUCGUUGACCAUGUUGACCAGGCCGCGCCGAGAGCACCAGGGCGGUGGACGACGGCGAGGCCUACGAAGGGAACGACACGGAGGCAGGGAAGACUCGGGAGUUGUUUCCCACGCGGAGGGGAGUACGACUGUACGAGGGUUUACUGGUUCGUCUGCCGUCGCCGGAGAAUAACAGCAGGUGUGGGUGAGUAGAGGGAUGGCUAGGCCAGCGAUGGGAGUACGGUGGGGCGGUGAGGCCUACGCGGCAGCAGAGCCGGCCGCGGGGAGGAGGGAGCAGGCAGUCCCGCCGGCGCUUGUUUGAGCGGCUGGAGCAGGAAGAGCAGAGAUUGAAGAAGCACGGCGGCCGUUGGAUGGCCAUCCAACAGGCACUGCUUGUGCAUCAACCUUUUUUUAGGAAAGCCUCAAAUCUAUGAAAAAGAGCAUACAGCCCAUCUGCCAUUAUUUCUAAUAAUUUAUAGCCCAUUUGCUAAUUAUUAAGGUUUUUUUGGAGCCCAUAUUCUUUUUGUUAGCAUUACAGCCCAUAUUGUGGCCACGGUUAAAAAAUUAUACGAAAUUUUGCAUAUUUCGGUGCGAUCCGAACUGUUUUUAAUCCCGAAAUUUCGACUCACAUUCAAACUGAUUUUAAAAAUAAAUGUAUAUCGAUAUAAAAUCCAACAAAUUCUCCACGCAUAAAAAUUAAUGUAAUUUAAAAUCUCAAAAUGAACAAAAAAGAUAUUUGAAACUAAUUGCCGGUUUGAUGUGUUUUAAAAAUGUACAGCCCAUUUCUCAUUACUGAUGGGCCAUUUUCUCGGCCAGCCAAAUGAAAGCUCUCCUCGUCUUGAAGAUUUGCUGCCCAACAGGCCUGACAAAGCGACUUACUUGGCAAAUCACAAAAAAACUGGGUUGUGGCCAUGGACCCAGCUGUCAGCCUCUCCACGUACAGUACUCUUCCGAUGGAAGUCGUUCCUUGACCACGUUGACCACGCCGCGCGGAGAGCACCACGGCGGUGGACGACAGCGAGGCCUAGGAAGGGGACGACGCGGAGCCGGGGAAGACGCGGCAGUGGAAGCCCGCGCGGAGAGGAGUACGAGGGUUCACUGGUUCGGCUGUGGUGUGAGGCUGCCGUUGCCGCAGGGCCUGGCCAGCGGUGGGAAUAGUAGGGGGCGGUGAGGCCUCCGCGGCAGCACAGCCGGCCACGGGAGGCAGGAGCACGCGGCACGACCAGCGCUGCUUUGGGCGGCUGGAGCAAGAAGACCAGAGGUUGAAGAAGCACUACAGCCGUUGGAUGGACAUCGUACGGUCACUGGAGCUAGAAUCGUUCAUAUUGACUAAGUUGACAAAGCCUUUCGUCCCCGUCAACUUAGUAGGCCCACAAGUCAGCCUACCACCAAGGUGGGUCCCAGCUAGCCGGGGGAGUAUUCAUUUUUUUGUGCGUAAUAAGGAGGCACUUUCGAUGGGUCCGAGCUGACAGCGGGGGGAACGUUUUUUCGCGAAAUACGGUGGCCCGUCAGGUGGGUCCCAGCAGUCAGGGGGCAAAUGUUUUUUUCGCAAAAUACGGUGGCCCGUCCAGUGGGUCCCUGCUGUCAGUUGGAGGAAUCAUUAUUUUCCGCGUAAUAAGGAGGCACUUACUUGCUGCGGCCGUGGACCUAGCUGAGACUCUCCACGUACAGUAUACUUCCGAUGGAAGUCGUUCCUUGACCACGUUGACCUUGCCGCAUUCCGUUGCAUGCAUGCGUCCAUGGGCGUGGUGCGUCCCCACUGUCAGCCUCUCACGUACAGUCAUCUUCCGAUGACUCUCGGUUGUUGACCACGUUGACCACACCGUGCCGAGCGCACCCAGACUGGAACGACCCGGAGACGGGGAAGACGGGGCAGUGGAGUCGCAUAUGGAGAGGAGUGGGAAACUUCACUGGUUCGGGUGCACGGCAGCACAGCGGCGGUGCCGCCCACGGGAGACAGGAGCAAGAAGAGAGGUUGAAGAAGGAGCACGGCUGUUGGAUUAACAUCCAACGGUCCAGCUGCUAGAGCCAUUUGUUGAUUAAGUUGACAAAGCCGUGCGUACACGUCUGCUUAGUAGGCCCACAAGUCAGUCACCAAAUCUGACGGGUCCCAGCUGUCAACGGGAUGAAUAAUUCUUUUCGCAAAACAAGGAGGCCUUCCUUCCAUGCGAAGAUACAGCCGGUGGGUCCCAGCUGUCAGGUGGAGGAAACAUUUUUUCAGCUUAAUAAGGAGGAACUUUCCUUGCAUGCGACCAUGGACCUCGUGGGUCCCAGCCAUCAGGCUCUCCACAUACAGUCCUCUUUCGAUGACUCUCGUUUGUUGACCACGCCGCACUGAACGCAGCGAGGCGGUGGACGACGGCGAGGCCCCGGACGGGAACGACUCGGAGAUGGAAAAACGCGGCAGUGGAGUCGCAGAUUGAGAGGAGGAGAAGGGUUAUAACUGGUUCUGUUGCGGCGUGGGGCUGUAGUCUGUGGAGAAUAACAGGAGGUGUCGAGGGGUGGAGGGAUAGCCUGGCCGGCGGUGGCGUAGCGCUUCGCAGCGAUGCAUGCUAAGCAGAGCCGCUAGCCGCCGGAGGCCGGACCAGGCGGUCCCGGCGACGCUGGAGGAAGAAGACGAGAGAUUGAAGGUGCAUGCCGGCCGUUGGAUAUAAAUCCAAUGGCUGUGGAUGACACAAUCAUUUGUUGACCAAGUUGACAACACCCUGCGUAGGCUUCGACCUAUUGGCCCACAUGUCAGCCUGCAAAAAUGUGGCAUAUAUUUAACCCAUGUUUUCUAGAAUAUACAGUCCAUUUGCUGGGCUAGGUGAACAAAUAAUUCUGCGUCAAUCAGGCCCAUUUAUAUUUUCUAAGAAAUCCCAACCCAUUUGCACUUCCUUGAAAUACACGUAUUAGGUGGGCUCGUUAUAUAUAUAAUGUUAUGUUAGAAGGAGCAAUUAAUAUCAAAGAAUAAACUGGAGAGCCACAUUUUUUAUAUAUAUGUAAUUAAGAAAUUAGCGAGUUAUUGCUCAAAAUAAAAAUGAGUGCGUUAUUAUUAAAUUGGUCCUUAAAAUCUUCGCAAGCUUUUGUACGCAAUCACCAGGAUUUUCCUUGCCUGUGAGUCAAAAACAACCAGGAUUUUCCUUGCCAACUUCCGUUAAACAUUUACUUUUAUAAGUUAAUAACACGUGGGAUGUUUUUAUAAUGUAUAUAUAUAUAUGUCUCUAUAAAAUAUACGAUAAUAGUAAUAAUAUAAAUAUAUGUAAUGUGGUUAGAAGGGAAAACAUAAAUUGGACACAACAUUACUUUUAUAAGAGGCCUGCGUUUUAUACCCCACAGUAGGCAUACUAACAAGUUCACACACAAAUACAACAGAAAAGGUAAACAUUCAUAUCAAACUCAGGUUCACAGGACACGUUCAUAUUCAUAGCCAACAUUCACUAUCAACAACUGAAAAGAUUCAUAUAUACACAAGCUCAGCAUAUCUAUGCAUCCAAAUGAUUGAUAGAUCACACGACAAUAUUCAUACAUAAUUCACAAAAAGAUUCAGAUAUACACAUGUUCAGUAUGUUUAUGCAUCCAAAUGAUUGAGAUCACAGCCAAUAUGAUCCAUGGACGAACUUUAAUUACCUAGGGUACAGACUAGUAAAUGGUGUUCAAUCGGAGGUACUUCUUGCUAAAAUUAGUUCUCGUACGAGUAAACUUUCGAGUACAUAAGAGGCAGCACAGACAAUCUGAACUUUGCUUGUAGGUUUAUCCUCAAAUAGUGGCCUCGUGCCAAGGGAGGUUUGAGCAACUUGGCCACUACUUUCAUCCAACUAGUUUACUGGCUCAUCUUGGUCCUGUAUCUCGCCAAAAUUCUACAUUGCAGACGAGAAACGAGGCGGUUGAGAAAAUGAACCACCCACUUUUUUUGUGCAGUUCAACUGAAAUGGAGCAUCCUUGGUGUGCAGACUAAUUAAGUGCCAGAUGAAUAUACGCGUCAACCAACUUGUAUGGAAUCUUUAGACUCCAUGCCAUAUAGUUCGCUACCAUACGUGCCGAUAACCAACAGGCACAAGUUGGGACCAAAGACUGGACUGCGUUUUUCUGGGCUAUGCACCAAGCAAUAUUUUUGGCGUUCACUCUCCUAAUACUUGGAGUUUGACAAUUGGUUGACGCCGGUUGAUACUCGAAUGAAUAUAGGUACUUCUUGUCAACAUCGAUGCUUGUCUGAGUGAACUUUGGAGUACAUAGCAGCAGCAUAAGUACCUGUCCAUCUGAUCAUUUUGUGCAGUUCUACUGAAAUCACCCGAUGUAAUGAUUUGCCUGCGAGUUCAGGCUCCAAAUUACUCCUUUAUGAAAUCGGCAAACAGUAGCACAAUACCAAAUUACCAAUACAUAUGACAGGCACAAUAAUCAGGAUAAAGACCAGUACCAACCUGUGUGAGGUAGCAUAUCAAUUACUAUUUCCUUUGACUGGAAGCCGAGAUAAGCCAAGCGACUGACAGCAAAGGAAGAAAGCAAGCGGAGAUUAGCGACUGACAGGAAAGGACGGAAGCUAUCGAGGCAAUGAAGCACCCAAAGUUUUUGUGCAGUUCCACCAAAAUUGAGCAUCCCCAUUGGCACAUAUAUUGAGAGAGUGAGAUUACUGUAAUAGUGGGACUAGUUGAUGAAACAUACACUAACAAAUAGAAGCACCCUCAUUAUCUUAAUGGGUAAAGUUAGCAACAUAGUAGUCUUGCUUAAAGAGAGGUAUUAGUUUAUUUAAUCAGUGCCAAUUAGCUCAACUCAACACUCAAAGCAUUGCCAUUUAUCAUAGGUUGCAAAACUUUAACGUGCAAAGAUAAAGGAGUUUCUCAUGACAGUAGCAUGAUACAAAUAGAGAUGACAGCAAACUAAUAUGGAUGAAGGCCUUAGGCCCGUACCAACCUGAGAAAAAAAGCUUAUUCAUGUAGUCUCAUAAGAGAUGAUAAAGCACUCACUGGAAUCACACAAUAGUAUAUAUUUUUGUGCACUUCAAAUGUAUGGUUGAAAUCACUCUUGUUUACCAGUGCUGAGAUUAUAUCGAAAGAUUAUCAAGAACUUCCAGCAGAGUAAAAGCACUGGCUGGGAUACAGUUCAUUGUAUUGUCUUGUGUAGUUCCACUAAAAUGUAUGAUUGGCACAACAUGAUCCCUGUUUGCUCAAGUAGGAACAAGGUGAAACCUUCAUUAGCUUAGUGAGAAAGGAUAGGAAGACAUUAGCAUAUUACUCAAACAGUAGCAUCAAAUUCAUGAUGGACAAUACGCAAAACAUUGCCUCAUUGAACCAAUGGAAAUAAAUUGACAUGCAAAACAAUAGCACUAUUAUGUCAUGACACUAAUAAUAUUCCCUCCCUGCUCCACCACAUGAUUCACCUCCAUAGACAAACAUACACACGUACAUGAUUCAGCAUAGGGUCCUACUAAAGAUUUGUUUAACUCCAACAGGAAAAUUAGGCAGCAAUAAAUUAGUGGUACUUAAGUACUCCUAAUUAAUUAAGUGAGACAGCAGAAGUGGAAGGGCUCCCUGGAGGAUCGUCUCACAUGUAAGGUAGUCGUUGCCGGAGCCCUUGAAUGGCCUCGACUGAGGCCUCUGGCUUCAGCAAGAUCGCCUUGGCACUGUUUAUUCUUCUUCUUCCUCUUCAUGCUCUGUUUCUCUUUCUCCUCGCCAGUUGGUGAAACCAAGUACAUGAUUGGCCUUCUAGUUCAGAAUUGGUUUUGUCAGUGAGGGAGUACAAGUGUACUAGUAAAAAACAGCAUUAUUUUCUCAUGGCAGUCGGAAAAUAGAGAUGAACACAUGCAUUAAAUAUCAUUCUUACCUAAAGGAAGGUUAUGGCGGCAAUAUGGAUGAUGAAGAUUGGAACACAGAUCUCCCUUUGUGCAGUUCCACCAAAAUGAACCAAUUGUUCCAUUCUAACAUUCCAGUUAAACAUCACAAAAGUCACUUCUUUUAAGAAGAGUUUUGUGCAGUGCACCAAAAGGUCACAACAGCAACCAUGUGAAUUGGAUAUCCCUGUUUGCACAAAAAGGCACAGAGGAAAUAGUCAGAGUCUCAAACAAUUACAGGCAAAAACAUUUGGCUAAACUUGUCAUGGCUUAUAACAGUGGCAUGGCUUAAUUUUUACCAGGAACAUUAGAUUAAGAACAGCUAAGGCUACGUUCGGUUCACAGGUUUGGUGCAGGAUUUUCGUAGGAACACAAUUCCUACGGUAUUCUUUCCCUUCCAACCGUUCGGAACACGGGAAAGGUGAAUAGUGUUUCAUAUGAAAGCUGGUCUGGUAGUACUGAUUCCAUGGAUUAGAAACAUCCACACACUGCUCAUUUUUUGGGCGGAAGCCCGAGGCAGGUGCUCGCUGCCAUGCGUUAGACAGGUUGCUGUGCUGUGUUUCCGGAAUAAAAAAAUCAACCUAUGUGUGGUACGUGAGGUCAGGACAAGAGUAGUCACUGUGCAGCUGAAUAAACAAAUAGCAUCUCAUACUGCCAAGCAUGCUACUCUAAAAAAACAAAUCUGUACAUUUCGUAGUCCAUCUGAACACAUUCUCUUGAGAGUUUCCUCCGGUUCGCUGUUCCAUAGUUUUAUACCUACAUUCCUUUCCUAUUUCUCUAUUUUCAUCAAGGCCUAUGUUUUCUGCCCCUUUAUUCCGAAUGGAGCCUAAAUAUUUGGUAUAAGGGCAUGGGACAGUGGAUGCACCAGCAGUCCAGCACCAUAUACGUAAACAGGGGCAUAAAGUGGUGAUUCAUAGUUUGUUGCCCCGAGAAACAAACAUCCAAGAAACAUAUCUAGGUUGGUCUCAUUUUUGUUCACUCUAGCCACCUACUCCUAUGUGUGGAUAGCAAAUCUAGUCCUGGUCAUACCACUGUGUACAGCGUUACCCCUAUAUUUCCCUUUUCGACCAAGAGACCGGUUGGAUGACCAGUCUGUACUACUUUCACCCCCUUUCCUUCCUGUUUGUACCAAGUCCGAUGUACAUUCUAAAUUCCCCCACCCCCACUUUAUUUCUUGUUUGAACCAAGUACUCCCUCUGUCCAGAAUUACUUGUCAUCAAAAUGGAUGUGUCUAGAACUAAAAUACAUCUAGAUACAUCCAUUUCAAUGACAAGUAUUUUCGGACGGAGGGAGUACAAGAUUCGACUCCAUGAAGUAGCUUUAACUCUAAAAAUAGAAGAAGAAAAAUAUGUGACAUUGGACCAUCCGAUCGAGAGGGGCUGAGAGGUAGAAAAUGAUGCACAUGCAGCGACGUAGCGAGCUGGGGAAGUAGAGCUAAGGCGGUUUCGAACGAAGAUAUACCUGAAGGUCGUCGGGAUGUGGAUAGGUGGGCGGCGGGAGGCCGGAUCCGCCCACAGGCAACGACGAAGGGAUCGGAGGACCUCCCGCGCCGGUGCUCGGCCAGAGAUAACGGUGCGGCCGACAGUGGGUCUCCUCCCUCGCUGUCCACGACGGCCUAAACGCUGCCCCUCCUCCCCUUCGCCGGCGGAGGGGGAUACGUCCGGAUAUGUAACCAGCGCUGAGGAUAGAAAGCCAGUGUUUUUUGAAGGGAGAAAGACAGUGUUACUACCCCUAUCUUGUUUAGAUCUGGAGAGGAUGAGAGUGUGUGAAUAGAGCAACCCUAGCAAGCAAGCGCGGAGGCUCCGGCCUAUAUAUACGUAGUGGGGUAGUUUUCCUUUUUCACUCCAUCAAAACAAUCAUUUAAAAUUGUGUACUACUACAUGCCAGGUCGCGGUUUUUUUAGUUGUUGUUUGUUAUUUGAGAUAGCUACCCGCUUGUUCCAAGUGGUGUUACGGUGUGCCAGGUCACACUUUGUAUCGUUCAAGUCUGGUACUACAAGUCCCUCCAUUAAAUGAACAACCACCCCCUCGUAAAAAUUGUGAAUAAGCCCACGACUAAAAUUAGCAGAAACGUGGGUUGCCCCAACAUGCAUUAUUAUUUAUAUUUUCUACUCCCUCCGUUCCUAAAUAUAAGUCUUUUUUAUAAGCCACACCUAAGACAAGAAUUUUUUUAUUAGCAGUAAACCCCACAUGUCAUAGACACAAAAAUUGUGGCAAGAUUCCCUUAGGCAAGCCAAAGUGUGUCUAACAAUUUGAGCAACUCAGGUUAGGCAAGUGUGGGAAAAAUAAUGUGGCAACAUAAGACAAACAUAGUCACAAUCCAAACAGCCCCGUAAUUUUUUGUGACAUGCAUGAAAAUUUGGUUAGUUAAAUUUAUAGUCAAAAAUUGGCAACGUGCAUCAAAUCAACACAUGCAAGUAUCAAAAGGAAAGUCACGGCAUGCAUGCAUGCGUUGUACUCCCUCCGUUUCCAAAUAUAAGUCUUUUUAGAGAUUGCAACAAGUGACUACAUACGAAGCAGAAUAUGUCUACUCCUACAUAUGAAGUAGCCCAUUUGAAAUGUGUAAAAAGACUUAUAUCGAGUGCAGUGCUUUGAUAUGUCGCGUCAACUCGUACAAGACCGAGAAAUUUGAUUACUACAACGCCCUCCCCCUCGCGGACCGAGCUCCGGUGCCUUAACUGCACCUGCCUUUGGCUGCAUGACAGGAGGGCCAACCACCUGUUGGGCCCACCUGUCAUAGACGCAAAGGCAGGAGCAGUAAGUAGAAGCUUUCACUACACGCUAUCCCUCCCGCACGAGGUGGACGGACAUGCAGCAGUGGAUUCAAUACUGUAGAAGUAGGAGUAACAUCAUUGUUUGUCUUCUCGAAGAGGCGAAGAGCCAAGCGCAACCCGAACGUGGCAGUUGCGAACGCUCGCGUGGUGCGGUUCCUUGGAGUACUAGCCAGGCUCUUGCAUGAGACAAAAUUGCUAUUGUUUAACAAUUAAACUCCAUUAUCCAUUGGUUGAUACUCAUUCUGCAUAGGUCCACACGCUUAGCACCGUUUCCUCCUGGGGUCACCAAUGUUUAUUUGCUAAUUAAUAGCAUUGCAUGCAAUGAACUAGCCAUUGCAAGUCGUUAAAACCAUGCACACCUCUCAUCUCUUAGUGGUUGAUAUGUCAAGAAACAAGAAACAAGGUAGAAGUUAAUGCACCGCGCCUAAGUGUUUUGGGACUAUUUGGUUUUCGUAAGAUGACUUACACACCUAGACGGAGGGAGUAGUAUAGCCCUGUAAACCGGAAAGGAGUAUUUGCCUUUCUAGAGAUUUCAACAAGUGACUGGACUACACCGUGUGCAGUACUCCCUCCCUUCCCGUUUAUAGGGCUCAAAUCUCAAAUCUCAUGAACCAAGGCAUUUUGCGAUUGGAGGAAUGUAUCUCGUACUUUACAAAACUACCCUAAUUAAACUCAUGCAUUAAUUAUGUAGUUCUCUCGUUUUCCUCUCCGCCUUGGUCACGGUGCACAAUAUUGAGCACUCCUAUAUGACUGGCCGCUCUAUCUACAUGCGGGGCAUUUCAAAGCAUCCGGGCCCGCAUGCCAUCUACCAAAUCACAGCGAGGUGCUAUAGUCGAGACUCACCUGUCACCCCGGUGUGGCCGUCAUGACCCGUCAUAUCACAAAACCCACACCUUUACCAGCAGUGGUAAGGUGGCCUCCUAGUUCGACUGGACGAAGCAACCAUCAUUUCACUGGAACGCUCGUUCAAGCCCUUUCUUCCCUUUCUUGAAGAAAACCUCACUCCAGGCUACUCACUUCUGCCAUUUUUCUUCUGUACCACGAAGGAAAGGUGGGCGAAUCAGUUAUGCUGCUAUAUUUUCAUUCCAAUAAUCUUCUUUUUGCGAAGCACCGACCGAUUCUCACAUCCUAUUCUUUUCCCGUUUUCAUUGCGAUUGUGGUUUCCUUUUGAUUGCUUUUUGUUUGUCAGUUCAUUGAUGGAUCCUGGAGCACGAGGCAAAGAGUUGCCGGCGGACAACCCACUGGAGACAGCGAUCUCCAGGAAGUGAGCACCGACCAACGAGUUGACCAUGUUAGCGGGCCAACCCAUGGAGAUGAAGAACUCCAAGAAACAAGCACUGGCCAAAGAGUUGAGGACGUUGGCGGACGAACUCCUCAAAGAAAGUUGGAAGAAUAGCAAGGGCCCCACCGUGCCUACCCCAGGAACUCUGAUUGCCACCUAUGUGAGGCUCAAGACCGAGUUUGAGGAGAUAGUCGCCGUUGAGAAGCAGUAUUCCCCUGGCAAGGUGAUGGCCCCCAUCGAGCACGAGAAGAUGGCCCCCGGAGGGAUGAGAUCCCCCAGUGAGCUGCACAAGGUAAAAAAUAAUGGCUUAUUACCAUAGUUGUGGUUUUUGAUUAUUUGCAAUGUGCUUGCUAAUAUGUUAGGGUUGUGCAGGUGCCGGUGGACGUCCUUGAUGAUUCAGAUGUCGUGGCCCGUCCUAUUCAUCCACCCCCACCGGGAACUGUUCAUCCAAACCCCCCGAGCAACGCUCACUGUUCAUCCAGAGGCAGCAUCGAUCGUCUUCAGUUAGCAGCAGUAGCGAAGGAAUCACUCCGGUUCAGUAACGUAGCUAGUGCAAUCGCUCGGGUUCAGUUAGAGCCCAACGCCUCGCACACACGCGCGUACGUGUACAAGAGAAACGCGCAUCGCUCGGCCCCCGACCACCCACCGUAACCGGGAAAUCCCCAAAAAAUUCCUCGCCCUCGCUUCUACCAUGGUUUUUUCCGUCAUGGACGGCCCAAAGAAUGUCAUGCAGCUGCGUCUCUUGCCCGCCCAGGACGAAAAGCCCAUUUUCUGUCAUGAUUUUUUGUCAUAGAAGUAGGAGCCCACCACAUCUAUGAUGAUAUCGGGUUUUGUCACAAUUAUCGUCAUAGAAGUGUCAUAAGUAUGACAGGAAAAAAAUUCGUUCGGCCCAAAAUGUCACGGAUGUGUCUUUUUUUUGUAGUGUUAAUAGCCUAUCCCAAGCAUUUUUCAAAGUUUCAUCAAGCAAAUAACGGAAAAUUCCAGGGUCAUCUUCAUCAAAAUUAUUCAAACUCUCAUUGAUAACCCCGGUAGGUCUUUCCAUAGCAUCAUUAUUUAUGGGCUUAGAAAGGACAGAGGAACUAUCCAAAGUAUUAAAACCCGGGAGAAAACCCUUAGCCCCUUUUGGUUCGGCCAUGGUGAUAGAAAGACAAAGGUUUUUUAAGAUCGUUUUAGAAGUGGGGGAGAGGAAAACGAGAGGCGAAUGGCAAAUAAUGUAAUGCGAGGGAGAAGAGUUUAUGAUGGGUACUUGGUAUGUCUUGACUUGACGUAGAUCUCCCCGGAAACGGCGCCAGAAAUCCUUCUUGCUACCUCUUGAGCAUCGUUGGUUUUCCCUUGAAGAGGAAAGGGUGAUGCAGCAAAGUAGCGUACGUAUUUCCCUCAGUCUUUGAGAACCAAGGUAUCAAUCCAGUAGGAGAUUACAUGCAAGUCACCUAGUACCUGCACAAACAAUCAAGAACCUUGCAACCAACGCGAUAAAGGGGUUGUCAAUCCCUUCACGGUCACUCGCAAAAGUGAGAUCUAAUAAAGAUAAUAAGAUAAAUAUUUUUGGUAUUUUUGUUGUAUAGAUUGGAAAGUAAAGAUUGCAAAAUAGUAAAACGAGAAGUGAUGUAAUUAAAAUAGAUGCAAUAUAAUAAGAAAGAUACCCAGGGGCCAUAGGUUUCACUAGUGGCUUCUCUCAAGAUAGCAUAUAUUACGGUGGGUGAACAAAUUACUGCCGAGCAAUUGAUAGAAAAGUGCAUAGUUACGAGAAUAUCUAGGCAAUGAUCAUGAAUAUAGGCAUCACGUCCGUGUCAAGUAGACCGAAACGAUUCUGCAUCUACUACUAUUACUCCACACAUCGACCGCUAUCCAGCAUGCAUCUAGAGUAUUAAGUUCAUAAGAACAGAGUAAUGCAUUAAGCAAGAUGACAUGAUGUAGAGGGAUAAACUCAAGCAAUAUGAUAUAAACCCCAUCUUUUUAUCCUCAAUGGCAACAAUACAAUAUGUGCCUUGCUGCCCCUACUGUCACUGGGAAAGGACACCGCAAGAUUGAACCCAAAGCUAAGCACUUCUCCCAUUGCAAGAAAGAUCAAUCCAGUAGGCCAAAUUAAACCAAUAAUUCAAAGAGACUUGCAAAGAUAUCAAAUCAUGCAAAUAAGAAUUCAGAGAAGAACCAAAUAUUAUUCAUAGAUAAUCUUGAUCAUAAAUCCACAAUUCAUCGGAUCUCAGCAAACACAUGCAAAAAAGUAUUACAUCGAAUAGAUCUCCAAGAGUAUCGAGGAGAACUUUGUAUUGAGAACCAAAGAGAGAGAAGAAGCCAUCUAGCUAAUAACUAUGGACAUGAAGGUCUGUGGUAAACUACUCACGCUUCAUCGAAGAGGCUAUGGUGUUGAUGUAGAAGCCCUCCGUGAUCUAUUCCCCCUCCGGUAGAUCGCCGGAAAUGUCCCCAAGAUGGGAUCUCACGAGUACAGAAGGUUGAGGCAGUGGAAAAGUGGUUUCGUGGCUCCCCCUGAUGUUUUUAGGGUAUAAGAGUAUAUAUAGGCGAAAGAAGUACGUCGGUGGAGCUCGGUGGGGCGCACGAGGGUGGGGGCGCGCCUACCCCCCUAGGCGUGCCCUCCUGCCUCGUGGCCGCCCCGCGGAGUUCCAGACUUCAACUCCAAGUCUUCUGGAUUGCGUUUGUUCCAAGAAAGAUCAUCGCGAAGGUUUCAUUCUGUUUGGAUUCCGUUUGGUAUUCCUUUUCUGCAAAACACUAAAAUAGGCAAAAAACAGAAACUGGCACCGGGCCUUCGGUUAAUAGGUUAGUCCCAAAAAUAAUAUAAAAGAGCAUAUUAAAUCCCAUUAAACAUCCAAAACAGAUAAUAUAAUAGCAUGGAACAAUCAAAAAUUAUAGAUACGUUGGAGACGUAUCAAUGGCGGUCGGCAUCGUCUAGUUAGCUAAGAGUAAGUUAGUACUUGUACACUACUAGAGUAUUACUGGGAGUAGAUAGUUAACUUGGCUAUGAUGGUUGUCAACGUGGAAGUUCGGUACUCUAUAUCUGGAUCAGACCUGUUACUUUGCUCUCAAUGUUGAACUUUCCGUUUGAACGUAUGAAUGGGCUGUUAUUUUUCUAAAUGUGUUGUAUUUGUCCGCCACGGGUUUAGAGGCUGAUUUGUGGGCCUACUAGGUUGACGCGUAAACAAUCAGGAGAUGAUUGUACGUGGAGAUGAUGACAGCUGGGACCCACCAGGGUCAUGGCAGUACGCAAGCAAGUGCCUCCUUAUUUCAAGCCAAAAAAUGGUUCCUCCUAAUGGAUUUCUCGCAUGUGGGUCUCAUGACAUUGUCAACGUAGUCAAUAAACGAGAGAAUUGCACAACGAGCGGCUGACACCAGGGACCCAACAACUCGCCUUUUCUUUUAUGUUUACCACAAGACCAACCCAGUGGUUUUCUUUCUUUCUGAAAAUGGCUAGCCCGGUUUUUUUGUUCUUUUGCAGAAUACCCAACCGAGGCCUACUUACUUUGUCAGCCCUGCUGGGCUGCAAAUCUUUCAAGACAAGGAGAGGUUCAUUCGGCUUGCUCAGAAAAUGGGCUAUUAGUAAUGAGAAAUGGGUUGUACAUUUUUAAAACACAUCAAACAGGCAAUUAGUUUCAAAUUUAUUUUUUUUCAUUUCAAGAUUUUAAAUUCCAUUGAUUUUUAUGCGUGGACAAUUAUUUGGAUUUUAUAUUGAUAUAAAUUUAUUUUUAAAAUUAGUUGGAAUGUGACUCGACAUUUCGAGAUUAAAAACAGUUCGGACCGCACCGAAAUAUGCAAAAUUUCAUAUAAUUUUUUAACCGUGGCCACAAUAUGGGCUGUAAUGCUAACAAAAAGAAUAUGGGCUCCAAAAAACCUUAAGAAUUAGCAAAUGGGCAAUUUAUUAGAAAUAAUGGCAGAUAGGUUGUAUGUUGUUUUCCACAUAUUUGAGGCUGACUUGUGCGCCUACUAUAGGUUGACGCAUACGCUUUCCUAAAAAAAAGGUUGACGCACACGCUACGCCGUGUCAACUUAGUCAACGAACGAGAGCAGUGACUAUUGGAUGUCCAUCCAAUGGCCGUUGUGCUUCUUCAAUCUCUGCUCUUCCUGCUCCAGUCGCUCAAACAAGCGCCGGCGGGACUGCCUGCUCUCUCCUCCCGUGGUCGGCUGUGCUGCCGCGCAGGCCUCAUCGCCCCCACCUACUCCCGCCGCUGGCCUAGCCAUCCCUCUACUCACCCACACCUACUGUUAUUCUCCGGCGACGGCAGGUGAACUAGUCAACCCUCAUACUCCUCUCCGCGUGGGCAUCCAGUGUCGCGUCUUCCCCCGCUCCGCGUCGUCCCCUUUCAGGCCUCGCCGUCGUCCACCGCCCUGGUGCUCUCGAUGCGGCAUGGUCAACGUGGUCAACGAACGACAUUCAUCGGAAGUGGACUGUACAUGGAGAGGUUGACAGCUGGGUCCACAACCACACGCAAGGAAAUGCCUCCUUAUUACACGCAAAAUAAUGAUUCCUCUACCUGACAGCUGGGACCCACCGGAAGGGCCUCUUUAUUUCGUGAAAAAACGUUCCCCCGCUGACAGCUCUCUUCGCACGCGAGGAAGUGUCUCCUUAUUACGCACAAAAAAAUGAAUACUCCCCCUGCUAGUUGUGACCCACCACAGUGGGAGGCUGACUUGUGGGCCUACUAAGUUGACGCAGAUAGAGAGCUUUGUCAACUUAGUCAAUAUGAACGAUUCUAGCUCUAGUGACCGUACGAUGUCCAUCCAACGGCCGUAGUGCUUCUUCAACCUCUGGUCUUCUUGCUCCAGCCGCCCAAACCAGCGCCGGUCAUGCCGCCUGCUCCUGCCUCCCGUGGCCGGCUCUGCUGCGGCGCAAGCCUCACCACCCCACCCUACUCUAACCUCUGUCUAGGCCAUCCCUCCACUCACCCACAACCCCUGUUAUUUUGCGGCGACGGCAGCCUCGCACCGUAGCCGAACCAGUCAACCCUCGUACUCCUCUUCGCGUGGGCAUCCACUGUCGUGUCUUCCCCAGCUCUGCGUCGUCCCCUCCCUAGGCCUCGCUGUCGUCCACUGCUUUGGUGCUCUCGACGCGGCGUGGUCAAUGUGGUCAAGGAACAGACUUCCAUCGGAAGAGUACUAUACGUGGAGAGGCUGACAGCCGGGUCCACGACCGCAGCAAGGUAGUACCUCCUUAUUACGCGCAAAAUAAUGAUUCCUCCACCUGACAGCAGGGAUCCACCGGACGGACCACCGUAUUUCACGAAAAAAAUUCCCCCCUGACUGCUGGGACCCACCAGCUACAUCUUCGCACGCAAGGAAGUGCGUCCAUAUUACGGGCAAAAAAUGAUUCUCCCCCUGACAGCUGGGACCCACCAGCAAUAACUUCGCACACAAGGAAGUGCCUCCUUAUCCUCCCUGAUAGUCAGGACCCACCUGGUCGAAGCGUACCUAGCAUUGUCAUUCUGGUCGCGAACGUGUAUGUACAUACUGGUUGAUCGGUCUGUCUGCUGGCUGCAGCGAUGAACCGUGGCUGAGUAAGGAAGGGCACGUGUCGUAGUAGAGGCACAGACGUAGCAUGUCACGCAGUCCCGUCAAUAUCAUGUACACGUACGUAUAGCCAGGGUGCAAGAAAGUAAAUACAACCAUGUACGUACAUACGGGCGGGGUCUCGAACGCCGACUCGCGCAUACGUACGGCCAGGGCUUGUGUACAUGGAGAGCCAGCGGAGAGCAGCGACGGUGUCCUGUUCAUCGGCAGCCAACCGGCUGGGUCAGAAUGGAGAAACUGCGUCGUCGUGUUCAUCGGGAGGCAACAGAAUGCGUCGUGUUCAUCAGGAGCCAACCGACUUGGACGAAACAGCCGAAACGAGGCCUGGCAUACCGCAGAACGGAGGAAACGGCCUUGUGUUCGACCGCCUAUGGUCAAGAAACGGGAUCCUGUUCACCGGGAGGGGUCUGGCGUAUCGCAAAACGGGGUCCUGCUGAUCGGGAGGGGUGUGGCGUACCACAAAACGGAGGAAACAGACUUGUGUUGGAGCGCCUACGGUCGAAACGAGGGUCAUGUUCAUCGAGAGGGGUGUGGCGUACCGCAAAACGGGACUCCACGGGCUACUGUUCAUCCACCUUCUACUGCCUCGCUCCAGCCUCCACGGGCUAUUGUUCAUCCACCGUCGACUUCCUCCAGCCUCCACGGGCUACUGUUCAUCCACCGUCGACUUCCUCCAGCCUCCACCUACUACUGUGCAUCCACCGUCGACUUCCUCCAGCCUCCACCGGCUACUAUUCACCACGGGGUCCUGUUCAAAUAGCCUCCACCGGCUACUGUUCAACCAGCCCUCUCCAUGGGGUCUUGUUCAACCAACCCUCCACGGGCUACUGUUCAUCCAACCCUCCACCGGCUGCUGUUUAACCAGCCCUCCACCGACUGCUAUUCAUCCAGCCCUCCAUGGGGUCCUGUUCAUCCACCCCAACCGGCUCGAUUGGGGUCCUGUUCAUCCAGCGGCAACGGCCUCUACUACCACAGGGUCUUGUUCAUCCAACCCCCAUCAGGAACUGUUUAUCCAACCCCCCAACGACGCUCACUGUUCCUCAAGAGGCAGCAGGUUUGAUCGGCUUCAGUUAGCAGCAGUAGCAAGGAAUCGCUCGGGUUCAGUUAACAGCCAGAUCGAUCGAUCGCUCGGGUUCAAUAACGUGUAGCCUGCAGUGCAAUCGCUCGGGUUCAGUAGGCGAACGCUUUGCUCGGGUUCAGUUAGAGACCAACGCCUCGCACGCGCGUACGUGUACGAGAGAAACGCGCAAACCUUCGUGCAUCGCUCGGCCCCGACCACCCAUCGUAACCGGGAAUUCCCCGAAAUUUUCCUCGCCCUUGCUUAUGCCACGAUUUUUUCCGUCAUGGACGGCCCAAAGAAUGUCAUGCAGGUGCGUCUCUGCCCGCCUAGGACGAAAAGCCUAUUUUCUGUCAUGAUUUUUUGUCAUAGAAGUAGGGGCCCAUAACAUCUAUGAUGAUACCGGGCUUUGUCACAGUUAUCGUCAUAGAAGUGUCAUAAGCAUGACAGAAAUUUUUUUCGUUCGGCCAAAAUGUCACGGAUGUGUCUUUUUUUAUAGUGUAUCUCUACUAGGAUUCCUUCCUUUUUUGGCUUCCCUAGCCACAUGGGCUUUUGAGGACUUGGUGCGCCUAGCCCAAUAAGGCCAGGGCGCCUCCCCGCAGCCCAUGCUAGCCCUUGAGUCGUGCUGGACCAACUUGUGGACUUCCGGACCCCUCCGGAAUCCUUCGGAACCUUCUGGAAGCUUCCCGGUACAAUACCGAAAAAACUGCAACUUUUUCCGGAACCCAAAAUAUGACUACCUCUCAACCAUUCGGAGAGUCCUUGUGAUGUCCGGGGUGUCAUCCGGGACUCCGAACAACAUUUGGUUACCACUCAUCAAAUAUCCCAAUACUACUCUAGCGUCAAUGAACGUUAAGCGUGCGACCCUGCGGGUCCGGGAAUUAUGUAGUCAUGACCGAGACACCUCUCCGGUAAAUAACAAACAGUGGGACCUGGAUGCCCAUAUUGAUUCCUACAUAUUCCACGAAGAUCUUUUAUCGGUUGAACCUUUAUGACAACAUACGUAAUUCCCUUUGUCUGACGGUAUGUUACUUGUCCGAGAUUCGAUCAUCGGUAUCUCUAUACCUACUUCAAUCUUGUUAUUGACAAGUAUCUUUACUUGUUCCGUAAUACAUCAUCUUGCAACUAACUCCUUAGUCACUUUGCUUGCAAGCUUCUUGUGAUGUGUAUUACCGAGAGGGCCCAAAGAUACCUCUCCGUCGCGGAGUGACAAAUCCCAGUCUCGAUCCAUGCCAACCCAACAGACACCUUCGGAGAUACCUGUAGAGCAUCUUUAUGAUCACCCAUUUACGUUGUGAUGUUUGAUAGCACACAAGGUAUUCCUCUGGUAUCCGUGAGUUGCAUGAUCUCAUGGUCGAAGAAACAUGUAUUUGACAUUAAGAAAGCAGUAGCAAUAAACUGAACGAUCAUAUGCUAUGCUAACGGUUGGGUCUUGUCCAUCACAUUAUUCUCCUAAUGAUGUGAUCCCAUUAUGAAAUGACAACUCAUGUAUAUGGUUAGGAAACAUUAACCAUCUUUGAUCAACGAGCUAGUCUAGUAGAGGCUCACUAGGGACACGGUAUUUAUUUAUGUAUCCACACAUGUAUUUAAGUUUCCGGUCAAUACAAUUCUAGCAUGAAUAAUAAACCUUUAUCAUGAUUAAGGAAAUAUAAUAAUAACCAUUUUAUUAUUGCCCUCUAGGGCAUAUUUCUAUCAUGUCAAUAGGAAGAUGAAGAUGAAGAUGAAUGAACGCAUCAAGAGGAGCGAAGCAUGUCAGUGUUUAGUAUUUCCUUACCUGUUUAGUAAUUCAGUGUCAAUGCCAUGUCAGUGUCAAUGUUAUGUAAGCAUCAGUGUCAGUCAGUUUCAGUAAGAUCAAUGUCAAUGCUAUGUUAGUAUGCAGAACUAUGUACACCAUGUAAUGUGAGUUUCAGUUAUAUGCAGUAACCAGUUACAUUCAGUCCAAAAAUAGAAACAUUCAUGCCACAUUCAGAAGUUGAUAAUUCAGGUACAAUUCAGAGCAUAAGAUCUACUCAUAACUGGCCUCCAAAACUACUCAAAUAGAUGGGCAUUUUUUGCUAUUCAGUGCUUCCUUGUAUGCAACAAGACUGAAUACACAGUGCUUUGGUAGGGCUGGUUAUGAGCUCGACUGUGAGUUAGGUUGAGAGGCAGUUUAAGAGCUCUGCUUGGGCUCAGAUAUCUUGAGGGCUCCAGACUUUCUCCUUAUCUGCAACUUCAUAGGUGUGGAUUGAACAACCACUGCCUUACAUUUCAAGUCAGUAGCAAUUACUUGAGAAGUAGCCUGAAAUAAACAAUUUCAGAUAUAGAAUGUGGCAAACUAAUUCAAACACUACAUUUAAAUUGCGAACAUAUAUUUCAACACCAUAGGUCUGUCUGUUUUCGUAGCCUUUUUAGUUUGAAGAGCUUCAAACACCUCCUUAUCAUGUUUAUUUCUCUUCGUAGAUUCUCUCACCAAGUGUGCAUUGCCAUUAUGCUUUCCUGCUUCAUUGUUUUUGCAAUUGCUUCUAUUGUGGCCAAUCCUUUUGCAAGCACUACAUGUGAUCUGACCACCAACUUUGCUCAUCUUAGUUCCUUUAGUUUUUCCCCCUUUCCUCUCUCCUCCUUUCUGUUUUUUGGCCUUCCUGGCAAACUUAUGUGACCAGGGGGAUGAAGUUUUGGAUUAGGUGAAAUGGUCCAGCUCCCCCUCCCUACAAUGGAUUUAAGCAAUGACCAUAUAUCAUGUUGUACACUUCAGGUUUUCCCCCUUUCUCUGUCCUAAGCAAACUUGCUACAUCUAUGAUUAGAGUAUGUUUCAGCAACUACAACUUGUAGUACCUCAUGUCUUGUAUGUUUCAGCUCCAUUUGUUUCUCCACAAAGAUCUCUGCAUAUUCCCCAUCUGGACCUGCAUGCACCAUCUUCUCAACAGUUGCAUCAUCAUCGAGAAAGAACAAACCAUCCCUCAAUGUUUUUCCUGGAACAAGCCAGUGCAUUUUAUAACUGAAUUUGCCCUUGCAGUGCCCUCUUUCCACCUGGUACAUAUAUUUUGAAUGUAGUAAUAACUCUUGAUAACCCAAUUUGCUUCUGUCCACAAAUAGCCUAGCUAUGAGUCCAUCAUUAUAUACUACAACAAAUACCCCAUACACCAACGCAUAUCUAGCAACGAUCUUAACAUAUGUGUUGUUGGGAUCCACCCCCAUCUCCCCACGAAGGGCUAACCUCCCCGUACCCACCUCACCUUAUCUGCAUCCCCUCCAUCCAAAUCACACAAACGAAAAUCCAUUUUUCCCCACCCGGCCACCUCUCUCCCCCUGAUUCCUCUGUCUCUCUCGCACCACAGCGUUGUCGCCGCCAACUCCGAUCCCAGGAAGCUCCAGCGGACUCCAACCCACUGCUCACGGUUCUGCCCCACUCCAUCUAUGUUCUCCUCUGUUCCUUCGCCUGAGGCCACCGCGCCCCUGCACGCGUGGCACGCAACAACCCUAGCCGCCACGCGUCGCCGGCGUGGCUCCGGCAGCUCCGGUUUAUCGACCCACUACCCCUGCGGCCCUGCCUCACCUCACGCGCGGCAGCACGCUCGAGCUUGACGUUGGUAUUCCGCCUCUUCUACCUCAACUCCGGUGUUGACGUUUCUGGUUCUGGUGUUUACACGCUCGAGCUUGACGUUGGUAUUCCGCCUCUUCUACCUCAACUCCGGUGUUGACGUUUCUGGUUCUGGUGUUUAUUUGAUUAGAUGUGAUUCACCAUGUGUUGAUCUGUACUAAUUCUGGAUGAGUACUCUGUUAUGCGUUAUGGUUAGAGUUUCCUCCUCCUAUUUAGAUGGAUCGAUGGAUAAUUAAGUAUUUUUUCAAGUGAAAUUAAUCAUUACAUACUAGCAUGUAGCAUGACCUGUUCAAAGAUCAGCGCAGUUUUUUCUUAUAAAAAGAGAUCAACUUAGUUCCAAUUGGAGUGAGAUAGUCGAUCAGCGAUAUAUCAUAUGUGACCAUGUAUGUCACUGAAGAACAUUACUACAAAAAUCAACAUGUCAGUGCAAUUAUGGGUCCAUGAUACUGGCAUGAUUAUUUCAAAUGGAGAAUCCCCAUCUCAAUAGGCUGAAUCGUUGUUUACUUGGUGUCACAUGUACAAUAUACUAAAUAAAUAAGUCCCACUCGCAUCGGUCUGUCCAAUUAUUUGUCUUUAUUCUAUAACCCUUUGCUCCAUCUACACUCACAGGUUCUGACAUUGUCUUUUACUAAGUGUGUGCUUCUGCUGUUUCUUAACAGAUCGAUGUACAACACUUAUGCAUUACAAUCAGGAGAAAUCCAUGCAGAAGAAGCCUGAAGAAUUAUUCAAGUUAUUUGUUUAUAGCAUGGUGAGGAUCCUUUCGCUAGUUCAUGUUACAGUAAGGAAAACAUGAAUUUGUAUCUUAUUCUUUUUUUUGGUUGAUGUAAUAUUUGUUUUCCCCUGGCAAAAAGUUAUAUUAGUUUCAGUUUCUUAUUCAGUUAAAAUGUGCACACUACAAUCUCGAAGUUUAUGCAAAAGCUCAGAUGGAAAUCAUUCUUACACUCAUGUUAUCCAAUAUAAAUUGUUAAAUAAUUGAAAAAAUUUGAAGGUGCGAUACAAGAACAUCAUACCUUGGUAUUCUCGUCACAUGUAUAUGACUCAUAUUGUUGAAAUCUCACCUCUAAAUCGAGUUUAGUGCUCUUUUUUGGAAAUAUAGGUACUUCUGAAUUCCUGCAAUCUCUGUACUAAUUUUGUAUUUCGUGGGGAGCCACAGAUAUUUCCAAAUACUAGAAUGAUGCAUGAUUGGUCAGCACACAAACUCUUGGCCAGGUUCCUCUCACAUCUUAUCUUGUUUGUAAUAUAUUCUUCUUAAACUGUUAACACGAUGAGCAUGUACUUGUUUCAUCCAAGAACGUAAACAUGAAAAGUAUUCCUCUUGUGCACUCUCCUUCCCUGACAUACAGGGCACACUACGGUGGUUGGAUGAUACAACCAUAAACAGACAGCUAAGCGAUCAGAUGCGGCGACUGUGCGAGUGUGUCAGGUAUGUCGAAUUCACUGAUCCCAAACUAUUGGAUCUGACUAGGAUCUCCUCUUCUCUGUAAUACUUAGGACCUUCUCCUCUACCUACUCGGGCCAACAGUUUCAGCAUCCAGCAACCAUGGUGACAAAGAUGAACGUACUGGAACUGCUCUAAGUUUCAACAUUCUCGGUAAACAAGUGAACUAAGAAAGCCAAUCCUACUUAGUAAAUGUUGGCAUAUACUAAUACGCUGGCACUACUUAGUUUGCAUGAAUGUUGUGGUCUUCUAAAUUGCUAGAAUAAUUUCAAGUAGUUUAGUAGGAGUCUCUGCUUGUUUAACUAGCCAAGUUUGAGUCUAAUUUGAUUAGGGUGAUUAGUUAGUUUUCCAACAUGUCUGGUUUGCAUGCCAUAAGCAUUUGUCUUCUUGGGUGGGUCGUAGUCCAUAUAUGAUUCAAUGAGUUUGCAUAGCUAGCUGCCUACAUGCUGUACUAUCAUAUCUUGUAGUUAGCAUGCUUUACUAGUCUAGGAAAGGGCGCUGGAGUCUGAGUCGUUUUAGAUGCUAUAAGUACGAGCAGCUUUAGAUUGUUUCGGCCAUGUAGCUGGUCAUAUCGUGUAACCAGGUCGUGCAAGUUUUUUUUCCAUAUUAGAACAAGGUCAUGUAAGAGUUUUGAUAUAAAAGAAGAAAGAGUACGUUAAAGUUUUUCAUGCACAUGUGUACAGCUAUUUUGAUGUUUGAUUCUGUGGGCAAAACCGAACAUAGAUUACUAAUACAUAUGCCAAAUCACCAGGUUACAGAGGCUCGAUUGUUCCAAGUCGAUGUUGUUGGCGCUAAAACAUAAAAGACUACUAGUGCCAAGCUGGAUUUACUAGGAGGUAUUUUCUGAUGGUAGUUCCAUAUUGCGUGAAUGAUUCUUCACCAGUUUGAAUGGAAAUUUUGGAGUAUUAAUAGCAUACUUGACUAUAUUUUAUUAUCUUGCACAUGUUUCUCUCUUUUUUCACAUAAUUUGUACAAGCGAACACUUUUCUUGCAUGUGAAAAUGGUCGUACUGCUUAUGUGAGAUAAGACUCUUUGCGGCUAGAUUAGGUAAAACAAUUCAUCAACUACUGUAUGCCUGCCUUACAAUCCCCAACCCCUAUAAAACACUUUGUUUCUAGUAACAUGGUGAAACUUAAUAAUGAAAUUAGCUGAGUUAGUUUACUGAGCUAAAAUGACUAUUAUUAGCUACAAAUGUGAUACUGGAUAAAUCCGAACAAGAACCCUGCUUUUACUUCAAUCCAAAGGAUCAACCCCGAAUAUAAAGCUAAAGUUGAUGUUGUUAAACUUGGUAAUGAAUUCAUGGUAUUGUGAGCUGAUGCUAUAUUAGCAGAAUCUUAUUAGUCUCUACAACUACAAAAAAGGUCAAAAUUAUUAGUCACGCAGCAAGAUUAAUUAUCACAUUUCUUCAACUUUCUAUGUUGCUCCUCCUUUCAAUUUUUCUGCCCUAUUAACCUAUUUAAUUUCUUUGUUGUAGAUUGCAAUAUUCGAUGACGCAUGGCUCAGAUGUUGGUUGCAAGGUCAAGAAUAGGGGUGCUACUAGAUAGUUUCACAUUAUGCCUUAGAAUGCCAUUUCCAGUGCCAAUGUUUCAAUCAUUAUGUUUCGGAUAUUUUUGGUGUCAAUAUUUCGAUCAUUAUGUUUCAGAAUGGCUGACACGUUGGCUGCAAGGUCAAGAAUGAGAUUACUACUAGUUUCACAUCUUGUAAUUUUUGUAUGGUGUACUUUGUAAUGCAACCAAGUUGAUUUAAUAUAUGAGAAAUUUCCGUUUAUUAUACUGUGUCCCUUGUGUAAUACCGAUAUUGUCUAAUUCUAGACGCUGAUGUAUAAAUAUCAUGUAUUUUUUAUGGAAUGCACUAGUAUUGUAGUACUCAUUUAUAAUCAUGUUCUGUUGGGUAGCCACCAACGCAUGUGAACCGUUGUUGGGCUCUAACUCUAUACGUUGCUAUCUUACAACACUUAUUCAGGCCGUUUACCAACGGAUGCAUAUACGUUGUUGUAGACCCUUGCAACGCCACCAACGACAAUGCAUACAAAUCCAUUGGUGUUGACCUUACCAACGCUUAUAUGGACCUGCCAACGCAAUGAUGCGUUGCCGUAGGGGGUUCUUGUUGUAGCCAUUCACUAUCUCAAACUUGCCAAAAUAGUGCAUUGAAACAAGAAAACUUUCCUCUGGAUCUGAUGCCUCCUCAACACCCAAUGUACAAACAAAAAAAAUCAAUAUUUACAACAGUACACAAAAAUUCAAACUUUAUACAACUACACAAAAAAGUUCAAUCUUUCCUCUCUUCUCAAUAUAGGCAUAUAUAAGGCACUAGAUUUGUGACAGAUAAGGCAAUUUCCCCUGUUUUAUUGUCAAAAGUUCAAGCUUUAUUUCCCAUGUUUCAUCUAAUCAACAACUGCUCGAUUAGAAGGACAGCUGCGGGCAUCGAAAACCAGGACAGUCCAAGCGUCCAAAACCAAAUCUAUUGCCAGGUGUCCUGCUGUUACACAGCUGCGCGAUCAUGGGGGGGGGGGGAGUAAUCAACCGACCAUAUGAAUCACCUAAUGCUAUGACGCUGGAGGGUGGGGACGGUGACGAGACUGUCGAUGGAGCAGUCGAUACUGCCGAGGGCGGGGACGGCGGCAAGACUGCCGUAGGGUGGGGAGGGCGGUGAUGGCAGCCAGUCGAUGGAGCAAAAAGGAAAGGAAAAGAAGAGUGCACAUGAGCUCCUCCUCCCAAGAAAACUACCUGAUAUAUUGUUUGGCACGUCAUCAUGUCCAGUCAGCGAUGCCCGAUAAAAAACCGCCUAAAAUUUUGUCCAAAACUACCUUGGGGUCUAAUUGAUCCGGUUUCAGAAAGUUGAGGGGGUGAUUUAUCUGGUCUUACAAUUGAGAGGGAAAUAGGAAACACUUGAAACCAGUCGACCAGCUGAAACUCCGCCGGUCACGUCCAAGCUGGCAGCAGGCCCACGCACUCAUCGCUUAAAGCCUUUCCUUAUCCUUUCACCUGGAAGCGUCCUUACCCAUUCAUUCAUUCAUUCCACCGCGCUCAUCUUCUUCCCUGUGACCUCCCUCUCGGCAGUGACCGCUGUCGAUUCCGGCCCAAACUGCCCGACAGCCAUCCCGCGUCAACAGCACCCCCCCCCCACCUGAUGGCCAUCACGCGUGGGCGCUAUUUUGGGAGGCACGCGCCACCACGCGAGGCAAGCGGGAGGUCAUGGCUGCGGUGCCGAGAGGUGAGGUGUUGGAGACCGGCCGGGAGAUUUGCUUCAACCGGCGAGGAUGGUGAUGGGAGGCGACGGCGGUGACCGCCAUCAGUUUUUUGCUGCAUCAUUUCUUUUUUGCUGGAACCACUUCUAUUUUUGCUGGAACCUUCUGUCAAUUUUGCUGCAAAUUUAGAGGAUGGUGGUGCCGUAGCUGCCAUGUUCUUUUGUUACAUCAAAUUUGCUGGAAUUAGCAUUCAUUUUUGCUACCACGGUCUUUGAAUUUUGCUGGAACCAGCCACUUUCGUUUGCUACAAACGGAUCUUUUUUUGCUACCAUCAUCUUUGGAUUUUUGCUAGAACAACCCUUUUUUUGCUACAAUCGGCUUUUUGUUCUGCUGGAACUAGCACCUAUUUUUGCUACAACCAUGUGGGGCUUGUACUAGAACCAACGUUUUUUUGCUACCACCAUCGUUUUGUUUUGGAACUGGGCUAAUUUUUUGCUACCACCGGCUUUGGCUGCGAGCGACACCGUGUCACCAUAUUAAUGCUGCAACCGGGCGUCGGCGGCACCGGCGAGGAACGGUUUUGCGGCCAACUCCAUGGUGGGGCUACCAUGGAUGCAGGGACGGGGACGAAAAGCUUCUAGUGUGGCUUUUUUGUGAUUGACGGCGGCGAGCCGCGACGGCGAGCGGCGGCGGCGGCGAGCAUCGACGGCACGACAACCCGAUGAGGGCGGCAGCACGCGAUGCUGGGCGCGGGAGGAGACAGGGGCGCCGCCAUGUUUUCUUAGCGAGGGAUGUGAAGGCUGAAAGAAACGGUGGGCAAAACGAGCAGAUCGAACGGUUUACAUGCGCGGGAUCGAAGGGCUGCGGUGCGACCGGCCCAAAUUUGGGCCGGCGCGCCGGCGCGUAUCAGUGCCCGGGGGAAAUUGAUCCGCAAGGGAGGAUUUGGGCGGGGAGGGGGGCUAUGAGCAUAAUUGGUUUGAUGCCAACAAUUGACAUUGCCAAUAUUUGGCAAGCCAACAUUUGGCAAAAUCAAAAGUUACCAAAUGUUGACAACUUUUUAUGAGGUUGAGAAAAAAAAUUGGUAGCCAACCAAUCACUAGCCAACAUUUGGCAUUUGCCAAAUAUUACCAUGUUAACUUUUGGCAUCGAACCAAUCAUGUUGUAUACUUUUCUCUUUCACUUUCGUAAGGACAGCAGCGUGCGGGCAGAGUCUUCCAUCCCGCGUCUUCGCGGGGCUGGGCCUGGGCCUGGGUCGUGGCAGCCAGACUAUCUACGUUCAUGUUAUUUUCUUCUUGUACUUUUCUUGCGGGGACCACCUUCAACUUCUAGUACCAUGAAAUGAACUACUUCUUUUAGACACGUGAAAUGAAGUAGUACAACGCCUAAAAGCCGGAGCUGGCGCAACCUUUACUAGUGAAGACAGGAGGCGGUUUUGCAAAAAAAAAAGGGCCUCCAUCGAUCUGGCGGAGACGGAGAGGGAAAGUGGGUGAGAUGGUGGCGCUGACACCGGCGGGAGGAGACGCCCGUACGGGGGUGGCCACGCUUAGGGGCCAUCAGUGCCCAGGAGUGAAGCGAAAUCAAGGCCAGGUCAAAAGCAAAUCCUCCGACGAUCCGUGGAUCGAAAAACAUUUCGGGAUGAAAAGGCGCACGGUGGAGCUGAUCAGCGGGAUUUCAGGUGAGAUCAAUUCCGAUCAAAUGGAGGAGGGGUUGCUCCGCAUUGGUUUUGGCAAGAAAUCCACUCUGGUGGCAGAUUCUAGGGAAGUGAAUGGGUAGAAGAUGUUCUCUGUCAAGGGAAGGGAGGCGUUUUUGGGUCUGACUAAUAUCUUAUUCGGUUUUGCUAAAGCACAUCUAGAUGUGCCAUAACAAUUGCACAUCUAAAUCCUAUGUCAUUGACCUUAUGCGCAAAUUCGUAUGGGAAUUUCAUUUUGCUUUUUCUUUUCCUUUUCAUAUUUGAUUGUGUCACUUAGAUCUGCAAUAACUAUGGGACAUCUAGAUGUGCCAUAUACAAACCCUAUCUUAUUUAGAUAUAAGAUAAUACCUCACAUCUAACAUAACAUUAUUUACAUUGUGGUCCUUCCCGUUGACAACUUUGUUCCCUCCAGGCCUGUUAAAUUUUCCCAAACAAUGGCUCCCACACGUUGUGACUCGCACGCGUCAAUAUCGUGACACAAUGAGAACGCUACAGAAAUGCUACAGUAAUACUUUGCAUGCUGGUGUUUCUGUUGCGCUACAUUACAUUUUUCCUUUUGCUACAGUAGCUUUGAAUGCUGGUGCUGCACUGCGCUAUACAUUCUUUAGCAAGGGGCCACAAAACUCCAUGAAACUUAAAAAUGUCACAUAAAACCAUAGCAACAUGUAAAUUUACAAAACUUGAAAAUGGGAACUCCUAUUGAAAACCUGAAUAUAUAUAUAUAUAUAAUUAAUAUAUAUAUAUAUAUAUAUAUGUAUAUAAUAUAUAUCACCUAUUGAAUUGGUGAAUGCAAAUUUUGAAAACGCAAACAUUUUUUAAUAGGCGAACACAAUUUUUCGAAAUGCAAACAUUUUUAAAAAUUCCAAAACAUUUUUUGGAUUGAUGAACAAACUAUUCUUAUAUACAAGAGAAUAUGCCUCAAAAAGGGUGUGUCUCAUUUGUAUACAACUAUGAGAUUUCGAAAGAAGGCGGGGAACUCCGGUUGCGGGAUUGGUAGUGCCUUUCUAUUCACCCCCUCUGGGUUCGACAGUCUACUUAUCGUGAAAGUGCUACAACAUACAUGUGCCCUUACAGGACAUCAAGCAUUAUCUGGCGCCAUUGCCGGGGAGCAUAGCAUUUGAAGUUACCUUCCCACUCGCAUAGAAUUUAUUUUGUUUGUUGUUAUUUAUAUUACCAUUUUUACUAAAAAAAACUCAUCAUGUCUUUUGAGAUAUAGAGACUUGCAAGACUGAAGGCGAUAGAUGAAAUGUUUAAAUCCUUGGGGCCGAGACCCGAGGGGAGUUAUGACACUAAUCCGAUUCUACUCGGUAUGCUGUAGAGUAAGCAAUUCACAUGUGAUGGCACGAAGGAUCCGUAUAAACAUUUGUAUCAGUUUGAAGAUUUAUGCGGGACUUUAAAUUAAAAACAUUUUUUGCGAGAAAACUUUCAAUCUAUUCAUAUUUAAUCAUGGUAGUACAAUGAACAUCAGAAAUAAUAAAAAUUACAUCCAGAUUCAUAGACCACCUAACGGCGACUACAAUGACUGAAGUGAGACUUAAGUUUUUUGUCAUUCAUUGUCGUUGAAGCGAGAUUGGCUAUUAACUCACCCUGCAUUAAUAAUUCAACCCGGAGCCUGGGCUCAGAUGAGCCCGGUGAAUAGUACCUUGAUUUAAAAUAGAAAGAAAGUUCAAAAAAUUUCAAUCUUCUUUGUGGUGCAAGAUUCUCCCGUGAGUGAACUCCGUGCAAAAUUUUGUGAAGUUUGGACAUUUGAGUAGCUCGUGGCAAAAAAGACAAAACCAGGCUUGAACAAUACGAUUUUAAAAUGUUCCUCGUACAUCCGAAAUUUCUUAUUUUUGCCAUGAAUUCCUCGUAUGUCCAAACUUCACAAAAUUUUGCACGGAGUUCACGCACAGGAGCAUCUUGCACUACAAAAAAAUUAAAUUUUUUUGAUUUUUUUUUCAUUUUAAAUUGCGGUAUUGUUCAUGACUGGGUUCAUUCGAGCCCGGGCACCAAAUCGCCGCUCUCACCCUGCAUGUACUUUUGACACUUGGGAUAAAUUGUCUAGCGCAUUCUUGGCGGGAAGGGCGUUUUGGCUCCCGGUGUGGCACCCCGGCUCAGAGAGAACGGAACACCCCGUAUUCCAGCCCAGAGAUCAAGUCUUCUGAAAUACGGCACUGCUUGACAUAGAACAAAUCAACUCUUAUUACAAAGGAUAAGGGAUACAAAGGUCUGAUGUUACAAAGGAUCACAUCAGCACGACGACACUACGCCUGCUAAGGUAGCUCUAUGCUAGCAGCGGAACAACUCGUAGCAGCGGAAUACUUCUAGCAGCGGAACAACGAUGAAGGUGGUGAACUCCACUCCGCAGGGAUUCUGACUGGGACACGAUCUAGCUCGCACGAUCGGUAACCUCGACAAGCAAUCAAUCACGGCAUCACCUGCAAUCUGGCAUGACACGCUAGGAAGUACAUUGAAUGUACUUGCAAGCUCACAACAACCAAAAGCAUCAAGGCAAGACAAUAGCAUAGCAUUAACAGGUUAAGUUAUUUACAACUACUAUGAUGUGGAAACAAUAACUAAGCAUAAUCUGGCACUACUAAAAAUACUGCUGAAUCACCAUCUCACUCUUGGCUAUCUGGCCAAGCAAUAAUCACCUCGAUCACCUCGUGAUCAAUACCUCCACGUGAUCACCGUGUGACCACAUCACAAACUGAAUGAUCAUCCUCGAGAUCAUCCCAAUAUCCUCAUCAACAUCCUGCCAAACUGUACUGCUCAAAUAUAUCAACAUAUAAAUCACAUAUAAGUCAUUCCGUCAUGCGAGUGUUGAUCGAACGAUGUGACCUAGUAAGAACUUUGUGCCCAUGACCGAGGACGCGGCUACCGAUAGAUUAAACACACACUCUACAGAGGUUAGCACACUGUACCCACAUCACAUAACCCAUGGCCUCGUCCUCCCAUUCGGGUGGACCAAUGGCGUUCCGACAAAACCGAUCUACUGCCAUGACACUCUCCCGGCCACUCCGACCAACUCCCCUCUGGGAUCAGUCCUAGGUGGCCCUAAUGCCACCUCGUGACAUCCAACGGCCACCGUCGUGGCAAAACAAAAAGUCCCAAACGGGGACAAGAGCGCUCAAACAACCCGGGCACGCAAGGUUAUUGCCGCCAACCGGGCCAGGGCAGCGCGCGCAUCUAACCUUCCCUAGUUGGAGGCACCGGCGAGAGGCAUAACAAUAGACCGCAUUAGGGCCUUCCCAUAGAGGCAAAUGUGGUUGCACUAGAAAAGCCCGGUUCGGUGGCACCUGACCAACGAAGUGACGGAAUUUUUCCCCAAAAUAUAUCUGCGAUACUGAUACUCUGAUAUCAUCUACCAACAUGUAAUCCAAGUCAUGGCAAUAUCUAACAAAUAAUCCAGAUGAUAAUGUAGUCAUAACCUAAUACUCUGAGGGUAGCAUAGCACUACUAUCAUAAUGAAUCCAAGUACCAAGAUACUACUAAUACAAUAACAAGAGUAAGCUAGCUAACCAUAAUCCAACAUGAUGACUUCAUAUCCAAAGUAAUACUCCAAAGCAUGAUAUCAAAUACUAUCAUCAUAAAAAUAAUAUAAGCCACUAACAAUCCAAUGGCACAUGUCAUCCUCAUAAGCUGCAAAAUAUUAGUCCUGGAACUCCAAGCAACAUUAUGGCAAUAGCAAGAUCAGAAUAUCACUCCGAGAAAAUGCCAUGAACAAGUCAAAUGUAGCCAAUGCAAAUUUUAAGCAAGUUUAAAUAAGUAAACCAUGUCACUGCAUUGUAAUCAUGCAAAUGGAGGGUGUGGCUUGCCUGGGGUGGAUGGAUUCACCGGGAGGAAGUGUGAGAAGCUCGCGGAAAGGAUCACCGGAAAACAUUCUCUCUUGGAUGGGGAUAAAUAAGGGCAAGGGCAUAAUGUUAAUUUUCAGAAUGUUGUCACAUGGUGAAAAUGAUCCCAUCGGAACGGGCUCAACGAUACGAAGAAAUGGGCUUUGGAAUCACCUCAUUUGGAGCUACGGGUGAAGAGUUGUGGCCAUUCGUUCUUUAGACAAAAAAAUCAAUAGAUUAUGUGCUUUUCUGCUCUUAACCGAUGAACGUUUGCAAUAUAGAGGGUUCGGACAGAGGCUGGAAAAGAGAAAGCGCCUUUCAGAGAAUACGCCUUCAGAGCAGUGAAAACGUAUUUUGGUCUAAAGAAACACUAAAGUACGCUUUCAAACCUGGAAAACGCAUUUACGUGGAUACCUGUCCACUUAAAUGACGUGGCGGCGGGGGGGGGGAGGGGGGCUCGCCUAGCCAGGUAAGCAUCUCCUUCCUCCAUCGCUCGCACCAGGCCGAAGGCAGGGCCGGCCCCGACGGCAUUUGCCAGCAACACGGGCCACCGUAGGUGGAGCCCGGCCUACCGGCGGAAUCAUUAGAGCGAGGCGGUCCCGACCCUAGGUGACGCAGCCGCCGGGGAGCUCGGAGUUGAGCGGAACAGCAACCGCGACGGACGACGGCUACGGCCAGAGUGGGGCGCAGUGCACGAGUCGCCGGAGGAGGAGGAGAGGUGCUGGGGUGUCUCCGGGGUGGUGUUGGAGGUCUCUGGUGGUGGUGGAACCGAGAGAGAAGACGCGGCUCGUCGGAAUUUGAGCGAACAGAGGCGGCGGCCACGGCGGCCAACUGAUACGAGGAGGGACUCUGGCGAUGGAUUGAGAGGUCGGGGUGGAUGCUGGGAGCGAGAGGGAGUGGCUGACGCGGUCGAGAGGCCUCGGGGCUGGCUAUAAAUAGCCGGGGGACGAGGUGUUGCGCUGGCGUCGCCUUAGACGUGUGGCCGGAGCCACGGACACAUGGGCACGCACGCGAGCUCGGUGUAGGCGACGGGAGGCCAAGGGGCACGGGGAGGAAGAAGCCGAGCGCGAAUAGAGCCAUGUCGGUCGUUGUUCUCCUGUGGGUGCGUGGCAGCGAGUGCCGACGAGGAAGCUGACGGAGGGGGAGAGGGGUCCAGGUUGAAGGCGACGACGAGGGGAUCCUCCUCGCUAUAUUGGCCCAUUCACUAUUCUCGAAAGGCGUGGAAAAGUGGCAUAUCAACUGGAGCUUCCGCCGAACCUUUCUCAGGUUCACGAUGUGUUCCACGUGUCACAACUCCGCCGUUGCUUCAAGGACCCAAUCCGAGCAGUGGAUCAUGAAGUGCUCGAAUUGCAGCAGGACCUCUCCUAUAAAGAGCAUCCGGUCCGCAUUCUCGACCAAGCUGAACGCCGCACACGUCAGAAGGCUAUCAAGUUCCUCAAAGUCCAGUGGUCGAAUCACUCUGAAGACGAAGCCACUUGGGAACGUGAGGAUCGCCUGCGUGAUGAAUACCCCGCACUGUUUCCUUCUACCUCCUAAAAUCUCGGGACGAGAUUUCUUGUAGUGGAGGAGAUUUGUAACGCCCGGAUAAUCAUGCUACAGUAAUCUCACGCUAAUCUUGCCACGUCACCGCAGUUACUGUUGCUAACCUCGCAGCAUUUCGAAACCAAGUCAAAUUCAAAUUUAAAAUUAAAUCAAACGAUAAAAGUUCUCAAACAUCAAAACAAAAAUGUUCGGUGGGUGCCAAAUAUUGCCAUGGUAAUUAUGGUGUAGAAAACACAAUUUUAUAAAUUACCUAAAUGCCCUAAAUCAAAUACAACAGAAAAGAAAUAAAAGAACAGAAAAUUAAAAACAAAAAACAAAAAAAAAACACCCCCCACUGGGCCUCGGCCCAGCAGGCCACCAGGCCGCCAGGCCGGCCNNNNNNNNNNNNNNNNNNNNNNNNNNNNNNNNNNNNNNNNNNNNNNNNNNNNNNNNNNNNNNNNNNNNNNNNNNNNNNNNNNNNNNNNNNNNNNNNNNNNNNNNNNNNNNNNNNNNNNNNNNNNNNNNNNNNNNNNNNNNNNNNNNNNNNNNNNNNNNNNNNNNNNNNNNNNNNNNNNNNNNNNNNNNNNNNNNNNNNNNNNNNNNNNNNNNNNNNNNNNNNNNNNNNNNNNNNNNNNNNNNNNNNNNNNNNNNNNNNNNNNNNNNNNNNNNNNNNNNNNNNNNNNNNNNNNNNNNNNNNNNNNNNNNNNNNNNNNNNNNNNNNNNNNNNNNNNNNNNNNNNNNNNNNNNNNNNNNNNNNNNNNNNNNNNNNNNNNNNNNNNNNNNNNNNNNNNNNNNNNNNNNNNNNNNNNNNNNNNNNNNNNNNNNNNNNNNNNNNNNNNNNNNNNNNNNNNNNNNNNNNNNNNNNNNNNNNNNNNNNNNNNNNNNNNNNNNNNNNNNNNNNNNNNNNNNNNNNNNNNNNNNNNNNNNNNNNNNNNNNNNNNNNNNNNNNNNNNNNNNNNNNNNNNNNNNNNNNNNNNNNNNNNNNNNNNNNNNNNNNNNNNNNNNNNNNNNNNNNNNNNNNNNNNNNNNNNNNNNNNNNNNNNNNNNNNNNNNNNNNNNNNNNNNNNNNNNNNNNNNNNNNNNNNNNNNNNNNNNNNNNNNNNGCCCACUGCUCCCGCGCUCGCCCUGCUGCCGCGCCGCGCCCCUUUGCCGCCCGCGCGCUGCUCGCCGGCUGCGUCCGCCGCGCCUUCCGUCCCCGACGGCCACGCACGCACACAUCGCGCUCGCCGCCCGCGCGGUACUACCGCUUACCAGCGCGGUACUACCGUGCCACUGCCGCCGGCCCGCCCCUAGAACGUUUAAUAAUAAAAAUAAUCAAUUAAUUGAUUAAUUAACUAAAUUAAUAAAUUCUUUUAAAAUCAAUAUAAAAUAAACCGUAGCCCAGAUGAAAAUACUUUCUACAUGAAAGUUGCUCAGAACGACGAGACGAUUCCGGAUACGCAUCCUGUUCGUCCACCACACCUCCCUAACCUAUCGAACAUGCAAAUUUCCCCCUCCGUUUCAUCUGUCCGAGAAACGCGAAACACCGGGGAUACUUUCCCGGAUGUUUCCCCCCUUCGCCGGUAUCACCCCUUACCGCGUUAGGGCACACCUAACACCGCGCUUUCUCUGUCAUGCAUCGUCAUGCAUAUGUUUGCAUUAUAUUUAUUGUUUCUUCCCCCUCUUCUCUCGCUAGACACCGAGACCGACGCUGCUGCUGGUGCCCCGACCGACUACGGUGUUGACGACCCCUUCUUCUUGUCUGAGCAACCAGGCAAGCCCCCCCCCUUGAUCACCUGAUAUCGCCUACUCUCCUCUAUACUGCUUGCAUUAGAGUAGUGUAGUAUGUUACUGCUUUCCGUAAUCCUAUUCUGAUGCAUAGCCUGUCCUUGCUACUACUGUUGUUACCAUUACCUGCAAUCCUACUUGCCUAGUAUAGGAUGCUAGUAUUUCAUCAGUGGCCCUACAUUCUUGUUCGUUUGCCAUGCUAUACUAUCGGGCCGUGAUCACUCGGGAGGUGAUCACGGGUAUAUACUAUAUACAUAUGAUACAUGACACAUGUGGUGACUAAAGUCGGGUCUGCUCGAAGAGUACCCGUGAGUGAUUCACGGAUUGGGGGCUGAAAGGACCUUUGUCCCAACGGCCCUCUGUGUGGAUCUUUGUGGCGGAGCGACAGGGCAGGUUGAGACCACCUAGGAGAGAGGUGGGCCUGGCCCUGGUCGGCGUCCGCGGUUACUGCAAAAUAACACGCUUACGAGUUCUUGGUAUUUGAUCUGAUUCUGGCCAUUUGGUCUAUACGCACUAACCAUCUACGUGGGAGUAGUUAUGGGUAUCCCGGCGUCGUGGUAUCAGCCGAAGCCUUCUUGACGUCAGCGACGGAGCGGCGCGCGCCGGAUUGGAACGUAAGCCUGCUCUUGUAUUAAGGGGGCUAGUUCUGCUUCCGGCCGCCCUCGCAACGUGCAGGUGUGCUAUGGGCGAUGGGCCCAGACCCCUGUGCUCUUAGGAUUAGACCGGCGGGCUGACCUCUCUGUUGUGCCUAGGUAGGGCUGUGAUGUGUUGAUCUUCCGAGGCCGGGCAUGACCCAGGAAAGUGUGUCCGGCCGAAUGGGAUCAAGCGUGUUGGGUUAUGUGGUGCACCCCUGCAGGGAAGUUUAAUCUAUUCGAAUAGCCGUGAUCUUCGGUAACAGGACGACUUGGAGUUGUACCUAGACCUUAUGACAACUAGAACCGGAUACUUAAUAAAACACACCCUUCUAAGUGCCAGAUACAACCCGGUGGUCGCUCUCUAACAGGGCGACGAGGAGAGGAUCGCCGGGUAGGAUUAUGCUAUGCGCUGCUACUUGGAGGACUUCACUCUAUUCUCUUCUAUAUGCUGCAAGAUGGAGAUGGCCAGAAGCGUAGUCUUCGACAGUAUUAGCUAUCCCCCUCUUAUUCUGGCUUUCUGCAGUUCAGUCCACUGAUAUGGCCCUUUACACAUAUAUCCAUGCAUAUGUAGUGUAGAUCCUUGCUUGCAAGUACUUUGGAUGAGUACUCACGGUUGCAUUUCCCCCUCUUUUCCCCCUUCCUUUCUUUCUGGUUGUCGCAACCAGAUGCUGGAGCCCAGGAGCCAGACGCCACCGUCGACGACGACUCCUACUACGCUGGAGGUGCCUACUACUACCUUCAGGCUGCUGACGACGACCAGGAGUAGCUUAGGAGGAUCCCAGGCAGGAGGCCUGCGCCUCUUUCGAUCUGUAUCCCAGUUUGUGCUAGCCUUCUUAAGGCAACUUGUUUAACUUAUGUCUGUACUCAGAUAUUGUUGCUUCCGCUGACUCGUCUAUGAUCAAGCACUUGUAUUCGAGCCCUCGAGGCCCCUGGCUUGUAUUAUGAUGCUUGUAUGACUUAUUUUUAUUUGUAGAGUUGUGUUGUGAUAUCUUCCCGUGAGUCCCUGAUCUUGAUCGUACACGUUUGCGUGUAUGAUUAGUGUAUGGUCAAAUCGGGGGCGUCACACCAGAAACUUGAGAAAAUUCUAGAGAAAUAUGGGCUUGAUGAAUUGAUCCCAAAAUUGAUGGAGAGAGGUUUUAUGGUCAUGAGAAUGCUCUGGUAAAUUUUCAGCCAAAAUGAAGCAAUAUAAAAUAUAUACUUGCUUCACAACCUGAAAAUAUUGAUAGAAGCAAAGAUUUGAUCCUGUGCUCCCAUAGAUGAUUGGAUGGAGCUGAAAAUUGGUGGAGUGUGAUAAUAUUAGCACAUUAAAAAGUGUGCAAAAUUUCAACUCGUUUGGGUACUCCUAGAUAGUACUUCCUUUACGAUGGCUUCUGUUUGAUAGAAACUUUGAAAAAUUGACAAGAAAGAUUCACUAGGCAAAUGAAGUUGAAUUUUGGCAUGAGGCAAUGAUUUGGAUGUAAAAGCAUUCCCAAAGAGUUUGGGAGCAAACAAGAUAAGAUAAAUGACACUUAUUUCACAAAAAACCACACUAUACAGAAAUGAAGAAUAAAUAUUGAAGAAUUAUUUUUGAACUUCGCAAGGAAAUAUUUGGGCAUAUUUGAGCAAUAUAUGACCCAAAUGAAUUAUGAGAAUUUAUUGGGAGUUUUGUGGCAGACAGAGAUAUAGGAUGCUUCACAACCUAGGGCAAACAAGGUUAUUCCUUUAAUAGAAAAAGGAAUAUUCCUGAGAAAAAGAAUUUUAGGGUUUGGCUAGAAUAAGAAUGAAAUGAUCUUGGGAAAGAUUUAAGAAUGAUGAGCCACUUGGGAGAAGAAAUGACGAGCCACCCGGGAGAAGAAAAGAUUUAAGAAUGAUGAGCCACUUGGGAGAACAAAUUUGGGGUGACAUUUGGGGGUGACAUUUGGUGUGUGUGUUUUUUUUUUGCACAUGCCAAAAUGCUUAACCUUUUUGCCUCAAAAUUUGCAUGUAGCAUUUGGAUGUGACUAACAACACACAAAAAUUUUGUUUUGAUUUUUUUGACAUUUCAAAAAUUAUUUUUGGGCCCGGGAGCACGUGCUCCCGAGAGCCGAAUUGAAUUUCCGAUGCUUGGCUCGCUUUUACUCACAAAAGAAGACUUAUAGAGCGAGGUGCAUGAUCGUGAACUUCAAAAAAAAUUAGGUGAAAGUCUUGUCGAGACUUAUCAAAGGUACAACUCUCUACUUGAUAAUUGUUCUCAUCAUAAUUUGUUAUCAUGAAUGGUGUUAAAUUUUCAUUUUGGAGGACUAGAUGAUGAAUGUAAAAGAAAAUUAAGUCUUGCUUCGGUUGAUCAAGGUUAGGAAUUGUUAGAUAAAGUCGGUGUGAAUCAUGGCGUUUGGGGGGAGGCGGCGGAGUAUAACUUUAUUAUGAUUGUGUUAAAACCUACUACUAAUCUGAAAAUGUCAAAAAUCUGAGCAAAUAAAUUCAUCUUGAUUCUGACACUAUCUUGUAAGUAUAUUGUAAAAAAUUAUAUUGAUAUGUUGUGAAAAAUUAUACUGGUCAUAAUCUCAUAUUCCUAUUAUAAUUUUAUAUCUGAUAUCUUGUAAGUUCUAUUAUAUUUAUAUAUAUAUAUAUAUAUAUAUAUAUAUAUAUAUAUAUAAUUUUAUUUACCACCACUUCAGUUUUGUAUGUCACAAGACAAGAGAAUUUGCAGUUUAUGUAUAUUUUACACUAUGUUUUUACAUUUGUAAUUUUACAUAACAUAAAAGUUUUUUUAUGGUUUCUUUCUAUAAAGUUUUUACAUUUGCAUUUCUGUCCCUAACUCGAACCACCUACUCAGAUUUGCCCUUAAUUUCAAAGUCUGCUCAAAUUUGCCCCUCUGCCGUUAGAUGACCUUAUAGAAAUGUCCUUCCGUGCCGUUUUCGUUAGGUCAAAGGCCUUUGACCGUCUACGGGACGUUUCUUGGACAUUUUGCCCCUGCCUCCAUGUGUCACUUACAUGUGGAACCCACUUAGGAAAAAAUAAAAAUAAAAACACUUUCUCUCACCCCUCUCUCUCUCUCACUUACAUAUGGGCCCAGAAAAGGAAAAAGAAAACCUCUCUCCCACAUCUCUCUCUAACUUACAUGUGGGGCCUAGCAAAAAAUAAAGAAAAGAAAAAAGCUAUCUCUCUGUCUCCCGACCUCGCGGUCUCUCUCAUCUCCGGCGAACUACAUGCGACGGCCGGCGGACCGGUCCUCGCGCCGCCACUGGAGCUGGCUCGCCAUGCUCCUCCACCAGCUCAUCGCGCCCGGUCACCAGCUCGCCGCGCUCUGCCGCCCUCUCCCUCUCUCUCUCUUGCCAAGGAAUAGCAAAGCAACUAUCGUCGGCGUUGACGCGCACGCACGGCCAGCGACAGUGUAGAGCUCCAAUAAAAUGUCUAAUAGUCCGACCGCUCUCCGAUUCAUCUUCCUGUGCAAUUAAUUGGAUUGAAACGCCCCAUAGUGACGGAUCCUUCCUCGUCUUCCCCAGCUCCGGUGUCACGCCGCUACCGCUCGAUCUCCUCCACCAUUGAGCACUGCCGCCUUACCUCGGGUUCUUGAGUUUCGAAAUCUCCUCCUGAACAUCCUCCGCCUGCUCCCGAUUAUCCUCGCCUCCCUUAGCAGCUCUGUCGGCGAGCACCCCCCGUCGCCGUCGCUCAAGCUCGCAACUUCCCAUCCGCCCCGGCACCCCACAUUCUCUGGCCACCUCAGGCCACUGAAGCUUCUCUCCCGCACCCUCACAAGCCCGAUCUUGCAGCCACUCGACUACUCCGGCGUCUUCCCGUACAUCGCCGUCGUGUCUUCGUGUGCUGGCGCCGGCGUGUUUUUAGUUAGCCUAAUCCCAGAUUAUCCUAAACUAUUAUUAGUUCUAAUUACACUCGUUUUACAAAAGCUAACUAGUGGGUCCAGCCCUCAAAUAAAUCAGUAGAUAACGUUUCAGAAAAUAAUAGAACAAUAACUGACCCAUAUCAAGUUUUAUUUUUCAUUUUAUUAGUUGGGCUCAUAUGUAAGUGAGAGAGGGGGGUGAGAGAAAAUGUUUUUUCUUUUUAUUUUUUCUUUGAGUGGGCCCCACAUGUAAGCGACACAUGGAGGCAGGGGUAAAAUGUCCAGGAAACGUCCGGUAGACGGUCAAAGGCUUUUGACCUGACGGAAACGGCACGGAAGGGCAUUUCUAUAAGGGCACCUAACGGCGAAGGGGCAUUUUUAAGCAGGCUUUCGAAUUAGGGGCAAAUGUGAGUAGUGGGUUCGAGUUAGGGACACAGAUGUAAAAGACCCAUAUAUAUAUACUACAUCUGGGCUAUUUUGUUACGCGUAACAGAAUAUUAUUCUGUUACCCUACUUGAACUGAUGAAUUCAAGCUGUUGAACUGAUGAAAUUCGAGCAGUUGAACUGAUGCUUCUGUUGCUGUUAAAAAUCAUCUUCUUUAGUUCAAAUUUUUUUGCACUUUUUUUUGUCGAAACGGGGCGUGUAAUAUAUCGUUGGAAAGCUCUUGACAUCCACAUUACAAUCUUAUAAAAAAAAUUGCAAAAAAAUUAUGAUUUAAGAGCAGUUUUGAAAAAACCAUUUUUUUCAAAACCGAAAACGCGAAUCGUAUUUUGGACUUAAUUUUCAAAUGGUUUGUUGGAAUUGAGAAAAUGAGAUGGCGUUGGAAAGCUUGUGAAAAUCCGCAUCUUCCAUAUAUCUACUAUUUUUUCAAAAUUUAUAUGAUUUAAAAGUAAUUUGAAAAACGGUGAAAUUCUGGGCGAAAUGUUUUUUCACUUUUUUUGCAAAUGGUUUGUCGGAUUGACGCAAAUGAUACGGCGUUGGAAAGCUAUGGAAAAUGCGCAACUUUUGCGUAUAUAAAGUUUUUUCUAAUUCCUUACGGUUUAAAUACGAAUUCAAAUACGGUUAAAAUUGGUUUUGAAUGUGAUUUUUUUAAAAAGUUUGUCAAAAUGGGGCAAAUAAUAUACUGUUGGAUAGCUAUCAAAAAUGCGAAACUUAGUUAUGUUGGACGUUUUCUCUACUUCGCAACCGUUUAAUAGUAAUCUUGAAUACGGCAUGACGAAUCCUGCUGUUUUCUCGUUUGAAAAACAGAGUAAUCGUACUGAUAUAUGUGUAUGUUUGUACUGAGCUAUUUUCGUAGAGUAAUUUUAAAUGGUUCCGAAAAAAGGUACUUGUACUGAUGCUUGCAUGGGUUUGUAUUAAGUGUGUUUUCACUAACUAGACUUUGCUCUGUUUUUUGGGUAAUAUUUUUCUCGUAAAUUUUCAACGGUUUACUGUAUCCUAGCCCUGAACUUGCAUGGUUUAUAUUGUUGAACUGAAUGUUAUUGUAUCGUCGGCCCUGUACUUGCAUGGUUUAUAUCAUCGAACUGAAUGAUUUUUUUAAAUGUUUUUUUAUUCUUUUUUUUUAACUAAACAUUUUUUUUACAACGAUGUUUUGGACUUCUCUUAUUUUAUGACUUGUACUUUUACCAUUUGAAUUGCAUGGGGUUUCCUUUUGCUUGAACUUUUACAAUUUGAAUUUCUGUCAUUUCUUUUAUUCCGAACAGACCACCGUUUAAAACCAAUUUUCCUUUGUAGAACGGACCACCGUUUUUGUUUGUCUGCAUCAGUUGUAGAACUUGGACGUCAACAUCACAGAAUUACACUUUGGACGGAUCACCUUCUCCCAUCUGGACAGACCACAAAACUUGCAUCAGGAAACACACAAAAACAAGGACGAUUACAACAAGAUCGACCAGAAUGUAUGAACCAUACCUUCUUUAGCUGAAUAAAUACUAUACACAGAACAAGCAGAACUUAUUAAACAAGAUGUUUUUGAAGUUUCUCACAUUAACACUUUUUAUAAUACAAAACCAAAUGGUUCACUUUUACCUCCUCUCUUUAAAGUAUUACAAACUGAUGAACUAAAAUAAAAUGGUGAGCACAGUGCAUUUUUGUACCACAGUUGGUAAUAGGGGCACAAUCCAAGUGGAUUGUAUAAAAGGUAAGUAAUUAUAGAGUUUGUAGUACCAUCACAAUCAAAGUUCAUACUGACAUAAGCUCUGGUCGUGCUCCGGCCAGAAAAAGAUACAUAAGUAAACUGCGGCCAAAGUAUUACAAACUGACAAACAUAAUCAGCCACCUCGCUAGAACAGAGCAUCUCAAAAGCCUCUACUCCGGUUGCUUUUCCUUGUGCAGGAGGCUGUUGACGGAGCACGCAGUGAUGCAGGUGGCCAUGGUAGCGACACGGGCAGUGACGCAGGUCUCCAAACUGAUGGUCGCGACGAACUCGGCCACCCUGAAGCCACGGGGUUGGACUGAGCAUGGCGCUGAAGUUGAGUAGAACAUUUAGGAAUUAGGAUAAUUAGGAAACAACAAACAUGUGAAGAAACCAUGAAGUGAAAUGAGUUAUAGAAAACAGUAUGCAUUAGACCUUGCUGAUUUCUCAACUGAAGUUGUUUACUGCACAGCUGCCAUAUUUGACUGAGCUACCCUGAAGUUGCUGGAAUGGACAAAAGUCUUAAUCAGAGUUUCACCAACGUUUGACACUAGAAUGAAUUUCUGAAAACUUACCCAGUUCAGUUAGCUGCUGACUUGAGAAGAGCCAUCCUUUUUGCAUUGAAGAGCUGCUGUGAUGUACUGAGCAAUUGCUUUUUCUGAACUUACAAAAUUAUGUCCGAUGAAUCUCUCUAAUAUGGAUGUGCGAACCUUCCAAAAUUAAAUCCAAAAAUGUACACACACUGUUCCCUGUGUGACGUAGGGUUGUACUGACACACUCAGCAUCAGGGAAUUUCCAACUUGCGCAAGAUCAAACUGCAUCCGUUCUCAGCAGUAAGUUUUGGAAAUUUCCCAAAACGAAAUCGACAAUGAACGGACACCAGCAGCAACCUCUACUAGACAAGAUGAACUUUGCUUUUUUCAUACAAUGAACUGAAAGGCGCUGCAAUUUUUCUAAACUUCCUUGAUAUGAACCUGUAGCCAUACGCAAGUCUUGUUGUAGGAGAAAAAAGCCGGAGUAGCGCUGUAAUGAACUGACAUCUCCAUAAUAGAAUAAUUGCACACACAGACCAGCGAAUGCAUGAAAUGCCCGUGGAGCUUGGGAUCAACGGUGGAAUUCCCAAAAACAAAAUCUGCAAUCAACGACAGCAGUAAUAUAUACUAGACAAGAUGAACUUUACAAAAGGUAGCACAUGCACAAAAGUUUAGUACUAAUAAGCUACAAUUAGCCAAAUUCAGUACAAUUAACCGAAGGUAACCGGAACAUAAAUAUAGAUGCAAGUUCCAACUUUUUUCGUGAAGAUGUGGAUGAGAUGUAACCCAAACCAAUAGGUGAUUUGCGAACUUAUGAGAAAUAAUUCUGUUAAACACCUAGCUUCAGUACAAUCAUCUAUGAAAAGUUAUCUAGUUCCAAAUUAUGACCUUGAAGAAUAAUUCUCAUAAGCAUUAGAACAAGCACGUAGAAGAGUGCUGAGGGCACACAUGAUUUUGGGGGUAUUUCCUCAAGUUUCUACACUUCUUUUAAGUAGAUAAAAAUGAUGAAAGGAAACACACUUUGUAAGAUGUACUGAAAAAGCCUAAAAAGGUGAAGUGAAAUGUUUUGAAGCUCCAGGAAGCCUCUCGACGAACUGAAACUUCGUGUAUCCCAGGAGGUUAACCUGCAGAGGAGCACGAACUAGAACAUUAAGCAUCAACUUCUACAACUUAUAUACACAGGAAAAAUGAAUUUCUACAUCUUGUUUUGAACUUCUAGUAAUCGAUCAAGUAGUCAUAAAACCAAACAAGGGUGAUGGGAGUUGAACCAGAUCCCUCAGCCUCAUCUCUAAACAUUACCCUUUAAUCUUCCUGAACUGAAUUCCUCUCAUCUAUGUUCUUUAACUCUGUUUGUUUAUGUAGCACGAACCAGCAGCAGCCUGGAGGACGGUCGGUGCGUCGAGGUCAGCACGAGACAGCAGUGGCGCUUGAGGAGCAGAGGAAGAGCGACAGUACAAACAAGUGCAGCUCAACGAGCCUUUUUCUUACGAUGCUUGUGGUUGCCGUGAGCACACAGCAAGUAGGAUCAGGCUCUCGGUGGCGCAGGCAUAGGAUGCCCGUUAGAGAAAGAUUACUUGCUGAAGGCCACCAUAUUUUCCUACAGUAAGACAUAGGAAAGAUAAUAUAUAAAGCCCAUUACAGAAAGAAUCAGCAGUCCAUUUUAAAAAAAAAAACAUUUUACUAGAACUGAAAGCAAUGAUUUUUUCAUACUUCUGGGUGAGGACAUGGCGCUCUAAUCCAUUUUGCCAUAUCUAAACCUCCAAUUUUUUGGUGACCAAAACUGAUGCAUAACAGCACAAGUGAAGAAUUGUUCGUAGGCAUAAAAACAAUUACGUAGAGUGCACAUAUGAUAUUUCAGGAUUUCAUCAAUACAUUAAAGUUUAUGAACUGAAAAGAACGGAAAAGGUGAACUGAAAAUCAAAUAAAAGUUGUAUCCUAUAUAGUUCAAGGUCAAAAGAACAACACAGGGAACGGUGGGCCGUGACGUGUGCACCUGCUGGGGUAGGGGACGCAUACGGGAGCCCAAGGUGCAGGCGGAAGGUGGCUCGACACAGUCGGCCAGGGAGCUGCGACGGUGAACGGCCUGGGGCGGCCGGGUUGGACUGCUGAUCGCAGCAGCGGCGAACCCAGCGGCCUGGCCACACCGGGAUGACUAGCAACCAGAAGGAGGUGGAGGGGCGUGUCCACGACGGAGAGAUUGAAUGGCCUGUAGUUGCAGCGUUGAACUUCCUGUACACGGCAGUGGAGCGAUAGCAGCUCAAGGACCAGGACAACAUGUAGUUUAAGAAUUACAGAUUGUGGUCAGCUAUAGGAUGUUUAUGGGACCAUGUUUUAGCUAUGAGAGAGCAACAACAUCACAUCAUGAGAGAGAGGAUGCAGCAUCAACAAUUCAGUUGAAAGAUCAGAGCAGAGCAGAAGUAAAUAUGUUUUGAGGAGAUGAACUGACCAGGAUUUAAAUGAACUCUCACUAGCAGUAAUUUUUGUACUUCGCAUGUAGUACUACAUGGACUUGCUGUAAAAUACAUGGACCAUGUAGGAAAUUUGGAGUUAAUUGUAUGAUCAUCUCAGGGAGCUCAAGUUGUACUGAAAGCUCAAGUUGGACAGAAACUCACUCGAUAACUGAAACUCCUAGGGUGAGGGGUGGGAUCCAGGGUGCUGCUGGCAAUGAAAGGCCUGGGGUGAUGGCGUUGAACGGCCUAGAGUGGUGGCUGUGAACGGCCAGGGUGCUCCGGCGGCAGAGCCCCACCGGGAGAUGGCGAUGCAAGCAGGAGGUAGGGAAGCAGUGGUGCCAGUGGUCGGGGUCGUCCAAUGCUAAUGGCACAACAGUACAGGAAGUUGAUUCAUCACCCAUCCAUAAUUUUUUCCUUUUUGGAAUCCAUUGAACUGAAAAAAAAGCUACAGUGUGAGCUGAAAGUAUGAAAACAACAUAUCUCUGAAAGAAUAAAGAAUUAGCUUUAACAUAUCUAUGAAAGAAUACACCUCUGAGGAACUAGCUUUGAACAUAUCUCUGAAAGAAUAGAGCGCAUGCAAAGUCCAAGGAAAGAAUAAGCAAAAUGGCACACUAGUACGCACUAGUACGAGUCCAGUCUUGUACGUGCUAGUAUUAGAUUUGAAUAGUAGCUAGAAUUGAAGUUCAGGUAACCAUGGCACACACAUCAUACAGUUUCAGUCAUGUACACACACACUGUAAUAGUAGCUGCAAUUAAAGUUCAAAUAACCACGGUGCCCAUAACAGAACAAGAAUCAGGCUAGCAGCUAGGCAAGCAAGCUUCAUCGGCAUGAAUACACAUCAGCGGCAAGCUAGAACACGCUAGUAGGCUGCAGAAGUCUCCUUGUAAUUUUUCAAAUAGAAGUGCUUCAGUUCUGUUCAGUAGUAAUGCAUGGAAAAAGAAAAGCAAUGGAAUAAACUAUAACCGAGCCAAAUAUGUAAUUUCAACAAACUAGACCUCAUUGCUUGACUUCAGUAGUACUAAUACACGAUCAUCAGUUCAAUAUAAACAAACUGAUGUCAACAUCGCCAAUAUGCUGUCCGUCCAACCUCCCUCGGGCUGCAGUUCCAAUAGAAAACAAAUUAGUAAGAUAAAGAGCAUUAGAGAGGAAAGAGAUAGAACGGGUGCAUGGACUGCCGCUGGUUUUCUUGUUGAACCGCAGCUGAAGAAACUCCUACAGGCUACAGGUCGUAAUGAAGAGAAAACGGAGAUGAGGUUGCGUGGCGGCGGCGCUGAAUGUGAAGGAGCUUGGGGAUCUAUCGUGUGACGCGCGGCUGGUCACCGGAGCGAGCGCCGGGCGAGCGAGUAGGGUAGCCGGAGGGGAGCGGGGAUCCAAGGACCAGGGGCGCCAUGCGUUAAGACGGGCAGCUCCCCCGUCAUCUUCCUCGUCGUCGCUGGGAGGCGGAGAGCCGCGCUAGAAACAGGCGGUGGCGGGAAUCGCAGGAGAUGGCGCACGGUGCUCGGAGGGAUCUGGGUUGGUGGCGGAGGGAGGUGGCGAGAGGCGCGGCGGCGACGGAGGGAGGAGGCCGGAGAUGGGAGUCACCGGGGCUGAGGCGCGCCGGGGCUAGGGUCGCCGGGGCUGGGGGCGCCGGGGCUGAGGCGCGCCGGGGCUGGGGUCGCCGGGAAGGGGGGCGCUGGGGCUGGGAUGCGCCGGGGUGGGGCGCCGGGGCUGGGAUGCGCCGGGGUUGGAGAUGGUUGGGGGCGGCCGGAAGGUUAGGAGCGCGUCGGGGGUGUUAUAGGGCCGAACGGUAACAGAAUAUCCCGUAACAGAAUAGUCCAGCCUUUUAUAUAUACAUAUAUACUAGCAAAAAGUCCGUGCGUUGCAACGGAAAAAAACAACAAUGCAAAUUUGUGGUGGACGUGUGACCUUGACGUCUCCAUCGACGCCUAGCUUCCAAUGAUAUUGUUUUUCCGGCGGGUCACAAUAUUUUGUUGAGUCCUAGCAAAUAUGUCCGUGCGCUGCAUUAGGAAAAAAAAAUCAUAAUCCCAUUCCCAACACCUCCCCACACAGCCCACGACAUCUAUUUCAACGUGACACCCCAUUUGUCGACGUUUAUCCUCUUUUCCACCGUCACCAACGGUCUAACAGGUCGUAAGGGAUCUGAACAUGGUCAAUCCCAAGGCGACGAGCUCAUCCAUCCAUUAAACCAUACCAAUACAAGAAAAUGUUUAUAACUUAAAAACACAUUCCACUUAAGCUAGGCGUGAGGGCGUCCUCAAUAAGCUACUCUAUGGUGUCCAUGUAUUGGUAAAGAAUACAAAAUCUCUUACAAACAACAUAUUUUAACUCGGUAAAGUCGUACUCCAACAUUGACCUCAAUAAUUGGAGUAGUUGAUCAGAAAAAGUGAAAUAUUAUUAUUUGCAACAAAAAUCUAAAUUGUUAACAAAUCAUCUAAUGAAAUACACAUUUCCAUCUAUUAGUCGAAUAUAAAGGAUACAAAAAUCACACUCAUUAUUUAAUAUCCUUUUUUAGGGGAACUCAUUAUUUAAUAUCACUCAUUAAGCUUUCAAUUUGCGCGUACAUGCAUGAUUGCAUGCCAUUUGAGCGUGAUAGGUAUGAAGGCUCCUGUUUUUUUUUCUAAACACCAGUUCGACUCCGACAACACACACAUUCACAUGAGGACACGGCAACAGAAUAGCUCGGCCGUGGCCAUAAUUUAAGCAUCUCUGCUUCUUUUUUAUGGGAGGUCUGCUAUUUGAUCUACUACAUAAAAACGUAGAACAGGACAUUGUAAUGGGAAAGAGAAGAUGUUUAAACGUCAAUGUGUUCCAUGUUAAUGAAAGAAACCUAUUAGUGUCCACAAGCCGUGUUAAUUUGUCGUUCAUGAAAACUGCAAGUACACAUCACUAAUUCCUCCAGCCUGUUCGUCGCUGCUACCACAAUCGUCUACUUAUCCUCUGAACCCCGCCGCCCCGGCAACGCCACCUCUGCCUCCCGCUGUGCUGUCUUGGCCGCUGCCGCCGGGCACGAGACGGCUGGAGUGCGGAUGCAGUCCGUGGAGGUGUCUUACAUGCGAAAUCAUUGUCCUCCUACGGUGCGACCUGAUCGGGAAGGACAGGCGUGCGCAGUCGUGGCCACACACGAUGCCGAGUGUUGUACGAUAUCUCGUUCGACCAGUGCAUCGGCUGGCGGCGUUCAUCGCGGACCGGGACCAUGUAGGCAUGGCACGACGGCGAACCGUCUGUUGGCGAGGCGGAUGGAGGGCAUCUUGCUCAUGCGCCGGCGGAUAGCAUGACGGCGGUCCGACUGUCGGCUAGGAGGAGGGAGAUCCUCUGGCUCCUCGACUUUCAGCUGAUGACGACACAACGGACGACAUCGGCAAGUUCCUAUAUGGCACCUAUCAUUGCCGGCACGGCCGUCUGUUGAUGCACCGCCUUCACAUAUCCAGGCCUCCGUCUCUGCCGAGACGAUAUUUAUGGGAGGAAUUGGGAAGUCGGCCAGGGAUAUCGGUGUUCGACUCCACCUGUCCUCGUCCUCUAGAGUCACGAAGAAAAAAUAGUACGUAUUGGGUAACACGGUAGCAGGGGAGCGAUGUACGAAAAGACCAAGCAGAUAAAGUCAGGUCGUGGUUAUCUCCAAUUCAUCGUUCGUCUAGCUUAACUGGACGUGGCCUUGUGGGCCAGUCUUAGUUAGAAAAAAGAAUCGAAUUUGGCAUAUAACUUGGCUGGAUGAGUUGCCCGACUGCGUGAACAAUCGUGAGGUGGGCAGAAAAAUAGUACCAUCGAAAAAAUAUAAGGACUUUUUCGCAAGCGUUUUAGUACCACCUCGUUUAUAUUACGAUUUUGUCUAUACAAAUCGUAAAAGCAUAUUAUAACAUAAGAAAAAAGCAUAUUAUGAUGGUGAACCCGACAAAGUCAAUCCGUGCUUAUNNNNNNNNNNNNNNNNNNNNNNNNNNNNNNNNNNNNNNNNNNNNNNNNNNNNNNNNNNNNNNNNNNNNNNNNNNNNNNNNNNNNNNNNNNNNNNNNNNNNNNNNNNNNNNNNNNNNNNNNNNNNNNNNNNNNNNNNNNNNNNNNNNNNNNNNNNNNNNNNNNNNNNNNNNNNNNNNNNNNNNNNNNNNNNNNNNNNNNNNNNNNNNNNNNNNNNNNNNNNNNNNNNNNNNNNNNNNNNNNNNNNNNNNNNNNNNNNNNNNNNNNNNNNNNNNNNNNNNNNNNNNNNNNNNNNNNNNNNNNNNNNNNNNNNNNNNNNNNNNNNNNNNNNNNNNNNNNNNNNNNNNNNNNNNNNNNNNNNNNNNNNNNNNNNNNNNNNNNNNNNNNNNNNNNNNNNNNNNNNNNNNNNNNNNNNNNNNNNNNNNNNNNNNNNNNGUCCGGUCAAGUUUUUUUUUUUGAAGGCGACGGUUAAUCCACUCUUCCCGUCGAUCAAAAGUAAAAAAAGAAAAAAGAAAAGAAGAAUGGAUAACCCCGGCAUUUUGGAUCUAACCGGCGAGCAGUUUUUCGGAGGCGAGCGGCGGGAGGUUUCGACGGCGAGCUGCCGGCAGCUGCUGCUGGACACGGAUGCGUGUGGCACUGGUGGUGCCCCGUUUGCCGGAGGCAGCACCGAGGCGAGCGGCUGGUGCUGCAAGAGGCUUCACGGCGGGUGGCGGCCUCUUCGGCGGCGACAGUGUGGCGACCCGCCUCCAUCCCCCGCUCCCUUCCUUGCCCGUGGCGAUGGACGAGGACCAUGGCCCGACCUCCUUCUCCAUAACCCGCACCCGUGCUCCCCUAUUUUUGCCACUGGACUCGUCGCCACGGCGGCGGCGGCCCCUGCCUCCACUCCACGCUCCUCUUCUCUUCGUCGCGCACGGCGGCAGAAGGAGGGGUUCUGAUGGGAGCAAGGCUUGCGACCCCUCCGUCACAACUGCUCCGGAGCCCGGACAAAGCCGAGGCCGUCUCUGUGAACUCUCCAGCGAGCUGACCAUUGCCCUCCUCCAUCUAAGAUGCAAGGUAGCAGCAGCAACACAGGUUCCAUGGCCUCUGUCGCAUAGCUGCCACCCAAGCCGUCCCCAGGUUCUCUCUCUCUCUCUCGAUGCUUGUCUGUAUCUUCUUAUUAGUCACUUUGCUACUGCAUUUAGAUUAAUUAGCAUAUUAUAUAGGAAGAGAAGUGUGCACCAAGCCUCAUCAGUGAAGUGAUAAAGAAUUGCAAUCAUAUCUGACUACCUUAGACAUUUACUUACUUACUUGCUAGGUUCAUGCUUCGGCUGUGCUUUCUUGUAUAAGGUUGUUCCCAGUAAGGAAACAUCUACUGUAUAUUCAGGAUCUAGGAGAAUGUUUUCUCACUCAAGUUCAGGUUGGGUUGUUGAUUAAAUAUCAGGCUGCUGAGGCGGGGGUAGACAGACCCAGGGGGGCCUUCUAACUCCCUCCUUUAAUCUCCUAUUGCUCUCCCCAUCAUUUGCCAAACAUGCCAUAUAUGAGGUGCUUUGUUUGAUGGUAGCCUGAACCUGAAGCAAAACCAGAACCAUUGGUAUUCCGAAUUUUAGGAGUGUUGUUUGAAUGCUCUUCGGUUUAUUAGUCCCAAAUUUUGGUUUGCAUCAGCCGCUUCAGGAGAUGGCCAUGGUGCGCCACAAAAUUAGCUUGAUCUUAAGAUAGUACGAGUAGGCAUACUCCCUAGCUCCUAGUGUAGCAGGCUGUACUAUGCAGCUAUCUAAUUGGAAUUCGGAACUAUUGUCUUUGGUUGUUCCAACAAAUCAGGGAUUCAGUAUAAAGCUUAUGGGUGUUUUUCUGUAUUCGAGUUUUCUCUCCUUAGUACAGGGAUAGCUUUGCCUCCAAAAUAUAUAGUGAUAACUUUACAAACCAAUGAAAAAAAAUUGUUUGCUCAAAGUUCCACCAUUGUCCUGUUCAAACUGUAAUAUUUAGAUGACAUGAAUCGUGAUCUAAGAGUUCAGUUCAGAUUUAAGGCGUGGAGAAAAAUAAUAAUCAAAUAGACUUAUGACCAUCGCCGUGUUCACUUUGUUUUGGUUUCAGCUAGCCUGAUGUCUCUGCGUAAAUAUUGAAUUAGCUGCCUGAAACUUUCUUCAUAACAUGAAAAUUUAUGAAGGGCUACCAGGUCAUCUAUAACUGGAUUAAGGAAGUGCUGAGUUAGCUCGAACAGUCUCCACAUAGAUUACUGGAUAAAUAAGAAAUUGUAUGAAGUAAUAACUUCAAAAAGGAAAUCCCAGUGCACUUUUACUUAUCACUUGCUAUGACCAUAGUAAUACAAUCAGUAUCGCCCCCUCUCCAUCAAUUUAUAUGAGUAUGUGUCUUAUUCUCCCAUCCAAUAUAUCUGCUCGAAUUAUGUGUUUAUUUGCUGUUUUCAUAUAGAACUUAUGUUCUUGUAUAAUAUUUUAACAUCACUGGCAAUCAUUGUUAGGGUACGGUGGUGGUUGGCAUUAUGUUUGAUGCGGGCUGCAUCUACUCCCACGACAACGGUCAGCAACUAGGUGUUCACCAUCGGAGUUCUUCAGUAUCGCCCCCUCUCCGUCAUGUAUGUGUAGUUUACUCUCCCAUGCCAAGUAUCUGCUUGAAUUAAGUUAGAUUCAGUAAGAAAAUUGGUUAGCUAUAUUUGGAUGGAUUGUGUCCCCAAGUGCAGAGCUGAAACAUUAUGUAUUUUAUUUUGGUCUCGUCCCCAAAUAUAUUUGUUUUGGGCAUAGCUAUCCUACAAGCUUAGUACUCGGGCUGUCAUAAUUUCUUUUGCGUAGUUUGUAUGUGCUUAAUCAGAUAUCUUAUUACUUUUGUUCAUAGAUAGAGUCAUUUAUUGAACCAUCAAACAGAGCACCUCAUCUAUGGCCUGUUUGAUGGUGGCCUGAAGAAAAACAAGAACCAUUGGUAUUCGGAUUGGUUAGGAGUGUGGCUCGAUUCAUCUUCAUUUUAAUAGUCCCAAAUUUGAUUGCAUCAGCCGCUUCAGGAGAUGUUCAUGUGCGCCACAAAAUUAGCUUGAUCUGACGAUAGUACGAGGCUACCAGCCAGCUACUCUGUAGCUCCCAGUGUAGCUGGCUGGACUAUGCAGCUAUUUAAUUGGCGUUCAAAACUAGUGCCUUUGGUAGUUCCAGCAAAUUGGGGAUUCAGUAGCGCUCUUCCGUUUUCGAGUUUGCUCUCGUUAGUACAGGGAUAACAUUGCCUCCAAAAUAUAUAGUGAUAGCUCUACGACCGAAGAAAAAAAAAUUGUUGGCUGAAGGUUCUACAAUUGUCCUGUCCAAACUGUAAUAUUUAGAUAACAUGAAUUCUGAUCCCAGAGUUCAGUUUUGAUUUUCAGGAGUGCAAAAUAACUGUAAUAUCUGCUUGAAUUAAGUUAGAUUCUAUAAGAAAUAUAGUUUCCUGAAUUUGGAUGGAUUACGUCCCCAAAUGCAGAGCUGAAGCAUUUUGUAUAAUAUUUUGAUCUCGUCCCCGGAUGUAUGGCGUUUUGGGCAUAGCUCUCCGACAAGCUUAGUACUGAGACUGUCAUAUUUUCUUUUCCCCAGUUGUAUGUGCUUAGUCAGAGUUUUUUCUUGUUUUUGUUCAUAAAUAGUGUCAUUUCUAAUUUAACUUUACUCGACAUGUACAUGUCAAUUCAUAGUUUAUGACUAUGGUUAUACAUUCAUAUUACUUUGCGCCCAUCUCCUUAUAAUAAGAAAUUGCUAUUGUUUCCAUCCUCCAUUGAUUACGGGAGGAAGAGUGUUCAGCGUUGUCAUAUACCACACACGUGAUGUCUUAAAAAGCUUGAUACAGUGCAUNNNNNNNNNNNNNNNNNNNNNNNNNNNNNNNNNNNNNNNNNNNNNNNNNNNNNNNNNNNNNNNNNNNNNNNNNNNNNNNNNNNNNNNNNNNNNNNNNNNNNNNNNNNNNNNNNNNNNNNNNNNNNNNNNNNNNNNNNNNNNNNNNNNNNNNNNNNNNNNNNNNNNNNNNNNNNNNNNNNNNNNNNNNNNNNNNNNNNNNNNNNNNNNNNNNNNNNNNNNNNNNNNNNNNNNNNNNNNNNNNNNNNNNNNNNNNNNNNNNNNNNNNNNNNNNNNNNNNNNNNNNNNNNNCCUACCCUAGGGCCCUUUAUAAACUCUUUUGUAAAUUCUCUAGUUUAGAGCUCCUUCUCUUUGCGGUUACUCUAUAACCUUUUCCUCAGUCAUGGGGAGAGAAGGAAUAGGGUGAGACUCCAGCAUUUAAUUGUAAAUUGUGAUUCAUGAGUUAAUACAUGUCAGCAGGAUUGUACGAAUCUUUCCUACUGUCUUUGAUGCUUCAAAAAAAAAAGGUUUGAUUUCUCAAUAAAUGAAACUGUAGAUUUAGGUGACUGAAAAGAGUAGGUUUUGUCCCCAAAAAUCAAUCUUCAGUGACUUCGGGCUUCCUGUGAUGGUUUAUUUUGACUACUAGCUUGUUUUAAUCUAGACUAGAUAGACUGAUGGCAUGCAUCUCCAUUACUGAUUGAAAUUCCCGGCUACAGACUAGUUUGUAUGAUUCCUUUUCUUAUGUUCCUUGAAAAAGAAAAUGUUGUGUACAAAUUUGGGUAUGAGUUUAAAUUAUCAUGACAAGCUUUUAGCUCAUAAUCUUACAGAAUUUUUAUUAGUAUACGAAGAGGAAAUCAGAAGUUUAAGGUUCCCUUUGUUCUUGUAUAAUCUGCUCAUUUUGAUCAUUUGCAUAUUUAUAUUAGUUUUUGCUCUGUUUGGUUUACUGCAUCAUUCAGAUAAUCCACGAAUGUUAUAUGUUCUUGCGUGUUGGCGCCUUGGCGGCCUCUACCUGUUUGUUGGUAUGCUUCUCACAGCGGAGUAUGUUUUUUCAAGUGUCUAUUCAAGUGGAUGACUGCUAAUAUACAAGGGAUAGAAUGUACAGUAUUUUAUUUCUAACUGGAGUGGAUUUCUGGAACAUGUCUUCUUAUUUUAUUGUUUGGCGGGUGCAAGUAAUGUUAGAUUCAAAUUUUGGGACCUUCCUUUACAGUAGCAAAAUUCAGGAUUGGCGAGAAGAAAAGUGAACAUAAAGGCUUCAGAUCUAUUAAUAGGAUACGAUGUUGCUUCCAACCCAUGGAUAUGAAUGUUCCGGUCGCCGGAGAGAUUGUUGGACAGAUGAAAUUGAUGAGAAAUCUUUGCCCCCCUGCAAAUUAAGCAGCUUGAAGACCAAGCUGAAACCUGUACGAUGGCACUGAAGUUGCGCCUCCAAAUCUCUUUGCAUCUUGAUGUAAUUAGCCCAGUAGUAUUCAGUUUUGUAGUAAUGAUUUGUGAUUUUUCCUGCUGCUGGUUACCGAGUGCCAAGUGGCAUUUAGUUUCUCCAAUGGAAUUUCAUUUGUACUCGUAUGGAUGAUUUUUAUUACGUGAGAUAUUUUGUGGAAUCAUCAGUUUUUUUUUCUACAUGGAAUAUAUUUAUUUGGCUUUGUUAUUCCUGGGCCAUGUCGUUGUUAUUCCAUGCAGUGUGAUUUAAAGGCCACCAGGUUAGUUCUUGUCUUGCUCUCAAAUUCUGUACAUUAAUGCCUCUCACGGGCCUGAUUAUCACCUUUUAAGAGGUUCCAAUAAUCUGUACGUUGGCUACAGAUUUUUCUUACGUCAUGGUUGUCCAAAUGCCUCCUGUACAGAUUUUUCUCACGCCAUGGACAUCCAAAUGCCUCAUGUAUGCUAUUUUAUACGGGUCAUAAAAUUACUUAAGAGAAAAUACAAUAUAGGAAUGCAGGCUUCUUAUAUCAUAUAAAGAAAAUUAUGAACACCUCCCCAUUCAUUGCCGUAACUAUCUUUCGUUUUUAUAGCAUGAUUUUGGUGCACGUUUCAUGGACAUGACGGAACUUGCAAGCAUGCAUUCCAUAAGAUUACGUGUUUCUCUUUGUGUGAUGGGAGACCAGUCUCUUUUCUCCCCACUGUAAUCUUACCUUAAGUAUUUUCUUUCUCACGCUUUCAAGUCUUGCCGGUGAGAUUGGGCUGGGGUGAGGAAUAAGAAUUCCUCACACUGUAUUUGUCAACCCUGGAUUGACUAUUCGUCACCCUGGGUGAGGAAUAGUUAUUCUUCACUCCCUUCUAUUUUACCACCAAUGAUUUUACGUUCCGUAAGUUUUGUCUUAUUUUUGACAUAAAAAGAGGCCGUAAGAAAAUAUAUAAUCACCGUCAAAAAUAUUUUAUGUAAUAUAAAUUACAAACGUAAAAACAUAGUGUAAAAUAUACAUAAACUCCUAAUUUUCUUGUCUUAUGACCUAUAUUUUUUCUCCUAUACCAAAUUUUACGUAGUAAAUCAAUAUGAAUGUAACUAUUUGAAUUCCAAAUGUAGUUUAAUUAUGAAGUGAUCGUAAGAUUACCUCGGGUGAAGAAUAACUUAUUCUGCACCCUGGGUGAUGAAUAGCAUUAAUAUAUAUAUUUUUGUCUUAUUUUUGACAUAAAAAGAGGCCGUAAGAAUAUAUAUAUAUAUAUAUAUAUAUAUAUAUAUAUAGAGAGAGAGUAACACUAUUCUAAUCCAGAUUAGAAUAACUAUUCGGAUCACAACCCCUAUAUAGGGCCCAAUAGGGCCCUCCCGAACUUCCCAAAACAAAAAGAACACCCCGUCUUAUCUCCCUAGAUCCCCCGCUGCCGCGGCGACCUCCCAGAUCCUCGCCGCCGCGCCCAAGCAGCCCCGUGCCCGCCCCGCCACAUCCCUGCGUCGUCGCCUGCGCACCACCGCCGCCGCGACCCACCUUCCUGCACCGCCAACUUCUCACCAACGCCGCCACCGGGAUCCACACACCUCCACGCGUCGCUGGCACCUGCGCUCGCGCGUGUCGUCGUUCCUGAGCUAGUGCGCCGCCAUAGCCAUUCCUGAGUUCGCCCGCCGCCGCCGUUCCCGAGCUCGCACCCCGCCUCUUUCCACCACUCGCCUCUCUUGGAUGAUGCCGGCGCUCCAACCUCCCUCCCCCAAGCGAGUCGCCAUACAUCACCGUGGAUCCCCAUGGCGAACCACGCUGAGACCCUGAUCUGGACUUCCAGCUCCUCCCACCUCACCAUGGGUUGGCCCCGUAUCCCGCCUCCUUUCUCGGGUCACCUGCGCACCGGGCGUCGUGCGCCACCCCCGCAGUCUGCCUUCUCCCAUGCACCGCCUCUGAGCUGGUCAUCGCGCGCCGUCCGAGCUUCCAGCCUCGUCCCUCCGCCGUCUGACGCCUCCGCAGGUCGCCUUAGUCAUCCCUUGUACAGGUCGUUGUCGAUGAUGCUGUUCUCAGCCCCUCCUACCUCAUCCACUCCACGCUCCCCUUGGUUCCUCUGCAUCUCUCGUGCGCAGCCACGACUUGUCCUCUAAUGGUUAGCGUACGACAGUGGUUGUUAAUGGAAAAUUAGACCCACCUGUGCUACUGUUGUUGUUGGUCGUCAGGUUGGCCGUGCCCAAAUCCAACGAGGAGCAGUAGUAGUAGCAGGUACCAGAGGAGAUCAAAGUAUGUGCUGUGGCGAGGAGUGUUGUUUGCAAAAUUUCCGUUGGCCUUUGAUACGUCUCCGUCGUAUCUAUAAUUUUUCAUUGUUUCAUGCCCAUAUUAUACAACUUUUACAUACUUUUGGCAACUUUUUAUAUGAUUUAUUGGACUAACCUAUUGAUCCAGUGCCCAGUGCCAGUUUCUGUUUUUUGCAUGUUUUUUGUAUCACAAAGUAUCCAUAUCAAACAAAGUCCAAAUGCAAUAAAAUUUUACGGAGAAUUAUUUUGGAAUAUAUGUGAUUUUUGGGAGUUGGAAUCACCGCAAUCAGAGGCCCACACAGCCCACAAGACACCAGGGCGCGCCAGAGGCCCCUGGCGUGUGGUGGUGGGUUGUGCCCUCGAACGUCGGUUGGAGCUCUACUUCGGGCGCAAGGAAGUUUAUAUCUGGAAAAAAAUCGUGUUAAAAUAUCAGCGCAAUCGAAGUUACGGAUCUCUCGGAAUAUAAGAAACGGUUUUCGGCCAGAUCUGGGGAACGCGUAACAGAAGAGAACAGAAAGGGAGAUCCAAUCUCGGAGGGGCUCCCGCCCCUCCGCCGCCAUAGGAGACCAUGGACCAGAGGCAGAAUUCUCCUCCCCAUCUAGGGGGAGUCCAAGGAAGAAUAAGAAGUAGGGGGGCUCUCUCCCCCUCGCUUCCGGUGGCGCCGGAGUGCCGCCGGGGCAACGAUCGGGACGACGAUCUACAUCAAUAAUCUUGCUACCGUCAACACAAACUUUCCCCCCUCUAUGCAGCGGUGUAACACCUCUUCUCCCCGCUGUAAUCUCUACUUAAACAUGGUACUCAACUCCGUAUAUUAUUUCCCAAUGAUCUAUGGUUAUCCUAUGAUGUUUGAGUAGAUCCGUUUUGUCCUGUGGGUUAACCGUGAUCUUGUUGGUAUGAUUGUAUAUUUUAUUUAUGGUGUUGUCCUACGGUGCCCUCCAUUCUCGCGCAAACGUGAGGGCCCCCCGCUGUAGGGUGUUGCAAUAUGUUCAUGGUUCGCUUAUGGUGGGUUGCGAGAGUGACAGAAGCUUAAACCCGAGUAGGUGGGCUAUGGCAUAUGGGAUAAAGAGGACUUGAUACUUAAUGCUAUGGUUGGGUUUCAUGACCUUAAUGAUCUUUAGUAGUUGCGUAUGCUUGCUAGAGUUCCAAUCAUAAGUGCAUAUGAUCCAAGUAGAGAAAGUAUGUUAGCUCAUGCAUCUCCCUCAUAUAGAAUUGCAAGAAUGAUUACCGGUACUUGUUAUCGAUUGCCUAGGGACAAAUAACUUUCUUGUUGACAAAAACCCUUUUACUAAACACCUAACUUUUAUUAUCUCGCAAAAUACUUCUCGUUUUAUUCUCGCAAAGUACUCGUAGUUUUAUUAUUGCAAACUAGUUUCAUAGUUGUUCUAGGUAAAGCAGACGUCAAGUGUGCGUAGAGUUGUAUCGGUGGUCGAUAGAACUUGAGGGAAUAUUUGUUCUACCUUUAGCUCCUCAUUGGGUUCGACACUCUUAUUUAUCGAAGAAGGCUACAAACGAUCCCCUAUACUUGUGGGUUAUCAAGACCUUUUUCUAGCGCUGUUGCCGGGAGCAAUAGCGUGGGGUGAAUAUUCUCGUGUGUGCUUGUUUGCUUUAUCACUAAGUAGUUUUUAUUUCCUGUUCUAAGUUGUUCUCUAUCUUUAGUUAUGGAUAUGGAACACAAAACACCAAAAAAUAGUGGUACUUGCUACUCACGAGAUGGGGAACCUCCUAAAACCCUCGAUGCUUGUUAUGUGAAAAAUAUUAUGCACUUCUUUAAUAAUCCUGAGAAAACCCCAUUCAACAUGAUAAUGGGAGUAACGUUGGAUCAACAUGAAUACUUUAGGGAUUAUCGCUUGACACAAAAAGGGAAACUUUUAUGGGAUCAAAUUUAUAUGUUGCAUUGGUAUGCUCGGGAUUUAUGCUUGAGAUAUGAUUUUACUUGUUGCUCUAGGAUGAAUGCUCCACACCUUCCCUUUUCAUGCAAAUUUAAUGAUAAUGAAACCUUGGCUUCUUAUGCUAAUGGUAUAUAUGAUUAUUAUGAUGUGGAACGAAUAGAAGAAUUUGUUGCUUUUAAGGAUGCUUAUGAAAUUGAAUCUUUGUUUGAAAAAUAUGAAGCUUUUGAUGAUGAUGUUUAUAGACCUGAAAAUUUUGCCAUCCUUAAAUAUUGCUAUGAUAAUUAUAAAUAUAAUUCCGAUAUUGAUGAAUUUAUUGAGAAAGUCUCCACUGUCCAAGAAGAGACUAAUAUUUUGCCGGAGUCUAUGGAAGAAGGAAUUGAUGAAACUGUGAGCUCAUUGGAUGAAAAAGAUGAUGAGGAGAGUGAAGAACAAAAGGAGGAAUAGCGGAUUAGCUACCCGUGCCCACCUUCUAAUGAGAGUAACUCUUCAACUCAUACAUUAUUUAAUUUCCCUUCGUUCUUACCGAAGGAUGAAUGCCAUGAUAAUUGCUAUGAUCCCGUUGAUUCGUUUGAAAUAUCCCUUUUUGAUGAUGCUUGCUAUGCUUGUGGCCAAGAUGCCAAUAUGAAUGAUGCUUAUGGAGAUGAACUUGCUACUGUUCCUUAUGUUAAAAAUGAAAUUUUUGCUAUUGCACCCACAUAUGAUAGUCCUAUUAUCUUUUUGAAUUCUCCCGACUACACUAUAUCGGAGAAGUUUGCACUUAUUAAGGAUAACGUUGAUGGGUUGCCUUUUACCGUUGCACAUAAUGAUUUUGAUGAAUAUAAUAGGCAUGUGCUUGCUGCUCCUACUUGCAAUUAUUAUGAGAGAGGAACUACAUCUCCACCUCUCUAUGUUUCCAACACGAUAAAAUUGCAAGAAACUGCUUAUGCUAUGUAUUGGCCUUUACUUGAUGUGCAUGAAUUGUUCUUGUAUGACAUGCCGAUGCAUAGGAAGAGAGUUAGACUUCGCCAUUGCUUGAUAUAUGUUGCUUUGUGCUCACUACUAAAUGCCAAAUCAUUGUUAAUUAAAAUUGGCUUUGAUAUACCUUGGGAUCCGGGUGGAUCCAUUACUUGAGCACUGUAUGCCUAGCUUAAUGGCUUUAAAGAAAGCAAUGCCAGGGAGACAACUCAGAAGUUUUAGAGAGUCAUUUAUUUCUAUUGAGUGCUUUUAUAAAGUUUAAAAACAAAAAAUAUAGAAGGGAACUUAAAACUUCACAAAAAGAAAAGUGAAAGUGAGAAGGACGAGCACCGUGGAAGCGGGAGCUAGCCUUGAACUUUGUUCAUGCCCUUGGAAACUUUGUGAAUCUUAAUUACAGAAACUUUUCAACAAAAAUAAUUAUCCCCUUGUACAAUUCCAUUGUAUUAUAAAAAUAAUGUGCCAAGAUUUGCCUUUAGGAUGUUUAAAUUGCUUGUUGGUUUGUGCGGUGCAAAACAGAAACUUUGGCUGUAGUGUGCGAUUUUACAUUUUUUACUGGAAUAUCAAACGGUUCUGAAACCUUUUGCACUGUCUUUCUAUAAAUUUUUUUUAUUUUUCCUAUUUUUUUCAGAAUUUUUUAAGUUACAGAAGUAUGGUGGAUGUUCAAAUCUUUACAGACUGUCCUGUUUUUACAGAUUGUUGUUAUAGCUUCAUUAUUUGCAUAUGUUUGAAUUCUUGUUAAAGCCUCCUUGACUUGAGGCCAUAGAAUUGUGAUAGCAUACAGUGGGUAAUGUUUUUUAUAAUUAUACAAUAAUGUUUUGGCAGUACAUGAUGGGAUUUCAUUGCCAUAUUCACUAACCCCGCCACUAAAAGUUCGGUUAAGUUUUGUGUGGAUGAAGUGUUCGAAGAUCGAGGAGGUCUCGAUGUGAGGAGAAGUAAGAGAGGCAAGAGCUCAAGCUUGGGGAUGCCCAAGGCACCCCAAGUAAAUAUUCAAGGAGACUCAAGCAUCUAAGCUUGGGGAUGCCCCGAAAGGCAUCCCAUCUUUCUUCAACAAGUAUCGGUAUGUUUUCAGAUUCGUUUCAUUCACGUGAUAUGUGUAAAUCUUGGAGCGUCUUUUGCAUUUAGUUUUCAUUUUUCUUUUAUGCUCCAUGCUGGUAUGAGAUAGUACAUGGUUGAUUUAUAGAAUGCUCAUUGCACUUCACUUAUAUCUUUUGACUAUGGCUUUAUAGAAUGCUUCAUGUGCUUCACUUAUAUCGUUUGAAGUUUGGAUUGCCUGUUUCUCUUCACAUAGAAUACCAUUGUUUGAAGAAUGCUCUUUUGCUUCACUUAUAUUUAUUAGAGCAUGGUCUUUUGUAGAAAGAAUUAAACUCUCAUGCUUCACUUAGAUCUAUUUAGAGAGUCAACAGGAAUUGGUCAAUUGCAUGGUUAGUCAUAAAAUCCUACAUAAAACUUGUGGAUCACUGAAUAUGAUAUGUUUGAUUCCUUACAAUAGUUUUGCGAUAUAGAGAUGGAAUAUGUGGGAGGUACUAGUAAACGGUUGUGGUUAGUAGGAAUAUUGGUGUUAAGGUUUGUGAUUCCCGAAGCAUGCACAUAUAGUCUCUCGUUAUUCUAUGAAGUUGGAGGAUGAUUUAUUAUUGAUUGUCUUCCUUAUGAGUGGCGGUCGGGGACAAGCGAUGGUCUUUUCCUACCAAUCUAUCCCCCUAGGGGCAUGCAUAGUAGUACUUUGCUUCGAGGGCUAAUAAACUUUUGCAAUAAGUAUAUGAGUUCUUUAUGACUAAUGUGAGUCCAUGGAUUAUACGCACUCUUACCUUUCCGCAAUUUGCUAGCCUCUACGGUACCGUGCAUUGCCCUUUCUCACAUCGAGACAUGGUGCAAACUUCGCAGGUGCAUCCAAACCCCAUGAUAUGAUACGCUCUAUCACACAUAAGCCUUAUUAUAUCUUCCUCAAAACAGCCACCAUACCUACCUAUUAUGGCUUUUCCAUGGCCAUUCCGAGAUAUAUUGCCAUGCAACUUCCACCGCUUUCGUUUGAUGACUUAAGCAUUCAUUGUCAUAUUGCUUUGCAUGAUCAUAUAGCUGACACAGUAGUUGUGGCUCAGCCACCGUUCAUCAUUUUUCAUACAUGUUAUGCUAGAUCAUUGCACAUCCUGGUACAUGCCAGAGGCAUUCAUAUAGAGUCGUAUUUUGUCAUAGGUAUCGAGUCGUAAUUUUUAUUUCUUUUGAGUUAUAAGUAAAUACAAGUGUGAUGAUCAUCAUUAAUCAUUUUUAGAGUAGUGCCCCAGUGAGGAAAGGAUGAUGGAGACUAUGAUUCCCCCACAAGUCGGGAUGAGACUCCGGACAAUAAAAGAAAAAAAAGAAAAGAAAAAAAAUAAAAAAAAGAAAAAAAUAAAAGAAAGAAAAAGAAAGAAAGAAAGAAAAGAAAAAUAAAUAAAUAAACAAAGAGAGAAGGGGCAUUGUUAGUAUCCUUUACCACACUUGUGCUUCAAAGUAGCACCAUGGUUUUUAUAUGGAGAGUCUCCUGUGUUGUCACUUUCAUAUACUAGUGGGAAUUUUUCAUUAUAGUAUUAGAUGCACACCCACUUAGUUUUCAUAUUGAGCUUUCAUACACUUAUAGCUCUUAGUGCAUUCGUUGCAUGGCAAUCCAUACUCCUCGCAUUGAUAUCAAUUGAUGGGCAUCUCCAUAGCCCGUUGGUUAGCCGCAUCGGUGUGAGACUUUCUUACUUUUUUUCUUCUAUAUACUUACCCCUAUCAUCAUACUCUAUUCCACCCGUAGUGCUAUAUCCAUGGCUUGAACUCAUGUAUUGCGUGAGGGUUGAAAAAGCUGAAGCGCGUUAAAAAGUAUGAACCAAUUGCUCGUCUUGUCAUCGGGGUUGUGCAUGAUAAAUACUUUGUGUUAAGAAGACAGAGCAUGACAAGACUAUAUGAUUUUGUAGGGAUAGCUUUCUUUAGCGUUGAUAUUUUGAAAGACAUGAUUGUUUGUUGGGAUGCCUGAGUAUUGAUGUCUUUAUGUCAAAUUAUAGACUAUUGCUUUGAAUCACUUAUGUAUAAUAUUCAUGCCAUGAUUAGAUAUAUGAUCAAGUUUAUGCUAGGUAGCAUUCCACAUCAAAAAAUAUCUUUUUUAUCAUUUACCUGCUCGAGGACGAGCAGGAAUUAAGCUUGGGGAUGCUUCGUAUCUAUAAUUUUUGAUUGUUUCAUGCCAAUAUUAUACAACUUUUACAUACUUUUGGCAACUUUUUAUAUGAUUUAUUGGACUAACCUAUUGAUCCAGUGCCCAGUGCCAGUUCAUGUUUUCUGCAUAUUUUUUGUAUCGCAGAGUAUCCAUAUCAAACGAAGUCCAAAUGCAAUAAAAUUUCACGGAGAAUUAUUUUGGAAUAUAUGUGAUUUUUGGAGUUGGAAUCACCGCAAACAGAGGCCCACACAGCCACAAGACAUCAGGGCGCGCCAAAGGCCCCUGGCGCGUGGUGGUGGGUUGUGCCCUCCUCGAACAUCGGUUGGAGCGCUACUUCGGGCUCAAGAAAGCUUAUAUCCAGGGAAAAAUCGUGUUAAAAUCUCAGCGCAAUCAGAGUUACGGAUCUCUCGGAAUAUAAGAAACGGUUCUCGGCCAGAUCCGGGGAACGCGGAAGAGAAGAGAACAGAGAGGGAGAUCCAAUCUUGGAGGGGCUCCCGCCCCUCCGCCGCCAUAGGAGACCAUGGACCAGAGGCAGAAUUCUCCUCCCCAUCUAGGGGGAGGCCAAGGAAGAAUAAGAAGUAGGGGGGCUCUCUCCCCCUCGCUUUCGGUGGCGCCGGUGUGCCGCCGGGGCAACGAUCGGGACGACGAUCUACAUCAAUAAUCUUGCUACCGUCAACACAAACUUUCCCCCCUCUAUGCAGCGGUGUAACACCUCUUCUCCCCGUUGUAAUCUCUACUUAAACAUGGUACUCAACUCCGUAUAUUAUUUCCCAAUGAUCUAUGGUUAUCCUAUGAUGUUUGAGUAGAUCCGUUUUGUCCUGUGGGUUAACCGUGAUCUUGUUGGUAUGAUUGUAUAUUUUAUUUAUGGUGUUGUCCUACGGUGCCCUCCAUUCUCGCGCAAACGUGAGGGCCCCCCGCUGUAGGGUGUUGCAAUAUGUUCAUGGUUCGCUUAUGGUGGGUUGCGAGAGUGACAGAAGCUUAAACCCGAGUAGGUGGGCUAUGGCAUAUGGGAUAAAGAGGACUUGAUACUUAAUGCUAUGGUUGGGUUUCAUGACCUUAAUGAUAUUUAGUAGUUGCGUAUGCUUGCUAGAGUUCAAUCAUAAGUGCAUAUGAUCCAAGUAGAGAAAGUAUGUUAGCUCAUGCCUCUCCCUCAUAUAGAAUUGCAAGAAUGAUUACCGGUACUUGUUAUCGAUUGACUAGGGACAAAUAACUUUCUUGUUGACAAAAACCCUUUUACUAAACACCUAACUUUUAUUAUCUUGCAAAAUACUUCUCGUUUUAUUCUCGCAAAGUACUCGUAGUUUUAUUCUUGCAAACUAGUUUUAUACUUGUUCUAGGUAAAGCAGAGGUCAAGUGUGCGUAGAGUUGUAUCGGUGGUCGAUAGAACUUGAGGGAAUAUUUGUUCUACCUUUAGAUCCUCCUUGGGUUCUACACUCUUAUUUAUCGAAGAAGGCUACAAAUGAUUCCCUAUAUUUGUGGGUUAUCAGCCUUCUCUAGUUGCGUCCUCGUUACUGCUGCUCCAGACAAGUAUGGACUGCAGGACGCCUCCGCAGCAUGACCAAGUGUCAGUCUUUUUCUCUGAACCUCUUCCUUUCUGCUUGCACACUCUGAACUUGUUGCACCUGCCGUUAUGUGCUCCACCAAGGAUGGCAAAAGAAAUUUCUAUUUUUCCUUUAUAGUGUGUGUUUUUAUUAGAAAAAAUAAGAGAAGUUCAGUUUGUAACGAUGACAUAAAAAGGGCAUGAAUUCCACUUAGAGAAACCAAGGAUUGUUCCCUGUUGUAACCUCCGUUAGUUCAAGACUAAAAAUGUAUUUGUAUUGGGAAUUUGAUUUUGUAUCCCUCCAAUUUAAUGAGAACUAGCGGUAGCAUCUGGAAUCUCUUCCAAAACAUUUUCUAAUGCAGGGCAAACAAAAAUGGGCACAUUAUUUUGCUCGGCACUGAUGUGCAUGUCGUCGCCGCCAUUGCAUCCUCCAGCUCAACCCCACCGUUGCAGUCCAACGACUCCAGUUGCAGUCGUUCGUCACUGUCGUGCGAGGUAAGAUGGAUCUCAACAUCUUGCUCAUCCUUGUCGCAGCCAUGGCUCCCGGCAGGCCGCUGCCUUGUGACGAGGAUGUCGGUGUCCCGCACGAACCCCACAGUGCUCCGCCACCGGGACCCGGCCUGCAAAGCACUGGUUGUUCACCGCCGUCGGGCCACCACUCCCUGGAUCGGGGCCGCUAUGCUCGCGAGAUGUGUGUGCGCUAAUUGACGCUGAUCGAUGCUCAUCUCCUCCCUCAUGUAUGCAUCAACAAAAAUUGUGUGGGUCGUUGCAGUCCAAGUCGUGCCACAGCAGCAGGGCGACUCUUCCAGGACGCAUCUCAUCUCAACCAGCUCCAAUUUUGCGUGCACGGGGUGGUGGGUGCUGCUCUAGCGAGCUCCUUCGUCCCCGGCCCGUCCCUGAAUGUGGAUGCAUCACCGCAGGUUCCCUACCCACCGUGCCUCCUCUCUGCUUCUUCACUCUCCAAUUCUCUAGUUUUUUGUGUGUGCACGCAAAAUGUUGGCUAAAAUGUCUCAGUGCACUAGUACUAGUUUUGUGUGUUCGUUUUCCCUUCUAGCUUAGUCCUUACCUGCUAAUUGAUAUGGCUUGGAUUACUUAAGAGUGUUUUUCAUGUAUGUUCUACACUUCAGGUACAAGUUCACCCUGCAUCCCUGACGUAGCGCUGCUCCGGCUCCUCCCCCGCUUGCUGCCAGGUCUGUCUCUCCUUCCUCCCCUACUCGCUAUCUUGUGCGGAGGUGGACGCGGCUACCUGAUGGAGCGAAGCCGGCCUCCCAGCACUGGCAGUUGCAAAAGAAAAUAACAAUAGCAAGUUCAGAAUAAGAAAAAUGAGAAAUUCAAGAAGAACAAAGAUGUUGCCUUCACUCAAGUGCUUGCAAAUUGCUAGGCUGUAGCUCGUAUAUUGUUUGCAACUAUCUUCAAUUUCUUCAGUAGCUCGUACACAUUUUGCCAAAAGCUAUUACUUUCAUAAUCGUAAAGUUGAUAGUUGGCUCGCAGGGACAACCAUGUUGAUCGUGAUUGAAAAAGGAUUAUGAAAUAAUAUUAUUGAGACUGAAGUCCAACUUUGAUGCACGAUGUCAGAGGAUUCCAAGUCUUUUUCUGAGGCGGUCGAUGGCUUUCGAGAGAUGCAUUCAUAUCUCAAAAGUUUCCAGGGGUUCAAGUUCAUCUAUAUAAGAAGGAAUGCCAAUUUUGUUGCACAUUUGUGUGUGAAAGAGGCACUAAAACUUGAUGUACUCGCUAUUUCUUUUCUUGUAACGCCUACCUACCUGAUUGAGACUAUUCAAUCACAGUUAUUUUUGCCUGCCAUGCCCUGGCACCUCCUCCAUCUUAGACUAGUCACAAUGGGGAGUAACUUAGAGUAGUAACAUGCAUAUGUUACUAGUCUAUGUUACUACCUCCACAGUGGGUAGUAACAUAUAUGUUGUGUCAUGCAUCACUUCAUUUAUUAGGUUGUAGACUCAUCUUUUCUUCAUAUGUGUGAUGUUAUAGUAACUAGCUAUGUUACCACAUGUCUCUCUUUCUUUAUUAAUUACAUGCCACAUCAUCUAUCUUGCCUAGAUAAGUGUGAUGUUAUCACCUAUGUUACUCCCAUUGUGAGUAGUCUUAGUGCCGCCGUCACGACCCAGCCUCCAUUUGCUGGUCGCUGCUUGCUGUUGUUGCUGUGGCCUGCCUCGCCCUCUAGCUAAUGUUGGUGCGCUACUAUUGAAGUUCAACUAAAUGCUAGAGAGAGAUUUCUGCGAGAGUUUAGCUACUAUAGUCCUUGGUUUUGUGUUUGAACUUGCUGUUGUCCAUGGCUAAAGAUUAUGAUGUGGCUUUUCUGCAGAUGGUCUUCCUGUAGAUAUAUCAUUUUCCAUCCUCAUUAUGUCAUUGUUACGGAGGUGGUCGGGAGGAUCAGGAGAGAGGUGGUGCGGGAGGAAGGGUGGGCCGCUCGGAGGGGUUAGAUGGACCCACCAGUUUUUCUUUUUCGGUGUUUCUGCGGUCUCAGAAACAUGUGCAUCGCCCCUAGGGGAUGAUGAGUAUUUCUGUACGCAUAUAAAAGAGAAUACAAAGAAAUUGAUCUAUUUUUUGUGCUUGUACAACCGUGUAUUUUUCUCUUUUUUAUUUAUUUUCCUAAGGCCAAGAAAUUGUGUUCGAGAAGGUCAAGUUUGAGGUAGUUCAUGAAUUGUUUAUUCAAAACAAAAUGUAUGUAAGUACGUCUCCCAUCAAGAAAAAGGCGAAGGUAUAUUAUUAAAAGUUAAAGCAACUAUGAUUUUUGUUCUAGAAAUACAUCCAAGAUAUACAAAGUAAAAAAAGCAAUUGUGAGCCACGUUAAAUUGUUGUUUCUUAUUUUAGCUAAAAGAAAAAGAUAUUUCAAAGCACUAAAAUAAAAUAAAAACACCCACAUCUUUGUAGUUCUAUUUCAUCAUGCGUGAGAGUCCAAAAUGAAUAGUUCUUGAAAAGUGCACGUCCACAAGUGCGUUAAAAAUGCACACAUAAUGUUCAUAUACGAUAUUUGCAAAAAGGUCAAAAUAUGAAAUGCAAAAAUAAAGUUUGUACAUGAAUAAAUUCAGAUGGUAUCAUGUAAAAAAAUUAUCAAAUACAAAAACGUUUAUAUGUGUGCGAAAAAAUGUUUAGUUCUUAUUUCCCCAAUCAUAACAAAAAAGAAAACUCAGAAGUUCAACUUUAAUAAAAUGAGUAGUUCAAACUUUACUUAUUCUCUAAAACCAAGAAGUCCAAAUUUAAAAAAUGGAGUGGUAUGAUGUUUAUAAAAACUCAGAUUUUACUCUUUACAAAAAUCCUCCGAAAAGUUUCGUUAUUAAAGUGGUUUUAUGUUUAUUACAAGACUGAAUUUUUUCUGCUACCAAGAAAUAAAACCAAGAAGUCCAAAUUAAAAAUAUGGAGAAGUUCGAUGAUUAUAGGAACUAUUAUUUUCCUCGUUAUUUAAGAAUGAAAACAAGAAGUUCAAAAUAAAGUAAAGCAAUAUUUCAAUGAAUAAAAAAUGGAAAAUCUGAAUCUGCUGAUGGGAAGAACAUAAGAAGUUCAGACAAAAAUAACGCAAUAGUACAAAAAUAGGAGAGCACUUUGAAACAGAUAUUUCACCGUUUCUAAUGAAAAAUAAUAAGUUCGAAUUUUAAACAUAGAGUAGUUCAAAAAAUCAUAAAAAACGGGAUCAUCAGCAUUUCUAAAAAACUCUAGAAGUUCAAAUUUAAAUAACGGAACUAUUCAAUAUUUAUUACAAAACUAGGAUUUUGCCAUCACUGAAAGAAUAAACCAAGAAGUCCAAAUUACAAAAAUAGAGAAGUUCGAUAUUUAUAAAAAACUCAGAUUUUCCUUGUCACUAAAGAAUAAAAAUGACGAAGUUCAAACUAAAAAAGAGGAGUAAUUCGAUGUAUAUGGGAAACUCAAAUUAUUACCGUUUCUAUGAAAAAUAAAACAAUGAAGUUCAAUUUUAAAAAGAAUGUUUGAUGCUUAUUUAAACACAUAUUUCCUUUCUAAGAAUAUGACUAAGAAGUUGAAAUUAAAAUAACAGAGAAGUUCGAAGUAUAUAAAAAAACUCAGAUUUGUUGCAAGAAGUUCACGUCACCUCCGUGCACGGUUCAUAAUUUAUAUUGCGGGACGUCCGUCCUCCAAUUAAAUGUUUUAAAAAAUGGUAAAAAAUGACGUCCAGCCUUCAAUUGCGUGUAAUUCGACGUAUACACAAAAAUGUUGGCUGAAGUUCAUAGUGAAAACAACGAGAAGUUCAAUUACUGCAAGGAAUGCAUUUCCGGUGAAAAUAAAAGUAUAGAAAAAUAAAAGCUUAAAAAGUUUGUUGAAAGAAGUUCAAGUGCUCUGUCCAGGGAAGUUCAAAAAAAAUUGCAAGAGAGGUUCACCUUGUAUUUUCAUGUUUAAAAACACAAAAAAAAUGUGUUUUAAAACAAUUCUCUCAAUCCACAAAGAAGUUCAGUUAUUAUUUGGGAGUAAUUUGAUUUAAAAAAUAAAAUAAAAAAUUCAAAUUAUAAAAAGGAAAAAGUUUAUGUACUACAUGGUGUGUGUUUAAUAUGAGAUUUUUUUUGCUAUAAGUUCAAGUACUCUGUGGGAGAAAGUUAAAAAAAUAUUGUGAGAGAGGUUUGUAAAAAAGGAAUAUCAUUUGUGUAACACCGACAAAUGGAUGAGAAAAUUAGAAACAAAAAUACGUCACAGAAGUUCAACAUGAAAAGAACAGGAAGUUCAACUACUACACUGAAUGAAUUUCAGACGAAAUUUUUAAAAAUCGUCGCGAGUAUGAAAAAAUGAUCAACACGGAAAAGUUGCGUGUUUACAGCAACUUUCCAUCGGUAUAUCACUUGCUCAAUUCCGGUGAGUGGAUGGAGAGCUACGAGCCAAAAAAACACGUGAAAAAUAGAGUGAAGUUCAAGUAGACAUACCGAGAAGUUCAAGUUCUUCACAAGGUGCAUUUUCGAAUAAUCUGUUUCGCAAUAAAGGCGGAAUGCAUGAUCUCACUAUUUUAAAAAUUACUUCAAAACAGCUAGGAAUCAGAGAAAACCAAUAACAUGAAAAAAUUUCGCAUUUUUCGUAGCUUUUUAACAGUGUAUUAUUUACCCCAUUCCGAUAAAGUUUGUAGAAAUUACGGCGAAAAUACGCUUUUUGCCAUUUUAAAAAUUGAUUUUAAACCGUAAAGAUUUAGGAGAAACAAUAUAUAAGAAAAAAUUUCGCAUUUGUCCUAGCUUUCCAACGCCAUAUCAUUUGCUACAUUCGGACAUACGGUUAAAAAAUUAGCUGGAAAAUAAGAACUCGGUGAAACUUGUACCGUUUUCUAAAUUACUUUUAAACCAUUCAAAUUAGAAAAAUAUUUCAAAAUGAAAAAGUAGCGCAUUUUCAUAAGCUUUCCAAUGCCAUAUUAUUUGCCUCAAUUGGAUUAGCCGUUUAGAAAUGAUAUCGAAAAUACGAACUCAGCUGUUCGGUUUGUGAAAUUUUACGAUUUUCAAAAUUACUCUUUAACCAUAGGGAAUUAGAGAAAACUAUCAACAUGUGGAAGGAGCGGUUUUGCAGCAGUUUUCCAACGUCAUAUUAUUUGCCUCAUUCCGACAAACGGUUUAGAAAUGCGAUAGAAAAUACGAUUCACGUAUUUUGUAUGAAGAAAAAACGAUUUUCAAAACUACUCUUAAACCGCUGACAUUUUGCCAAAAAUUCAACUUGGGUCAUGAUACUCGUGUCCAUAGCUUUUCAAUGGUAUAUCGCAAGCCCCAUUUUGCAAUGUUGGCUGAAGUUCAACCUAACCCUUGAAGAAGUUUAGGUCGAACAACUCAGACAGUAAAAUUGUAACAGACGCAUGUUCAUCACGACUCGAGAGUAAAAUCCGCCAAUGAGCGAGAUUCCUAUUUAAAACGGACAUUUACUUCCUAAAAACUGUUUGGAGAUUACACUUACAUCACAUAGAACACAACUAACAAAAAAAUCACGCGAGGAGACACGGUUGCGAAGAUAGCCCGAAGGUCAGGUUCCUACAGCGNNNNNNNNNNNNNNNNNNNNNNNNNNNNNNNNNNNNNNNNNNNNNNNNNNNNNNNNNNNNNNNNNNNNNNNNNNNNNNNNNNNNNNNNNNNNNNNNNNNNNNNNNNNNNNNNNNNNNNNNNNNNNNNNNNNNNNNNNNNNNNNNNNNNNNNNNNNNNNNNNNNNNNNNNNNNNNNNNNNNNNNNNNNNNNNNNNNNNNNNNNNNNNNNNNNNNNNNNNNNNNNNNNNNNNNNNNNNNNNNNNNNNNNNNNNNNNNNNNNNNNNNNNNNNNNNNNNNNNNNNNNNNNNNNNNNNNNNNNNNNNNNNNNNNNNNNNNNNNNNNNNNNNUAUAUAAACUCUAUUAAUAACCCAGGGUGAAGAAUAAUGGUCGGUCGAUCGAGCUGAAUAGCCGAUUCCUCCGUCGCAUCCGUGGGGUGGUGUAAUUUUACCUUUUCUUUAUGACGGUCCCUCCUUUUACUUUUUUUUUUGCUUGGUCGUGCUGUUUGGAUCACGCCCACUACCAGCCGAAUCAAAAAAAAGAUCCAAGGGAUUCAGUCAUGUUCUAAUCAACAACUGCGGCGAGCGGUUUGGGGCUAGGCGAGCGGCGGCCAUCGUCCGACAGUGAUACGAGUGGGCCCGGCGGGAGCUCGGCCUCCAGCGCCGUUCUCUCAAGCCCGGUGUGGUGGACGACGCCUCGCCGGCGAUGAACACCUGGCCACACCGCCACAGUCGGGCGCAGUCCGCGAGUCAGGGGUUGGAGGCGUCCUCGUCUAGUCGACGAGCUGGUUAUGGUCGGGAGGGCAGCGCGUCGUGGCUGCUGCGUGAAGAGGUACUUCAUCGCUUUUCGGUAGAUGCCCCCAAAUGAUUAUGCUUUAGGAUCCAGCCCUUUCAAUUUGAUUCUAUUUUACGGAGCUAUGGUUGAUUCUCACUACAACUUCACCAUCGAUUGCUUUAUUAUGCCUGACUACCUACGUAAAUCAAGAUCCCGCAGGCUGGCAUCCAUGGCUGGAUAUGCUUCAGUAGCCUCACUUUAUUUUCUUUAUUUUUUUGCGGGGUAGCCUCACUUUAUUGCCUCGAUGUUGCCGGUCGAUGGCCGUAGCCUUAUUCGUUUUGCCUCAGAUCUUGGACUAUUGCUUCAGGAGCAAACACAUAUAACAAUAAAUCAGACGCAUGCAGGCAAUACUUCACUGCACACGAUAUAUUUGAUCCGGCAACUAGUUUAUCCAUAUCGUUGAUUGAUGCGGAACAAACAUACUAAUGGUCAAUUUCGCAAUUCAGUUCUUGUUCUCGCCCACUAAUAAUAAUAAAAAGCGACGAAAUCCUUAUCCGUCACUUGCUGCUAGUAAUCCCGAAAAGAAACCAAGCAAAGGUUUGGGAGUAAAAACUAAUUCCUUGCCCAAUACACUACUAAGUCCCUCCUCUAAAGUCAUAUCCCUCUUCCCAUUAUUACCAAAUACUCCCUCCGUCCGGAAAUACUUGUCGGAGCAAUGGAUGUAUCUAGAUGUAUUUUAGUUCUAGAUACAUUCAUAUUUAUGCAUUUCUUCGACAAGUAUUUCCGGACGGAGGGAGUAGGCUAUAGAUGAGUUGCUCGGGUGGCCUGAAGCAAAACAAGAACCAUUUGUACUCCAAUUGGUUAGGUGCGUGGUUUUAUUGUUCUUCAGUUUAUUAGUGCGAAGUUGGUUGCAUCAUCCGCUUCAGGAGAUAGUCAUGUGCGCCACGAAAUUAGCUUCACCUAGAGAUAGUAUGAGCAGGCAUACCUCCUAGUCUAGCUAGCUGGGCUAUGCAACUAUCUGAUUGUUUUUUUUAGAAAAGAAGGAUGACCCCCGGCCUCUGCAUCUGGGAGAUGCAUGUGGUCAUUUUAUUAAUUAUUCUCGAGGACCUUACAAAGUAGAACAACAAUAUGCCUGAAUCCGCCAUCUUGGCAACUUCUGCCGCUACUCCUAUCCAAAUGAUGAAGGGGUGCAAGUUGGGCCACAUACCCAGAGCUCUCACCUAAGCCUAACAUCUAAAGCCGAAGUCCCCGACCGAGCCAUCUGCCGGGUCCGGGGCUCAAACCGGUCCGACGCACUCACAUCUGUCGUCGCCGCCAUCUUCCACUGGUCCAUCUUCAGAGCAGCUAUCUGAUUGUAAUUGAGGACUAGUGUCUUUGGUAGUUCCAACAAAUCAGGGAUUCAGUACGAAGCUUAUUGGCAUUCGGUAUUCGAGUUUGUUUGUUUUGCCUCCAUAAUAUAUGGUGAUAUCUAUAUAAACCCAAGAAAACAUAUGUUGGCUUUUCAGCUCUACCAUUGUCCUGUACAAACUGGAAUAGUUGGAUAACGUGAACCGUGAAUAAGGGUUCAGUUAUGUUUUAAGGAGUGGAGAAAGAAUAUUUCAAGUAGGCUCAUGACGAUCACCUAUUCACUUCGAUUCUGUUUUCAGCGGCUUGAAUUGGGCAAUUAAGCGUUGGCUAUAAGAUAAAUGGGUACCCACUGAUUUUGGGAUUUAUGUUAGCUUGAAGACAACAGUUUAUACCCAAAUAAAGUGAAACAAACAUUAUCUCUAGUACUGAGAUGAGAAGUAUCUCAGGUCUGUAGGUGCAGAAUCAGGGUGGACUAUAAUGGAGCAUAUGCAUUAGCUUGAAGACAAUAGUUUAGCUCAAAGAAGAUGAAUCAAACAUUAUAACGAGCACUGAGAUGAGAAAUAUUUCGGAUCUGUAAGUGCCGAAUCAGGAUAUAUUAUAAUGUGGCUUAGCUAUAUUUUAUUUUGGUGAUGCCGACUAACCUAUGACUAGCUAUGCAGCUUUUCAUGUAAAAAUAAAGGAAAAACUUGGCUUAUUUUCUACUCCCUCCGUUUCAAAAUAUAAGCCCUUUUAGAGAUUUCAAUGCAAACUACAUACGGAUGUAUAUAAACAUAUUAUAGAGUAUAGAUUCACUCAUUUUGCUUCGUAUGUAGUCUAUAUUGGAAUCUCUAAAAAGGCUUAUAUUUAGAAACAGAGGGAGUACAUGCCGCCAAGGCAUAAUUUCUGAUCCAUUGUAGAACGGAAUUUUUUCUGUUCAUGCAUGAGAAUACACACAUAAACCAUUUAUUACUGAACGAAGAAUCCUUUUAUCAAGUUUCUACUUUGUACUGGAGCUUUCAGAUUUAGCAUCUGUUUUGGCACCUUACGGAAACAGACAUAAUUUACUGUUUAUUUCCAGCCAUUGAUUCUACAGCAUAUCUACGCACCACUUCUUUUUCAGAUUCUUGUAAACUGUAUGACAUUGAUUUUGAUCUUCUAUAACAUUUCUCCUGUCUUUCAGAACUAUCCAUUCAAAUAUCAGGUAUUCUGGGUAAUCUUUUGUGAUGUCAUGUUUAGCACAAUAAUUUUCUGAGUAAAUCCAACGUUCCAGGAAUCUUUAUAUUUUAGUUGCAUUUAUUGCACGAUCUAGAAGAGAAGCUUCGAUUUUGGCAAUAGACGCUGCAGAAAGUUGUUGCUAGUUUUGGAGGUUUAUAUGUGAUAGUUCUCGUGUCCUAUGUGUGAGCAGCAGUACAAGUGAGUUAACAUGUUUACGAGUUUAUCACAUGGUUUUCUCAAACAAAAAAGUAGCUUCCUGAUGAAUCAGAUGCAUUUCUGUGUGGUGCUUCAGCUGAUGCGUCGCUUGUCAGGCCUGUCGUGGAUAAUCGGUGCAUGGUAGGAAGAACAAUGGCAAAACGAGGACGGACUGAAGGCAGCAGAUUCCGUGUUGGUCGGAGGGGAAGACGUUGUCUUUAUCUAAGUGCCUCCUGCAACCAUCUCCUUGUAGCCUCAGAUAAUGACUUCAGGUAGGGCAGACCGAGUGACAUAACUGUAACUGUGAUAAUCAUUUUAGUAAUCUUAUUUGAUGACAUUUCUGGAGGGAUAUGUUCCUCAGCUGUUCAUAUUAAUGUUUCUUACUGUCGUCGGCUAAAAUUUCACAUUCAAACUGAACUUGUUAUCACAGAAGUUAGGACGAGAUUUUUUUUGUUCAAUGGUAGCUUCUAUUUUUUUUCAUUUAUUUGUUGUGUCUGGUACCCACCAUAUUGUUUCUGGGAAGAAGUAUCCUCCAUAUCCCAGUCACACAUUGACUUUCUUGGUGGUCGUCUUGUCGUUGUCGUUCUCCCUUGUAGAUGGAGAUGGCCGUAUAAAUGGCAUGCCCAAUGUUUCACCAACCUCAAGCAGGGAGCCACCAUUACCUUGUGUUCGGAUUGGUUACCAUAAUCAAAUCCUUUUUUGCCUCACCCGCAAAAAAAAAAGAAAUCCCUUUUUGCCCAUUUAAAUUAGUUGGCUCGAUUUUGUUGAUAAUUGAGUUUGAUUGGCAGUAUAUACUCCAGUGUCUUCGUUGUUCUGAUUUAUAAUCUAAUUGCCAGGAUGUUUGCUAUAUUUUUAGUAUGUAGAUCGUGGGAGAUAAAAAUGGCUUCAUGUGGUGGUUAAUGUUAAAUCAUAUUCCACCUGCUCACGAUGUGCAAGAGAUAAAAAUGGCUUCAUGUGGUGGUUAAUGUUAAAUAAUAACCCGGACGCUGCUACGCAGCGCCCGCGCGCUAUGCGGGUGGAUGUCGCGGCCGCCAUAUUAGGAAAGUCAAUCCUGUCGGUCCCCACCCAUGUGCUAAAAAGGCAGGCCCACCUCCCCCUCGUUUCCACGUCCCAACAAGCAGCGACCGAUCUGCCUCACGUGAUCUUUCCCCUCCCCCACUCACCCACCACAAGAAAAACCCUACGUCCCACAAGCGCAGAUAUGCAACUUCUUGUUUCCAUCCCCAGCCGCCGCUGGACGCCAUGGCCUAGCGUUGGGGACCUCCCCUCCCACUGCGAAAAACAGAGUAAAAAAGGCCAAAAAUCAAAGCGAAAAAUCCUGGGGGAAAUUCUGGAAAACACAAUUGUGUCUGCAACUCUUUCGUGCUGACCAGGCAAAAAUUCUGGAGAUCGAGGGCAAUUCAAUUGCCAGAGCUGGGCAAAUUUCUCCCAGUGAACAGCAAAAGGUAAACAAAGUUGUUCCAAUGUUUAUGAACUUCUUUUAAUUCUAGAACUAGUGGAUUUCCCUCUCUAUACCUACCCCCCCCUGAUAUACUACUUGCAAAAAUUGCCCCUGUACCUAAGUGUUUCAGAACCUGGCUUGAUUCUUGUCCCUGUUCUUGCCUCCCCCUUUACACAUGUAUAACUUGGAUGCUAGAUAAUAAAAGCUGCUGACUCUUGGCUCUUGAAUUGCAUCUUGUCUAUUGUAUUGCACCUUGCUUCUGUAAGCAAAAAGAAACAAAAAAAAGCACAUUUGUGUUACUAAUCAGUGUACAGGAAAAACUAGUCAAAAAACUAUUGAGUUGCUUACAAAAAAAGCUAGUAGUAAAGUCUAGUUGCCUACUAAAACAAGUAUCCAGGAAAAAAGCCUGAGAAACCAGUACUAGAAAAAGAUUCCUGCAAACCCUACAAAAGGCUGCUCAUUGAGUUUGGUGUGUUUUGGUGAAUUAUGAAAAAAAUUGCCCUUGUUCAUUCAGUUUUGCUUGCAUGNNNNNNNNNNNNNNNNNNNNNNNNNNNNNNNNNNNNNNNNNNNNNNNNNNNNNNNNNNNNNNNNNNNNNNNNNNNNNNNNNNNNNNNNNNNNNNNNNNNNNNNNNNNNNNNNNNNNNNNNNNNNNNNNNNNNNNNNNNNNNNNNNNNNNNNNNNNNNNNNNNNNNNNNNNNNNNNNNNNNNNNNNNNNNNNNNNNNNNNNNNNNNNNNNNNNNNNNNNNNNNNNNNNNNNNNNNNNNNNNNNNNNNNNNNNNNNNNNNNNNNNNNNNNNNNNNNNNNNNNNNNNNNNNNNNNNNNNNNNNNNNNNNNUUUACAUUAUGUCGCUUACGUAUUAAUUCCUUGCCCCCUAUUUUGGUCUUCUAAAAUGUGCAGAUGGCUGGCAUUGAUCUCAAUGAGCUAUGCGACAUAGCACCGGACAUGUGGAUGAGUAGGGUCGAUGGGCUAUGCGACAUAGCACCCGGGGGUGGGCGAGUUGGUUGGACAGGCUUAGGCGAUUUCUGCAAAAAAAAAUAGAGGGGUGUGGUGUUGUAGGAGAUCAUGGUAGAUGGGCUAGGCGACAUAGCACCUGGGGGUUGGCAAGUUGGUUGGACGGGGUUAGGCGAUUUUGCAAAAAUAGAGGUGUGUGGUGUUGUAGUCGAUUGGGGUUGACGGGCUAGGCGACCUAGCACCAGGCGUGUGGGCGAUUUGGUUGGUCAGCUUAGGCGGUUUUGCACAAAAUAGAGGUGUGUGGUGUAUCUAGGUGAGUAGGGUCAAAUGGGCUAGGCGUCGUAGCACUAGGCGUGUGGGCGAGUUGGUUGAUCGACCUUAGGAAAUUUCUACAAAAGAGAGGGGUGUGGUGUAUGUAGGCGAGUAGGGUCGAUGGGCCAGGCGACAUAGCAUCGAGGGUGGGCGAGUUGGUUGGACGGGCUUAGGCGAUUUCUGCAAAAGAGAGGGGUGUGGUGUAUGUAGGCGGCUAGGGUCGAUGGGCUAUGCNNNNNNNNNNNNNNNNNNNNNNNNNNNNNNNNNNNNNNNNNNNNNNNNNNNNNNNNNNNNNNNNNNNNNNNNNNNNNNNNNNNNNNNNNNNNNNNNNNNNNNNNNNNNNNNNNNNNNNNNNNNNNNNNNNNNNNNNNNNNNNNNNNNNNNNNNNNNNNNNNNNNNNNNNNNNNNNNNNNNNNNNNNNNNNNNNNNNNNNNNNNNNNNNNNNNNNNNNNNNNNNNNNNNNNNNNNNNNNNNNNNNNNNNNNNNNNNNNNNNNNNNNNNNNNNNNNNNNNNNNNNNNNNNNNNNNNNNNNNNNNNNNNNNNNNNNNNNNNNNNNNNNNNNNNNNNNNNNNNNNNNNNNNNNNNNNNNNNNNNNNNNNNNNNNNNNNNNNNNNNNNNNNNNNNNNNNNNNNNNNNNNNNNNNNNNNNNNNNNNNNNNNNNNNNNNNNNNNNNNNNNNNNNNNNNNNNNNNNNNNNNNNNNNNNNNNNNNNNNNNNNNNNNNNNNNNNNNNNNNNNNNNNNNNNNNNNNNNNNNNNNNNNNNNNNNNNNNNNNNNNNNNNNNNNNNNNNNNNNNNNNNNNNNNNNNNNNNNNUGUUUGUAGGCGAUUAUGGUCGAUGGGCUAGGCGACAUAGCGUCGGGGUGGGCAAGUUGGUUGAACAGGCUUAGGCGGUUUUGCAAAAUGGUUGUGUGGUGUUGUAGGCGAUUAGGGUCGAUGGGCUUGGCGACCUAGCACGAAGGGGUGGGCGAGUUGGUUGGACGGGGUUAGAAGGUCUUGCAAAAAAGGUGUGUCGUGUAUGUAGGCGAUUAGGGUCGAUGGGCUGUGCGACAUAGUGUCGGGGGGUGGACGAGUUGGCUAGACAGGCUUAGGCGGUUUUGCGUAAAAGGUGUGUGGUGUUGUAGAUGAUAAGGUUCGAUGGCUAGGCGUCGUAGCACCUAAGAGUGCGCUAGUUGGAUGGUCGGCUUAGCCGAUUUUGUAGGGUGUGUGUUGUUGUAGGUGAGAAAAAUUGGUGGGUUAGGUGACCUAGCACCGGUUGUGGUGCGAGUUGGUUGGAUGGGUUAGGCGGUUUCAAAAGUGUAUAUAGUUUAAGGCGACUUUGGAUUGAAUGGGUGGGAUUGCCUGAUUCUGAACGGGAUAGGUUCCAGGCUCGUUUAGCAUUUAAAAACGUGUGAGAUUGCCUAAUUCUGAAUAGGACGGGUUCUGAAUAAAUUCCGUGCUGAUCUAGUUUGCAGGGUUUUUUGCCUGAUUCUCUACCUAAGGCAUGUAAUAAUGUUGUGAAAAAAAUAAAGAAAACCAAAAAAAUGUGUAGUCAGUAGCUUGCCAUCGUAUUGAUCUGGGGAGUCCUCCAUCUUAAAAACUGCCAUGCCAGGGAUGGUGGGAAAGUUGUGCUUGGCUAGUUUUCACUAUUUCUGUUGCCUGCAGAGAAGCAAAAAAGAAUGGAUUAUUUCAUGACUUCUACACUGAACCAGUUUCUCAUUUAUUUCCACAGGGAAAAAAUCUAACAAAAGCACAUGCAAUAUACAUAAGUAAUCGACAUGUAUAAAAGAUGCACUCUGCUAUCUGCUCAAAAAUGGAGCAGUAAUUUGGCUCUAGAGACUAUGCAGUGCUUGCUAUCUGCUCAAGCAUUGUGCCAAAAAAUGCUAACAUUUCAGGGAGCAAUAAACGAUACUCUGAAGAAAUAUAGUACGUUCAGAGCAAAAUUCUUAACUCAAAAAGCCUGCAUGUACAUACAUCAAAAAACAGCAAACCACUAAAACAUGUAGGUAUAUUUCUGGCAACGUUAUAUCCACUCUCCAUACCACUUCCCUUCUCUCGUUUGUGCCGUGCGGGGAGAGCCACGUUAAUAUCUCUGUUCCCGGCUUGCCAUAACCUACUUAACAUCAACCGCGAUAGAGAAAUUUGCCCACUGUAAAUAGUCUCUGGUGCAUCAGCUCGAAAAAGGGAUCCACUGCGACAGAGAAACAUGCCCACUGUAAACUUGCCCCACAACCUGCUGAACAUGAACCGCAAAACAGAGCCACAUUGCCCGGCUUGGCACUGAAUUGACGACUGUAAGUAGUAGCAUUGCCUAAUUCUGGAGGAAAGAAUAUGCUACAAAAGUGCCCACUGUAGGUGCUAACAUUGCCUACAAAAAUGUGCUUGGGGUCAUCAGGGAUGGGGUAGGAAAAACCUGGAAACACUACGCUGUAAAAAGUGAAGUGAGAAACAUUGCCUGUAAAACUAAACUUGCCUGUGAAUUGCUACAGAUUUGCACGCAAAAUCUGCAAACAAUUGCCCAGUGUAACCUGACAUUUGCCUACCUAUUGGUGGAAAACAAACCUACAGCGUACAAAGCACCUGGGAUCGAUUCCUUGCUUGCGAUGCACUACACAAAAAAUCACGCAAGAAAAUUCCUCUCUGCUUGCUACUGUUUGAUAUCAAAAUCGAAAAUCGGUUUUGGUUGGUAUUCUGCGCACGGGCUUGCCGGGGCAUCGAUUCCCCGUAUCCUUACUCCUCUGCCGGCAUCCCCGCCGUCCCCGUCCUCCCCCUCCCCCCGCUCAUCCAUGUAGAUGACGCCGCCGUGUCAGCGAAACACCUCCCCCCUAGUUCGCGAAAAUUGGGGGAAAAUGGAGGACUAGGGCGAGUGACUUACGUACUCUCUUCCCGACGGGGAUGAAGCAGCUCGCCGCGCCCUCGUCGUCUUCGCGUCGCCGAUUUGUCCGCCUGUACCUUCUCCCUCCCCUUCACUGGCCGCGCGGUCGCCCUCUCAAUCGAAACUGGUGGUGCUUCGCCUCCGCGCGGAGCGAUGUGGUCGACCUCCUCGCCUGUGCGGGCUGCCCCCGUGAUUUUUCGCCGCCGUUUGUUCUCUCGCCGGCUGCGGUCGCCGACGACCUAGGGAUUUCUCUCGACCUGCUGCUGAGGAGGUGGGUGUGAGGAGAGGAGGGGGCGAAUGCGUGCGAGACGACAGGCCGGUUGGAAACGUAAAACACGACAAAACGCCACCGCUCUCUCCCCCUCCCGUGUCGGAUCUGUCCACCACGUGGCAGGAUCAUGUCGCGUGAUGGACGGCUGGCGUUUGGCCACUCGAGAGUGCUAGAUCGCGCACACUCGUUAGACAGCGUUUGGGUAAGACUAGUCACAAUGGGAGUAACUUGACUAGUAACAUCACACAUUUUAAUAUAAGAUUGCUUAUGUGGCAGCUAAUUAAUAAGGAGAGAGGGAUUUGUGGUAACUUAGCUAGUUACUGUAACAUCACACAUUUCAAGACAUAAUGAGUCUAUAACCUAAUAAAUGAACUCUUUCAUGAUACCACUCAUAUGUUAUUACCCACUAUGGAGGUAGUAACAUAGACUAGUAACAUCGGCAAGUUACUACUCUAUGUUACUCCCCACUGUGAGCAGUCUAAUAACCCUUACGGUUAUUAGGUAUAAUCCCUGCUCCCAUCUCUCCGUGCUGGCGGUUCCAAAUGUUGAAAAUAAUAACCCAGUGGUUAUUAAGGGAAAAUCUCCGCUUCUCAUACCGGCAGUUGCCUCCUGAGGAGGCGCCUCAUUGAACCGUUGCGUCUCAUGGACGCGUCCGUUCCCCUCGUAUACAAGUGUAUAUUCAUGAUUAAUAAAGGAUACUGGAAUCAUUUGUUGUCAUUCUCGAUUCUCUCUCGAUUACUCUUCUAACACGUUAUCAUGCACUUUGCUCUGCCAAGAGCGAGAAAGCCAACCAACUCGCUAGCCAUGGCGCCCGCCCUCGCCGCAACCCCCCUGGCUCCAGCGCCGGCCGUGCCCGCGCCGCGCGGGCCUCGCNNNNNNNNNNNNNNNNNNNNNNNNNNNNNNNNNNNNNNNNNNNNNNNNNNNNNNNNNNNNNNNNNNNNNNNNNNNNNNNNNNNNNNNNNNNNNNNNNNNNNNNNNNNNNNNNNNNNNNNNNNNNNNNNNNNNNNNNNNNNNNNNNNNNNNNNNNNNNNNNNNNNNNNNNNNNNNNNNNNNNNNNNNNNNNNNNNNNNNNNNNNNNNNNNNNNNNNNNNNNNNNNNNNNNNNNNNNNNNNNNNNNNNNNNNNNNNNNNNNNNNNNNNNNNNNNNNNNNNNNNNNNNNNNNNNNNNNNNNNNNNNNNNNNNNNNNNNNNNNNNNNNNNNNNNNNNNNNNNNNNNNNNNNNNNNNNNNNNNNNNNNNNNNNNNNNNNNNNNNNNNNNNNNNNNNNNCUCGCCCGGCCUCCACCAUCGAUCGCCACUCGGGCCGUCGAUCUGGGGCGUGGGCUCCGGUGCGCCUCGUCCUCAUCACCGCCCCGCCGCUCGGAGCUUGUCAAGGCCCCGCCGCCACUGGGGACAACCGCGGGCUCGAGCAGCCGCGCGGAGCGGCACUUCAGCCACCUCUUCAGGCACUCCAUGGCCGCCAUCGACCGCUACCCUGGCCGCCUGCGCCGGUGAUCGCCUGAGAUGCAAGGGAUGCGGCGACCACUCCAUCCGUCGGCGGCGCUGGGUAGGAGGUGGGGAUCGGGGUGGUUCGGGCUUCGGGGUCUCCUACCCUUACCCGUAACCGCUGAGGGAUUCCUGGACUAAGGGGUCCUCGGGCGUCCGGCCUAUUAUCCAUUGGGCCAGACUGAUGAGCCAUGAAGACAUGAAGGCCGAAGACUAUACCAGUGUCCGGAUUGGACUCUACUUGGCGUGGAAGGCAAGCUAGGUGGCCGACUAUGAAGAUUCCCUCUGUUGUAACCGACCCCAUGUAACCCUAGAUCUCUCCGGUGUCUAUAUAAACCGGAGAGCGUAGUCCGGAUAGGACAGAUUCAUUACCAUAUACUCAUAGGCUAGACCUCUAGGGUUUAGCCAUUACGAUCUCGUGGUAGAUCAACUCUUGUAAUACUCAUAUUCAUCAAGAUCAAUCAAGCAGGAAGUAGGGUAUUAGCUCCAUAGAGAGGGCCCGAACCUGGGUAAACAUUGUAUCCCCUGUCUCCUGUUACCAUCGAUCCUAGACGCACAGUUCGGGACCCCCUACCCGAGAUCCGCCGGUUUUGACACCGACAUUGGUGCUUUCAUUGAGAGUUCCACUAUGCCGUCGGCGAAGGACUCGAUGGCUCCCCCGAUCGUCAGUAAUGACGCUGUCCAAGGAGAAACCUUUCUCCCCGGACAGAUCUUCGUGUUCGGCGGCUUCGUACUGCGGGCCAACUCGCUCGGCCAUCUGGAACAGAUCGACAGCUACGCCCUUGGCCAUCAGGUCAGAUUCGGAAGCCUAAACUACAUUGCGGACGUCCGUGGAGACUUGAUCUUCGAUGGUUCGAGACCGCGGCAAUCGCCCCCCUUCACCCCGACGAACAUGGCUUAAACCUGUCAUCGGGCCGCAUCCAGGAGAUAGCUCCUGUAGUUGCUCUGGCCUUAGAUCCGGAGCAGAUCGAGUCGUCCACAUAUGGGAAGGUCAACCCCAUCAUGGGGGCUACCGAUCCUGCGGCGUUGGAGCCACCCGCAGAUUCCACUCCAAACGGCAUCUGCAUCAACGGAACCCCGGACUCUCCUCCGGUGUCGAGUUCCGAACGCUGCGAGCCUGCGGAUACCGAACUCGACCGGUUAUCGAUCUUCAAGUUCACCGCCGCGGAUGUCUUCCAGCACUCGCCCAUGGGAGAUCUACUAAACUCAUUGAAAAACCUGUCCCUGGCAGAUGACUCAUCGCCGAACUAUGUUCGGUUUGAGUUUACGGCGGAUGAUGGAGAAUUUUGCUUCCCACCCGCCACCCACUUCAUAGCCACUGUCGACGAUCCAGCCAACACGCUGGACCCCGGCUCCGAAAACAUCGACGGUCUGGACGACGAUGAGGGGCAAGGCCAGAACUCGCUACCCACUAGUCGCGGGACGGCCAAUUCCUGGUAUGACAUGUGUAUGGUAGACACACUCAACGAUGCUCUCGACGAUAACAAGGAGGACCCAGUUGAGGAUACGCCUCCUGGCAUACAAUCCGAACACCGGCGCCCCCAGCGCCGCCCUCAAUCUUGUCGCUCAAGAGAAAACAAUACUUAAGCCGAAGAGGAUUACACUCUGAACAAUGAAGACCCUGUUGAGGUAGGAUCCGAACAGGAGGAACUAGAAAGCGGGCAAGAUAGCCCUGAUGAACAGGCCACAUACGGAGACUCAAAGGAUAGCAAUUAUCUCCCACUCUCCGAGGAGGAGGAGAUCCUCGGCAACGAAGAUUUCAUCGUGCCUGAGGAACCUCUCGAGCAGGAGCGCUUUAAACGCCAGCUAAUAGCCACCGCAAGGAGCCUAAAGAAGAAGCAGCUGCAGCUUCAAGCAAGCCAAGAUUUGCUCAAUGAUAGAUGGACCGAGGUCCUAGCCGCCGAAGAAUACGGCCUUAGCGGCCCUUACAGAAGCCACCCCAAGCAUAGGUGGCCCCCUCGAUACAAUAGCGAGGCGUUGGAGCCCGCGCCACCAUCGCACAAUGCGGAGGGUCAACCACAGAUCGGUCCGGAUAAAGCAGCAGCUCAAGAGAGACAACAUACCAACCCAUCCGGCCGUCCAAACAAAAGCAAAACAGCCCGGGGGAACACUCGUGACAUCCAACAAGACCUGGAGGGCAGAACAGGACAGACAAGAUUAAGGUACAGAUCGCGGGGACAUACCCCAUCCAGCAAUGAUGGUCACUUAUUCAGACGUAGCAGACCGGAACAUACCCGGUCCGAACAACGUAAACGGAGUACCGGAGGUGCUUCACAGCGUGGCUCAACAUAGAGGAGCCGCACACCCUCUCUGCUUCACGGACGAGGUCAUGGAGCAUGAAUUCCCAGACGGGUUCAAACCCAUUAACAUCGAAUCAUACGAUGGAACAACGGAUCCCGCGGUAUGGAUUGAGGACUAUCUCCUCCAUAUUCACCUGGCUCGCGGAGACGACCUUCAUGCCAUCAAAUACCUACCUCUCAAGCUCAAAGGGCCAGCGCGGUACUGGCUAAACAGUUUGCCAAAAAAUUCUAUUGGCAGCUGGGAAGAGUUGGAAGAUGCCUUUCGAAACAACUUCGAAGGAACAUAUGUCCGGCCACCAGAUGCCGAUGACUUAAGUCAUAUUGUCCAGCAGACCGGCGAGUCAGCCAGGGAGCUUUGGACUAGGUUCUUAGUCAAAAAGAAUCAAAUUGUCGACUGUCCGGACGCGGAAGCCCUUGCGGCCUUCAAGCAUAGCGUCCGGGAUGAAUGGCUAGCACGCCACCUCGGCCAGGAAGGACCUAAAUCCAUGACAGCCCUUACUUCUCUUAUGACUCGCUUCUAUGCGGGAGAAGACAACUGGCUUGCUCGUAAAAGCAACAAUGCCAGCGACCCGGGCACCUCCGAAAUCCAAGACGGCAACGGCAAGCCACGACGAACCGAAUACAACAGUCGCAGUCACAAUGAAGGAUCAUGCGACACAGUGGUCAAUGCCGGAUUUCACAAUCCAAAACCCGGUCAAUGGAAGAAGCCAUUUAAGGCCAGCCAGGAUGGACCGUCCACCCUUGACAGGAUAUUGGACUGACCUUGUCAGAUUCAUGGUCACCCUGAUAAGCCAGCCAAUCACACCAACAGAAACUGUUGGGUCUUAAGGCAGGCAGGCAAGCUUAACGCCGAGCACAAGGGGAGGAGGCCACCAAGCGAUAAAGACGACGGAGCGGCUCGUCAGCCGAACGCCAGGGGCCAGAAGCAGUUUCCCUCCGAAGUUCGACCACUCCCAGAACGUAAAUAGCAGUUCGGCUUUCGUCGCCCACUUCCUACACUGGCAAGAUUUACACCACGCGUACAUCAUUACGCGCUCAAAAUACCAUGGGCAUCGGCGGAAGCGCAAUACGGACAACCCCGCAAGCAUUCCCGUAACGUCUUUUAUCUGUUUUCUUUCUUUAUUGUAACUUAAAAAUUGGUGACCAACAGGACAGUAUCUACAAAGGACUCUACCGGAGUUCGGAUCCGUACACUCACCUCAGGGGCUACCUCCGUUAAGGAUUCCCCUCCAAGAGGACAAGCGGCGUAGACGUGCGACAGGAGGUCCAAAACAGCUUUUGUAGACCGCACUCUUUAUUUUUGAGCCUGUACUAUGCCUUUUUCCUCCGUUCCCGACCCCGGGCAUGUCAAAUAGCCGGGUUGUGGUUUUCCUUUAUAUAUAUAUAUAUAUAUAUAUAUAUAUAUAUAUAUAUAUAUAUAUAUAUAUGAAUUUAUUAUUGGCUUAUUGCUCCGCUCCCAAUAAACUUCAUCCGAACUAUAUCUUCCAUACUCCUUAUGGAAUGAGUAUGACCGUAACGGCUGUGUUACAAGAUACACCUCGGCAUAACUUGCCAGGGGCUCGGUAUGGGAACAAAUGAGUCUCCAAUAAAAGUCCGAACAACUCUAAAGCAUACUUCGACGUCGCAAGUUUGGCCUUAUAUGCAUCAGCUCCGAAUCAUUGUCUUUGGUCAAUAGUUGGGUUGCCCGGCUCCUGUGCUUGCUACUCUACGUUCCGCUCUAUCAGCUAGGGUAGUAAAGGGAGAACUACUGCGAUUGUGCCCUGGCUUUGACCGGAUGAGCACCUCAGUAGAGAAAGCCGAAAACUGACUGUCAUGAUGGGGCGAGAGCUGGUCAACCACUUGACGACUUAUUCAAAUCCUUAGCGAUUCUCCGUGUCACACGAGGGAUCUUUUUCAGAUCAAAUAUGUAAGGCACCAUAUGAUAAUACUGCCGAAUACAUACCAGGGGCUAUGUCGUAGCCCCACCAUAUGGUUAAUGAAAGUGUUAACGCCCUAUAGUUCGAUUGCCUGGUUCGCCGCAUUAUCACCUCCUUCAGGGACCAAGACGUUGGAUAAAGAGUGAUCAAAUGCUUUUUCGAACACCCCCGUACUUCCUACGAGGGGGCUGAAACCGAUGACUGGAAAACUUUCAGAUUACAUUAAAAUGGCCGCACAAGAGGAAUUUAAGCUUUUCAACAAAAUACAAAUAGAUUAACUAUAAAGCUGUUUGUUACAACCCUUAUACAUUACUCGAACAUUAUGUUUUUCGAGCACUGACCCUAUAUCAAGCGGGCAGCCUCUAGGACGUCUUCAAAAUAAUGCUUCGGUUCUGGAUGGUCCUUGCCUUUGGGUGGACCCUUUGCCGCAACAUAGAUGGCCUUCAUCUUCCCCCAGAAUGUCUUGACUCGGGCAAAAGCCAUUUGUGCACCUUCAAUGCACGCCGAUCGCUUCACAGCGUCGAUACGCGGCACCGCGUCGACAAGCCGCUGCACUAGUCCGAAGUAACUACUCGGCACAGGCUCAGUCGGCCACAACCGGGCUAUGACGUCCUUCAUGGCAGCGCCGGAUAUCCUAUGCAUCUCGGCCCACUGGGACAUCUGUUCGUUCAGCAACAGAGGGCGCUUUGACGCGCCAAAUUGCGACCAGAAAAGUUUCUCCUUUGCAUACCCCUCGUGCGCAUGAUAAAACUGCACCGCAUCGGAAGAACUCUUCGGCAAGUCUAGAAAUUUGUCCGGAGAACUCCAUACUUGGUUAAGCUGAGCAUAGUUCGGAUCGCUGAAUUUGGCCUGUAGCAAAAAGGGCUUGCCAGCCGCAAUUUCCCCAGCUUGCCGGAUUUCCUCACGGGCUGCUCUGGAUUCAGACCGCGCUUCUCUUGCCUCUCGUAAGGCUUAUCAAGUUCAGCCAUUUUGGCUUCAUUCUCUUUCUCAAGAAGUUUACAGCGGCUAGCCGCAUUCUCUAACUCAUGCGCCAUGGUGGACAUCUAUUGGGGAACGUAGUAAUUUCAAAAAAAAAAUGCUACGCACACGCAAGAUCAUGAUGAUGCAUAGCAACGAGAGGGGAGAGUGUGUCCACGUACCCUCGUAGACCGACAACGGAAGUGUUGACACAACAUAGAGGAAGUAGUCGUACGUCUUCACGAUCCGACCGAUCCAAGUACCGAACGUACGACACCUCCGAGUUCUGCACACGUUCAACUCGAUGACGUCCCUCGAGCUCCGACCCAGCCGAGUGUUGAGGGAGAAUUUCGUCAGCACAACGGCGUGGUGAUGAUGAUGAUGUUCUACCGACGCAGGGCUUCGCCUAAGCACCGCUGCGAUAUUAUCGAGGUGGAUUAUGGUGGAGGGGGGCACCGCACAUGGCUAAGAGAUCAAUGAUCAAUUGUGUGUCUAUGGGGUGCCCCCUGCCCCCGUAUAUAAAGGAGCAAAGGGUGGAGAGGCGGCCGGCCAGGAGGAGGCGCGCCAGGAGAAGUCCUACUCCCACCGGGAGUAGGACUCCCUCCCUACCUUGUUGGAUUAGGAGAAGGGGGAAGGAGGAGAGAGAGAGGAAGGAAAGGGGGGCGCCGCCCCCCUCCUUGUCCAAUUCGUACUAGAGGGGGAGGGGGCGCGCGGCCUGCCCUGGCCGCCUCUCCUCUUCUCCACUAAGGCCCAUGUAGGCCCAUUAAUCCCCCCCCCCGAGGGGGGGGGGGUUCUAGUAACCCCCGGUACUCCGGUAAAAUCCCGAUUUCACCCGGAACACUUCCAAUAUCCAAAUAUAGGCUUCCAAUAUAUCGAUCUUUAUGUCUCGACCAUUUCGAGACUCCUCGUCAUGUCCGUGAUCACAUCCGGGACUCCGAACAAUCUUCGGAACAUCAAAAUACAUAAUCUCAUAAUAACCGUCAUCGAACUUUAAGCGUGCGGACCCUACGGGUUCGAGAACUAUGUGGACAUAACCGAGACAUGUCUCCGGUCAAUAACCAAUAGAGGAACCUGGAUGCUCAUAUUGGCUCCUACAUAUUCUACGAAGAUCUUUAUCGGUCAAACCGCAUAACAACAUACGUUUGUUCCCUUUGUCAUCGGUAUGUUACUUGCCCGAGAUUUGAUCGUCGGUAUCUCAAUACCUAGUUCAAUCUCGUUACCGGCAAGUCUCUUUACUCCUUCUGUAAUACAUCAUCCCGCAACUAACUCAUUAGUUGCAAUGCUUGCAAGGCUUAUAGUGAUGUGCAUUACCGAGUGGGCCCAGAGAUACCUCUUCGACAAUCGGAGUGACAAAUCCUAAUCUCGAAAUACGCCAACCCAACAAGUACCUUUGGAGACACCUGUAGAGCACCUUUAUAAUCACCCAGUUACGUUGUGACGUUUGGUAGCACACAAAGUGUUCCUCCGGUAAACGGGAGUUGCAUAAUCUCAUAGUCAUAGGAACUUGUAUAAGUUAUGAAGAAAGCAAUAGCAGAAUACUAAACGAUCGUGUGCUAAGCUAACGGAAUGGGUCAAGUCAAUCACAUCAUUCUCCUAAUGAUGUGAUCCCGUUAAUCAAAUGACAACUCAUGUCUAUGGCUAGGAAACAUAACCAUCUUUGAUCAACGAGCUAGUCAAGUAGAGGCAUACUAGUGACACUCUGUUUGUCUAUGUAUUCACACAUGUAUCAUGUUUCCGGUUAAUACAAUUCUAGCAUGAAUAAUAAACAUUUAUCAUAAUAUAAGGAAAUAAAUAAUAACUUUAUUAUUGCCUCUAGGGCAUAUUUCCUUCAGUCUCCCACUUGCACUAGAGUCAAUAAUCUAGAUCACAUCGCCAUGUGAUUUAACAUCAAUAGUUCACAUCAUCAUGUGAUUAACACCCAUAGUUCACAUCGUCAUGUGACCAACACCCAAAGGGUUUACUAGAGUCAAUAAUCUAGUUCACAUCGCUAUGUGAUUAACACCCAAAGAGUACUAAGGUGUGAUCAUGUUUUGCUUGUGAGAGAAGUUUAGUCAACGGGUCUGCUACAUUCAGAUCCGUAUGUAUUUUGCAAAUUUCUAUGUCAACAAUGCUCUUGCACGGAGCUACUCUUGCUAAUUGCUCCCACUUUCAAUAUGUAUCCAGAUUGAGACUUAGAGUCAUCUGGAUCAGUGUCAGAACUUGCAUCGACGUAACCCUUUACGAUGAACCUUUUUGUCACCUCCAAAAUCGAGAAACAUAUCCUUAUUCCACUAAGGAUAAUUUUGACCGCUGUCGAGUGAUCUACUCCUAGAUCACUAUUGUUCUCCCUUGCUAAACACAGUUGAGGGUAUACAAUAGGUCUGGUACACAGCAUGGCAUACUUUAUAGAACCUAUGGCUGAGGCAUAGGGAAUGACUUUCAUUCUCUUUCUAUCUUCUGCCGUGGUCGGGCUUUGAGUCUUACUCAACUUCACACCUUGCAAUACAGGCAAGAACUGUUUCUUUGAUUGUUCCAUUUUGAACUACUUCAAAAACUCGUCAAGGUAUGUACUUAUUGAAAAAAAACUUAUCAAGCGUCUUGAUCUAUCUCUAUAGAUCUUGAUGCUCAAUAUGUAAGCAGCUUUACCGAGGUCUUUCUUUGAAAAACUCCUUUCAAACACUCCUUUAUGCUUUACAGAAAAUUCUACAUCAUUUUCGAUCAACAAUAUGUCAUUCACAUAUACUUAUCAAAAAGACUGUAGUGCUCCCACUCACUUUUUGUAAAUACACGCUUCACCGCAAGUCUGUAUAAAACUAUAUGCUUUGAUCAACUUAUCAAAGCGUAUAUUCCAACUCCGAGAUGCUUGCACCAGUCCAUAGAUGGAUCGCUGGAGCUUUGCACACUUCGUUAGCACCUUUAGGAUCGACAAAACCUUUUCGUUAUAUACAACUCUUCUUUAAUAAAUCCAUUUAGGAAUGCAGUUUUGUUUACCCAUUUGCUAGAUUUCAUAAAAUGCAGCAAUUGCUAACAUGAUCCGGACAGACUUAAGCAUAGAUACGAGUGAGAAACUCUCAUCGUAGUCAACACCUUGAACUUAUCGAAAACCUUUUUGCGACAAUUCUAGCUUUGUAGAUAGUAACACUACUAUCAACGUCCGUCUUCCUCUUGAAGAUCCAUUUAAUCUCAAUGGCUCACCAAUCAUCGGGCAAGUCAAUCAAAGUCCAUACUUUGUUCUCAUACAUGGAUCCCAUCUCAGAUUUCAUGGCCUCAAGCCAUUUUGCGGAAUCUGGGCUCAUCAUCGCUUCCUCAUAGUUCGUAGGUUCGUCAUGGUCAAGUAACAUGACUUCCAGAACAGGACUACCGUACCACUCUGGUGCGGAUCUUACUCUGGUUGACCUACGAAGUUUUGUAGUAACUUGAUCCUAAGUUUCAUGAUCAUCAUCAUUAACUUCCUCACUAAUUGGUGUAGGAAUCACUGGAACAGAUUUCUGUGAUGACCUACUUUCCAAUUCGGGAGAAGGUACAAUUACCUCAUCAAGUUCUACUUUCCUCCCACUCACUUCUUUCGAGAGAAACUCCUUCUCUAGAAAGGAUCCAUUUUAGCAACAAAGAUUUUUGCCUUCGAAUCUUUGUUGCUAAAAUGGAUCCUUUUCUGACAAAUCUCGGGCAAGUAACAUACCGAUGACAAAGGGAACAAACGUAUGUUGUUAUGCGGUUUAACCGAUAAAGAUCUUCAUAGAAUAUGUAGGAGCCAAUACGAGCAUCCAGGUUCCGCUAUUGGUUAUCGACCGGAGAGGUGUCUCGGUCAUGUCUACAUAGUUCUCGAACCUGUAGGGUCCGCACGCUUAAAGUUCGAUGACGGUUAUUAUGAGUUUAUGUAUUUUGAUGUACCGAAGGUUGUUCGGAGUCCCGGAUGUGAUCACGGACAUGACGAGGAGUCUCUAAAUGGUCGAGACAUAAAGAUCGAUAUAUUGGAAGCCUAUAUUUGGAUAUCGGAAGUGUUCCGGGUGAAAUCGGGAUUUUACCGGAGCCCCGGGGGAUUAAUGGGCCUACAUGGGCCUUAGUGGAGAAGAGGAGAGGCGGCCAGGGCAGGCCGCGCCCCCCUCCCCCUCAAGUCCGAAUUGGACAAGGAGGGGGGGCGGCGCCCCCCUUUCCUCCCUCUCUCUCUCCUCCUUCCCCUUCUCCUAAUCCAACAAGGAAGGGAGGGAGUCCUACUCCCGGUGGGAGUAGGACUCCUCCUGGCGCGCCUCCUCCUGGCCGGCCGCCUCUCCAUCCUUUGCUCCUUUAUAUACGGGGGCAGGGGGCACCCCAUAGACACACAAUUGAUCAUUGAUCUCUUAGCCGUGUGUGGUGCCCCCCUCCACCAUAAUCCACCUCGAUAAUAUCGCAGCGGUGCUUAGGCGAAGCCCUGCGUUGGUAGAACAUCAUCAUCGUCACCACGCCGUCGUGCUGACAAAACUCUCCCGCUACACUCGGCUGGAUCGGAGCUCGAGGGACGUCAUCGAGUUGAACGUGUGCAGAACUCAGAGGUGCCAUGCGUUCGGUACUUGGAUCGGUCGGAUCGUGAAGACGUACGACUACUUCCUCUACGUUGUGUCAACGCUUCCGUUGUCAGUCUACGAGGGUACGUGGACACACGCUCCCCUAUCGUUGCUAUGCAUCACCAUGAUCUUGCGUGUGCGUAGGAAUUUUUUUGAAAUUACUACGUUCCCCAACAGUGGCAUCUGAGCCUGGUUUUAUGCGUUGAUGUAAUAUGCAUGAGUAGAACACAAGUGAGUUGUGGGCGAUACAAGUCAUACUGCUUACCAUCAUGUUAUACUUUGGUUCGGCGGUAUUGUGAGAUGAAGUGGCCCGGACCGACAUUACGCGCACGCUUACGUGAGACUGGUUUCACCGUUGCGAGCACUCGUUGCUUAAAGGUGACCGGCGGGUGUCUGUCUCUCUCACUUUAGUUAAACCGAGUGUGGCUACGCCCGGUCCUUGCGAAGGUUAAAACAUCACCAACUUGACAAACUAUCGUUGUGGUUUUGAUGCGUAGGUAAGAACGGUUCUUGCUCAGCCCGUAGCAGCCACGUAAAACUUGCAACAACAAAGUAGAGGACGUCUAACUUGUUUUUGCAGGGCAUGUUGUGAUGUGAUAUGGUCAAGGCAUGAUGCUAUAUUUUAUUGUAUGAGAUGAUCAUGUUUUGUAACCGAGUUAUCGGCAACUGGCAGGAGCCAUAUGGUUGUCGCUUUAUUGUAUGCAAUGCAAUCGCCCUGUAAUGCUUUACUUUAUCACUAAGCGGUAGCGAUAGUCAUGGAAGCAUAAGUUGGCGAGACGACAACGAUGCUACGAUGAAGAUCAAGGUGUCGCGCCGGUGACGAUGGUGAUCAUGACGGUGCUUCGGAGAUGGAGAUCACAGGCACAAGAUGAUGAUGGCCAUAUCAUAUCACUUAUAUUGAUUGCAUGUGAUGUUUAUCUUUUAUGCAUCUUAUAUUGCUUUGAUUGACGGUAGCAUUAUAAGAUGAUCUCUCACUAAAUUAUCAAAGUAUAAGUGUUCUCCCUGAGUAUGCACCGUUGCGAAAGUUCUUCGUGCUGAGACACCACGUGAUGAUCGGGUGUGAUAGGCUCUACGUUCAAAUACAACAGGUGCAAAACAGUUGCGCACGCGGAAUACUGAGGUUAAACUUGACGAGCCUAGCAUAUAACAGAUAUGGCCUCGGAACACUGAGACCGAAAGGUCGAGCGUGAAUCAUAUAGUAGAUAUGAUCAACAUAGUGAUGUUCACCAUUGAAACUACUCCAUCUCACGUGAUGAUCGGACAUGGUUUAGUUGAUUUGGAUCACGUGAUCACUUAGAGGAUUAGAGGGAUGUCUAUCUAAGUGGGAGUUCUUAAAUAAUAUGAUUAAAUUGAACUUAAAUUUAUCAUGAACUUAGUACCUGAUAGUAUCUUGCUUGUCUAUGUUGUUGUAGAUAGAUGGCCCAUGCUGUUGUUCCGUUGAAUUUUAAUGCGUUCCUUGAGAAAGCAAAGUUGAAAGAUGAUGGUAGCAAUUACACAGACUGGGUCCGUAACUUGAGGAUUAUCCUCAUUGCUGCACAGAAGAAUUACAUCCUGGAAGCACCGCUGGGUGCCAGGCCUGCUGUAGGAGCAACACCAGAUGUUAUGAACGUCUGGCAGAGCAAAGCUGAUGACUACUCGAUAGUUCAGUGUGCCAUGCUUUACGGCUUAGAACCGGGUCUUCAACGACGUUUUGAACAUCAUGGAGCAUAUGAGAUGUUCCAGGAGUUGAAGUUAAUAUUUCAAGCAAAUGCCUGGAUUGAGAGAUAUGAAGUCUCCAAUAAGUUCUAUAGCUGCAAGAUGGAGGAGAAUAGUUCUGUCAGUGAGCAUAUACUCAAAAUGUCUGGGUAUAAUAAUCACUUGAUUCAGCUGGGAGUUAAUCUUCCGGAUGAUAGCGUCAUUGACAGAAUUCUCCAAUCACUGCCACCAAGCUACAAGAGCUUCGUGAUGAACUAUAAUAUGCAAGGGAUGGAAAAGACUAUUCCCGAGCUCUUCGCAAUGCUAAAGGCUGCGGAGGUAGAAAUCAAAAAGGAGCAUCAAGUGUUGAUGGUUAACAAAACCACCAGUUUUAAGAAAAAGGGCAAAGGGAAGAAGAAGGGGAACUUCAAGAAGAAGAACAAACAAAUUGCUGCUCAGGAGAAGAAACCCAAGUCUGGACCUAAGCCUGAGACUGAGUGCUUCUACUACAAGCAGACUGGUCACUGGAAGCGGAACUGCCCCAAGUAUUUGGCGGAUAAGAAGGAUGGCAAGGUGAACAAAGGUAUAUGUGAUAUACAUGUUAUUGACGUGUACCUUACUAAUGCUCGCAGUAGCACCUGGGUAUUUGAUACUAGUUCUGUUGCUAAUAUUUGCAACUUGAAACAAGGACUACAGAUUAAGCGAAGAUUGGCUAAGGACGAGGUGACGAUGCGCGUGGGAAAUGGUUCCAAAGUCGAUGUGAUCACGGUCGGCACGCUACCUCUACAUCUACCUUCGGGAUUAGUUUUAGACCUAAAUAAUUGUUAUUUGGUGCCAGCAUUGAGCAUGAACAUUAUAUCUGGAUCUUGUUUGAUGCGAGAUGGUUAUUCAUUUAGAUCAGAGAAUAAUGGUUGUUCUAUUUAUAUGAGUUAUAUCUUUUAUGGUCAUGCACCCUUGAAGAGUGGUCUAUUUUUGUUGAAUCUCGAUAGUAGUGAUACACAUAUUCAUAAUAUUGAAACCAAAAGAUGCAGAGUUGAUAAUGAUAGUGCAACUUAUUUGUGGCACUGCCGUUUGGGUCAUAUCGGUGUAAAGCGCACGAAGAAACUCCAUACUGAUGGACUUUUGGAACCACUUGAUUAUGAUUCACUUGGUACUUGCGAACCGUGCCUCAUGGGCAAGAUGACUAAAACGCCGUUCUCCGGAACUAUGGAGCGAGCAACUGACUUGUUGGAAAUCAUACAUACUGAUGUAUGUGGUCCAAUGAAUGUUGAGGCUCGCGACGGGUAUCGUUAUUUUCUCACCUUCACACAUGAUUUGAGCAGAUAUGGGUAUAUCUACUUGAUGAAGCAUAAGUCUGAAACAUUUGAAAAGUUCAAAGAAUUUCAGAGUGAAGUUGAAAAUCAUCGUAACAAGAAAAUAAAGUUUCUACGAUCUGAUCGUGGAGGAGAAUAUUUGAGUUACGAGUUUGGUCUUCAUUUGAAACAAUGCGGAAUAGUUUCGCAACUCACGCCACCCGGAACACCACGGCGUAAUGGUGUGUCCGAACAUCGUAAUCGUACUUUACUAGAUAUGGUGCGAUCUAUGAUGUCUCUUACUGAUUUACCGCUAUCGUUUUGGGGAUAUGCUCUAGAGACUACCGCAUUCACGUUAAAUAGGGCACCAUCUAAAUCCGUUGAGACGACGCCUUAUGAACUGUGGUUUGGCAAGAAACCAAAGUUGUCGUUUCUUAAAGUCUGGGGCUGCGAUGCGUAUGUGAAAAAGCUUCAACCUGAUAAGCUCGAACCCAAAUCGGAGAAAUGUGUCUUCAUAGGAUACCCAAAAGAGACUAUUGGGUACACCUUCUAUCACAGAUCUGAAGGCAAGACUUUUGUUGCUAAGUUUGGAUCCUUUCUAGAGAAGGAGUUUCUCUCAAAAGAAGUGAGUGGGAGGAAAGUAGAACUUGAUGAGAUAACUGUAUCUGCUCCCUUAUUGGAAAGUAGUUCAUCACAGAAAUCUGUUCCUGUGACUCCUACACCAAUUAGUGAGGAAGUUAAUGAUGAUGAUCAUGAAACUUCAGAUCAAGUUGUCACUGAACCUCGUAGGUCAACCAGAGUAAGAUCCGCACCUGAGUGGUACGGUAAUCCUGUUCUGGAGGUUAUGUUACUAGACCAUGACGAACCUAUGAACUAUGAAGAAGCGAUGGUGAGCCCAAAUUCCGAAAAAUGGCUUGAGGCCAUCAAAUCUGAGAUGGGAUCCAUGUAUGAGAACAAAGUGUGGACUUUGGUUGACUUGCCUGAUGAUUGGCAAGCAAUUGAGAAUAAAUGGAUCUUCAAGAAGAAGACUGACGCGGACGGUAAUGUUACUGUCUAUAAAGCUCAACUUGUUGCAAAAGGUUUUUGACAAGUUCAAGGGAUUGACUACGAUGAGACUUUCUCACCCAUAGCGAUGCUUAAGUCUGUCCGAAUCAUGUUAGCAAUUGCCGCAUUUUAUGAUUAUGAAAUUUGGCAAAUGGAUGUCAAAACUGCAUUCCUGAAUGGAUUUCUGGACGAAGAGUUGUAUAUGAUGCAACCGAAAGGUUUUAUCGAUCCAAAGGGAGCUAACAAAGUGUGCAAGCUCCAACGACCCAUUUAUGGACUGGUGCAAGCCUCUCGGAGUUGGAAUAAAUUUUUGAUAGUGUGAUCAAAGCAUAUGGUUUUAUACAAACUUUUGGAGAAACAUGUAUUUACAAGAAAGUGAGUGGGAGCUCUGUAGCAUUUCUCAUAUUAUAUGUAGAUGACAUAUUGUUGAUCGGAAAUGAUAUAGAAUUUCUGGAUAGCAUAAAGGGAUAUUUGAACAAGAGUUUUUCAAUGAAAGACCUCGGUGAAGCUACUUAUAUAUUGGGCAUCAAGAUCUAUAGAGAUAGAUCAAGACGCUUAAUUGGACUUUCACAAAACACAUACCUUGACAAAGUUUUGAAGAAGUUCAAACUGGAUCAAGCAAAGAAAGGGUUCUUGCCUGUGUUACAAGGUGUGAAGUUGAGUAAGACUCAAUGUCCGACCACUGCAGAAGAUAGAGAGAAGAUGAAAGAUAUUCCCUAUGCUUCAGCCAUAGGCUCUAUCAUGUAUGCAAUGCUGCGUACCAGACCUGAUGUGUGCCUUGCUAUUAGUUUAGGAGGGAGGUACCAAAGUAAUCCAGGAGUGGAUCACUGGACAGCGGUCAAGAACAUCGUAAAAUAACAAAAAGGACUAUGGAUAUGUUUCUCGUUUAUGGAGGAGACCAAGAGCUCGUCGUAAACGGUUACGUUGAUGCGAGCUUUGACACUGAUCCGGACGAUUCUAAAUCGCAAACCGGAUACGUAUUUAUAUUGAACGGUGGAGCUGUCACUUGGACAAGUUCUAAGCAAAGCGUUGUGGCGGGAUCUACGUGUGAAGCGGAGUACAUAGCUGCUUCGGAAGCAGCAAAUGAAGGAGUCUGGAUGAAGGAGUUCAUAUCCGAUCUAGGUGUCAUACCUAGUGCAUCGGGUCCAAUGAAAAUCUUUUGUGACAAUACUGGUGCAAUUGCCUUGGAAAAGGAAUCCAGAUUUCACAAGAGAACCAAGCACAUCAAGAGACGCUUCAACUCCAUCAGGGAUCAAGUCCAGGUGGGAGACAUAGAAAUUUGCAAGAUACAUACGGAUCUGAAUGUUGCAGACCCGUUGACUAAGCCUCUUCCACGAGCAAAACAUGAUCAGCACCAAGGCUCCAUGGGUGUUAGAAUCAUUACUGUGUAAUCUAUAUUAUUGACUAUAGUGCAAGUGGGAGACUGAAGGAAAUAUGCCCUAGAGGCAAUAAUAAAUUUACUAUUUAUUUCCUUAUAUCAUGAUAAAUGUUUAUUAUUCAUGCUAGAAUUGUAUUAACCAGAAACGUAAUACUUGUGUCAAUACAUAGACAAAUAGAGUGUCACUAGUAUGCCUCUACUUGACUAGCUCGUUGAUCAAACAUGUUAUGUUUCCUAGCCAUUGACAUGAGUUGUCAUUUGAUUAACGGGAUCACAUCAUUAGGAGAAUGAUGUGUUUGACUUGACCCAUUCCGUUAGCUUAGCACACGAUCGUUUAGUAUUCUGCUAUUGCUUUCUUCAUGACUUAUACAUGUUCCUAUGACUAUGAGAUUAUGCAACUCCCGUUUACCGGAGGAACACUUUGUGUGCUACCAAACGUCAGAACGUAACUGGGUGAUUAUAAAGGUGCUCUACAGGUGUCCCCAAAGGUACUUGUUGGGUUGGCGUAUUUCGAGAUUAGGAUUUGUCACUCCGAUUGUCGGAGAGGUAUCUCUGGGCCCACUCGGUAAUGCACAUCACUAUAAGCCUUGCAAGCAUUGCAACUAAUGAGUUAGUUGUGGGAUGAUGUAUUACAGAACGAGUAAAGAGACUUGCCGGUAACGAGAUUGAACUAGGUAUUGAGAUACCGACGAUCGAAUCUCGGGCAAGUAACAUACCGAUGACAAAGGGAACAAACGUAUGUUGUUAUGCGGUUUGACCGAUAAAGAUCUUCGUAGAAUAUGUAGGAGCCAAUAUGAGCAUCCAGGUUCCGCUAUUGGUUAUUGACCGGAGACGUGUCUCGGUCAUGUCUACAUAGUUCUCGAACCCGUAGGGUCCGCACGCUUAAAGUUCGAUGAUGGUUAUUAUGAGUUUAUGUAUUUUGAUGUACCGAAGGUUGUUCGGAGUCCCGGAUGUGAUCACGGACAUGAUGAGGAGUCUCGAAAUGGUCGAUACAUGAAGAUUGAUAUAUUGGAAGCCUAUAUUUGGAUAUCGGAAGUGUUCCGGAUGAAAUCGGGAUUUUAUCGGAGCCCCGGGGGAUUAAUGGGCCUACAUGGGCCUUAGUGGAGAAGAGGAGAGGCGGCCAGGGCAGGCCGCGUGCCCCCUCCCCCUCUAGUCCGAAUUGGACAAGGAGGGGGGCGGCGCCCCCCUUUCCUUCCUCUCUCUCUCCUCCUUCCUCCUUCUCCUAAUCCAACAAGGAAGGGAGGGAGUCCUACUCCCGGUGGGAGUAGGACUCCUCCUGGCGCGCCUCCUCCUGGCCGGCCGCCUCCCCCUUUGCUCCUUUAUAUACGGGGGCAGGGGGCACCCCAUAGACACACAAUUGAUCAUUGAUCUCUUAGCUGUGUGCGGUGCCCCCCUCCACCAUAAUCCACCUCGAUAAUAUCGCAGCGGUGCUUAGGCGAAGCCCUACGUCGGUAGAACAUCAUCAUCGUCACCACGCCAUUGUGCUGACGAAACUCUCCCUCAACACUCGGCUAGAUCGGAGCUCGAGGGACGUCAUCGAGUUGAACGUGUGCAGAACUCGGAGGUGCCGUGCGUUCGGUACUUGGAUCGGUCGGAUCGUGGAGAUGUACGACUACUUCCUCUACGUUGUGUCAACGCUUCCGUUGUCGGUCUACGAGGGUACGUGGACACACUCUCCCCUCUCGUUGCUAUGCAUCACCAUGAUCUUGCGUGUGCGUAGGAUUUUUUUUGAAAUUACUACGUUCCCCAACACUAUUAUCCAUUGGGCCGGACUGAUGAGCCAUGAAGACAUGAAGGCCGAAGACUAUACCAGUGUCUGGAUUGGACUCUACUUGGCGUGUAAGGCAAGCUAGGUGGCCGACUAUGAAGUUUCCCUCUAUUGUAACCGACCCCAUGUAACCCUAGAUCCCUCCGGUGUCUAUAUAAACCGGAGAGCAUAGUCCGGAUAGGACAGAUUCAUUACCAUAUACUCAUAGGCUAGACUUCUAGGGUUUAGCCAUUACGAUCUCGUGGUAGAUCAACUCUUGUAAUACUCAUAUUCAUCAAGAUCAAUCAAGCAGGAAGUAGGGUAUUAGCUCCAUAGAGAGGGCCCGAACCUGGGUAAACAUUGUGUCCCCUGUCUCCUGUUACCAUCGAUCCUAGACGCACAGUUCGGGACCCCCUACCCGAGAUCCACCGGUUUUGACACCGACACCUCCUCCCCAUAUGCGGUGCGGCAGCGGGUGGGCCGGCCAAAGGCUGUGGAGGCCUAGGCCCAGGCGCCUGGGGUGACCUCCGACUGCCCUUUUCCCCCUCCGCUCGGCUGUGGGCCGGAUGGCCAUGGGGCGUUCUUUUUUCUUUCUUUCUUUUCUGUUUCAAUUAAAAUAAUUCUAGCAGUGAUUUCAUUCCUGUUUUAGACCUGUUAAAUCCAAUACAUAUAUUUCAGUAUUGUUUUCUAUUGAGUACCGAGAUGUAUUCCAGAUCUUAAGUUGAUGUAAUACAUUUCCACGUUUAUUACGUGUUGAGAUUAAUUACAUCCAUUUGCAAUAGAGAUUUUUUUAACCUCUUGCAAAGAUAAAUUUAGUACCUCUGCAGUACUGUUUCUCCGUUGAGUACGAGGUAUUUCGGAGUAUUUCUAUGAUGUAUUUAUUUCCAUGUUAACCACAUGUUGAGAUUAAUACGUCUAUUUGAAAUUGAGAUUUUCAAUUUCUUGUAAAUACAUAUGCAAAAUUCAAGGUGUCGUCCUUAGCAUUUUGAGAUUCGCACUACUGAUUUCGAGCCACCUUUCUUGAAAUCUAUUAAUUUUGCAACAUUAAGAUGUAUUUAUAUUACACAACCUGUAAUAUAAAUAAAUUACCGGUUUUUCACCGGGGAUGAUAUGUUCUAUGUGUUUACCACAUUGACAUUCUUCAUGACCAUGUCACAGCGGUCGAGAUUGAUUUCUCCCGCAGAAUAAAAUUCUAAAUUUUUGACAAUAACAUCUCCCUCAUUAUAUUAGGAAAAAACAAGGUAAUGAGUUGGAUCUACUGCCCAUGUGCAGACUAUCUCUAUUACUGUGAGAUCUGUAUGAUCUUCAAUGUGUUAUGUUCCCACAAUUGAGGUUGAGCAUUUUCAAGUUAUACACUUGAGUCAAAUUUUUGCAUUCAUAUACAAAACCAUGAUGGUUUUUAAUUUACUUCUUGUAAAUUAAUUACCUCUGGCUUGCCCCUAUAAGUAAUCGAUGGCUAACAAUUUGAGGCUUUUUCCCUCAAUGGCCACAACUUACUUAAGUAGGUCAUGGACAUGAAGAUCAGUCUUGCAUCCCAUGGGAUAGCGCGUGCAAUCCAAGCCACGCCACCGGGACGCAAUGGACCUCAAGGGUAAUUGUUUGAAAAUCAUUUCAAACCCUCAACCUGACACCAUCAAGCUGUCAUGAGACCCUAUGAGCAUGGAGAGCAUGAUGGUUGAAUAUGCAUCAACCGACAUGUUUGGAGACUAUACAUUUAGUCCCUUAGUCUCCUUAGUGAUCUACUUAUUUAUGUCCAUUUAUGAUGUUCUAAUAAGAACAUGAUUAUUGUUGUCAUCAUAUAUUGUAUAUCACAAAAUAUUGUGUCAGCACUUUGAUACAAAUUCAUUUGUAUGUAUUCUAUAUAUCCGACAGUGAUUUUCUUAAGAAUCUUCAUGUCUGUAUAUAGAUUUCUACGGGAGUCAAUCCAAUGAAAAAUGAUAUGUGCCUUGUGGACAUAUGCACCACAAACUCUAUACUCAGGGAAGUCCAAUGUUUCCACUCUCAUUGAGAGAAAGGAGAUAUUUUAAAAUCGCUAGACGCGAUGAGGUAUUUGUUGGUUCAACUCGAGUCAUAUUUACUAUCCCUGUGGGUACUCGAGUAACGUCGGGAUGCUUCAUUGCUUCCCAAGUUUAACUCGUACCCUACUAAGCUAUAGAGAUGUUCGUCAAAAUGGUUUCCAUAGCGAAACUUAUGCUGACAAGAAAGAGAAAUACAUUCUCUUUAUCAUAUGCAACGAAUAUGGCAAGCACAUUAUCUAUGUAUCAUCUGGAUUGUACUACACAUACUACAAAACCCGUAGCACAUGUUGUGCCCAAGAUAGUUUCCAAAAUGUCUUGUACAUGAAAAACUUGGCAUACUCGCCUUGGUCAUCGAGACAUUGGGUUGAAACCGAAACUAUCAACAAUUCCAAUAGUUUAUGAUUAUUAUGAUGCUAAAUUCUAACACCAUUUGGAUUUUAUGUGCACUACAAGUGACACAGGGAAGCUAAUUUUAAGGCUCGCACACCUUAAAGUCCACGCUGAACCACUUAGACUCCUUGAAUGCAUCAAGUUGAGGUAAGUGGUUCUUCCCAUCCAUUGACUAGACGAUUCAGGUGUUCCAUGGUUCUAAAAGACAUAUCUACAUGAUGGUCUUAAGUGUGUGCUUUAUUCACACGAAACCAUUGGCUCAUUAUCCUGACAUCGAUUUCAAGCAAAUCGAAUGGAUAACAUUGCUGAAUUCUCCUUGAGUGCCUUCUCUAUGGCCCUUGGAUUGAGUUUAGCAAUUUGUCCUAAGGACUAGACUCAAAAUGGUUUGGUAGAAUCCUAUCCAAAGGGUUAAGCUCCUUGCAUUAUCUUCACUUUGGAAUUGCAACUUGCCAACUUUACGUUAGAGUCAUGCAGUUUUACACGCUCAUGACAGAACUGCAUAAUAUUAUUCCCCUCUAUCUUUGAUAUGUGGAUAUCUACCAAGUAUUUCCUAUCUGCGGUAAUUCGGUUGCAUACCGAUAUCACCACCCGACAUACAGCAUUGGCCCAUCAACAUAUAGUUGGGAUCUAUGUGAGGAAUAACUGUAUUUCCGUCAAUAACUCAAGCCCGUCGCAUGGGGAGUUAUUCAAGGCCAGUAUGCUGAUUCAAUGAGGAACAUUUCCAGGCAUUAGGGGGAGAUUUCAAGUACCAUAAAGAAUGCCAGGAAAUUAGUGGAAUGUUCAACACAUUUCUGCCUCAAAUCCACGUACUCAAAGAUCUGAACUAUGCGUUCAGAAGAUUUGCAACACAUUGCAAAUAACCUGCUAGAUUCAUUUACUGACUAUAAAGGUGUCACACAAUCCUACAAUCCUGCAAUAGUAUGCGAAAGAGUGGAGGUACCAACAAAAUCCACUCCACUCCCCAUUCAAAGCAACAGGGGGAGAUGUAUGGCAGAAGUACAUCAGGAUUCAGCUUCUCGCAAGCAAUGAUAUCAAGGCCGGUGAAUCAGUAAAUGCAAGUCAACUUCACGUUGACAAACACCUGAUGGGUAGUAUACACCCAGUGGACGGGAAACCUCCACCAACUCAGGUCAUAGUGCACAAAAUGACCGGGACAUCGGAAUACUCGACUCAAUCGCAUUGGAAAAUCGCGAGCAGUCACUAUGGGUAACAAUAUUUCCAUCAACUCUAUAUUGAUAUAUAGAUUCUGGAGAAACAUAUAACCGGAAGUCUACAAUUGUCGACAUACAUUUCUCAACUAGAUUGAAAAACCUUUCAAAUGAUUUAGCUCCAAAGACCAUGGCCAUGGCAAAGUGUGAACAACACUCGAACUGAACUCAAGCAAAGGGUAUAAUCUAAAUAUAAAUGAUCUUGCUCAAUAAUGGGAAGGUAUUCAUAAGCAAUACCUACAGCAGUUUUCUUCUGAAAACAUAAUUGAGAACAACGAGGUGGUGAAACAAAGAGCAAGUAUUGUAGCACAAGGGUUCAUGCAGAUACCCAACUAUUCUCUAGAGGUGGAAUCUCUUUCCGAUAACUUAUUUCAUUGGCAGUACAAAAUCAUCCAUCUCUGCAGUUGAUAGAUGUAGUGAUUACAUAUCCAUGUGGAUCACUAGAUUCUGACAUAUAUGAUUGAUUCCCGAUGGAAUCUCAAUUCUGAAUCGAAAUACAAAAUGCAAACAUACAUUUGUCUAAAUUCAGUAAGUCACCAUACGACUUAUUAUUGUCAGUACAUAUGGUACAACUGACGUAGUGAGAUCGUUAUACACAAGGAUUACUCAUACAAUGAUGAUUAUCCAUUUGUGUGUCUGCAAUAAUGAUACGUCUCCAACGUAUCUAUAAUUUAUGAAGUAUUCAUGCUAUUAUAUUAUCCAUCUUGGAUGUUUAAUGGGUUUAUUAGACACUUUUAUAUUAUUUUUGGGACUAACCUAUUAACCCAGAUCCCAGUGUCAGUUUCUGUUUUUCUCCUUGUUUCAGUGUUUCGCAGAAAAGGAAUAUCAAACGGAGUCCAAACGGAAUGAAACCUUCGGGAGAGUUAUUUUUAGAACGGAAGCAAUCCAGGAGACUUGGAGUGCACGUAAGGGAAGCAACGAGGAAGGCACGAGGCAGGGGGGCGCCCACCCCCCCGGGCGCGCCCUCCACCCUCGUGGGCGCCUCGUGGCUCCCCAGACCGACUUCUUUCGCCUAUAUAUCUCCAUAUACCCUAAAACCAUCGAGAAACAUAAUAGAUCGGGAGUUCCGCCACCGCAAGCCUCUGUAGCCACCAAAAACCAAUCGGGACCCUGUUCCGGCACCCUGCCGGAGGGGGGAUCCCUCACCGGUGGCCAUCUUCAUCAUCCCGGCGCUCUCCAUGACGAGGAGGGAAUAGUUCACCCUCGGGGCUGAGGGUAUGUACCAGUAGCUAUGUGUUUGAUCUCUCUCUCUCUCUCUCGUGUUCUUGAUUCGACAUGAUCUUGAUGUAUCGCGAGCUUUGCUAUUAUAGUUGGAUCUUAUGAUGUUUCUCCCCCUCUACUCUCUUGUAAUGGAUUGAGUUUUCCCUUUGAAGUUAUCUUAUCGGAUUGAGUCUUUAAGGAUUUGAGAACACUUGAUAUAUGUCUUGUCGUGCGUAUCUGUGGUGACAAUGGGAUAUCACGUGAUUCACUUGAUGUAUGUUUUGGUGAUCAACUUGCGGGUUCCGCCCAUGAACCUAUGCAUAGGGGUUGGCACACGUUUUCGUCUUGACUCUCCGGUAGAAACUUUGGGGCACUCUUUGAAGUACUUUGUGUUGGUUUGAAUAGAUGAAUCUGAGAUUGUAUGAUGCAUAUCGUAUAAUCAUGCCCACGGAUACUUGAGGUGACAUUGGAGUAUCUACGUGACAUUAGGGUUUUGGUUGAUUUGUGUCUUAAGGUGUUAUUCUAGUAGGAACUCUUGAAUAGAUCGAUCCGAAAGAAUAACUUUGAGGUGGUUUUGUACCUUACCAUAAUCUCUUCGUUUGUUCUCCGCUAUUAGUGACUUUGGAGUGACUCUUUGUUGCAUGUUGAGGGAUAGUUAUAUGAUCCAAUUAUGUUAUUAUUGUUGAGAGAACUUGCACUAGUGAAAGUAUGAACCUUAGGCCUUGUUUCCUAGCAUUGCAAUACCGUUUACGCUCACUUUUAUCAUUAGUUACCUUGCUGUUUUUAUAAUUUCAGAUUACAAAAACCUUUAUCUACUAUCCAUAUUGCACUUGUAUCAUCAUCUCUUCGCCGAACUAGUGCACCUAUACAAUUUACCAUUGUAUUGGGUGUGUUGGGGACACAAGAGACUCUUUGUUAUUUGGUUGCAGGGUUGCUUGAGAGAGACCAUCUUCAUCCUACGACUCCCACGGAUUGAUAAACCUUAGGUCAUCCACUUGAGGGAAAUUUGCUACUGUCCUACAAACCUCUGCACUUGGAGGCCCAACAACGUCUACAAGAAGAAGGUUGUGUAGAUCAAGCUCUUUCUUGGUGCCGUUGCCAGGGAGGUGAGUGCUUGAAGGUAUAUCUUUAGAUCUUGCAAUUGAAUCUUUUAUUUUCUUGUUUUAUCACUAGUUUAGUUUAUAAAAUAAAACUACAAAAAAAUGGAAUUAAGGGUGCCUCAUAUGCAUCAUCUUUUUAAUGUCUUUCGUGAAAAUGAUGGGAAGGUAAAUUGUGCUCAAGUACUAGAAGAAGAAUUACAUAGAAUGCUUGGCAUAAAAUAUGUGAAUGAUGAGCAUGAUUGCAAUGUUGUUAGUAUGAAUGUUUUGAAUACCCAUGAUGCUAAUGAUAUGCAAAGCCACAAGCUUGGGGAUGCCAUGUUUGAUGAAGAUGAUAUGUUUAGCCCCCCAAGUUUUGAUGAGCAAAUUUAUUAUGAUGAAAGCAUGCCUCCUAUUUAUGAUGAUUAUUGUGAUGACACGUAUGCUAUAAAGAAUAAAGAUAACCAUGAAACUUGUCAUCAUGAUUUUAAUUUUCAAUUGGACUAUGCUUCACAUGAUAAUUAUUUUGUUGAGUUUGCUCCCACUACUAUUGAUGAGAAGAAAUUUGCUUAUGUGGAGAGUAAUAAAAUUUCUAUGCUUGUGGAUCAUGAAAAGAAUGAUUUAUGUGAUAGUUAUAUUUUUGAAUUCAUUCAUGAUGCUACUGAAAAUUAUUAUGAGGGAGGAACAUAUUCUUGUAGGAAUUUCAAUAAUAUCAAGUUUCCUCUCUAUGUGUUGAAAAUCUUGAAGCUAUGCUUGUUUUACCUUCCUAUGCUAGUUGAUUCUUGUUCCCAUAAGUUGUUUGCUCACAAAAUCCCUAUGCAUAGAAAGUGGGUUAGACUUAAAUGUGCUAGUCAUAUUCUUCAUGAUUCUCCCGUUAUGUUUCAAUUCUUAUCUUUUAUGUGAGCAUCAUUGAAAUCAUCAUGCCUAGCUAGGGGCGUUAAACGAUAGCGCUUGUUGGGAGGCAACCCAAUUUUAUUUUUGUUUCUUGCUUUUUGCUUCUGUUUAGUAAUAAAUAAUCUGUUUAGUCUCUGGUUAGAUGUGUUUUUAUGUUUUUAAUUAGUGUUUGUGCCAAGUAGAACCGUUGGGAAGACAUGGGUAAAGUUUAUAUGAUCAUGCUGUAAAAAACAGAAACUUUAGCGCUCACGAGAAUAGCUGUCAUUUUUUAUAAGAGAGUGAUUUUUAGUUGAUUCUUUUUGCACGUGAUCACUAGGAAAAUUCCUCACUUCCACCAAUUUAUUUCAGAAUUUUUGGAGUUCCAGAAGUAUACGUUUGAUACAGAUUACUACAGACUGUUCUGUUUUUGACAGAUUCUGUUUUCUAUGUGUUGUUUGCUUAUUUUGAUGAAUCUAUGGGUAGUAUCGGAGGGUAUGAACCAUAGAGAAGUUGGAAUACAGUAGAUAUAACACCAAUAUAAAUAAAGAAUGAGUUCAUUACAGUACCUUAAAGUGGUGGUUUGCUUUCUUAUACUAACGGAGCUUACGAGUUUUCUGUUAAGUUUUGUGUUGUGAAGUUUUCAAGUUUUGGGUAAAGAUUCAAUGGACUAUGGAAUAAGGAGUGGCACGAGCCUAAGCUUGGGGAUGCCCAAGGCACCCCAAGGUAAUAUUCAAGGAUAACUAAGAGCCUAAGCUUGGGGAUGCCCCGGAUGACAUCCCCUCUUUCUUCUUCGUUCAUCGGUAACUUUACUUGGAGCUAUAUUUUUAUUCACUACAUGAUAUGUGUUUUGCUUGGAGCGUCAUUUCCUUUUAUUUUGUUUUGCUUGUUGUUUGAAUAAAAUAUCAAGAUCUGAAAUUAUUAAAUGGGAGAGUCUUCACAUAGUUACAUAAUUAUUCAACUACUCAUUGAUCUUCACUUAUAUCUUUUGGAGUAGUUUGUCAUUUACUCACGUGCUUCACUUAUAUCCUAUGAGUAAAUGGUUGAAUGAAUUGAAUAUCAUAAAUCUGAAUUUAUAUAUGUUUCAUAUGCUUAUACCAUGGGGAUUAAUGACUACACAUAUAAGAAGUAGAGGUGGUAAAUUUAUUGAAGGUUAGCAAAUAUAGCAUUGGUCACUUGAACAAUUCAUGAAAGAAUAUUGAAGGAAGAGAGGUUUCACAUAUAAAUAUACUAUCUUGGACAUCUUUUAUGAUUGUGAUCCCCAUUAAUUAUUUUACUUGAGCAAAUUAGUUGAAGUUGAACAAGGAAGACAACUUAAUGAGUUAUGGUUGGGUAUAUUUGUAUAGAAGUUAUAUUGUUAUAGAUCCUCCAACAUGUGGUGCUUGUUUUUUUAGAAUCCUUUGCUAGCCAAAAUAUCUGUACUAAGCGGGAAUACUGCUUGUGCAUACAAAUUCCUUGAACCAAGUUUCUUCCAUGAGUGUCCACCAUAUCUACCUAUAUGCGGUAUUUACCUGCCGUUCCAAGUAAAUUUGCAUGUGCCAAACUCUAAACCUUCAAAUAAUAAUCUGUUUUGUAUGCCUGAAUCGCUCAUGUAGCGACUAGGGGCUGUCAGUAUCUUCCAUGCUAGGUGGGUUAUUCUCACGAUGAGUGGACUCCGCUCAUCAUUCACGAGAAAAUGGCUGGUAACUGGGAUGACCAGUCCUAUGAUCAAAAGAUCAAAAACAAAAUUGCAAAUAAUUUAAACAAAAAUCCCCCAGGAAUGUUGAUAGUUGGACGACACCCGUUGUUUCGGACAAGCCAUGGAGUGUGAAUGUUGGUGGAGGGGGAGUAAAAAAAAACUUUACCUUUCUGCGUGGGAACCGCCUAUAAUGUAUGUAGCAUGGAAGAUAUUGGGAACUCUUGGUUGUUAUGUUGACAAUGAAAGCAUACCUCUCAAAAUUAUUUUCAUCUCUGUUUUUGCUUCGAGCUCUGGCCCCUCUGCAAAUCCCUGCUUCCCUCUGCGAAGGGCCUAUCUUUUACUUUUAUGCAAGAGUCAGUAGUAUUCCUUCUCUCCAACCUACUCUUUAGUUGGCAAGCAUCAUGUGGUGGAGAAAGAUCUAAGCAUAUAUGGCCAUUCAAAUAUAUUUGAUCAUGAAUUAUUAUUGUUGACAAUUAUCUAUAUGAUAAAUAAGUUGGGAGGCAAAACAUUAAGCCCCUAUCUUUCUCUGUGUUCGAUGGAUGCUAUUUGUUAUAAAAAUAUGCUUUGAGUGGUAGCAAUCAUGGAAGGCUAUAUGAUAGUUGAGUAUGUGAAGUUUGCUGAAUCAAAGCUCUGACAUAGACUCUUCCUGAAAAUAAGAUGAAUUGCAAUUGUUUGAUGACCGAGAACUUAGUUUGCUAGAAAGUUUAUGAUCUAUGCUUUAACAUGUGAAUAGUUUUCUACUUGAUCAUGAAAAGCUUUAUGAUAUGAGCCACUAUUAUGAUAUAUAAUGAUGCUAGAAAAGGUGAUUGAAAUUAUCAUUGAUCAAACUUGUGCACCUGCUAGCAUUCACACUUCAUAAAUUAUUUCUUUUAUCAUUUACCUAUUCGAGGACGAGCAGGAAUUAAGCUUGGGGAUGCUGAUACGUCUCCAACGUAUCUAUAAUUUAUGAAGUAUUCAUGCUAUAACAUUAUCCAUCUUGGAUGUUUAAUGGGCUUUAUUAUACACUUUUAUAUUAUUUUUGGGACUAACCUAUUAACCCAGAUCCCAGUGGCAGUUUCUGUUUUUCUCCUUGUUUCAGUGUUUCACAGAAACGGAAUAUCAAAUGGAGUCCAAACGGAAUGAAACCUUCGGGAGAGUUAUUUUUGGAACGGAAGCAAUCCAGGAGACUUGGAGUGCAUGUAAGGGAAGCAACGAGGAAGGCACGAGGUAGGGGGGCACGCCCACCCCCCGGGCGCGCCCUCCACCCUCGUGGGCCCCAUGUGGCUCCCCUGACCGACUUCUUUCGCCUAUAUAUCUCCAUAUACCCUAAAACCAUCGGGGAACAGAAUAGAUCGGGAGUUCCGCCGCCGCAAGCCUCUGUAGCCACCAAAAACCAAUCGGGACCCUGUUCCGGCACCCUGCCGGAGGGGGGAUCCCUCACCGGUGGCCAUCUUCAUCAUCCCGGCGCUCUCCAUGACAAGGAGGGAGUAGUUCACCCUCGGGGCUGAGGGUAUGUACCAGUAGCUAUGUGUUUGAUCUCUCUCUCUCUCUCUCGUGUUCUUGAUUCGACACGAUCUUGAUGUAUCGCGAGCUUUGCUAUUAUAGUUGUAUCUUAUGAUGUUUCUCCCCCUCUACUCUCUUGUAAUGGAUUGAGUUUUCCCUUUGAAGUUAUCUUAUCGGAUUGAGUCUUUAAGGAUUUGAGAACACUUGAUGUAUGUCUUGUCGUGCGUAUCUGUGGUGACAAUGGGAUAUCACGUGAUUCACUUGAUGUAUGUUUUGGUGAUCAACUUGCGGGUUCUGCCCAUGAACCUAUGCAUAGGGGUUGGCACACGUUUUCGUCUUGACUCUCCGGUAGAAACUUUGGGGCACUCUUUGAAGUACUUUGUGUUGGUUUGAAUAGAUGAAUCUGAGAUUGUAUGAUGCAUAUCGUAUAAUCAUGCCCACGGAUACUUGAGGUGACAUUGGAGUAUCUAGGUGACAUUAGGGUUUUGGUUGAUUUGUGCCUUAAGGUGUUAUUCUAGUAGGAACUCUUGAAUAGAUCGAUUCGAAAGAAUAACUUUGAGGUGGUUUCGUACCCUACCAUAAUCUCUUCGUUUGUUCUCCGCUAUUAGUGACUUUGGAGUGACUCUUUGUUGCAUGUUGAGGGAUAGUUAUAUGAUCCAAUUAUGUUAUUAUUGUUGAGAGAACUUGCACUAGUGAAAGUAUGAACCUUAGGCCUUGUUUCCUAGCAUUGCAAUACCGUUUACGCUCACUUUUAUCAUUAGUUACCUUGCUGUUUUUAUAAUUUCAGAUUACAAAAACCUUUAUCUACUAUCCAUAUUGCACUUGUAUCAUCAUCUCUUCGCCGAACUAGUGCACCUAUACAAUUUACCAUUGUAUUGGGUGUGUUGGGGACACAAGAGACUCUUUGUUAUUUGGUUGCAGGGUUGCUUGAGAGAGACCAUCUUCAUCCUACGCCUCCCACGGAUUGAUAAACCUUAGGUCAUCCACUUGAGGGAAAUUUGCUACUGUCCUACAAACCUCUACACUUGGAGGCCCAACAAUGUCUACAAGAAGAAGGUUGUGUAGUAGACAUCAAAUAACGACAUUUGUAAUCAUCUAAAUGACGGAGUUUAAAAUGAAGGAUUUGGGUAAACCAAAAUACCGCUCGUUACUACAACUUGAGCACCUUCAUUCAUACAUUAUGGUAUACUAUGUUGUCUAUAUCCAAAAUAUAUUGGAGAAAUUCAUUGUGGAAAAAUCUUAUCCAUCCAUAACUCUGAUGGUAGUUCAUUCUCUAGACGUAGAGAAAGAUCUAUUUAGACCAAGAGAUGAUGGAAAUGAGAUAUUGGGACUCAACGUUCCAUAAUGCCAUUGGAUAGACCAAACACAAUUGGUUGGUACUCAAGAAUAUCUUUUGAUAUCUCCAAGGCAUCAAACAUCUUGUCCUGAUUUUUCAGUUUCACAUAAAUGUGAACACCAAUAUCAUUGGAUACAUCGAUCAGAUCCCCACUAUGUCAGAUCGUAGACAAGCUUAGUGUUCCUACUAGGUGUGGUAGCCCUCUCAUGAAGAGUCUUCAAAACAGACCUCAUGGAUACAUCCACCAACCAUUAUCUCAAAGAUAAUGUUGCUUGUGUUGCCCGGAUGCAAACAUGUUACUAAUAAGCAUUAUCUUUAUAUUGCCUAUCUUGCAAGUCAAAUCAUGCAACUGAUUUGUUCACCAAGUUUCUACCAACUUUUACAUUCCAGAAACAUGUUCAUGGAAUUGGUAUGUGACGGCUUUGGAAUUUGCAAGAAUCAGGGGGAGUAUCUUCCUAAAUUGUUCAUGUUCAAUGCAUCAUAUUAUACUCUUUUUCCCUUCAUGAGUUUACUAUACAGAUUCUCAUAAAGGUUUUUAAUGAGGUAAUAUCAACAUGAGAUCAUAUGUCAUACUUUCUGUUUUCCCCACCGUUUUUUUGGGGAAAGUAUAUACAACAUAUUUAUUGUCCUCUAAAUUCUAUGAAUAUAUAUUUCAUAUUGAGUUAACAGAGGCAAUAAUCAUUAUGUGUUGUAUCAUUUUCUCCUUAUUUUCCCACUGGGUUUGAAGGAGUUUUAACAGCACAUACUACACUACUCCUCAUAUUUUUUCCACAGGGUUUUUGAAGGAGACUUAAUCAAGAUAAUGGAUUCUUAUGUCAAGCGGUGAUUAGGGGGAGUGUUGAAAAUAAUAACCCAGUGGUUAUUAAGGGAAAAUCCCCGCUUCCCAUAUCGGUAGUUGCCUCCCGAGGAGGCGCCUCAGUGAACCAUCGCGUCCCAUGGACGCGUCCGUUCCCCUUGUAUAUAAGUGUACAUCCAUGAUUAAUAAAGGACACUGGAAUCAUUUGUUGUCGCUCUCGAUUCUCUCUCGAUUACUCUUCGAACACCAAAAAGGCCACUGUCCACGACGGUUCCCGUGGAGACGCCUCUAGCGAACCAUCGCGUCCAUUGUGAUUGUAUAUAUAUCAUGUCAAUCAUCAACAGAGACCACUGAUUCGAUCAUUUGUUCAAUACUCUUGUUCCUUUACAAUUGAUUCUUAACACGUUAUCAGCACGUUGCUCUCCGUUGAGAGAAAUAGGCCAUGCCUGAUACAGCAACUCCGGCGGUCCUCGACCUCGCCCCAUCGAUGCCCGCGCUACCGAACUUGCGUCCUACCCGCUGGCUCACGGCAUGGUGUGUUGCCCGGCCUAGGCGGUCGACCAGCGGCAACGCCCUCUGGCACACCCCUGCGUGGCACGGCUCCCUUGCCUGCCCAUGGCGGCAGCACCCUUCAUUACGGCACCUGCCGGCAGCCUCGGCUGUAACGGCGUGGCGACGCCCACAACGGUUUUCGCCUCCGGCCCCGGCGCGUCAAGCCAUCGUCAGCAUCAACGAGGCUGCGCAGAGGUGCGGACGCGCUACUGAAGGCCCGGCCAUCGAGACGCGAUGACUGGCGUGCGCCACGGCGCGGCUACGCGGUGGCGUCAACCCGCCCAUCCGACGGUCGGCCCCUACGCCUCCACCGGUGUCUUCGUCUCCGUCGGCAACUGCCACGACCACUCAAGGCGCCCGGGGCCUCACAGCCGGCAUCGCCCGGCAUGCCUCGAGCCACAUCUACGGCGGUGGCUCGUCCUGUCCAUGCGCGUCAGCAAAGCAAAGGCAAGGCUGGCGGCGCAACCACCUGGAGCGGUGGCAGCCCGCGAGGCGGCGGCAAUGGCGCAGUCUUCCCGGCCGUCGUAGCGGGUCCCCUUCCCCGGAGAGGCCCCUACCAUGCGCGGCGCUCGCGCUCGCGGUACACAACGGUGUGGCGAGCUCCUCUAGCGUUGCGGCAGUCGAUGCCCGACGUUGCCGUGCCAUCCCAGACGGCCAUGCACAGGCGCUCACUGCCGCCUCGUGGCCCUCGCCGUUCCGCUGGUGAGCCCGUUGUUGAGCAGCCGCUCCGCGCAGCAGCAGCGCUCGGGCUCGCGGAUGGCGCCUACAACGGCGUGACCUUGGCACCCACCUCCGCGGUGGCUCCUCUUCCAAGGACGAGCGCGGCGGGAGAUCUUCUUGCCGCCGGUGAUGCGGCCGGCCGGCCGUCUCCGGCUGUCUCACUGUGGAUUUGGGAUAGAAAGUGGCUGGGAGAAUUUUCCUCGGACGGCGAUAACUACCACACGUGUGGGUGUUAAGAGGUCUGCCCACACGUUUUGUGUGGUGUCUAAGAAGACCAGCCCACACGCCUAUGUGUGGGCAAAACAACUAGCGCCCACCCGCCUCUUUUUUUCCUUGCGGUCCCUCUCACACGCCUACGUGUGGGCAAAAUGCAUAACGCCCACAUAACCUCUCUCAGCCACCCACCUCACGGUCCCGCACGCCCCGCGUGACAGUCACCAUGCGUCACUGCAGUUGCCAUGGUCCGGACCCUCUUCAAUGUCCGUUUAACUGCAGUUGCCAUGUCGCUGAACUACAGUUGCCAUGUCGGACAACUACGGUUGCCAUGGUUGCUCAACUGGAGUUGCCAUCUCAGGUCAAGUGCCAGAUGCCAUUUUGGACAACUACUGCUGUUGCCAUGUAUGGUCUGAUUUACUAUAGUUGCCAUGAUUUGAAAACUUUAGAGGCUGCCAUCUACUAACACUAAGCAGUUGCCAUGUAUGGUCUGGUUUACUACAGUUGCCAUGAUUUGAAAACCUUAGGAGUUGCCACCUACUAGCACUAGGCAGUUGUUGUGUAGCGCUACAAAAAGACAUGGCAAAACAACAUGUUCGGAUAAAAGAGAGAGUUGUCAUAUGUUUACAAGCACACUAGGUCAGUUGCCGUGUACCCUGCAAAACACAUGGCAACUGACAUGCUCGGGUAAAAAAAAAGAGAGUUGCCAUAUUUUUACAAGCACACUAGGGCAGUUGCCAUGUACACUGCAAAACACAUGGCAACUGGCAGCUUGGGUGUGGAAGAGGAGACGGGCAUGUGGGCGAGAUGACAAAUGCGCACACACCAGCCCCUGUGCGUGAGUGAAAACUGGCGUGUGGGCGAACUGAUAAACGCCCACACACUGGCCCCUCCGUGUGGUGAAACGGAUGUGUGGGCGACCGGGUGAAUGCCCACACACCAGUCCAGUCCUACAUGGCACCACAAACAUGCCAAGAUUCGUGCACCCAUAAACGGACGCGGAUCCACGCGUGUGGCGAGAUGCAAAUGCCCACACAUGUGGGCGUUAGUGUUUCCAUUUUUCUGGUCGCUCUGCCUUAUCUGCUCAGCUAGACCAGGCUGGGCUGCCUUGCGUGGCUAAUUUGCAUGCCGCUGGAAAUUUAGGCGACCAGCAACCAUUGCUAUCUUUGCUUAUUUGCCCCUUUAAUUUAGCAUAUUAGCAGAUAAGCCACCUAGCAGUAGUUCUAGCAGUGAUUUCAUUCCUGUUUUUUAGACACUGCUAAUUACAGUACUAAAAUUUCAGUACUGUAAAUAUGUUGAGUACUAUGUGUUCCAUAUAAUAUGUUGAUGUAAUAUAUCUCCAUGUUUCUUACAUGUUGAGAAUAAUUACAUCUAAUAUUUGCAAUUGAGAUAUUUCUUUUAUCUCUUGCAAAGAUAAAUUCAGUACCUCUUGAGUAUUGAUUUGCGAUUGAGAAUUUUCUUCUCUCGCAAAGCAAUCUCAUAGUGAUUGAGAUUAAUUUUCUCUCGCAAAAUAUUAAUUCACCCUGUUGAAUUAUCUUGCAACUUGAUACAAGAUCACCUAAUUUAAUUUGAGGUCCAUACAAUUCAAGUUUUUCACUUGAACAUCAAGUUUGCAACAUCAUUACUAUUUAUUAUAAUAGUGGCGUAUUUCUGUUGAGUAUGAUGUAUUCCAGAAUGUAUGUAUCUCCAUGUUCGCUACAUGUCGAGAUCAAUAUGUCUAUUUGCAAUUAAGAUUUUUUUUCUUGCAAAUAAGAAUGCAAAAUUCAAAGUGAUUUCUUCAAAUUGAUGUAUUGGGAUCACAAAGUAGUCAUAUAGAUCUACUGCCUUCGCACAUUAUCAAUGACUACUAUUAAAGCCCAUAUUUUGUCAUUUUGACAUUAAAAUUGCUUUACAAAGUGCCAUCCCACACAUUUUACUAAGUCAUGGCAUAAGGCAUUACGAAUGAGUAUCUACUGAUUUCAUCAGAUUAUACUCUCUAGUGCUGUGUGGAGAUUAUCUUCAAGGUGUCAUUUAGCAAUUGAUUUUGCUAGUUCAUUACAACAACAACAACCAUAAUGGUUUUUAAUUUAUUGGUUGUAAACUAAUUAUCUCUGGUUUACCCAUAGAGGUGAAAUAUGGCCAUAGAGUUUGAGGCAUUCGCCCUUAAUGUACUAACAGAACAAAGUUAACGUGUCUAGGUCGACGGUCAAUGACUGACUUCACAAAUCCGUCGGCCUUAAUCGGAAAUGAUACACAAAAGGGAACCGCUAGGAAUCAGACUACUGAUUCUUAGCUUCCCAUCAGACUAGUGUUCCACCGUAUGAUUGGAUUCAUCUGGAACGUGCAAUGGGCCAGAAAAAGGUGCCUAUUUUGUUUCCAUGCAACGACCUAUGAAUGGCAAUUUAUUUGGUAAUAAACCAUUCUCGUAAAUAUCUUUAGGCCUAACUUCUAGCGUCGUGCAAUUUGCUUCCAUCCAGGAUGUUUGUUUCCAAUUGGGUGAAUUUAUUCCCAGCGCAAAUUAAUCAUGCUUCCUACGAAGAAAAUUUGCUUCCAUACCAAGAAGUUUGUUUCCAAUUUGGUGAAUUUAUUCCCAGCGCAAAUUAAUCAUGCUUCCUACGAAGAAUAUUUGUUACCAUGUCAUAACGAGAUUGCUUCCAGCUCAAGAUUAUUUUGAUUAGUAUUUUUGUUUUCCAACAUGGAAAAACGUGCUUUGAACGGUCAAGCCGUGUUUUCGUUUAACAUGGAAUUAUGCUUCCAAUGUUUUCCCCUUCUAUCAACAAUGCUUGAAAGAGAGAAUAUAAUUUGCUUCCAAAAAAAAUAUUUUUCUUCGAAAGAAAUAUAUUUUGCUUCCAAACAAAUGGAGAUAAUUGUUGAAGCAGGAAUAUAUGUUGCUUCCAAUUAAUGCAUCUUAUGUCUAUUGUGAGCCAUCAGAACAUAGUUGCUAAUUGUUGAAGUAUGUACAAAAUAGUAUCGAAGCAUUGCCAUGGGCAUGUAUGUACUUGGAAACAUAUUGUACAUACAUAGGAUACAUGUCGCAUAUGAUAUCGAAGCACGUAUGUAGUCUAAACCAAAUGAAGCAUAUAUAUAUAUAUAUAUAUAUAUAUAUAUAUAUAUAUAUAUAUAUAUAUACAUUUUUUAGAUAAACUAGUAAACUCAAUACAUAGAACCCUGAAGCACUGCAUCCAUGACAACAACAAACAACAUUCAAAAGAUUAGCCCAGCCUUUCUCUCGAGCGGGAUCCUUCCAAGCAGGUUUAAGAGGCCAUCUUUUAAGUGAGAGCCGCAUAACGACUGUUCAAUGUCCACCAUGCUUUGGGCUGCUUCAUUAUCCCAGGUCCACUGAAAAAUAAUCAGAAAUAUAAUCUGGGAAUUGAGCGAAUAAUCAGAAAUAUAAACAUUAUCGAGAAAGCACGGCUCAACAUUCAUUUUCCAAAGAUGUACAGAAGCAAAUCACCUACAACAAAUUCAAAGUUGUACUGCAAAUUAAAUAAUUAAGUAGCAGCAAACAAGGUAGCUUGGAUCAGCAACCAUAGAAGCAAAUUAAGAGUAACACAGGAAGCUCCAAUUACAAGAUGCAUGACAAUAAGCUAUUUAUAGGUGACAUAGAACGUGUGUUAUGUACAGGAGCUCCAGUGGAAGCACAAAACAACAAAAAUUUAAGCAAACUAAUAUUGUGGGUAACAAAGGAUGGAAAUUAUGUGUGGCGAACAUACAAAUGGAUCAAAAUUUUAUAACCUAUGGAAGCGAAAUUAAUAGAGUUCAGAAGCAUAUGUAUUGCAAUUUAGAUGCGACACAACAAAGAAACAUGAACAUGGUACUUUGGGAAUCAAACUAGUCUUAGAUGGAAACAUGGAAAUUUGAAAUUGUACAGAAAACUGGUAUUAUUGUGAUAUGCGUACCUACUUAACCAAAAUCCAUAGAUUAUAUGGUGAUCAAAUACACAUUGGGUACUAAACCAAGAUAUGAACAGAAGUAACCCAGAUCAACUCAAAUGCUUCAGAUUAAAUUUGUAUCAACAUAAGAGAACUGAAAACAUUAAGUCGGGUGAGUAUGUACUAGGGGCAAUUCGUCAAUGUGCCUAUUACCUGCGAGUGAAGAGCACAUGGCCGCCUUACCUCACCGACGGCGGUGCUGUACAUGGAUCAUGGUUGAUGGAGAAGGUGAUAUGUCGUUUAGGAUCCUGGAGGUGGAGUGGUGGAGAAUGUUAGGGAGUCGUGGUCUCAAGCAGAGCAUGGAACAUCGAUCUGUAGCAAUUUGGGAGGAAACAAACCAAACUGGGGGAGGAAGGUGCGGGAUUAUGGGAAGAUAAUGUGCGUGCUUAAUUUAUGCGGAUAAAUGGGUGGUUGGUAUGGGAUAUGUUGGAGCCUCUCAGCCAUGGGAUUGGAAAUAAAUCAACGGACAAGCACUAGACUGAUGAUUUGUUAGUAUCCAGACGUCUGGAUCUAAGAGUUUCCCUACACAAAACAGGCAUCAUGAUGUGGGGGCAACCGAACAUCAACAAAGGCUAAUAAGGUCCAUAACUCCAUAGACACAUUAAAGUAUUCAAAUGUUUUAAAGCAUCGUCCAUGAUAUGAUAACAGAUGGUGGUAGAGUCUGUGAACAUGUCAGCACAUCAGCGGCAUGCUAGAGCAUACACUUUGUUGACAUUCCAGGUCAUCAACCAUGAUAUUCCACCAGCUCGCCAGGUGCACGAGAUGAAAAAAUGGCUUCAUGUGGUGAUGUUUGCCAUGGUUGAGGACAGCCGUCAAAGUCAUUCAUCAACAGUCACCUUGGAGCGAAGGGGUUGUGCAAGCUGCACUGGCCUUGGAGGCAUCAAAGGGGGCACCAUCGUCAGCUUGCACAUUUCACUUGAUG
This 356758-nucleotide long non-coding RNA is filed under the name Triticum aestivum (bread wheat). RNAcentral's name for it is "long non-coding RNA (TAES_LNC018341)". The stretch from base 312194 to 312318 matches the Rfam family "MIR1120/MIR1122 microRNA precursor family". Lineage: Eukaryota; Viridiplantae; Streptophyta; Magnoliopsida; Poales; Poaceae. The record is from RNAcentral.